RNAcentral lists this long non-coding RNA (219614 nucleotides) under Coffea arabica (coffee). RNAcentral's name for it is "long non-coding RNA (CARA_LNC007595)". The stretch from base 128364 to 128437 matches the Rfam family "tRNA". The record is from RNAcentral. Lineage: Eukaryota; Viridiplantae; Streptophyta; Magnoliopsida; Gentianales; Rubiaceae.
GGGGAAUGUGCUCAGUGUUUAACACACGCUCAGGUCCCUACCAUCCAAAAUAACUUCUAUUGGCCCAAUUGAACUUUUAAGUAAAUAAUGUUUUUAAGAUGUCUUACCCCUAAAUUAUCAGUACACUGUGGUUCAACUAAGCCAACAUAAAAUUAUUCCCUGCAGCAUAACGUAUCUGUAAUACCUUAUCUAAUCAAUUCGAAUUCUAAUGCAUUCCAUGGCUGAUCAAGGAUGCUAAAAGGAAAUCUAUCGAGCAACAAAAGAGAAAGAGAGACCCAUUGCAGCAGCGCAGAUAUAUAAACAAAGGGUCAGUUCUGGAAGCAUUUUGAAGAGUGUGAAAGAACAACAACGGAAGGCAAUUAAUUAGGUCUUUUGUAUGAAAGGAUCUCUAGACAAAGCAACCACCAAAUAUGCCAAGCCUUGAGCAGAGCAUGUGCUUACGAUCGUGUGAUAGGCUUAGUGGUAAGAUAAUAUGAACCAAAUGCCAUCCAAAUGGCACCAAGUUCACAUUGGUGGUGGAAAACUGUGCAAGGAGCCACAUUGCAGGUUCAAUUUACCCAAUUGCGGGCCUUUAAAAUGCAUAUACCAUAGCUAAACAAAAUGGGGUUCACAUAGACUCAGCACUUGAAUUACAUUAAAACAAAUAUAGAUAUGUAAAAACAUGUACAUAUGACCACAUAUGUACACAUGUUGCCAUGAGUGUUUGUGUGUGUGAGUAGUUGUUUCAUGCAGAAAGAUUAGCCAGAGGAUUAGAAUAGGACAUACUCAAUAGCUCCACCAUGAACGCCAAUCGAAUAAAGUUCCUCUGGCACUCUGCCAUCCAGCUGAUUAUCAUUCAAAAGCCUGUGAAGAAAUGCAUAACAUUAGAAAAUUAAGAUCAGACUGUACAUAAUAUCUCAUAAUUGACGUGUAAACUGAUUUCACAUAAAGCCAUAGCUUUCCUAACAACAGUACAAAGGUCUCCACUAUUCUAACAAAGUCAAGUGGGUUAUCCAGAGACAGGUAAAAGCGGAUAUAAUGGCCUUGUAACCUCUAAAAGUGAAAGGAUUAGGCUUGAAAUUGACGAGGAAGAUGAAUGUGGCUAUCUGAUUGCGUUGCCAAUUCAUGUAAAUUGAUCCAUAAGCCAAAAAGAUACUAAAAGCUAUUCCAAAGUGAACUUCCGCUGUUCCAAUACUGAUUUAGUUUUUUCUUUUUAGCGGGUGAAAAACUACUCCUGGUAAAUGGUAGGCACUAUUUUUAGUUAAUUUUCCAUUUGCCAAAGAAAACAAAACAAAGCUAAUGUUCCAAAAACAAUACCACUUUCACUAUAAAUUCAAAAGAAUUGAUAAUGUAGCAACAGUUAUUUCAAACUUCCCUCUUUAAGCUACACUAAUUUUUCCUAAAUUUUCCUGGGUAUGUGACCCAAAUAAAAGAUGUACAUCCAUUUUCAAACAGGACAGGGUUUAACUAUUCGUGCAAGAACAUACAUGAAAAGACAGACAACUUACACAAGUUGCAAAUUAGAAGAAGUUAGACUAUCGGGUAUGGACCCCGUGAACUUGUUGUCUGAUAGAUCCCUGCAUCAACAACAUAACAACAAAAGCAAUUAUGUCCAGUAGAUACUCAGAUUUCAUUCUGAUCAAUAUUAGUUGACUUCUAGCAUAUUGUCAUUCCACCUUCGAGAAUUAAUGAAAAAACCGUUAAAGACAUGAGAUAAAACUUUUUAGCGUUCAUGCACUUUAAAAAUCUAAUAUGCAAGUGAUAUAAUUUCACUUAAGUGCAACUCUUGUAAUAAAGCAUGGUCAAGUAGCAAAACAUUGCACAUUGGUUGGAGUUUCAAUUCAAUCGUAUUCACUGUAGCCAUAUUUUUAAAACCAGGAUCAGAAUAUGUAAUCUUACAGCUUCGCAAGAGACUUUUGACCCAAUCCUUCUGGCAAACCUCCACCCAAAGAGUUAGCACUUAAAUUCCUGCAUGUCGAAAAGAUGUGUCCGUUUGGUAAAUCCUAGCAUAUAAGAAUCAAUAUUUGGUAGACUCCAGCAAAAAAACAACUAAAGACAGAAAUGAAGUUAAAAAAAGUGGCUUUGUUCUCAGCUUGUAUUUGCAUUCUGUCAUGCAAGAGCAAUCCUUAUGAUGACGAAACUUACUCUCUCAAGAAUACAGCUUAUAUAUACUCCCAACACAAAUGGAUGAAAACAUGAAUUGAGAGGAAAUAUUUUUGCCCAAUUGAGGACGUUAUGCAUAGUUGAUAAACAUGAAAAGAGAAAAUUGACUGGAACUGUAGAUGAGGAAAGAUUAUCCCUUAAAAUAGAACUGAUUGGGAUGCCACCAAAAGAAAGUCAUUUUCAAGUAGCUUCUUCAAGGAAAUGUAAGCCAUACUGGUAUAGACACCAGCAAGCAUAGGAAUGAUAGAAGACCAUGAAUUGAUACGAAAUUCACUUUGAAGAUGAUAAGAAUGAUAUUAAAACCAAAACACAAAAAGGCCGAAAGAAACUAUGCAUCCAGAAAAUGUUAUUCCAUGUGUUUGCAGGUGAUACAAUAUUCUUCAAAUGUGUACAUGCAGUAAAGCGCAAAAAUGUGAUACGCACAAGCUCACCAAAUUCGAUAGGAGAGAAAUCUGAUCGCUAAUAUAACCCUUCAAGCCUCGGUUUCCAAGAUCUCUGAAAACCAAAACAAGAAAAGAGAGUUCAACUGAGAUAUAAUCCACAAGAAGAAAAGUUAACCCUACUUCACCAUGAAAAUCUUUGUUCUUGAACACAAAUGAAUUUUUAUUCAUUGAAUUAACAUUCCUCCAACCACAUGGAUAAGUAAAUCUCCACAAAAGAAGAAUGCAUGCACAAAAUUAACUAAACCCCUUUAAAGCACUAAAGCUAGUCCUAGUAAAGAAAGCACCACAAGUGAUAAAAUCCACAAAGUCAACGUUUGAAGAUCAGUAACAGCCAUUUGGACUUACUUUAAAUGAUUGGGUAUAAGAUAAUGAUACAAAGUCAAUUAUUUGAUGUCAUGAAUUGGUCAAGCAUCCCAACUAGCUACUAAAGCAUGGUUGAGGUCACCAUGAGACACAAUGAUGCUGCUAACCCACCAGUUAUGUGUUGCCUGCUGCCACUUGAAACCAAGGAGGAAAAGCAACAACAGGAAGCAGCUCGAACCACAGACAUGCUCCCAAGUACAUUGUGUGAAGAGAUGGGAUAAGAACCAUCUACAGCAUGCUAUCCUUGGAGGAUUGUCUAUCAGUAUUUAAACUUGACUAGAAAUUCUGCUUAGUAUUUAAAGAAGUACAUUGUCGUAAUUAAAGUUAGCUCAAAAGUCUUUUAUUUCUUUUUUUCUUAUAGUGGAAAAGUAUCUUGUGAGUCAAAUGCAUUUCCUCCUUAAGAGUUAAUUCAAUGGCUCUGUCUAGUGUUCUACUUAGGCAUUGAAAGUUAUAGACAGUAAAUGACAAAAUCAAUAGCAAGAAAGUUAAAUUACAACAUGGAAAACUUUGCCUUAAGUUCACAACCCCUGUUAAUGACAUACAUUCCAAUGCAGAGAGAAAUUACCAAUUGAUUAGUAUCUAAUUAACCCCUGAAGCUGGAAAAACAAAAAUGUUUAACAAAUUUAACAACCACACUCUUAACUCAUAGACCAUAUUUUGAUUAUAUAAGCAUUAUGCUUAAGACUGACUAACACUGCUUACACAAUAAAAAUGAACUUACAUUUGGGACACCACCAGCGCAGACUCAUCCUUUAAUGUAUGACAUGCCACCCCCUCCCAUGCAUCCCAUGUAGUAGGGGCACAUGGAUCUCCAUUCCAACCCAUCCUGUCUGGAACUCGAAGGGACUCCUUCAAUGCACGCAUAGCAGUAGCUGCAGAGAAAAUCCCAACAACUUUUCAAGUCAAAUGCAAAUUAAUUCUACCGGGUCAAAGAUACAAAAUAUCUAAAUACAAUUUUGAAGUCUCAUGUCUCCUAAUUUUCAAACCACAAGAACACUAUGAUAUAGUAAUAAAAACCGAUGCCAAUGAUACACUGAAUCCAUCAAUUUCUAGCCCACUAACAUCGAUGUGAAAAUGCCAACUUUCCUAUUGUUUCUGAUGCCUACAUUUAGAAGAUUGCAAUCAUUUUCCUAAAUCCAAAGCAACAAAGUUCAAAUUCUACAUUCCGUAAAAAUUACAUAAACAACUAUAGAGGUCAACAGAUAUGAGGAACCAAGAACUCCCCUAACAAUUAGCUAAGCAACUGCAGAGGUCAACAGAUAUUCAAAACGAAGAAGAAAAAUGCAAAUAGGCAUGAAUUUCGACAUACCCUGGUCAGGAAGAGUCUUAAGAUCAGCUGGAACAAUAGCAUAAUUCUCAACCCCGCAAAUUGUAGGCGAACCGACGACUGGAACCAGCUUAAUACUCAACAUUGUAUUUGUCAAAUUCUUGACCACAUAGCUCCAAUCAUAAGCAGCAAAACUCCCAACACUCUUAAAAAUAUCCACUCUACUAAUAUUCACAUCAUUCACAAAAAUGUCAAAAACUCUUUGUCCUGCUUUAGUUACACUAACAUCAAUCUCGGCAAAAUGAAACCAUAACAAGUAAUCCAAUUUCGCGUCCACAGGCAAUUCGUACCCCAGAUAAUCCCCGGAUUUUCCAUCCCCUCCUACCAAAAUUGCAGCUGUCUGGUACAAUUUCAAGGGAAAAAAGUUCGGUUCUUUCUCAACAUUGAUGACAUCUCUUAUCGCGGAAAUUGCUCUAAUCUUUCCACGUCUAGGCAAGAAUUUAGCAUCCGAUUGCCACGACCGGCCAAACCGGUCAGUGUCGUUUGAAAACCCGGGUCCCCACUGAACCGAUCCGGACGAAAUCCUCCCGUAAUUCACCAAGAUUGAAGAAUUACUAAAGCCAUUCCCAUUGCCCAAAGUGUAAGCGUCUGUGUCAACUUGGAUAAGCUCCAAAGAAGCAAUGACGGGAGAAUCAGUGGCAAUACUGUAAAAACACACGUCAGCAUCGGAAUCCGAGAUGGUGACAAAAAGAUCCGAGUAGGCCCCGUAUCUCGAAAUGGACUCCGGCCAAGGAGACCUCCAAGAAAACACCAAAGUCCCUUCAACGGCAACGUCGAAGGAGGGGGGAUGAGACUUGCCGUCGUAGUUAUCGUAGGCGAUGAAAGUCCGGAGGAAGUAUUUUCCGGGAGGAACAUCUUUAACACUAUAACAAUUCUUUUUCCCGGAUGAGAUUGGGAAGUAGCGGAGAGUCUUUUCUUGCUGGUGAACAAAGAGGAGUGGCUCGGAAACUACCGCAGUAGCUCCGCCGGUGUAGUACCGGUCGGAAAUCCAAGUGGUGUUGAAGACAUCGGUGGAGUUCGUCAGUCCUCCACAGUCGAUGUGAAGGGAAAAAUCUGUUACGUUAGAAGUAAAAUAUGUAGCAACGUUAGUUAUGACAGUUAAAAGAUUGUUAGUUAAAAUGGUUAAGCUCAAAAAGUGUGGGAGCGUGUGUGAAUGAUGAUAUGGAUGGGAUUACUUACUAUAGGGGUAAGGAAUGGAGAGGGAGAAGGAGACGGUGGGGAGUAGGAGGAGGAGGAGGAGGAGGAGGAGAGGGGGGAGAGGAAGAGGGGACAUGAUGGUGUUUCUGAGAGUGGGUUUAGUGAGUGUAGUGUGUGUAAUGAUGUAAGAGCACUUGUCUGGACAUGGGGGAAAGUGCUGGAGUUUUGGCAAAUUGUUCCCGGAUGUGUUUGGUGGGGGUUUUGGUGGGCGGUGUCUAGGUGUGAGGAGGGAAUGUGGAGCGAUUAGCGGCGGGAAGGGGCGCGAGGGAAGGAAAAUUGGAAAGCGAAGUAAACGGUAUUGAUGAGGACUGCAGGGAAGAAGGAACGAUGAAUUAAUUAUGGCAGUAAUGGUGGUGGCUUGUGACUUUCUCUUUUUGAGGUGGGGUAGAAUUUCUUUGAUUGAACCCUUUUUUUUUUUUUUUUUUUUGGAAAUGCUUGAUUGGACUUUGUGGUUGGGAGGUUUAAGAUUAAAGAAUGGUUUUCGCUACAUUUAUAAUUUUUUUAUUCUUCACUUUUAAAAUUGUUAAUUUUACCUUCCUUACAAAAUUAAUAAAUUUUGAUUCUAACCUAAAUUUUCAACUACUUUUUAGUUUGAAAUCACCACAUAAUCUACGUACAGUCAUAUUUUAUGUACAAAAAGACCAGAUUCCACUUUUUUUAGUGGCAAAAAUAGAUAUGAAUUAAAUUUGAUCUCACUUUUUUUAAGAAAAAAUUAAAUAACUACGAAUCAGAUCCUACUUUUUGAGAGAUAAAAAUAAGUAUGAAUUUGAUCAUUUGUUUAACUAUAAAUAAAUUCUAAUCUUUUCACCUCUAAAAAAAUGAUCAUGCAUGGGCUGUAUGAUGAAUUCAAAGUAAUAGUGGUCAAAAAUCUAAAUUAGGAUCAACUUGAUUUUGUAAUGGACAUAAAAUUACGAUUUUAAAAGUGAGUGAUGAAAAAAAUUCAUUUAAUGUAAUGUAAGGGGAUUCAGAACGAUUUUUUCUUUGUCUUUUGUCUGAGAUGGUAGGGAAAAAGAUAAAGGCGUAAAUUAGUGGUUGCUUUGUGAUUUCAUCUAAUGUAGUGAUGGCCCUGUUGACUUUGUUGGCAUAGUGAUAGGCAGGGACAAUGGAUCCAUAUGGGGUGUUUCCAAAGUUUAUUUUGCUGGUUGGAUUGAUAGGAGCUGAACGUUAUUCUUCAUUUAUUUGACAACAGCAUACGGUGGAUUUUUGAUAAACGAAUUGAGAAGUGUUUUUCGAGAGAGGCUGGGACAAUGGAUUUCCUUGCAUGAGGGGAAUUUGUUACGUAAACAUGCAUGUAUCAGUGCUAGAAAGGCAAAAAGUAGGACUGAUCUUCUUUUUCUUAUCAGGAAAAGAGAGUUAGUAGUAUAAUUUAGAUAAUUAAUAUAAUGUAUAAAUGUAUUAAUAUAAUGUAUAAAUGUAUAAUUAAUAUUAUGUAUAUUAAUAUAAAUGUAUAAAUCUAUUAUAAAUGUAUUAUAUUAUACAUAAUACAUAAUAUAAAUGUAUAUUAUAAAUAUACAUAAAUAUAUAUAAAUGUAUAAUUACAGAAUAUAUAUACAUAAAUGUAUAAUAUAUAUUAAAUGUAUAAUAUAUAAUAUAUAAUAUUUAUAUAAAUGUAUAAUUACAUAUUUUUAUUAUAUAUAAUUUAUAUAAUAAUAAUAUUUAUAUAAAUAUAUAAAAAUAUAUUUUAAAUACAGCAAAAUAUUUAUAAUAUGUAUAAAUAAAUAUAUAAUAUAUAAUAUACUUUAAUAUUAAUAUAAUUUAUAUAUAAUAUACGUAAUUGCAAUAUACACUUUAAUAUAUAUUAAUAUAUAUUGUAAAAAAAAUUGCAUAAAUAUAUUUAUAAAUUUAUAUAAAUAUAUAUAUAUAUAAAUAAAUGUAUUUAUAUAAAUAUAUAAUAUUUAUUUCAAUUGAUAUAAUAUAUAUAAUAUUAUACAUAAUUGAAAUAAAUAUAUUUAUAUUAAUAUUAUAUAUAUAUAGUAUACAUAAUUGAAAUAUACAUAUUAAAUAUGUAUAUUUGGAGUUGUUUUUGAUAUAUUGUUUGGAUAUAGUGUUUUUGGAGUUGUUUUUGAAAUAUACAUUUACUGUAGCAUUUGGAAUGUAAAAAACAGUUUUUCAAAAACAGAAGCAAAAACAAGGAAUCCAAACGAAGCCAUUAUUAUUUUGUCAACACAGGGAGUGUCCCAACCUUCGACCAGACUAAUUUUUCUGCGCUUGUGCACCCCGCCCUCAAAGAUACACAAGACAGUAGAAGGAGUCGAACCCGACCACACGAUGUCAGGAUCUAAUUAGGCGACCCCAGCACCAGCCGAUUCAAUCCCGAGGGCCUUUAGCUGCGUUAUUAGCUUAUCGAUAUAUAUAAGGGUACUAGAGGCUGCCAGGAGACCUACUAAAUGCUCAGCAUGUACUAAAAUAAGACACAAAGGCCAGUUUGUACGUGUAGGCGAAUUAAGUAGCUGAACCAAUGUUAAUCCCCCUCCACUUGUACAUUUGAAAUACCCCGUUGCAACUAAAACUAAUCAUUUGAAAUAGGGUGGGGUCAAAUCCACGCCCUGUUAAUCUAAAUUCACACCCCUAACAUUAAGAUUACAAUAAAUCCCAUAGGAGUUUAAUAAAAACUUUUUUUCAAUACAAAAUCUUGUCUUUCAUAUAACAAAAGAUGUUUAAAAAUCAAUUAUAAAAUUUAGUUAAUUGAAAGUGUUUGAUACCAUCAUCCUAAUUAUUGAUCCGGUAGUAUUUUCUAAAAUUAUAUUUCAAUCAACUUUGAAAUGCAACAUUUCAAAAGGUAAAAAUAUUUUCUGAACACAAUUAAAAAAAGAGAAAAUCUCUCAUGUCCUCUUACAUGAUAAAAAGGGAUAAAAACAUUCUCUCUACUAAAUAAGAAGAAAAAAAUAAAUGUCAUCAAAGUGAAUAAAAACAUCAGAAAUUUUAAGAUCAUUCACAAUGAUGUCAAUUUUAAAUCUAAAUUAGCACUGAAGAGGUGAUUUUUGGUGGGUGGUUGAACCGACCAAAAUCAGUCCCUUCUGAAGUGAGGUGAGGUGUAUCUGCUUAUCCGAAGUGUAAUGGUGGGGCUUCUCCCCUGAGAUCACUCCGACGAUCAAGUUAGUAUGAGAACGAGAAAAGGCAGUAGUCUGUAUGAAUGAACAGUGUGCUUAUUUGUUGGGUGUACGUGAGAGGUAUUUAUAGAGCGGGAGUGGAUGGCAGGACAGAGGGCUCAUGCUAGUGGGACCCAUGUUCUGCCAUUACGGCUCUGUUCCUUGCCAGGAGGUCUGACUCUGACACUGUAGCCGCCUGGGCAGGGUGAUGGGGAGUCCUGCGUAGUAGCCAUUAAGAGUAUCAGUGCUUUUCAGAUAAAGCACUGGUCCCUGAUGAUGUCAGCUGGCUUGACAUCAUCAGCGUACAGCCGAGGUGGAAGUCUGAGGUGCAGGGGUCAUCUAGGCAGUAGACCAGGGACUUGCCCGAGAUCAGGGGCCAUAUUCAACACGAGACCGUGCUCGUGUGAGGGAGGAAGUGAGAUCACCUCGGCAUUCCAUGAGGGCCGAGGUGAGCACCCUCAAGCACCAUCUAUUUUCAUAAAACAAAAGCUAAUUUUUUAUUAAGCAAGUUUCUACCAAACCACGAAAAUGCUAUGGAAUUUUUGAUCAAUUUAGUUAUAAGGGCGUGGAUUUAGAUUAUAAAGGUAUGGAUUUAGCCCACCUUUGAGAUAUUAUAUGUGAUGUUAAAAAUUCUUCUUGGUGUAUUAAUACUGUGACUAAUUUAAAGUGGAACAUUGUAUAUAUCAUGUAUUCUCGAAAGACAUGACUAAGGAACACUUCUAACGAACAUCGUUUACAUUUGUUGUUGUCGAGUGUUUAGAUAGAAGAUAAUCUGGAAAGUUCUGUUAGUAUAACAUCCAAGGUUUGUAAAAUCGGGAUCCUACGUAGGAUCGAUUUUAGUUUCACAGGAUCGGAUCGUAGGAUCGGAUCGUAGAAUCGUAAGAUCCUACCAAAAGCUCUUAAUUGCAAUUAAAGGUUGCAAUUCUUUGAUAAAUUACAAAUAUACCACAAAUAUUUUCAUUUAUUUGCAAAAUGGAGCUUCGUAUUUCACAAAUUUACAAAAAAUUGUAGGAUCGUACGAUCCUACGAUCCUAUACGAUCCUGAACGAUCCUGCACGAUCCUACACGAUCCUGCUACGAUUCUAUGCGAUCCUGCAAAAAAUUAAUAUGAUUUGCGACUCUGCAUACGAUCCGGAUCGAUUUUGGUUAUCCGGAUCGUAGGAUCGUACGAUCCUACGAUCCGGAUCGCGAUUUUGACAACUAUGAUAACAUCGUACUCCCUCCGUCCCGUUUUGUUAGUCUUGUUUUCCUUUUUUGUUUGUCUCAAAUUGUAGCCCACUUUCCCAUUAAGGAAUGUAGUAAUCUUUCAAAUGGUCUAAAAUACCCUUAUUAAAUAUCUUGUUAUUAAUACAUUGUUAUUAAAUACUAACCCACUACAUUGAAUACAUUGAGUUUUUCCAAUACAUAGAUAAAUGAAAAGUCUAUCUUUGUUAUUUAUUGGCACUAUUGGCGGUAAUUGAAACAAUCAGGGUGCACUAUUGGCGGUAACUGAUAUUUAUUGGCACCAUUAGCUGUAACUGAUAUUAAUUGGCACUCUUCGUGAUUAGCAUAAGGGUAUUUUAGGAAAUUAUUAAUCUAAAUGUAUGUUUCCAACCAAAUUAAUUAUAUUUUCUUAAUCUGUGUGAAAAAAAAAUCAAGACUAACAAAACGGGACGGAGGGAGUAAUUCUUUUUUUAUAACGUAAUGUAUAUAAGAAAAAACAUAUUCACGUACUUGACUACCUACCUCUUAUCAGGCCUAUCAUUGUACAAGUUAACUUGUCAAGCAAUUACACAAAUUCAACGAUUGGAUACCAAUGGAACCUGCUUGCUGAUCAUUCACACAAAAGGCAAAUACGAAAUUACAUUGUAUUAUAUCACCUUUACGAGCAAACAAUUACUCUACGUGGGAUUGCUAUUGGUAUAAUAAACUACCAAUAGUCAGAACAAAAUUUCUAUUACCCAUACCAUGCCACAAAACUCAUGUAUAAUUCUAUUGGAAUGACUUAAAAAAAAAAGGGAAUGAGAUUUAAAAAGUGAAAAGAAAAAAAGGAGAUUUAAAUUCAUAGAAUGUAGAUUCUGAAAUCUCAACAUUAGUCAUUAGACUUUCUUUUAACUUAGUUGGGAAUUGUUCAAAGCUCAAAACUGGCACCAAGCUCCCAAUAGCUGGCUCCAUUGCUAGCAUGCUUUCAGAAGGCUAUUCAAUUCCUCAAAAUUUUAGCAUAACAACGAUAAUUAAUUUUACUUGUUAUUGCCUCGGCCUUCAAUAUUUCAACCUUGUGCAUACCUCUCCAUUUGAUAUUUUAUCCAUGCUGGUCCUUUUGGUACCUUAAUCCUUUUUAAUGCAGAUCUGAUGGGCAAAUUUUAGUUGGCAUUUGAGAAGAUGGCAUUCUCCAACUCCUUUCUCUUUUUUUCCAAUUUCCUUCCAAUGAUUGCAGGGAAAAAAAAAUGAAGAAGCCUUAGAGAUGCAUCUCCUUUUUCGUUUGUAUUUGUCUUUCUGCAUAUGAUCUUUCAAGUUACAACCCUCUUGUUUCUUGAAAUAUUAUUGGGAACCAUCCACAAGCCUUCAAGAUUAUACCUUAGCUACGAUUCAUACGAAUUUUCCAGUGUAGUACUUUAGAUGCUGCUGUGACUGGAUUAUUCUUUCCUUUUAGUUCCUUUUUCCCAUCGGAAAUUAACUGUAACUGGAACUACGAACCGAAGCUGACACUUUUUUUUUUUUUUUUUUUUUUAAGGUUUCCUUUUCCGUCUUGCUACCCUUACCUGUAAGUUGUUAUGGUACAAAGGUCCCUUUUUGAGCUAAAUUUAACUACAAAAAAUUAAUAAGGAACCCUAAAAGGUUCUGGUAAAACCAAGAAGAAACAAAAGAUCUAUUUUCAAAUCUUUGAACCCACUUCCAAAAAAAAAAAAAAAAACAAAACUUUGAACCUAAAACUCCCAAACAAGAUAAAACUUCAAAGUCCUCAUUCCUCUUAUUUUCAUAGCACGCAAAACUGCGUAUUUUCCUAGCAAAACCCCGUAUAAUUAGAAAAGGAGUAAGAUUGACUGUGGGGAAACUCGACAUUCCCGAUGCAGGAAGAAAGAAAAUUGAAUGUCUUUUAUGGGUGCUGUGUUCCGUCUGUGGACGGGAACUAAAUUAAAGCCACUAGUCCACAGUCCAUGCACCGAAUCUUAAAGAGGUACCGACAAUUUGCCAUCCAGAUUGACAUUUUCGUGUCUUCAAAAAAAAAAAAAAAGAUUGACAUUUUCGUCUUGAUAAUAUGAAAAUCCCUUGUCAAAGUUCUUGCUAAUUACUCGUUUGGAAAUGGAAAGGAAUCGCGGUAAAACUUUAGUGCAAAUUCAAAGUGUACAUUUUUCACCCUGAAAGGAGUCUAUGGUCAUGAAUAGUUAAUGCUAACAACUAUAUAUAUAUAUAUAUACAUUGAUAGUGUAUAUAUUAUUACCGUUAGAUUCAUGACACAUGUACAAAAGUUAAAGUUCAAAUUCAAAUUUUGUAUAGUUAUCAUUCAUUCAAUACUGAUAAUAUAUACAUCGUUAGUGUAAAAAGUUUAAUCUUAUAUAUAUAUAUAUAAAACAAUGCCAACAACUAGUCUGACUCGAUUUUUAUUUUUGUCAAUGCCAAUUUGGCACGACCUCACUAAGCUCGUAUAACAAAUUAUGAAGUUGUCAAAGAGAAUUUGGUCUUGUUAUUGACUUUUUUGUAAUUCUAUCUUCUGCAUGACUUAAUAAUAUUACCUACUAGCUUAUGUGAUAUGUGCAAUUUUUUUUAAAAGUUUUCUAUAAAGAUAGACAUGGAACAAGGAGAUCACGGAGAUAAACUAGGAAAAGGCCGCCAACCCGCAGAUUUCUUCUAGGGUAAUCAAAGGUAUGUUCAAAGAAAGCUUUCCAUAUGGCAGAAACAGUAUAUGGCCUUUCAUGUGAAACUUGGGUUGGUUCUGAAAUCCAGAGCAAAGUUGACCUCUAUUUUGGCCACCCUGGUGAAAAAACUCUUUGUUGGAGGCCAAAUCUUGAAUAGUUCCACCAUUAUUAAUCACCAACUAUCCCAGGCUGAGUUUGAAGGAUUUAAUGAUCAUUUAAUCAAGAAUCAAUAAAAGAAACAAAAUUGAGCAAUUGUACACUUGAAAUAGUUAAAAAAUCAAGAACAUAGUGAUUUAAUCCGAAAAUAUUUUUAAACCACUUUUAAAGUACCUGUUGGAACAAUAAGACACGAAUGAUCAAUGAAUUAGUUCAUUAAUCUUUUCGAUCUCUAACAAAAUGACAUACGACUGAAGUCAUGCAAAGAGAAUUAAUAGAUUAACUAUAAGCUAAGCUCAAGAUACAAAUUAUUUGUAGCAAAUUUCUUUCCUUGAAAUCAGUUCAAAAAUAGAGAAAAAAAAACAACAAAAACUGGAGUCUAUCUUUUCCUAUAGGUUGGUUGGGUAAAAGGAAGUAGUAAAGCUUAGUACAUGCAUGCACCAUCACUAUACGUUGUCAAUCAUGAAACAGUGGCACUUCAAAGUUCAAAGGGACUGAUCUAAAAGAUUAUUGAUCAGACUGGGAAAGUUAUUUUCUUUUUCCAAUAGUUUCCUUUUAAAUAGAAGACAAUGCAUUGGCAAAUUUCACUUUUCCUUUCUUACAUACCACUCUCCAAAUGCCAAAUUUGAACGCAAACCUGGAAGGUGCCAUUUUUUGUUUUCCUUUUUUUGGCAACUAACAUUACUACUGACCAUGGAAUCCAAUACGCAGCCAGUGGAUUUCUUUGUACCAGCUUUAAGUGCUUUUUCAGACACUUUUAUCUAUAUGCCUCGGUAUGAUGAUGAAACUGUUACAAAAAUAAAACAUUUUGUACCGAACAAUUUUCUUGAACUACGUACUUCCCCGUCUGUGUGUGUUUUUUAUUUUAUUUUUUUUUUUUUUUGGGUUUUGGGAAGAUUUUUUUUUUUUUUCCCUUGAAACAUAUGAUACUAUGAGGAAAUCACAAUGGAUUGGGCGAGAAACAAUGUGAAUGAUUAAUCAGAUGUUUGCCAACCAAAGAUUGUUGCCCUAAACCUGGGCUGGCCCAUUACACAUUUCUCCUUUAAUCCUCAGCCCGCACUCGUGGCACUUUCUAGUCGUACAGAGUUGCUUGCUAGUUCUCCUGGAUGGAUGAAAAUGGAGUCUUCAACAGUACAUGCAAGCAACCCCAAAAAAAAGAAAAAGAACUGAUCUUGAAUCCUAGACUUCCAAUAUAAUUAAUUAUCUAUAUGCUGAAAAUUCACAGAUGAAUAUUUCUACGGGUGCCAAAAAACUAGUAUAUAGAUAAUGCUAUUUACGAGUUCCAAUUUGAGGAUUCCCAAGCAAAGACAUUAUUAGCAUUAGUACGUGGUUUUCUGCAUAUGUGGUCACUUGUUCAGGUAAAUGAUAUCUCCGUGUAACUCGCGACCAAGCCGGGGAACAAAGAGACAGCAUUUCACCUUAAUGGCUUGCAAAAUUAUAUUCAUGGUGGCAAGCAUCUUCUCUUCUACAUCCAUCCAUUUGAGUCUAUUCGAUCUAUGGACACUGAUUGAAGAUGUUCCUCAUAGCCAAGAGUGCAUAACAGUCAUAGAGAGAGGAAGCAUGACUGCAUAUCGAGCACAACUUCAAAUAGCUAGAUCCGUGACAAUAAGAUGCAUGGCUCUCGCUAAGAGAUUUGAUGCAAUGGCAUCUUCUCUUGUAGGGGAAGUGCAUGGACGAAAAAUUAAGUGAUGUCAAAAAUAGUAAUAAGACAGAUGUCCUCGUCACAACUUUCAAUUGUGAAAUAGUGAGAGUUAUGGUGUGAAUAUUAUAUCCAGCAUGUUAAUUGAUUUCAUAUAGACUUGAUCAUACCAAAAUUUUCUUGUCAAUAUAUAAAUGGUGAAUGACAAAUCAUGUGGACUAAUGCAGCCACCUUAAUGAAUUGGAACAUUUCUUUAGAUGGCAAUAUUGACUUUGUUGACAACUAAUUGAUUUUGUAUCAUACAUAGCUCCUUCAUUCACAUACUCUUAAGAGCAGCAGCCCAUCAAGGUGCAGGCGCUUAGCGACAAAAGGUAGAAAUGAUGUCUUGCACAUAACUGAUUCUUAACGUUGGAAAUCCGAGGAUUAAUUACUUUGCAAACUCAAAAAGGUCACCAAAGAUCUUUACGUGUAGAUCUUUACAUGUAUAGCAAGCUGUAGCAAUUUCCUAUUGGACUAAAUGAGAUAUCUAAGGAGGUGGUGCGUAUACUCUUGUCGCUGGGGACAAGUCACAGACCUUCGCUUUAUAUAAGAAAUCAAAUCAAUGUGCGACCACAGCAUAUGAAGGACCAUCAUUGAGGAGAAGGCAAAGGUUGGAUUAGUGUAUAGUGUAUUUGAUGAAGAUGACUUCCUGGACUGCUCUCUGCAGUGUAACAUCUUCCAACUUUAUAUUGUAAAACAUCUCUAUCAAAACCUCCUUUAAUAACGAAAGUAGAAGAGAGAGAGAUCAAUAUGUUCAGUUCUACAGUUAUCCUUUUGUUCCCUGUUUACACCUACACCUCAAUCAUCCAUCCAACCAUAAAUACAUAAAUGGUGAGAGAGAGAGAGAGGGAGAGGGAGAGAGAGAUGAUGAUGAAAGAGGAGGAAGCCCAUAUGACUUGACAAGGGCUCAAAGUUCUCGCUUCUCAGUUGGGAAACGAGCAACGCUGUGAAACAGCAAGAGAGAAAUUUGCUGUUACUUUGGUACACAAUUCUAUGUAUUUUUACCCCCCCAAUUCUCCCUCCUUUACUUAUACCUUGUCUCCUCCGUCCCUAAACAAGCCAAAUUUCAUAUCUUUCAACUCCACGUGUGGAGGGAGAGAACACACAACACAACUCUCUCUGCCUUCAAACUCAUCAGUCAUCACUACUCCUUGCUCUAUUAUCCCUUUCUCACUUGCUCUAUAGCCCUUUCUCGCCUAUUGUCAUACUAAUAUCCCAACAAAAUCCCACAAAAAUCCCAGAUUCUGAACCUUCUCAAAAUCCAUAUAUAAACAAAUAGUUUUGUUUAUUUGCCUAUUUCUUAUGACACAAACCUAAAAUCUGCCUUCCGACGACUUCUAUAAGUUCAUACCCAAUAGCUUAUCUCCAUGCAAAGAAUUCAUUGUUGUUCAAACAUUUCAUCAGGUGAGACUGAUGAGAUUGGCAGUUUGGAGGCUGAUGAUCAAGAUGAUGAUUCUUUAACUCUUCUUUCUCUUGCUCCUCCAGGCCAAAACAACACCUCAAAGAAUCUUCUGGACUGUAGUUUUGAGUACUCCUCAUGCCAACUACCUCAGGAUAACUAUCAACAAUGCCCUAGGACUAGUGCUGAAAAUGGUGUAACAGUGGCACUUCAUAUUGGUCUGCCUACUUCAGAAGCUAGCUCUACUAGUCAUGCUCAUAACUUUGGGGUUCUUCCUGAAGGACAAUACUGGAUUCCUACUCCAGCUCAAAUUCUUGUUGGCCCCACUCAGUUUUCUUGUCCUGUAUGCAACAAAACAUUUAACAGAUACAACAAUAUGCAGGUUAUGGAACUUCUAUGUAAUUCAUUUUCAGUUAUAAUGAGAUCCUAUCAAUGUUCUUCUUUCCCCUUAACUCUUGCAUGCAAAAAUAAACAAAACCUUCAGUAACAAUAGUGCUGCAACUUGCAACUAGUUGGUUGCUACAGUAGUAUGUAGACUUGUUUCGAGAUUUUUGUGGUGAUGAUGAAUAUUUUAUGUGGGCUUAGAUCAAUCUCUUGCAUAACUUUUCAUCCUCAUGAUCCUUCUGUAGAUGCAUAUGUGGGGGCAUGGAUCACAAUACAGAAAAGGGCCAGAAUCUUUAAGAGGGACAAAGCCAGCCUCAUCCAUGCUUAAACUUCCCUGUUACUGUUGUGCUGAGGGAUGCAAGAACAACAUAGAUCAUCCAAGAUCAAGGCCCUUGAAGGAUUUAGGACUCUUCAAACACACUACAAGAGAAAGCAUGGGACAAAGCCAUUUCAGUGCAGAAAAUGUGGGAAGCCAUUUGCGGUUAGAGGAGACUGGAGGACUCAUGAAAAGAAUUGUGGGAAGUUAUGGUUUUGUAUUUGUGGUUCUGAUUUUAAGCAUAAAAGAUCACUCAAAGACCAUAUUAGAGCUUUUGGAGAUGGCCAUGCAGCACAUAGUCAAGACUUGCGUGGAAUUGAAGAAUUAGUAGAAUUAGAAGAAGAUGAUGAAGAAGAAGAGGACAACUACUAAGUAGGGCUAGAUAGACUUAAUUUGUACCCUCGAAAAGUAUUGGGGGUUUUGUUAGUUUGUACCCUAAACAUUAGUAUCUACUAACUUAUGUUUGUUGUCAAUUGACCAGUUUUCGUACAUGAUUUGCACGUUUGUAGUAGGUAAUAAUAAAUUGCACAUUGGCUCUUGUCAAUUUUGACCAAUUUAUGAUAGGAUUUUUUCCUAGUUUUUCAAAACAAAUUGUACACUCAGUAAUAGAUUAGUGUUAAAGGAUUAAAAAACCUACCUUAACGUACAUAAUACACUAGCGUUGUUGAUUUGAGUAUUCAAUGGUCACAAAGAGAAGUUUAGGAGGGUGCAAACUGUGCAAAACUCGAUCUAAUACUGAAAAGGGACAAAGUGGUAUUGAUCAAAAAGAUCAAGAAGUGAUUAAUGUGUGAAGAAUAGAAUAGAAAUGUCGGAUAUGAUUCUGCCAAUGUACAUCCAUUUAUUACAUGUGAACCUUUAGUUGUAGUAGUGGUGGUAGGCUGCUGAAGUCUGAAUAGUGACUAUUUGGCUCUAUGCUUCUGAAUGUGUCUGCGGAUCUAUCAUCUAUGUGUUUGAGGGACUUGAGAGAAGAGAAAGAGAGAAAUAAAAGGGAGAGAAAAAGAUGAGGACAAACAGUAUAAUGAAAGGCACAGUUGCAUGGCAUUAAUGUUCGAAGUGCCAGUUCGAUUAUCUGAUUAAAGUUUGGUUCUUUUCUUUUUUUCCCCACUUUAUUUUUUUGGGCCUUCAGAGUCUGACAGGAGAGUAGAGACUGAGUCUGAGUUUUUUCUGAGGCUUUUGGUCUGAGGGCCUGAGGAGGGCUGAGCUUGGACUAGCACUACUAACACUUUGAUAGAGGCUUUUGUCAGAAGGUAACAAUGGACCACUGGAAGUUUUUCUUUUUGGGGUUUCACCCAAAGUAUUAACUUUCUACCUUUUGGGACGAAACAAACAGAUUUUCGUAAUAUGUUGCCAGAGCCCUGUUUUUGCCUUCUUUAAGUUUAAUAAUGUGGUUGCAUGGGCUCAUAUGCACUCUGAUACUAUAUGGGCUGCUCUCUCAGAUGUAUAUGUCAAGGAUGAGGUCCAUAUCCUGCACUGCAUGCCUUACUUUUCAACAGUUUCACCGUCUUAUCAGUAUUAUCGCUCUACUUUUUUGAUACAUUCAACUUUCUGUUUCCUGUUCUUUCAUUUUUACCCAUUUUUGAGCUGUAAUUGGUAUUCGUUUUUCUCCCUGGUUUGAGACUUAGGCCGCAUAAAACUGGUCCAUUAUCAUUGUUAAAGUUCACUAAUUUUUACUAGUUUCCUUGGCUUGUUAGAACAGCCGUGACAAUUUGCCGUACUUCUGAUUUUAUUUGUUCUUCUUGUUUUUGUGUGCAAGUGUGUCAACUUCAACACACAGACAAAUUCUGGAGUGAGGUUUUCUUAUUGGACAAUAAAUUCAGACUUACUUUUUUCUGAUCAAGAUUUGAUCAGAAUUCUCAGAUGAUGGUUCUAAUCAAAUUAUUUGGUUUGCUGCAGGGAUGCAUGUACUACAGUAUAGUACACAAAAAGUCUGCAUUAUAUGGCCCUUUGGGCUGUCAAGACGCGAACAUUUUAUUGUAAUGAAUAGGAGAAAUGUUUUUGAUCGGAGAAAGAAAAGAAAAAAAGAAAUUACUCUUGUAGGAAACUUUAGCACUGUAGCCUAACAUGUCCAAGAAUUCCUUCUUCUGUUUCAUUCUUUUUUAUACGGUUAGAUUGAAUAGUUGUCAAGCAAAAAGAAUAGUUGUUGGAAUCCCAUCUAAGGAAAAGGGAUGCCUGUAAUCACCUUUAAACAGAAAAAUAUCUGGCGUUUCUCCAACAUUUUAUGAAGCUUAACCAAAGAAGCAACGUGGUGGCCGGGCUUCCUUGUCCCAAGUUUGACCAGUUAAAAAAAAAAUAAAAGGAGAUCUAGAUUAUUUGCUGCAAUUUAAGUCUGAAUUGAUCCCAAGUUGUAUGUAGAAGUGGUCAGGGGUUCUGGGUUUUUAUUUUGAUUAUCGUUUUCUAGCAAUACUCUUGUUCUUUUUAACAAGCCCUUCUGGCAUGAUGGAAAAGAAUAGUUCCAAUGCAAAUUUCUCUCUAUUUUUUCAUGCAUGCAUGUGCGGAUUGCAAGGACAACUCCACCAAGACACCCUCACUUAGAAACAUUUCAUCGAAUGAUAGAAUCUACGAACAUGGCCUCUCUAUCUCUUUUUCUUCGUUUUCAUUUGAGUUAGGCACUCAACUCACAGCUAUACAUACACAUUUUAUUCCCAGUUUUGUCCUAUUACUUCAUGGACUUUCUUCUUUCUUUUUUUUCCCCACUUUUUUUGGUAAGUCAACAAAUUUCUGUUUUGCUGUUCUUCUAGAUGAUAAGGGAGAGAAAAAUAUGACAGUAAUUUCUUCAAAAUCCAAUUCUGACAAUAAAGAUGGGAGACAUAUGGUCAAUGAUGCUGGUAGGAGAGAAAAAAACCAUUCUAAGUAGUACAAACGAUAAACCAGUACAAGCAUUUAUUGGACAGCUCUUGCUGCCAAACUAAUUAAUGCUUGAAUAAUUGUGGCUAUUCCUUGGAUCAACCUCCCUAUCAAUCAGUGAAGUUAGGGAUGGUUGCCUGAGGCUCAGUAGCCUUAGCAGCAGCUGAUGGUUCAGCAGUAGCUGUUGGCAACACUGGCUUAACCACCAACUCAGCUGGCAAAUCCUUAAUUCCCUUUAAAUAAAAUGUAUAGAACAGCUUAAAUGGGAACACAAUCUGCUGCAGCUUCACCACACCCUGCACCCCCUCGAAUACUCCUGAUCCAGCGGUCACAGCCAGAUGUGUGUCCUCGUAAGUCAAAUAUGGCCCCUGGACUGAAUGUGACCGUAGUCACCAAAAUAGAAGCUGUAGAUAGCCUCAUAACGAUCACCUUUCUUCUCAGGAACAUGUUUAUCAGCACACAUAAUCCUGAUGUUAUGCCUAAUCUCUUCUGCAAAUCACCUGUGUAGAGCUUAUUGCUGAAUGGAACUAGAUCACCUAGAGAAUUUGCGUCCUUUUUGCUAAGUCUCAAGUAUGCUGGGCUGCCCCUGUCCCUUUCAUUAAUCUCAUACACAUAUAGUUCUUGAACUUUAGCUGAAUCACAAAGACAUGAUUUUGUGAUGAGCAAUAAUACAUCGUGAAUCAUGAAAUCCAACUAAUUUUAGCUAGUAGUUUCACUGACUACCUCAAAAUUACCGAUAUUACUAUGCCUAGCAAAUCUUUUAUUUCCAAGAACUCGUAUUCAUUUGCUUGGAGAAAGUAGAAUGCAUCUGAUGGACCAUUUUCCUAUGGUUUGACGACAAAAUACUAACUAACUCAUCGAAUCGAAAAAAGAUUUAUUGGUACAGGAAGUACUCACUUGGUUCUGGCUUUGGUUUGCCGAUGUUGAAGAAGAAUGCUUUUGUCGAGCAUCUUUGGAGGGUCUUCUGGCGGAGAAGGCUUGGUGGGUCGUCGAGAUCUGGACAGAUUUAGUUAAAAGUGGAUUUGAAAGCUUAAACGCAAGCUUGUCAUAAUGGAUUCGAUGUUGGAAAGUGAUUCAAGAUUGAAUAGUUUAAGGGAAGAAACUGGUUGAGAGAGCUUGUACUUGCCAUUGAUGAAGUGGAUGCUAAUGGUUAGGGUUGAUCUACGCAAAGUAUAGGUUCAAGAAACAUCCAUCCAGGGGAGCAAUGUGCCUUGAUUUAGAAAGGUAUGUAGCUGGAAGAUUCUGCACCGAUAAAUUAUGCACCAAUAUUAAACGCACGACUUGUAAUUCUGAUUGGUUUAAGGGUACCUAUUGAUGAGACAAUAUAGCUUAAUAGUUUUUUUUUUCUCUUUAAUGUGGAAACACAGGCUGGACUCGUAAAAGUAGUCAAAAGCGGUAGCUGUAGGUGUGGAAAUAAUUAGAAAUUGGAAGAUCAUGGAGGGGGAAAAGUAUGAAUGUAGCAGCAAAAGCCAUAUCAAUCAGAACCUUCACAACAAAAGACAUAUUUGUUAGGUAUCGAUGCUAAAAUCUUGAGCACUGUGCAGAAGCAACAUCAAUGUUUGUUAGGAUCAUCAGAUUAAAAUGUAUAUUAAAGAGCUACAAUUAUUCAAAUGAUUAAAUAGUACAAGAAAAGUUUUCUGUACAUAUAAAUCAUUACUGUUCGUUGCUAUGUAUAACAGCCUUAAGAAUUUCUCACAAAUUGCAAACAUUUCAUAUCCCAAUUUCACCAGCUCUGGCAAUGGCCAUUGACAUGCCGGUAACAAUGCUGUACCUUACUUUGACCAGGCAACAUAUCUGGUGAACGAUGUCCCGAUAAUUGCUUAGCUGCCAGCAAAGUUCUAUAAAUGGUGUUGAUGUGAUCAAAACUGGGAUCAUCACUUAAGGCCUAAUGCUUUUGCCAUCUCAGGGUUGUAUAUGAGAUCCAUGGAUCCCAAGUUAAUGGAGGAGCAGGAGUUUAUUUCCUCCAUUACAUGUAGAAGAAAUGAAGUGUGCAAAAUGAAUCAUGAGUGAUUCAUCUAAGCUUUUGUUAAGAUUUCUGCGCCAGUUUUUGUAAUCAAAAUUGUGUGCUCGAAUUGCGCAGCAGGGCUGCCAUCAGCUGUCAGGGUUGUCCAGUUAUCCUCCAUGUGAUACACUCCGUGUUUCCCAAUGUAAGAAUUGGUUCUGCAGUAAAUUUACAAAACAUAACAGGUAAGGAUUCAAUUCAAUAAAAUUUCACUUUACUGCAAAACACAAUCUAAAGUGAAAAUAUAUCAAGAUAGUGCCGGACUUGCUGAAUAAGCCAAGAUGACAAAGUAAUAGAAAUUAUGGCAAAAAUGUACCAAAAACCUUUCAGCAAGUCCAAAAGGAAGUGAGGAUUUCAUUCAAAAAUAACCUCGUUUAGCAUUUAUGAUCUUUCAAAUUUCCUAGCGAAGUACCGUCAUGGUAUCACCUGAUGUACACUAUCAUUCCUUAUGAAUCCAUAACGGUCUCCCUCUGAUUUCAGGACUUUUUACAUGCAUUUGCGAUGCCAUGAACAAGUUAAUUUAUUAUUAUUGUUGUUGUUGUGUAGUUGUUGUUAAUUAAGCAACAGCAAGUUAGUUCAAUAGGGGAAAAGGUUCAAUAUACUGGUCAAAGCACAUCCAACUGAAUACCAGUACUUGAAGGUACAUAUUGCUUUCUAACAAGGCAACCAUGCACAAGCUCUCCCAAGUAUUUCUUAAAUUAAAACUAUGUUUGUGAUGUAUCGACAGACAAAUAAUAGAAACUGGCCAUUUAAAAGCAUUAUCUACAUUAAAGAGGAAUAUGCUCACCAAUUGUGAAUGUUUGCCCUCAACCAUGAAGCCUGGCUUAUCAUUGCCUGCAAACAACCAAAACAAAAUAAAAGUUGGCAUAACUUUGAAAGUACAAGUAGAAUCCAAAGGAAAAGACAAAUCCAAGUUCAGUAAACUUGAAUUAUAUGUUAUACCAUCUCCAAGCAUAAAACUAGAAUAACAGAAACAAGUUUCCAUUCAAAGCAAGGACACAGCAUAGGAAAAAGACAUACUUCAGAGGCAAGACAUUCAGAAUAAUGAAAAUACAUAGCCUAUUAGAAGUUAUAAAGCAGAUCUAAGGUUUUAAGAUUAUUUUUUAUUUUUAGGUCAUAAUGUGCGGAAAGAAAAGUCAAGGUGUUAUUCUAACUUCUAAAGAUAAUUACUCUUAGAAGAAUAUAAAGCCAACCAUCUUGGCUUGACUCUCAGUCUCCCUACAAAUUGACACAACUUAGAUUCUCCAAAAUCAAUGGUAUGGAUACAUACUCCAUUAUUAUGUCAAUCAAAGAGUUAAAAAGAAAGAAGGAAAUGAUAGGACUUACUUUCUAUAUUUGAAAUAUGCAAAGGCAGAAAUAGCUCUCAGUUUAGAGUUACCAUUUAAGCAACCUAGACAUUUUCCAAAGAAAGAUUAAACAAGACAUUUAGUUUGGACAAAAGAGAUUACUUGAAAAGUUUAGAUCACAUGCAAAUGGAAAGUGCAACCGUAGAUUAAGAUGUACUAUGUUAAGCCAAUCUGCAUUAAUUGGCUUUAAAUAUAAUUCUAGACCACCUAAGGAGGUAUAGCACGGUGCUACCUGAAGAAAGGUGCCACCUCGUCGAUGUUAGAGGAUCUUGAAUUCACCAUAUCAUAUGAUUAUCAUGUUAACAGAACAACAUGUAAUUCACUGAAAUGACAGCUUAGCAAGACCAUUACUAGUCAUUGGUGAAGGCUGAAGCUAGUGCAGUUUUCUUUAGCGACUGUGACAAUUAUACUGAAAGGAUUAACACGAGGGACUACUCACGGUGGUGAAAUAUAAGUGGUUCAGAAUGAAAUACAUUCCCAACACCAUGUCCAACAAAACGGUCCACCACGCCGUAACCAAAUUUCUCAGCAUGCUCACUGCAACGAUAAUUAACAGAGUCCUUAGAGAAGGCAAAAUAUACUUUAAAUUAAAACAACUUUUGUUUUGAGAAAGAUUUGCUCAUAUUUGAACACCUUCUAGUCUAACUAUAGUAAAAGUACAAAAGGUGACACUUUGGAUAUGGACUGGACUUCAUGAGAAAAUGUGUCGGGAUAAAAAAAUAACAUUCUUUUUUUUUUUUUUUUUUGGUCAAAAAGGCAACCUAACAUUAUUCCCCAUUCUCCUAUGCUUCCUUUUGCAUUGUGUGGACUCUUGGGCCAAAAACUUAUCAAGCCAUUCUGGUUUUCAGAUUGUUUCAGAGUCCAGGAGUGGAGCAGAAACCCAUACUGGGGAUAUUAACUGCGGCCAUCUGGCCCACUGAAUUGACCUACGUAUCAAUUGUGGCCUGUAUUGUUCACCUAUCCAUUGAUUCGACCUACGUGUCAAUUGUGGCCUGUAUUUUUUGUAUUUCCCUCCACAAAAAAUACCUGAAAUAACUGUCCCUUUUGAGAAAAUAAAUACAAAAAACAAAAUAAAAAAAAAAAAUCUAAGAAACGGACGACGCCAUGAAAGAAAGCAACAGAGCGCAGUCCUAGGCUAGCCUAAAAUUGCUGAAACAAAAUCUUCAAAACAUAACUCUGAUGAUUUCUUUUGUUUCCCAAGCAUAAUUUUAGGUACUAAAAUUCCUCAUAGAUCCUCGAAACAAUCAUGGCUACGGUUGCCACCAGUGGGGUUGGAUUAAGUGGAGCAAGACUCCAUGCUUUCAACUCCAGCAAACCAUUUUCUCCAUUUCUUGGGAAGAAGCUCAAGAUUAAACCAAUUUCUGAGUCAAUUCAUCCAACAAAGUUUAACCAUGCAAAAUCCAGGAAUCUUCUUGUUUUAGCAUCUGGGGUGGAUUUAAUGAGCUUUGUCAACGAUCUUUUUGUUGGGGUUGGAGUUGGACUUCCAUGUACGGUCAUGGCGUGUGGUGAUAUAAUUUAUAGAAGUACACUUCCAAGCUCAAAUGGUCUCACAGUUACAGUUCCUGGGACGAUUUUAGCACUGGGUGCUUUGUCUUAUUUGUGGGCUACUCCUGGUGUUGCCCCUGGUUUUUUUGAUAUGUUUGUGCUUGCAUUUGUUGAAAGACUGAUUAGACCUACCUAUCGGAAGGUUAGUUGAUUGUCUGGUGAAUUUUUGAUUUUGUAAAGUUUUGAGGAUAAAAUCUUGGAAUUUGGAUAAUUUGAUUUUGUUUUGUGGUGGCAGGAAGAUUUUGUGCUUGGGAAGAAAUUAGGUGAAGGGUCUUUUGGUGUGGUUUAUAGAGCUUCAUGGGCUAAAAAGCCCUCCCCAAAGGUAAAUAUUUGACAGGAACUUGCUAGUAUCAAAGUUUUGUUUAUUGUUUAUGUUAUUUCAGCCCUUUCGGAUUUUUUCCCCUUUAUGUGCUUUGCAUGUAUUAUAGGGAAUAUUGUUGAGGUUAUGCUGGUCCCUACUUGAACUUUGAUGGAAUAUUUUCUUCCAUUCUUUUGCUCAAAUGCUCAGACUUUAUAUAGAACCUAAUCACAUGUACAUGUAUCAAGUUUUUUCCAAACUUUCUUGUCAAUCUGGAAUGAAUGUGUUAUUAGGCCACAGUUUGCAUUAAUAUUAGCUGAUAAAGAUAUCUAGAAGGCAUGUUUGCUAAUUGUUAUUGGUAGCGAUCCUAAAAUAACAAUAGUUGCUAUUGGUUGUCACUCAAAGGGUGGAGAGUUAGUCUUGAAAAAGGCUACUGAAUAUGGAGCAGUGGAGAUAUGGAUGAAUGAACGUUUGCGAAGGGCUUGUGCUAGUAGCUGUGCUGAUUUUGUGUAUGGCUUUCUCGAGGUGCUGCUCUCUUUGCCUAAUGUUGCUAAGUAUGAUUAUAGCAGAGAUAAUAAGACAGCUUCAAGCACAUAUCUAUAACUUUUGCAAAUUGGAUUCAGAGUUCUUCAAAGAAACAAGCUGAAUAUUGGCUUAUAUGGCGUUUUGAAGGGGAAGCCACACUUGCUGAUUUAAUGCAAAGUAGGGAGUUUCCUUACAAUGUUGGUACCACUUCUGUCUCACCUUAAUUCUAAAUCUGUGAUGCAGAACAAAUCUCCUUGAUGGAAUUUUCAAGUAGAUAUAUUAUGAUGUGGAAAUCAUCUGUUCCAUAUGUUAUCCAUUUUGAACAUCACUAUGACUUAUUAUGUGUAUUUGCUUAGGUGCAUAUUAGACGUGCACAAUUCCAUGAAGGCUCACGGUAGCAUAUUUAAGGACAUAGCUGCUGGCCUAAAAAAGUGCCAACUCUUUCGUUUUGUAACUUAUAUAUUCAAUUCAUGACAUGAAUUAUAUGUAUUGUUACAUAAUGACGUAGGCCAACCAUUGGACCAUAGCUGUGCUUAUUGUUCCAUAGUGUAAAGCCCUAAGAUAAUAGGAUUUCCCUCCAAACAUAGCUGUGCUUAUUGUUCCAAAGUGGUAGAGUAACUGAUUCUUAAUAGAAACAAUAAUGUUGUAUUGUGAGGACAGAAGAGAAUAAAACUGUACUCUCUUCAGGAAAAAUUUCAUAGAGCUUGCCUGCCAAAAGGAAAAAGAUUAUAGUUGUCCAUAUUAUGAUGAACUGGUAGGCAAACAAAGAUAUCAUUGGUAGCUCUCCAGGUACAGAGUAACAACGGUGGCCACAAGAACUUCUCAAAGUGACAAUUGUGUUGUCAGGACCAGAAGGGUGUCAAAAUACUAGCUGAGAUUGGUUUCUAUUGAUAGUCUUUAGCCUCUAUCCCAAGCUUUCAGUGAGUUGAAGGUGAAUUUGGCUACCUUUAUGAGUGAAACAGUAGAAAUAGAUUUCUAGAACUGCAAGAAAGAAGAAGAUUUACAAAGAAAAUCAGGAAUUACUGAAACAAGGAGCACAGAAAAGAAAACUUGGAAAUUGAAUGAGAAGUCAAAUAUUUGUUCAACUGAAAAGAAAUGUUUGCUAGUAGGAAAAUUCUUGUCCAAGAAUUAAGAAUCCGUUGUCCAGAUUUCCCCUUCUGGCACUCAAAGGGUAGAGCCUGUAGAUUGACUGCUGAAACUAUGAAUCCUGACUAGACACACAAGAUUAAGAUGGUGACCUCUCCAGCUUUGCUUCAGUUAGAUGCUCUAGAUUAGAAACUGAUUCCUUUUUCACAUGGCAAAGUGCUUCACGGGUGGAUUUCUGAGGUUGAAAACUUUUCCAGUAUAUCCAGGUCUUUGAGUCACUUUUGUUGUAAAAUAUGCCAAAUGAGUCCCCCCCCCCCUCCCCCUCUCCUGGAAAAGAAGUCCUAGUUGUUUAUCUCCCUUUAACCUAUAUUAGCAAUAGGUUGAUCUAACUAUGGUUUUGUGUUCAUUAUCUUGUCUAAAGAAAAGGUCAAUGCUUUUGUACACUUUUUGCAAUGAGUUGCUGAGACGGUCUCUAUAUGACAUAUAAGAUCAAAUUUACAUUUCUAGCCUCUUCUGCUAACCUUAAUGAAGUUUUCGCAAACUUAAAGGUGGAAGCACUGCUUCUCGGGGAGGUUAACAACUUGCCUAAGGCUCUAGAAAGGGAAAAUCAAAUUAUCCAGACUAUUUUGGGACAGAUCUUGUUUGCAUUAGAUGGUCUUCACUCAACCGGAAUUGUCCACAGAGAUAUUAAGCCACAGAACAUAAUUUUCACUGAAGGUGACUGUUUUGUGCCAACCUUACUUAUUAGCAGCUCGCUUAAACUCUCUCUCUAUUGUUUCUUUCAGUUUUUUUUCUUUUUCUUUUCAUUUUUCUUCAUUAAAUGUGAUGCAGGUUCUCGCACAUUCAAAAUCAUUGAUCUUGGAGCUGCUACAGAUUUAAGGGUGGGCAUCAAUUAUAUUCCUAAGGAGUUUCUGUUAGAUCCAAGGUAACUUUUCAGCUCAACAAAAAUCAAUCACUGCCAGGAGCAUGUUGGUUUCUUUUCUAUACACUAAAGUACUCAAACUUGCAAAUAGCUGCUGAUAAAGUACUAAAGUUUCUAGGACAGCCUAAUCUAAUGUCAUUAUCAAACCAAUAAGAAAGUAUCAGUUAGUUACUCAUGAGAAAUCCUGUAAAAUCCUGGAUAUUGACCCAAAUCCUUACCUGGGGUCAUCUACUCAAAUGUUACCUUUUUCAUUAGGAAAAGAAAAUUAUGUUGAGCAAAGUAUCAAUCAACUUCAGUUAUCUCAGAUCAAAAUGUGUAAUAGUCCUUCCCUACACCAAAAUUCAUCCCAGAAUUAGUGGCCAUCUUGGUUCUCUUAGUCAUGUGAAAAUGCUAGGAAAAAUUCACUGCAGGGAUGAGAGGGUUAGAAAAUGGAGCGCUACAAACCUCCACCCCUCCUUUCCCCAAAAACAACCUUUUUAGUCAUACAGGAAAUGUUCUUCGUAGAAAAAGCCAACCAACCAUCAAGUAUACUUUGUUUUUGGGAAGGGAAGAAGAAGAGGGAAGGAGCGAAUUUUUGGGCAAUGGAACAACUUUAAAGUUGACUUCUUUUGUACUUUUGGAAGUCCAUCACAAUUAAGAAUAUUUUUGUUUUCGAUUUCCCAUAAAUUGCAAUAUUAAAUAACCGUUCUUACGUGACUUUCAUAACCAUUUGGUAUCAGGCAGUAGAAGAGUGUAUUUCAUGCUAUGAACUGAUUUAGUUUCACAACCCCAUCGAGUUGAUUUUGUUCAAUACGAUCCACAAAUUUAAAUUAUCACCUCAAGGAGUCAAAUACAUAAUAUCUGAGUUGAAGUUGUAAUAAGUUAUUAUCCCAGUAACAGUUUCAUAUUUGGAAUAUACAUUGGGACUGAAAUCAUUAGGCUUUAUUUGAUCUCUUUACGGAUAUUCAUUGAGCAUUAUCCAGGCUAACAGGAGCUACUUUCUUGAUAGGCUCCAAGCAUCAAUCUAAUUCCAUCAAUUAGAUUCACAUGAUUCCAGACUUUGGUUUAUUUGCACAACAUUAUUAUUUCUCAUUUUCUCCAGGUAUGCUGCACCUGAGCAGUAUAUUAUGAGCACUCAAACACCCUCUGCACCUUCAGCUCCAGUUGCAACGGCACUAUCUCCUGUUUUAUGGCAGGUAUUGUGUCUUCUAUGAAUACUUUCAUCUUCACGCCACUUGAGGUUGAGCGAUACAUUUGACUUACCCCUAAACAACAAUGUCUGAGCAGCUAAAUUUACCAGAUCGCUUUGACAUCUACAGCGCCGGGCUCGUAUUUUUACAAAUGGUAAGUUAGCGAUACUAGUUAAUUAUGACUGUUUCUCCUGGAUGAUGUCCUAGGAAUGCAAGCAGUUACCUAUAGGAGAACAAUAUACUCUUUUCACGAGUAUAAAAAAUGGUCAAUAAGUAGUUGGAAUAUCCUUUGCUGAGAUUGUCAUUCUGUACUUAUUUUCACAUUGUCAUUGACUAACAAACUUCACCAUGUUUAAAAUUCAAACGGAAAAAAGAAAAAUCUUGGAAAGAAUUUUCUGUCUCUGUCUGCAUAUAACAAUGGCACAAAUAUAUGUAAAUGAUGUUUGAUAUUCCUUUUGAGGUUCUGCAUUUCAAAAUUUCCCUACAGAGAAGCUAACUCGAUCCCCAAGUGCGGCAUUGAAGUCUGAAACUAAUCAAGUAACACUAUGAUUGUGGUGAUUGAUAAUUACUGUUUUAUUGCAUUGGGUGUAGUGUUUGAUUGGCACUGCCUUAGUGACUCCCCCUUAUUGAUGAUGAGCUCAUUGCCUGCAGGCGUUCCCUGGACUACGAAACGACAAUAGUCUCAUACAAUUUAAACGUCAGCUAAAGCGAUGUGACUACGAUCUGGUUGCAUGGAGGAAUACAGUAGAACCACGUGCAAGCAAUGAGCUUAGAAGGGGCUUUGAGUUGUUAGAUCUGGAUGGUGGCAUUGGAUGGGAACUUUUAACAUCAAUGGUUCGGUAUAAGGCACGCCAAAGAGUCAGCGCAAAAGAAGCUUUAGCUCAUCCUUACUUUGAUAGAGAAGGCCUAUUGGCCAUGUCCUUUAUGCAGAACCUAAGGAUGCAAUAUUAUCGAGUGACACAACAAGACUAUAGUGAAGCUCUCAAGUGGGUUGUUCGGCUGAUGGCAAAGUCAGGAACAGAGCAGGACGGUGGCUUCACUGAAGCACAGCUUCAGGAGCUCAGGGUUUGUAUAUGCUAAACUGCAUAUUAUGGAUUUUAGAAAUAGUUACACUAUGAGUUACAACUCUCUAUCUGCUUUAUGCAGGAUAUACAACCUAAAAAGAAGUCGAGUGCGCAAAGGAAUGCUCUUGCAUCAGCUCUCAAGCUGCAGAGAAAAAUCAUAAGGACAUUAAAGGAGAGUGUUGAUGAACUUAAUCAAAGGCGAAAGAGCGUAUGGUGGAAUCGGUGGAUCCCAAGAGAGGAAUGAAAUUUGUAAAAAUAGUAAUUUACUUAUGCAUGUAAAUUAUUUUGCAGUCCUCAACCUUAACUUCUCUAGCGGAGUAAAUGAUGUCUAAUAGAGAGUAGAAAAGCAGAUUUUAUAUAAAAAGUAAUGUACAUCAUUCCACUCACACUCGGAUUAAUCCUCUUGUAUGAUAGGAGACGUAUAAAAGAAAAUUUACAGAUAAUCGAUUGUCCCUUCAGUUUUCUGAUUCUGAAUUUCAUACCAUUAUCCUCAGGCAUGCAGAAACACACAUUAACGAAGGCCAAAGAUCAUUCCUGUUGCAUUAUUGUGAGGUUGGUUCUUCUUCCAUGAAGCUGCUUAAUUCAGCCCUUCAUUUCACUUUCUCAAUUUAUUCCUUUUGUAGUAACAUGGAUACGUAGUUCGUUGGAGCUACAAAAAUAGGCAUAUAGAUAGCAUGAUAAUUGACUAAUUAUUUCUGUCUUCCUCACUGGAAUGAAGAUUGUAAGUGGCUAUAAUACGUGUGCAUUCAUCAUUUCCAUAUCCAUCGAAUGGAGUUAGUAGGAAAUGGAACAUCAUAUACAUAGUUUUUUCUUCUUUAAUUUCCUUAACAUUUCUCUUAUUUGCCUCCUUUUCCUAAUCUUGCUUUUCUAUUAGUACUAGUAAUUUCAUCUUGCUUAAUUUGGUGUGUUCGGAAACAAAAAUUUUUCAAAUAUAAUUUUAUUUGUGUCAUAAAAACAUUCUUCAACCACGUUUUUAUAUUUUCAAUUAUCUUUUUAUCUCACAUACAUCAUAUCAAAAAAAGUGCUAUAGCGAUCUUUCUAAAUAAUAUUUUAAGCAAUCUGCCAUCCAAACACACUACGGUAAUUUCAGUUCUGCCACGCUCCAUAAUGCUCAAUUAAAAAUCCUUUCCGGAUCUCAAGGUUUUCACAGCAUACCUGGGAUAUUUCCAGGCAAAAACUGUUAAGGAUGACGAUGAGCCAUGUUAUGGCAUGAGACCUAUCAUUGUGCCAACAAUGUAUUGACCCGUUGUGCUGGAUACGUAUGAGAGUUUCAGAGCUGUGAUAUACAAGUCGGAAUAAUUACAUAUCUAAGCUAAAACUUUAGGAUGAUAAAUGCGUAAAAAAAUAAAAAGGAUAAUGAAUAAGUCAAGCUAAUUCUCUGUUCAUGUUGUGUUCCCUACCCAUAGAGGAUAUAGGGCUUGUUUUCAAAUGAUUCUAAGUAAAUUAAAACAAGAAGAUAAAUGUUUUUAGCUUCUGAUCUGAUUCGAAUUAUGAAAAUCAGAAGCAUCUGUGAGAACUUAUCUACAAAGUUUGAGGUUCUCUGCAGAGCUGACGACUUCAUCCCCGAACUUACAUGGCAAUUCAUGGCUAAGUAAAACUUAAAACUGAGGCCAACGGUGACGGCCAGAUAACCAAAAAUUGGUCUCGUUGUUAGUUGAAAACAUUGGAAGCAAUUCUGACAUGCUUAGGAUAAGUAAUUAUUGUUCGUACAGUUAAUUAACUGUCAUCAACUCACUAUCAAGAAAGAAACCCUUCAGUCCCCACCAUCAUCCUACCUUCCUUCCUCUCCUGAGGGAACUCCAUUUAUGGAGAUUUGAUACGCCCGUAAGAAUACAACUCAUGCACUACUAUGCUUCUUACUACUGAUAUUAUUACCCAUUCGUGCUGGCUUAUGGCAGUUGACACCACAAUUAGGCUACUUAACAUAUUCAAAUCUGCAGAAGUAGCGUCAUCAAUAACUAAUUUACAACUAAGCACUAUUGCUUUGCGGAUGAACUAGCUUUUAAAUAAUUUAGGUGAAUAUACCUACCUAUAUAGAGUUCAAACGUUGGUGGCAGCAAUAAUUAACGAUUAGUAGCAUAAGAUGAUGUCGAGAAUAGCAGGAACAACAACCGUAUCAACCAUGAGAGCUUCACGUGUGACCUGACCUUCUUGUUCAGGCACACAAAAGUCCACUUUUUCAGCCCUUGACAGUACAACACACACCCCACCAUAGUCACUUCAAAGUAAGCCUGGAAGACUCGGAUUAUGGCAUAGUACAAGUUUCUUAAUCAGCACUGUCCCCCUCAGACUUGUUUUCUUUCUUUUAUUGAUAUUUUCCCCUUACCCAAUGUGGUUUUUGGGUCAUAGCCCAUCGUAUGAUUUUAUUGGCAUUUCAAAGUUUUGAUUAGCUUUGGAUAUUUCAUGGUUCAUGAUCAUUUGUUGUUUUAUGCGUGCAUAGAACAAUGACUAUAGCUUACUGAGUCAUCCUGCAUCUAUUUUAAGGACCUGCACAUUGCUUUAUCAUGAGCUAUGGAGCUUGGACUCAAUGUAUCAUGAUUUAACCUUGACUCAGACAUAAUGAAAAUCCAUCAUGGCGGACGAAUUCCCCAUAAGUUAGGUCCAUCUACACGCUUAACAUAAGAUUUGAAAGGAAAAAUUCUUCACUAUGUAAUUGCUAUCAUGCAUUCAAACUCAUCAGUAGAAGAAACGUUUUUCUAUGGCAUACCCUAGUAUCCACUAAAGGAAAGAGCGAAAAAAAAAAAAAAAAAGAGAGAGAAAGAAAAACCAUGUAUUACAAUUAGUUCAAGCUGACUAGAAAAACCAAUAAAACUUUAAUGUCCUAGUCAAGGAGUUGGAGUGUGAAGUGUUACAUUACGUUAUGUAAUUACUUUAUACUCCCUCUCUUUUUUUAUAACUGACGUUUAAGAAAUUUGCUUUUAAGUACUUUUAUCUGUCGUUGUAUUAUCCACAUGCAGCAUUAAUUAUUUUUUCACAAUUUUGCCCUUUUAUCUCUCUUUAUCAAUACAGGACUCUUAAUUACCACUCCUAGUAAUUAUUACUUCUCUCUUUGCUUUUGGCCUAAUAAAACAGCAUCAUUUAAUACUCUAGUGAGAGAAAACAUGAGUGAAUUGGACAAUUAAUGAGGGUACAAAAGGAAAGUAGUGUAUAGAUUUAAACAAUGAAAAACUUUUCUUAAUUGGUGUGCAAAACCUUAAACGUCAGUUAUAAAAAAAGGGAGGGAGUAUAAUGAAGUGUCAUGCGUUAUAUUAUGUUGUUGCUUAAUACCUUUCUUUAUAUCGAGUGAUGAGUUUGAAUUGAAGACAGCUUACGUGAGCUCAGAAACUGAGAAUGGCAGCUUCAAAACUGCUCAAAAGAAAGAACCCCCAAAAAAAGAAAGUAAAAAAAAAUCUUAAAUCAAUAGUUUAUUAGAACUUUAGGUUACUGAAAGCUGGUGUCCUUAGUGAAAUGGGAGGAACACGAGAUAAAGCAAGUGGGUUGGCUUUGCUUGGUAACCUGAUCAUCAAGAUUAAAUUAACCAUUCACUUAAUCGAAUUUUGUGCUGUUUCCCCACUAGAUUUCAGCAAGAAAGGAGUAGUAGAAAAUUCAGCUAUGGUCAUUGCUUGGAAAUGUGGUUUCUUGGGUUCUUAAAUGCUGGUGCAAUAAAAGAGAAUAUGGCGGGGUAAUUGAAGGCUCACGUGAGGCUUAGUUUGACCGUUAUUUUGAUCCGAUUCCCUCGACAAGUAGCGUAAAAAUUCUCGUAAUUAAGCCAAAAUAUGCAGGGCAUACGAUGUUGAAACUUCCUUCCAUUUUUGCAAUUUAAUUCUCUCAAGCAUAUCUUUCUUUGAUCCCUUUUGGUUUUCAAUGUCAUUUUCAGAAUUUUCUAGCACAAAACUUUUUAUGGGUUCUUUGCCUUCAAUUUAUUUUGACAAAUUAUGACAAAAUGUUUCCUACAAAAAAUUCAAUGUCAUUUUACUUUGAGCAGAGUGAUUUCCAUUGGAAUUGUUGAAGACGAUCCUGCAAAGUAAAACGGUGACAAGGCAUCUUCAUUCAGCAAGUUCUUUAAAUUUCUCAUUCAGGAUGUUUUUUUGAUACCCUUAGCUUAGUAGGGUAAAUGCUUUAAUGCCAAUCCGAAUUUACUGAUACUCGUUGUGGCAGUCAACCUAAGAUGACUGAACCCAGAUAUGAUUUCUCCUGUUAAAGAUAUUAUUACAAAAAAAAAAAAAAAAUUCUCAAUAAAAUUGAUUCGUUCUUGGGUCAAUUCAAACUUUUAUUGUUUGCAUGGCAUGCCAACUGUAAGUUUAGUGCUUCAAGAAAAAAGAAAAAUGGAAAUCAAAACUUUGAAUAUAACACUUUGUAUAUCAGUGAUCACUAUAGUGACCCCUACUGAUACAGAAGGCAGAAUUCCUGGAAAAAAUGUUGCCUUGAAGCCGCCACUGCACCCCAUUGUCAUACAUACUGUCUCAGUAACUCCCAGUUAUACAAAGCAAAUACGGGAACUGUUGACUUGAAGUUGCAACCGCACCCCAUUAUCAUACCGAAUUGUCCCAUAUGAAUAAUGCUGAUGGAAAUUUUGCUGGAUUAGAUUGGGAUAAUUCAUUAUAGUAGGCUCUAUUAGGUGGUGCUUUACUUUACAUGUACGUUAGUUAAAAUGGGCAUUUUUUAGUAGGAUCCAACUGAGACCCUCACUUUGUCUGUUUAGGUGGAUCCGACUCAAAUAAGACAUGAACUUAAAUGAGUGUACCAGAAAUAUGCAGGAGAAGGGUCAUUUUGACCAAAAUUAUCACCUCAUCAUCAACACUAUUGCAAGGCAGCUCAUAAACUAAGGAAUUGUGCUACCUUAUUGAAGUAAUGGCUGACCCCUUAUGUUGGUAGGUGAUGCAUGAUAACCAGAGUUGUAUAUAGAGAAUGACAUGGCACUAUGGCAUUGAAUCUACACUUGUACAAAUAUGCAUUAGUAGCGGUAUUUAUUUACUCACUAGUGUUUGAAUAAUUUUAAUCUUUAUUUUUUUUUUCCCCUCCAUGUUGGGGGUUUAUAGCAUGGAAUCCCAAGUGGGUAUGGGACCCUUAUGGUACUGUCUGGUGAGCUAGGGGGCACUGCACACCCCUUGAUGCCCCAUAGUUGGCUCUUUACUCGACCGAGGCAAGUUUGGGCCACACUUGAAACUCCUUAUAUAAAGAGCCCUUCUUGCUCUUUGUUCAUCACUUCAAUUUCAGCAACUUCUUCAUUCAUCACUUGUGAGUUUACCUGCACCAAAGCACAAAGAAGAAAAAAGAACACUUCUUGCAAACUAUUGUAGAGAAGAUGAAGAUGAGCAGCACAAACAUGGGAAGCUCCAAGAGAAGAAUUUCAAGCAGAGGACUAGGAGGGGUCCUAAGAGAGCAAAGGGCUAGGCUUUACAUAAUCAGAAGAUGUGUGGUCAUGCAGCUUUGCUGGCAUGAAUGAAGAGUAUCUUUCUAGUUCUAUCUAGCCUUCAAUAAGAAGGGAUGCUUGUUUCUUUCUUCUUCUUCUUCUUUGAUCAUCUUGGGGAGUGUAAAUAGCAAAGGCCGAGAUUAGUGAGAAAGAAGUUAACAAUUUUGUACUAAUUAUUAAUUGGCUUUAUGAGCCCUCGUGUGUAUACAGUCGGAUAGCUUAAUGGAUUGAAAAAAUCAUCUUUAUCAAUUCAUUGAGUCUUAGUAAUUCUUUUCAUUUCCAUUCAUAUUCUCUCCUUUGAUAUUGUGUGUUAUCAUUUCUGCUGUGGAUUUUUGAAGAUGGAGGACUAGCUAGUUCAUCAGCCAAACUUAAUCAAGCUUUUGCAGGAUGAGGACAUGCCCACAAAAUUGGGUAGCUGAAGUCUAAUUCACAUUAAUCUUUACCUUCUGGUGAUCGGCUAAUCAUCCUUAUGUGAUCAUUUCUUUCAUCAGUCCUCAUGGAGGUUGACUAGUUUAUUAUCCUCACAAUAGUUCGCAUUCAUCACGGUCCUCAACGUACACAAAAAACAAUGAAGAUAAUGAAUGCUUGGAUAUUUAAGCAAUAGGGAACUGGUGAUGAACGAGUUGGGAAGAUGUAUGAUUGGAUUCUUUAGUGCUAGCUCAAAGUUCAUAUCAACUUCAAUUUGCAGAUUUUUCUACUUGUAUUUUCUUUCCUGAAUUAUUCGAAUAUCUGGAUCCCCAGAUUCAGAAUCAGAUGAGCAGGACUUCUAAGUUUCUUCCCAGAAAUUAAAAUUCAAAAAUCCAGCUCUUUGGAAGACUUUUUUUUAUUUCGUUUUAUUUUGGUAUUGGCAUUGGAUUGUUUUCUUUCCUGCAAGAAGUAGUACUAGUACUUCCCUGUUGUCCAAAUUUAGAAGCUACCUAAGCCAUCCCACAAGUACCAGAGAAAACAGGGGUGGAAAAAUUUGUAGUCGUUUUAUUAGGCUUAGCCAGUCAGGUUAUAGCAGAUACGAUACAUAUUACACUUAAUUUUGCAGGCUUUUUUUUUUUUUUCAGAAAAAAAAAGUAGUUGAUAUUUCUAGAUUUAUGCUCUUUAUUUCUGCGCAUAAACUUGAAUUAAACUCUUGACUGGUGCAAACAAGAAAGGGAAAAAAAAUAUAUAGAUUAUCUUUAAUUAGGAGAAUAAUGACUAAACCUUUUUUUCUUUAUAUAUAGAUUUUGAGGGAAUUAUUAUGUUAGCAAAAACCUAGAAAUAGUAGUAUUAUUUCCUGCUGUUUUAACACUUUCUGAUUAUCAUGUAGGCCCUAUAAUCAUUUAAAGUGAUAAAUGCUGUGAUCUUACUUUCCUAGUUUCCAAUCCAGUCAAACUAUUUACAAACUUUUUGUACUCUCAGGAAAGCAGGUCCAAAAAAGAGACAGUAGCAUCUUACUGCAAAGCAUUAUGUUAUUACUUGUUACAUACUUAAUUAACGAUUUUGAUUGUCGUCUUGUGAAUUGCAGGUGCAACAAGAAAUUGACUUAAGACACUAAUUGAUAUAUUUCAUCUGUUUCUUUUGUCUGCUUUUGAUAAUUGAGGGUUUGGUGGCUACAAAUUAAACAUGAAAAUUUAGCUAAUUAAGCUUUUAAUAAUAAUUAAGUUGGAGACUAGUUAGUUUGUGACAACGUAUUGUCUUGAUCAUCUUGUCUUCAACCAAACCUGCAUUAGCGAAUUUCAAAGUAUUCUAGUCGAAGAAAGAGAUGUUGGCCCAACCAGACAACGCCACUGACCCUUAUGUUAAAUCCUGUGAUUAAUGAUUAUCCUAUCCAAGGGACAUUGGAGUCUAACCUUCAUUUCAUUAACAAUUUGUGGGUAAUUAAGGGACUCCAACCUAAUAUUUACAUGUGCCAUGCAUAUUUAUUUAAACUGAAUUAUUAAGUAGUAGUAGAAUUGAAAUAAUAGCACAUAAACUUAAUUAGGAUAAACAGUCAGAUAUUAACACUUCAAACUAUGCUGAACUAGAAUAAUCUUCUUGGAAGGUACUAUUCAUUAUUCUCUUUUUCUUUUCUUUUUUUUUUUCCAUUUUCUCCCAAUUAUUCAGCUAGAGUUGGGCCAACAGGCGCCUAACAACAAAAAGAAAAACUAGUGCCAGAACCAGGCUGCGGCAAAAAACAAGAUAGGAUAAAAAGGAGCAAAAUAUUUGUAUUUUAGUGAUCGUGAGGUACCACAAUAUUUAGUUGUUCUAGUUGAAUUAAAACUUAGGUGAUAGUGACGAACUAAAAAUAAUGGAUAUCAAUUGUCCUCUUUGUUUAAUUUUUAGUAACAUUAUACACAAAGUCUAAAUUUCAAUCUGCAAAUUUACUAUUAAAAACUUGAUAUUUAUAAAUCAAAAAAAUAAUUUUUUUUUAAAUAGCGCGUGAGUGAGAGGGUUCGAAUUCAAAAUCUCACAUUUGCACUCUUUUAUUUUUAAAUAAAAGAGUGCUCUAUAUAUUAUCAAGAAACGUGCCAUCUAAAAACAUGCAACAUAAGAAAUAUCGCUCAUCUUCUGUUUAUUGGAUGCCAAAUCAAUUAAAUGCCGAAUCAAAUUUUGAUGUAAGAUGGUUGAUGUUUCAUGUUUCUUGAAGAGAUUUAUGAUUAAAACGUCAACUUUUAUGCUUAAAUUCAUCUGGAAUCAAACUUACAGCGCGAAGCUUACUGCGUUUGCCAUUCAAUUCUUGCGGCAUCAACAUGAUCUGAUCUGCGAUCAUGUUACUAAAACUGUUCUUUUCUUCUUUCCCCUUCAAAAGAAAAACGAUCAUGCACAGAAAGAAAAGGUGAACCGGAAAAAUCAAACAAAAGUGCUGUACAAGAAAGAAAAAAUAAAUAAUGGCAAAUGGGGUGAAGGAGUUGAAACAGUUAAAAGUCCAAAACUGAAGUGGGGCAAAGAUUGUCAGGCUGCACAGGAGCUGAAUCGCUAAUCUAAUAUUCUGCUGUCGGCCACAUAACAAUUGCCAUCUCAUCUCGUCUCAGCUAAGCCAAAAUUGAGGUGAGCUCAAGAAAUGGAAGUGAUGGAGCCAACCCCCGACACAAUAUGUGAUCAGUCAAAAUGGCAGCCUUAUCCACCCCCACGUGCAUUUUCUUAUCUUCAACCCCACCACCACCACCAUCCCAGCCCAUGAGGCAACCACCACCACCACCUCCACCUCCACAACGACCAUGACCUCCCUCCCCUUUCAAACCCCCCCAGUCCCCACUCCCUGUGAUUCUUUUCUAAUCAUCAAAAAAAUCCCCAUCAAAGUGGUCCGCCCGCCUACCCCUCCCUAGGCAUAUAGAUUCUUCCUAUGUAGUACUCGUAUACUUACUUCCAGUAUGGACUUGGACUAACAUGCAUACAUCAUCACUGCUGAAAAAUUUAACCGAUAUAUCUUCAAAAAAAAAAGAAAGAAAGAGAGGAACGUAAAACUUGUUUCAAGAUUCAGAUCAACUGCUAUAUGCAUGUAUAUAUGUAUGUUUGUGUGUGUAUAUAUAUAUCUUCUUGUACUUGGGAUGCAAUAGACGUUCAAUGCCAAUAUCUGACUAAGAUAAUUCAUAUCUCCUUCGUUACGUACGCUUGAAUGGAUGGUUGGCUUUGCAAUGGAUGAUAUAUCUCCCAGUUUUGGGGUCUAAUCUUAGCACCCGCCAAGCAUAUAUGCUCGCCCGUUUGUAGAUACAUCUGGGUGAAUUGAUGCGUAGUUUUGGUAGGUAAGGUGAGUCAGAGUUGAUAAGAACAGCUGACUAACGAGUAACUGGGUGGAAUCAUAAUUUACGUAAAUUAAAUGGGUCAGAAAGGCAAUUAUAUGAUAGGUCUACGCGUGUCAAUAUUUCUUCCCCUCCCAUGCGGCCCUUUGGCAUAGAUGCAAAGGAAGUGGAAAGCCUGGAAGGGGUUUCGUUAAGCUAGGGGCGGAGCCAGGAAAAAAUCCUAGUGGGGGCAAAAAUAAUACUAAAAUUUUUUAUUUACUCUUUUUCUAAUUUUUUAAGCAAAAAAAAAAAAAAGUUUCAGGCAUAAAAACACCGUUUCACAAGUUAAAAUAUUUAUCAAAUAACUCAUUUAUUAGUUAUUACAUUAACUAAUCAAUUUUCAAAUUUCUUUAAAACAGUAAUAGUCUCAUGCUCUAGAAAUAUAUUUGCAAACAAAUUUAAAAUAAUAAUAAUAAUAAGUAAUUGUUUAGAACCUGAUUUUGGUGGUCUCCUAAAGUUGGUGAAAAGAGUUGCAAAAUGUGGCGGACCCAAGUCCUAAAAGAUCAAUUGAUUUUGGUGCAAUCUCUAAAUAGAAUGAAGUGAUCAAAAGAAAGAGUAACAAACUUUGGUUGUGGAAAAAAAAAAUGGCUCUCCCGUGUAUGUUGGGGAGUGGGGACAACCAAGAGUCAGAUAAAGAAAGGGAAAUUGGGGAGUGGGGGCAAAGGAAGUAAAUGAUAAUUGGAUGAAGUGAUAAAAAGAAAAAAAUAGUUGGCUUGGAUGUGGAAGAAGAGGAGCCAGUUGUGAAGGGAAAUGGGGGACCACAGGAGUAAAGGGAACUUGGAGAGUGCGGACCAAAAGGAAUGACUGAUAUAAUUGGUACUUCGCCCUGUUGGUGGGAAAAUGAGAACUAGAGGAGGAAAAUGAAUGAUAUAAAUUUUGUGAUCUAUUCUUUCACAUUUUUUCUAAAAAAAAUUCUGGAAGCACCUUUAAAAUUAUGUCAAAAUUAUAGAUGUAUUAUAGGAAUUUAAGGGGAGCAGUGGGGCCGGUGCCCCCACUUUAAAUCCGCCCCUUGAGCUUAGAACCUUGGAAGGCUUUGGUGGGCAUCAUCACUUGAACUCAUUUCUCAAUUGUUUCUGUCAAUUGUGCCCGCAAUUAUUCGUUGUGAGAAAGUGAUUACAGAUGGGAGCAGUGGGCGCUUUCAUGCUAAAAGAAUGUGCUUUUGUCCACCUCCGAAACACCCCCCCCACCCCCUCCCAAAACCCCCAACCCUACAGCAAUUACCUCUGACUUGAAUAUAAAUUUAAAUCUAACAAAGAAAAUGAAGAAAAAAGGGGUUUAUGUGAUAAAUUUCUCGUAAUAAAGACGUGAUUACCUUUUUGCUGGUUAGAUUACGUUUGAUCGUUAGUCAUGAGGAUAGUUUGUAGGUAGGUUUCAUCAACGUAAAGGGUGAUUUGUUACUUACCUCUAAUGAGAGGGGGGUAAUUGAAAUUUAGCCUGGAAUGAAAGGAAGGAGAAAUCAAUCAUGCAGAGUCUAUAUAUCUUUUGAAUUUUUUAUUCUUGUGAGAGGAUUUAAUAUUGAGAAUCGAGAGGCCAAUGCAUUGCGAUAGAAACAAGAGAAGAAGAAGCCAGAAGUGGUCCAUUUCCACAUGGAUUAAUUUAACUCUUUCGGACUUGUGGCAUUAGGGGUUCAGCCUAGAUGGUGUCUUAUUGGGACACAGCCACUCAUGCAGCUCUGCAUUGCUUCUUUUUCUUUUGGUGCUUUGAACUUUGAAGGCUUGCCUGCUUCAUGAUGGUCAAGAAACUAAACUAUAGAUGUAAAAAAAAAAAAAACACACUCUUUUUUUCUUUCCAACCUCAAUGUCCUCCCUGUCCACCUCCAAUAAUAUAUCUAUCCAAAUCGAUCUGUGUGGAUGAUUGCUGAGAAUAGUAACCUUUUGCAUGCAAUUAUAUGAUCAAGCGUCUGCGUGUACAUGUGUGAAUUAACUGUGCUGUAGGAUUCGGCCGCGAAGAUAUAUGACAAAGUUUUGCAAGAUUCAAACGACUCAUGAUUUGAAGUUAGAGUAACAAUCAAUACGAAAAUGAGGGGAAAAAAAUGUUAUUGCAUGAUUACGAGUAUUGAAUUUACGUGACAAGAUCCAAUUCACAGGGUCCCUCCAUUGUGAUGAAAACAUUGCAUUUCACCUACAUUUGCUACCAUUUGACAUCUACUCCUAACUCUUCUGCCCGGUGGCGGAGGGAGGGGGGGAGUGACUAGCAAUAACUUUGUUUUUGCUCAUAAUAUUUUAUAGAUUUUUUUUUUUUUUUGGUAAUUUUCUUUUAACUUGUCCUCCCUCCGAGUCCGCAGGUAUUGUUUACCUUACAUGAUCUCUUGCCUUCUUCCCCUCCUCCUGUAACUUGACUUUUUGCCUAAAAAAUGUUAUGGUCCUUCUCUUCUUUAAAUUGCUGCCCAAAGUAAAACAUACUUAUUAUGUCAAAGAAAUCCUUGCUAAUUGGAGUAUAUCUUUUUGUGCAUGUAUUGUGUACAAGUUAAUCAGUAAAGAUUGUCAAAUAGAUGGAACAUUGGGUGGGGGUUUAAUCAGUUAAGAAAAUGAAAUCAAUAAAGUUAUGAACUUUCACAAAACGAUCAUUCUACCUGAAGUUAAAACGGAUGACACAUUUAAUAUCUAUCCUAUUCUGCACAUCAAUUAUUUUAUCUGCAGGAUAGGAAAAUCGGGUGUUACAUGGAAAUGCUACAACUCGUUAUCCAACUUGAAAAUACCAUUUAGAAGAUGACUUUAAGUUCACCACUUAAACCACUCUUUACUCUCAAGAAUCGAAACUGAUAAUCCUAGCAUGGCAAAUAGUGUGUGUGUGUGUGUGUGCGUGUGAAGUAUCUAGGCAGAAGCAAAAGGGUCCUGGAAAGGUGGAACUGGAGUGGACAAUAUUGUGAUAAAAAAAGAGUGUAGUUGCUGGCACAUUUUGGUGAAACUGCCCUCUGUCGAAUGCUUUAUACCGCGUUCCUUCCCACAUCAUCUCAAACAAGGAAAAAGAAAAAGAGGUACGAGACUUUCAGAUCAAAGUUUGGUGAUUCUUGAACAAAAGAGACACCUAAUUAUGACCCAGCCUCAACUUCUUUUUAUCUUGGAAGAAAAUUUUAAGUGACGAAUCAAAUGAGCAUCCAAAUCUUUGGAGUGCAUAUCAUCAUACUUAUUUAUUGUCUAUUACUCGCUCUUAGAAUUAUGAUAAUAGAGAAAAAAAAAUUAGAUGACCGUUCGUUUCCAAAAUUCAAUUUAACUCGUACGAACAUUAGUGUGAUCAUGAGUUUUCUCGUUCAACUCUUUAACCUUUUCUUUUUUUCUUUCCCCCGCUAAGUACUAUUCUACAUUUUGUUGAUUCGAUAUCUUCUUUAUUCAAACAAAUAUUUGGCCAGCUAGUAACACAAAAAAGAAGAAGAAGAAAAAUUACUCCCGCUUGAGCAAGCUGCCAAUGUAGGAGUGGAGCGUGCAACACAUGAUGUUCUACACCCCGAAAGUCCCAACCCCCACCCUUUGAGAGGGCACAAGGUCCACAACCGCACCCACCAGGCAGAGCAAUUACCAAUUCUGCAUCCUAGAAUGACUACUGCUGAAACCGAUCAUGUUAAGGCUAGGACCAGUCGUUUCUAAAAUCCAUUUAUAGGCCAACCAUAAUAUGACCUGUAAGGUUCUUAGGUUCAAUGAAUCCUUCAUUUACGUUGAUGGGACAUAUGAAUCCAUCUUUGUUCCAACGAAAUAAUGGUUGACCUGAUGCUGGAAUUCUCUCGAGUUCUCCGUUGAGUAUUCUAUUUAGGUAUAUGUACCUUAAGGGUCUGUUUGGUUCAUGGAAUGACACAGAAUAGUAUUUUUGAAGUAUAGAUAUAUAUAUAUAUAUAUACACACAAAACGGAUAGGCGCGAUCGUGAGUACUAAAUCAAGAUCUAAUUCUUACUACAUCAUAGUGUCUUUGGAGUACAUUAGCCCUUUUUACUUUAUCUCUCUAUGAAGAAUAAAUUAUCCUUACUUAAAGAAAAUAAUGUCAGCAGAUAUAUGGUAGUUUCCAUGAAUCCAUUUUUAGACAGAAAUUAUUGAGAGCUAUAGGGAGUUCAAAGUUUCAUGAGCUGCGGUGUGGUGCCAGAUUGUAUAAGGGCCCCAUGUAGCGAUUUUUUGUUGGACUGAUGAUUCGAUCUUUACAAACAGGUGUGAACAGAUAGUUCAGCCAUCAGUUCUUAAUGCUCUUAGUGGACUGAGGGACCAAAGCCCAGAGUUUGCCUAACAAGGACAAAUAUCAUAGGCCCAACAAUGGGCUAUUUUUUAUUUUUUAUUUUUAUAUUUUUUUAGUAUGAGUGGGAGGACUCCAACCAAGUUUUUAGAAAAAUUCCUACACUUUCACAGUGGAGAUGUUUCACUUUUUUUUUUUUUUGUGGUGUUCCAUUUUAAAUUUUUUUUUUUUUUUAAUGGGGGAUGUGGAGAAGAAGCAGGAAUGAAAUAAUGGGCAUAAAAACAGAGAAAUUUGACUAGCAAGUGACAGUAAUCAAUUGUCUUAACUAUUGGACUAAGGUUUAAUGAUUAGAUGCACUGUGCUCUUCCGCUGUGUUCCAUUUUGCAGGCUUCGUCAUCCAGAACUUUCAGCCCAGUAACCUUUUAUCCUGGAUCCAAAUGAGCCACCAUGACAUGCAGAUGUAGCUUCUAAAUCUGGACGAAUGGAGCAAAGUUAUCUGUCUGGGUUUGUAUGCUUUUUGUUCUUUAAUUUGAGCCAACUCAGGCCCAAGUAUGUUUCAUUUGUCACUCCUUCAAAGCAUGGCUCAAAAGCUUUAGCUUGACAUGCAAAUGAGCUUUGUAAUGCUUAAGUUUUGAGCGAACCAAGCAAUCUACAAACAAGUUCGUAUUUGCCUUGUUUGAGUUCUUGAUUUCGAACACAAAAUUAGACUGGUGGAAUAAUUUAGCCGCCCUCUCUUCUCCUCCCUUUCUUAAAUCUGGUCGUAUGAUUCGAUCGUGACCAAAUCUAUUCACACGACAAAAUUCCAUUGAAAAAGAGGACGAAGGUGUUUCGUUAACCCUUCCCUCUUCCCCCACCCCCUCUUCACGUCAUCACCUCCACUUUUCCCUCUCUCUCCUCCCCUUUCAUCCCCCUCCCUUGCAUUUAGAGCUGUUAAGCGUAACGAGCUACUCGAAAGCUCGUUAAGGCUCGGAUCGAUAAGGCUCGAGCUCGGCUCGUUAAUUUCAAUUAACGAGCCGAGCUCGAGCUCGAUAAAUACUCGUUGAGUUAUCGAGCCGAGUAAGCUCGAACUCGAUUCUUUAUCGAGUAGCUCGGUUGAGCUCGACAAAGAAGGGUAUUUGUGUCAUUUUAGCAGUCAACAAGUAGAAAUUUGGACUAGGGUUGAUAUUGCAUCGUCUCAUACUCUCAUUCUUCAUUUCUGCCUCUCCCUCUCCGCUGCACGCCGCACCCAGUAACCCACAGCCGCACCCACAGGCCACAGCCCCGCAACGCCGCAGCUCCGCAACCCUGCAACCCUGCAGCCCGGAUCUGGAUCAACCCUGCAACCCCGCAGCUCCGCAACCCUGCCAGCCCCGCAACACCGCAACCCGCAACCAGUAACCCACAGCCGCACCCACAGCCCCGCAACGCCUCAGCUCUGCAACCCCGCAGCAACCCCGCAGCCCCGCACAACCCCGCAACCCCGCAGCCCGCAACCCCGCAACACCGUAACCCCGCACUCCACAGCAAGCCGCACUCCACAGCUGCAACCCACAGCAACCUCUGCCUCCACUGCCGCCCACAGCCUCUGUUUUCUGCCAUUAACAACCCCGUCCACGGCCAGGGCCAAAACCAGUCCAAUUUGACUGGUUUCUCUAAUCCUUCGUGAUAUUUGGUAAGUCUCGUCUCUUUUCGUAGGUUAAUUGUACUGAAUGACAAGAGUUCAUUCUUGUCUCUUUUCUGGUUUAGUAGCAGUUGGUAAUGUAGUAGUUGACACAUCUCAUAUGUACAAGGAUGGAUCAACAAAUUUUCUUCUCGCGUGAGGACUGCAUCCAACCUCUUUGUUUUAUUCCUUUCUGCAAUAACUUGCAGUUCAAUCAUAGAAAUUUAAUGUGGAAAAUCUAGAUUAUGCUUAUUAAUAUCUGAUAAUUUUAAAGAGUACUCGAAAAGAUAACGUCUGAGUUUUUGCAGUAGUUUUACCUUUUCUUCAUGGAUUUCUUGGGGGGAUGGGGUGGGGAAGCAAGAAGUGUUCUGCUUGUGGGUAUAAUCUGCUGCUAAAUGUGCCUAUAAAUCUUUUCUAAAACUUAAUUAUUAGUACAAUUAGAUAUUGCACUUCAAUAUCUGGAGGAUUGAAAGGGAAGAAAAUAAGUAUGGUUGAUUAAGACUUCUUAUUUGUGAAAUUUGAGAAAAAAGAUGUAAGGAUGUUAACCUUGAUAUCAAAAAAGCCUUACGGACUUAAUUUGGACAGCAUACUUCUUUUUUUUUGGGUAAAUUUUUGAUCUUUUGAAUGAAACAUGUCAAUGUUCGUGAGCUAACUGUUGCACUAUCACAGGGAUUGAUUGGCCUUUCAUUUCAUUUCAUUUCAAUUUCAAAGUGUUUGAUUAGUUUGAUAUUUUCGUCUUGGGGCCAUUUAUGUGUGUGUGAAUUGAGUUAAAUGAAUUGUUGAAUGAAUAAUAUAGGCACUACACCAUAUGUGCCUUCAUCUAUUUUGUUCAGCCUCUCGAACUCAUCAACACUUUUACAACCCUGAAGCAUGUUCACGGCCCUUGGUGGAGGAACUGCAUGUUCUGGUGUCCCGUGGGAGUUGUGUUCAUCAUCAGAACCAGUAUCCGCAUUGCUACCACUGGUUCCACCAUAACUGCGAUCUUCAUCAACCUCCAUGUACUCAUUCCUGUCCAAUUCAUCAGGAUCACUAUCUCCACUAAAGGAUCUAACGCGUUCAUCAGAAGACCUGACCCUAUUUCCCACUGAACCUUCUCUCCUCAGUUCCAUGUACUCAUUCCUUGUGAAGCUGUACUUAUUCUUGUGAUUUCUGAAGGGGUUGUACUUUUUCUUGUCAGGUGUUUGAAGUUGGACAAUUUUUAAGCUAUGUAGCAGUGUUUUACAUGGUUAUUUGGCUGUAGUUUGUGCGUUUAUUUGGCUGGACAAAACCUGUUAUGGUAUAUUGGCUCUUAUGAAUGUUGUUUCAUAUGGAAUUAGACUGUAGUUUGUGUAUUUGUUGACUGCAGCCCUGGAGUUUGUGUUGUAUGGAUCAUGGAUGUUAUGGUCUUAUUUGUCUUGGAUGAAAUGUGGUUAGAGUUUGUGUAUUGUUGAAUGUGAAUGGCAUUGGUUGCCAAUCCUAAUAUUUUUUGUUGAUUUUGGAUAGCCUAAAUCUGGAUAUGUUGGAGCAGGACUUCGUAAAUAACUGAUUGUUGAAUUUUGAAAUCGAGCCUCAAAAUCGAGUCUCGAGCUUCGAACUCGAGUCUAAAAUCAAGCCUCGAGCCUCGAACUCGAGCCUUGAGCUCGGAUAGAUAUUUCGAGCUCGAGCUCGAGCUCGUCCCGAGCCUGGCUCGUUUAUGAUAAACGAGUCGAGCUCGAGCUCGAGUUCGAGUCACAUUUCCUUUUUUCGAGUCGAGUUCGAGUGCGUAUUAUGGCUCGUUAGCGCUAUCGAGCGAGCUCGAGCUUGGCUCGAAUUCGUCACGAGUCGAGCUCGGCGUUCAGAUACUCGGCUCGACUCGGCUCGAUUAACAGCACUACUUGCAUUCCCCCACCACCUUCCUCUUUCUCCACAUUGGUUCCCUUUCUCCUUCACCCCCGUCCUCCCUUCCCCCUCCCCUCCUUGAAUCUAGCAGGAAUGAACGACCAGGUUGUGACCAAAUCUGGUCACACAACAAGAUCCCAUGGGAAAGGAGGGAGGAAAACCUAAAACAGGAAGGCGGGGAGGCAAGAAAUAGAAGGUGAAGUGCUACAAGAGGAGAAAAGGUGGAGAAAAAUGAGGAAAUGGAAGGCAGAAGAACAGAGGGAGGAUAAGGAAGGUGAGGUGGUAGAGAAGGGAAAAAAGAAAGAAAAGGGAGUAACAGAGGAAACAGGAAAAACUGCAAAUUAUAAAAAUACUCCAAAUAUAUUUCAAAUUUUAAAGGCACGUAAAAUACAAUUGCACAGUAAAUUUUUACUAUACAAUCCUAUAGUAUAAUUUUUAUAAAAUAUCCCAAAAAAUGUCUAAUCCAUGCCAAUCCAUAGGUUUACAUAUGAUGGUAUCUAUAAUUGUAAAUGAAGUAAAACUUGAUAAGCCACCUUUCCAUUUUCUCGCAUGACCCUAAUCUUGGUCUUAUCUCGAUAAAAAGAGGGAAAAAUACAAAAGAAAAUGCAAAACAAAUAAAAAAAUGUCAGAAAAGCACAUUUUAGUUAUGAUAAAAUAAACAAAAGCAUACCCAUCAAGUUACAAUUGUAACAGGUACAAGGAAGCUGUCAUACAAACUUACGUUCAACUGAGAAGCUAGUCAAAACAUGGGCUACUAUAUGAGCCUAUACAUCAUUCAAGUAUUCUGAUUCAAAAUGAACAUUUUUAGCAAGAAGCUUCAAAUUGACAGCUUCAAAGUCAGUCGUCCUUUCUCUCCAUUCCGUGCUUCAGACAAAAAACCCACCUGUGCUCCUGCUUGUCAAGUACCGUGCUCCUCAAUGUCAGCAGAUUUGUUUCCACCCCAUGAUAUAAAACUAUCCUGAGAUGCAAAUUCCUGCAAUUUGUUUCCACCCCAUGAUAUAAAACUAUCCUGAGAUGCAAAUUCCUGCAAAGCACUUGAAACCUUGAACUAGAACUAAAGAAGGUGAAGGUAGUAGUAAACUAACCAAGAUAAAGUAGACUACUAAUAUAAUAUGAAGCAGGGAGAGGAGGUUUGAACUCACAAGCUGGCUCAACCGGAAGUCAGGAGGUGUAUCUAGCUCCAGGUUUACUGGAUCAAGGACCAGAUCUUGGCACUCUUCUAAAUCUUUCUUCAAAUGUUCAGGUCCUAAGUGGGCAUAAUCAGCAAGACGAGGUUUGGGUUUUAAUUCUUGCUCAUUUUUAUCUCCAUCUCUGUUUGGAGAUUGGCUCCGUAGAAACUCAUCACAUAAAGAUAGUGCUUCUACAAGUUGCUGUGAGUCUAGCAAGUAUUGUGAUUCACUAUCCCACCACUCUCUCUUCUCACCAGCAUCAUUGUCGGUUUUAUCAUCCUGUUGAUCAGCAAGAUCCACAGCAGUGACAGGAUCUUCACAAUUGGGCUGGUCGCUUGGAGGUCUAACCUCAUCUUCCAUGCAAACCACACCAUGAUGCUACAGAAUAAUUAACAAUCACUGAAUGAUAGAUAAUGGAGAUGUUAAUAGAAUUUCUAAUUCUCCACCCUGGCAAGAGUCCUCUACCAUCGUGAUUUUGGUGGUUGUGCUACCCCGCAAACUUCUUUUUUUAAAGUUCAUAAAUGAGUAUAAGAUCAAUACAAUGAACAAAAAAUGAUGUAACAGCCACAGAACACAAAGGUGCCUUUGAUUGGCGGUCAUAAGAAGCAAAAUGAAUGGCAAAUACUAAACACCCCCACCCUUCAUGGUAUCUGGAAGUGCCAAAUUGAAAUGAUUUUAAACAGGGAGGACCCAACUUUACCUGAGCCGCUGGAAGAACAGAUUCUUGGGCAUCACAAUCAGGGAAGUGGCUUUCAGUACGAGGUGGUUCAGGGGUCACAGACUUGGGAGUAACAGGAUCUACCUUGACAAUCGAGGCAUCAUCUUCUGGAACUUCUACUUCAGCCUUUUCAUUCUGCUUGACCUGUUGCUGCUGAUAAAAGACCUUGGAGAUAACAUAUUCUCCCUCCCUUUCAUCUUCCUCUGUACCAAGGUGAUACUGGUGCAUCACCCAAUUAGUCUUCUCUGGCUUGCCACCUCUUACUGGGCUAAGAUACAGCACCAUAAUUUUUUUACAUCCUUUUUGUAUACAAUCCAAAUGAACAGGCUUUGUCCGACCAGUCUUAUGCCAACGAACAUCUCCAGAACUGUCACCAAGUAUCUUUCGACGUUUUCUAGUUCCAGUAUUAUAAGCUUUGAUUGCCCUGUGAAAAAAGUGUGCUACACUUCCAUCCUGUUUAACACCUAAAAACCACUACUUUAAAAGACUGAAGUCCAAAGAAAACAAUUACAAACCAAAGCAUUAAAGUGGAAUUAUUAAGUCUUGUAUAUGUAAACAUAACCUACCAGGCAAAUUUUGAGGAUGGGUAUAGCAGAUUCCAUCAUCUUCAUUAACAGUUGGAAUAAAUUCUUCAAUAAAAGGAUGGGGCUUCAUAUUUUCAAUUCCAACUUUUCCAAGUAAAUGCCAAAUAAUUUCUUGAUCAGAUGGAUCAAACUUUACCCCUCGAGGUAAUCCCGGCCACUCUUGGGUGACCUGAAAAAACAAAGACAGAAGAAAGAAACAAACGAUUUUCAGCUUUCAGUCUCUAACUGCUCCUAUGCACUUUUAAUAUGAGGAAAACAUCUUUUGGAAAACUGGCAACUAAAUGUUCUGUUCAUCUCACUACUAUGUUUUUGCUCUAGCAAAGCAAAUGGGCUUAACCUUCGACACAGCCACAUGGGACAAAUACGCAUAAAAGCAUACCAAAAUUUUAACGAAGCUGAAAAUCAGAAAAUCAAUUCAUCCUGCCCCACAAUUAUUGAUUUCUCUUACACAAUUAAAAAUAGCAAUGUCCAUAGGCUUUCUCUUACACAAGUAUUUUUGCAUUUCAACCACACCUAAAAGAACAAUACUGAUUAUUAAAUAAUGAUCCAAUGAAGAAAGCACAGGCAAGUAGAAAGAGAUGGGUCACAGAUAUUAAAUAUGAUAAUCUUUCUUCUCAAUUAACCACUCCCAGAAACUAAUUUCCAACAAUAAAUUUGUGUUUCUGAUUAAGAAGCAACUACUGCUGAAGCUUGUUCCAGAUAAUAUGAUGCACAUCCAUUUUGAGAUAUGCAAAAAUUUAUGAGAGAAGAAAUAUACAUCGCUAUUGUCAAUGACAUGCUGACAAUUUGGGCAAGUUUUUGUAGGAUUGCUUGUCCAGUUAACUUGUUGCAGAUUACUUGCGCCAGAUGCACUCCUAAUUUUGGUUGCAAUUCUGUUACUAUCAACCAGCCACGAUGGUCUGCAUAAUUUCACGAAAUAAAUCAAGUUCAUGCACUGAACAGCUUGAAAGCUUAAGAAGUGCCAAAGCAGAUGAGACCCAUAAGAAUAGAGGAUAUUGACACGGAAGUAAAUAUUAGACCACAUAUAAUUAGGAUUCUACAGCAUACAGAAAAUGUAUGAAAAUAUAGAUUUGAAAAGUAAGCAAGCAUAAUUAGCAGCACAGGAAAAAUGUACAUAAGAUUUCACACCAAUUAAAGCAUAAUCUUGCCAAACAAUAAAAUCAUUUCACAUUCACUACAUCUGGAUUUGCAUUUAGAGGAAAGAACCAUACUUAGAAGCACAACAAAAUCAGUGGGAAGAUACUUUGCUCCUCUACUAAAUGCAAAUCAAUUUCGAAACUUUUCUCAACUUCAUCCUUUAAUAGGCAGCACAGAGUAAACUUCUCCAAAGAAGUUGUUUUUACCAGCCAGAAAUAAAUACAUCCAUUGCUUAUUAUCAAUAAAAGCUAAUGAGGUUUAUCAGAAGUUAUGUUAUGAAUAUAUAUAUAUAUAUAUAUAUAUAUAUAUAUAUAUAUAUAUAUAUAUAUAUAUAUAUAUAUCCUUUAAGGAGCUACCUGCAUCCAAAAGAAUUAUCUGCAGGCUUAAAAUUUAGGACUACAGGAGUCAACAAAAUAAUUUCAUUCUUUUAGAUGUUUUUCUAUUCAGAAUAAGAAUUACACUCCAUUAAGUAUUAGAAAUUUUCUUGAAUAACAUUAAAUAUCCAAUUCAUGUUCUCGUGCUAAGUUUUACUCAAGACACGUCAGACCUCAUUUACCUGAAAUAAUGGCCCUUCUCUUGCAAAUACAAGUCAUGUUAUCUCACUUUGCUCAUUUCCAAACAUAACUAUUAUGGGAUGUUGGCCCCUUUCUCAAGAUGAAAAAAAAAAAGAAACAAAAAAAAGAUGACAAUGGAGGAUAUUCUCCUAAUAACAUCUGUUCCAACAACUGAAAAUGGCUAUGGUUCAUAUCGAUGUUUGAAUGUGAUAAAAAUUGCAUAUUUAUACGAUUUUGACUUGAGCCGGAAAGCCUUUGCAGACAUCCUCAACUUUCUCAAUCACAAAACAAACACAAACCUGAAUUAGUUGACUUCUUGUGUAUUACUGAAUUUAAUAGAUCAAUAUACUCAAAACUGACUACAUUCACCCAUUAAAUGAAUAAAAAAAAAUAAAUGAAUAGAAAGGGGCAAUCACAACUUCUCGACUGUAAAAUCGGGAAAGCAAGAAAAUCAAUCCCCUGAAAACCAGCAGGCAAAUAUUCCCACAUUGACCAUUCAACGCCAGAACCAGCAAUUCUUUUUUAGCUACAUGCAGCUCUAAACGUCUUAUAGGAAUAUCAAGCACCAAAACUCACCGCUAUCAACGAAAACUCACAUGAUAUAAUCACAUGCACAUAUAUCUCCAACUGCAAAAAAUAGAUCUUUUACGGAGGUUGCAGCUACAAGUUUAAUUUUAUAUUUUUGUUUUAUAGCCUAAUCAGAAUUUAAAUUUUUUUUUUUUUUUUUUAUAAGUGGGAGGUCUUGGGUUGCAAGAACUCCUACUUACAAUCCCCCUCCCUUACCAUCCAACUCAACCCUCCCCGCCAUCGCCUAAUCAGAUAAGUAAAAAAUAGUUAAUAAACAACAAACUUAUUUCCAAGAAGGAGGCAGAGGGCCGGGUUGGGAGGAACCAUCGCUUUAUCGGAAACACUCAGAGUACAAAACCACCACCACCACCAUCAUUUCCCAAAAAAAAAAAAAAAGGCUUCACAUGAUCUUUCAGGCUAAUCCACAAAAUGGGUAAAGCUGAUAAACCAAAAAAAACAAAAACAAAAUCCGUUCUUUCAUCAAAACCACAAGACCCAACUCAGAGUUGACCUAGAAGAUUCAAUAGAUACUCAUAAAGAUUCAAUCUUUGCACUAUCUACAAGUCAAUGAGUUCGACAAAAUCAAGUCUAUGGUGAAUUUUCAGUAAACAGCACAAGAGGAAUAAAAGGAAGGAGACCACAAGCAGAGACAUACCGAGCCAUGGGAGAAUGGAUGUGAUCAAAGGCAGCAAAAAGUGAAACAAAUGCCCCUUUUCUUCUACUAUUUAAUGCUUUGAAUUCGUACUGCAACUAGUGCUUCUACAGUUCUCCACCUACUAAUACAUUAACUAUUAAAGCAUCUUGGGAAUUUCCCAAAUAAUAGUAGUGUAGUUUAAGAGGUUUCAUAAGUGUUUUCAGUUUUCCUAGCCAUUAUAUACUGCUAUGUGCUUCGGACGCAUUUUUUGGUGAAUUUUGAAAAAUUUGAAAGCGUGUCUUGGCAUUGUUUCAGUCUACUUACUGUGCUUUGAGUACGACGAUGAUGGUUUGACUAUUGACUAGACAACCUGUGAUUAAUCAAUACCUACAGAAAAAUGGAAUUGAAAGUGGAAAAGGCCAUCAACCGACACUUAGUAGGAGUUUGGCCACUGAUUGUUUUAUACUAGGCCACAUGUUGUUUGAUUUAUGUUCAUCUCAAUAAUGCUAAAUUGAUUGUUGCCUUUUUUUUCUUAAUGCUAUUUUACAUCGUAAACAUGUUUUCGGCAACUGCUAAAUUGAUUGUUACGGUAUAUUUUUUUUUUUAUAAAUUAUUCAAAAUAAUCUCUUAUCGACACACACUCUCGGACUGUUUCUAAGAGCAUAAUGUUUUAUUUAUGAGAGGAAAAAGUCCAAAUUGUUCAAUACUUUCCCACAAAAUACUAGCAAUUUGAUAAAAAGUUUAAUACUUUGUUCUAGAUUGUUAGGUAAUACCACAAGAAUCAAACGUGUAAAGAAGGGCUCAAAGGUGGAUCAAAUUACUUGAUCCUUAAAUCAAGUUCGUUCAUUUUCUAUUUUCUAACUCGUUAAACAAAUCAUAAAGUAUUUGGUUAAGUUUCAAACCUCGCUAGAGUUUGGUUUGAUUAGCAUAAAUUUUGAAACAUAUAUAUAUAUAUAUAUAUCAAAUAUCUAUACUAUAUAAAAAGUUUGAGAAAGGGGUUUGGGAUUAACAUUUAUCAUCAUUUUAUAAACCUUCUUUUUUAUCCUUAUAAAAAUUACUUUUAUUUUAACUACCUAUAACUACUCAUGACUAUUUUUACUUUUAACUAUUUAAAUAUAUGUUUUAAACGUAACUAUUCCUACAUAUCAUAGCUACCAAUAUAAAAUUAUUAUAUAAAAUAUAUAUUUAAAAGAUUAAAGUUUGUUUUAGUAAUAACAAUUUUAUUUAAAACAUAACCGAUAAUAUUAUGUAGUUUUUGAUUGCACAUGCAUUAGUGUGUAUUGAGUAAUAGUUAAAUUUAGGGAUAAUUUCAGAAACCUCCCCUGAGGUUUUUGACAUUUACACUUACCUCCCCUGUGGUUUGAACAAUUACACUGACCUCCCCUGAGGUUACUAAUCCUUUACAAAUUCAGUCCAAAUGAUUAAAAUAUUAUUUUAGAGAGUGAAAUUAGAAUUUUGUACCUGAUUUGUCCUUUGUGUCACAUGUCCAAUGAAUGGCAAAGUAUUACAAAUUAAUUAACAAUUAAUAAACUUUAACGAGCGUAGUUUAUAGGCAAAUACGUAUUGCCUAUUUAAAGUACCAGCUCUUUACAUGAAUUUUAUUUUCAAGCAUUUACUUUAUCACAAAUAUUUAUUCUCAAAUACAGAUUUGUAUUUAUUCUCAAAUAUUUAAUUUUUGUUAAAUACAAAACCUACCAGUUUUUCUUCCGUAGAAAUAUUAAUAUAACAUUUUUUCAAUUUCAAUUACAAAUAUUUAUGUAUUUAACAUAAAUUAAAUGAUUCAGAAUAAAAUACUCAUAAAGAGCUAAUACUUUACUCAUGUAAUGGAUGAAAGCCAUAAAAAAUUAACAUUUUAUAGGCCAUUUCUUUUUUUUAAAAAAUUUUAAUUUAUAUUAAAUAGAUAGCCUAUCGAUUUUCUUUUUACAAGAAUAUUAUUGUAACACCUUUUAAUUUUUAAUUACAAAUAUUGAUAUAUUUAUUGUAAAUUAAAUAUUUAAAAAUAAAAUAACUGUAAAGAGCCGGUACUUUAAAUAAGUUAUGCGUGUUUGCCUAUAAACUACACUCCUUACUUAAAUCAAUAAACUACACUCCUUAACUUAAAUCAAUAAACUAUACUCCUUACUUUAAAUAGUGUAGUUUAUAGGCAAAUAUGCAUAUCCUAUUUAAAGUAUCGGCUCUUUACAGAUAUUUUAUUUUCAAAUAUUUAAUUUAUGAUAAAUAUAUUAACAUUUGUAAUUAAAAAUUAAAAAGUGUUAAAGUAAUAUUCUUGUAAAAAAAAUCAGUAGGUUAUCUAUUUAAUAUAAAUUAAAUAUUUUUAAAAAAAUAAAUGGCCUCAUAAACUAUUAAUUUUUUAUGACUUUCAUCCAUUACAUGAGUAAAGUAUUGGCUCUUUAUGGAUAUUUUAUCAUAAAUCAUUUAAUUUAUGUUAAAUACAUAAAUAUUUAUAACUAAAAUUGAAAAAGUGUUAUAUUAAUAUUUCUACGCAAGAAAAACUGGUAGGUUUUGUGUUUAACAAAAAUUAAAUAUUUGAGAGUAAAUACAAAUCUGUAUUUGAGAAUAAAUAUUUGUGAUAAAAUAAAUGUUUGAAAGUAAAAUACAUGUAAAGAACUGGUACUUUAAAUAGACAAUACGUAUUUGCCUAUAAACUACGCUCGUUAAAGUUUAUUAAUUGUUAAUUAAUUUGUAAUACUUUGCCAUUCAUUGGACAUGUGGCACAAAGGACAAAUCAGGUACAAAAUUCAAAUUUCACUUUCUAAAAUAAUAUUUUAAUCAUUUAGACUGAAUUUGUAAAGGAUUAAUAACCUCAGGGGAGGUCAGUGUAAUUGUUCAAACCACAGGGAAGGCAAGUGUAAAUGUCAGAAACCUCAGGGGAGAUUUCUGAAAUUAUCCCUUUAAUUUACUCAAACUCAGUUCGAUAAGAGUUCGAUUCAAUAAAUAAACAUAUCAAGUUUAAACAUAAUAUUCUUUCUUUGAGGAGAGAUUGAACAUAAUUUCAAGUUAAAUAAUAAUAAACAAAUAAGCUUGAACUCUUUCACUUCAGAUCAGUAAUGUAAAUGAUUUUAAUUAAAUCAAACACUUUUUUUUUUUUUUAAAUCGUUUACGCCACUUAUCUUAAGUGGAUACUACUAAAGCUAUUGGCAGUGGGCUGACUGUGAUGAUUUUUCUCACGCAAGCAAUUAUAUAAUAGCCCAUAGCAGUUAGCAUACACAAAAUUGGUCAAUUUGAAUUCCAAACAGACACAAAAUAAGCCCAGCAUAGUAAAUCGCCCAUAACCCCACAACAAGCUCUAUUAGGCUGACCACUGAUCCACUGCCAAAUUGCCACCUAACACAACUUAGCUCCGCUCUGCCCCCUGCGCAAAAACUCGGGGGUAAAAAAAAACCGCCACAACUCCGGCACCGUACGAUGAGCAGCAAAGCCCGUAAUUUCCGCCGCCGCGGCGGAGAUGACGCUGACGACGACGAAGACAACGACAAGAGUACCAGAACCCCCACCACCAACGGCUCCACCACCACAUCAUCAAAACCCCAAUUCAAAUCCAUUUCCUCCGCCACAAGACCUAAAAAACCGGUAACUGCAGUUCCCAAAAGCCGCCUGAGCUUCGCUGACGAUGAGGAAGCCGACGCCGACCAAUUGCCCAUUAAACCUCGUCCCUCUUCAUCAAACUCUCGUCUCCCCAGACCCUCUUCUUCUUCCUCUUCUCAUCAUAAGCUCAGCUCGUCUAAAGACCGAAUUGGGCCUCAAACGACGGCGUCGCUACCUUCCAAUGUGCAACCCCAAGCUGGAACUUACACCAAAGAAGCCCUCCUUGAGCUCCAGAAGAACACUAGAACCCUCGCCUCUUCCCGUUCAGCCCGGCCCGAACCUCCCAAAUCGAAGCCCGAAGUGACGCCCACUGAGCCCGUUAUCGUAUUGAAAGGGCUAGUGAAGCCAAAACCUAAUAUGGUUGAUGAUGCAGAUGGGGAAAUCGAGAAUGACGAGAUGGGUGUUGAGCAGCAAGGCGAUUUGGUGAGAACUGAGAGAGAUGAGGCAAAGUUUAGAUUGGGUUUGAGAGGGAAAAGUGAGGUUUCUGGGGGAGUCAUACCAGACCAGGCGACAAUAGACGCGAUAAGGGCAAAAAGAGAGAGGCUCAGGCAGGCAGGUCCCGCAGCCCAGGAUUAUAUAUCAUUGGAUGGAGGAAGUAAUCACGGUGAAGCCGAGGGGUUGAGCGAUGAGGAGCCAGAAUUUCGAGGGAGAAUCGGGUUUUUUGGAGCAAAAAUUGAUGGUGGGAAGAAGGGCGUGUUUGAGGAUUUUGAGGAGAGAGUAACGGCAAAGGAUAGCGCUGUUCUUAAUAGCGAUGAUGAGGAUGAGGAAGAAUUGGAAAAGUUGUGGGAAGAGGAGCAGGCAAGGAAAGGUUUGGGAUUAGGAAAGAGGCUAGAUGAUGGCGUUAGUGUAGGAGUCAGUAGUAGUACUGCUGGUGGUAGUAGUGUUAAUGUGCCUCAGAGUGUCCCUCAGCAGAAAUUUGGUUAUCCAAUCGUGGCCUCUGGUAGUGUAUAUUCUUCAGUGCAGAUUAGUUCUGUUGAUACUGUUGGUCCUAGUAUUGGGGGUGCUGUUGGGGGAUUGCCUGGAUCAGAUGAAAUGCCGAUAUCACAAAAAGCUGAGCUCGCUAAGAAAGUUUUGUAUGACAAUGUGAAGAUGCUUAAGGUAUGCAUUGGCAUUUAUUCCUAGUGUUUGUUUUGAAAUUUGAUUACUUAUUCUUUGUUUUAUAAGUUUAAGUAGGAUUUCUUCUGGAAAUACAGCAUUAUCAGUUUAAGUUGUAAAUUAGCUGUGAGAUUACCAUUGCAAGUAGAAAAACAAGAAUUACUGGAUAAAGCAUUUAAUUAAUAGUUUUCUGCUUCUGUCUUGACCAGUAUUAAUUUGGACAUUUAGAAGGUAUUUGAGUUUAAUACCAAUAUGUUGCUCUGAAGAAAAUGUUCAUUGGUGUUUACAAGUUUUAUUUUCUUCCCUCUGUUUAUGUAGUGAUUGCAACUGAUCUGUUAUUGUCUUUUGACUUAUCUUUUUCUUAGGAGUCUCAUAAGAAAACAAUGGAUACAUUAACAAGGAAUGAUGAAAAUCUAUCCGCUUCACUGUUGAAUGUCACCAAGCUGGAAAAUUCAUUAUCUGCUGCUGGUGAGAAGUUCAUCUUUAUGCAAAAGCUUCGUGAGUUUGUUUCUGUUAUAUGUGACUUUUUGCAGGUACGGAUUAUCUGAUUUAUCAAUCUCCAAUUUAUUUUGGUGCCCUCCAUAGUUGCCAAAUCUUAACGUGAUAGAUCAAUUAUGUUGUUCUCUUUAUUUGUUUUGCUACUGUCACUGAGCAUAAGUGACUGAAAGUAUGGAGAAUCUGUUGUCCUAACACCCCCCAUCUUUAUUUUUCGGUAUAUGUUAAAUCCUGUUGUUAGUUAUUAGGAGCUUUGAGGUUAUAACUACUUAGAUUGCUUCACUUCAGCCAUCUUUAGCUUCUCUUCCAAUUUUUCUGUCACUGUAUAGAUCCAAGUAGGUUUUGGUACUGAAGGAUCUAUAAAUAUUGUUAUUUUGGAGUUCUUAACUCAUAUGUUGGUUUACUGCUUUGAAUCAUGUUGUUUAACGUGCUACUUUUGUAAUUUUGAAGAUAAUUUUAUCAAUUUUGGAACUUUCAGAUUUUCUAGUGUCUUUUACAUGUAUGCUCUGUUAGUUGACGUAUAUUUAGUUCUUUUCUUUAUCAUCUAUCAAUUAAGACGAUGUAGAUGAGGUUGCGUUCUUCUCAUGGCAGUACAUGCUAUUUUUUCUCUUUCUAAAUUCAGGCGGAAUUAUGAACUGAGGUUCAUAAUAUUUAGGGCAGCAAUUGUGGAAGAGUUGGUUAUAUAGGUUGUCUUGUCUCCUUUAGUGUGAUGAUGAGCAUGAAAGUGGCAUAUAGAGAAUUAUUCUUUUUCAAAGAAUGUCUCAGGGACCCAUCUGAUGGUUUUUUUGACUGCUUAAAUUUUGAUGAUUCUGGGUGUCAAUUGUAUAUUCACCUCUUUCCUCAUUUAGUUUCAAUUUUCUUCUGUUGGCUUUGGAUAAUGUUCUCCUGUUUGGUAUCAUUGCCAUUGUGGAUUAUCUGCUGUUGUAGUGCUCCUCGUGCUCCCAAUAUUCAUGCAUACAUAUUCCUCCUCACUUUGAGCAGCAAUACAGACACUACUGCUUGCUUGUGAAUGAAGUCAUUGUGCAAUACAUAGAUAGAAGAAAGUUUUUUGAUCCUCAGUUGUUUUUCUCAAGUUGAAGAAUAUCUUCAUCUGUGCUAUAUUGUUAUUUUGUGAGUGAGCUGUGUGGAUUCAUACUGGAUGUAAAUUUGAGACUUCUCUUUUGGUUUAUGUGCUAUUCACUCUGUUGCAUUUUAUACGUCACUAUUUUGGUUUGUGUCAAAAAAGUUUCAAGAAAGUAUAUAAAGCCUAACUUGACCCUUUAUACAAAUCCUAAGAAAUAAUCGUAGGAGGCAUGUUGCCAUGAUAAAUAACAUUACAAACCAUCUCUUAACUAUGGUAGUUGUGCCUCAUGUAAAACUUCAAAUUCAACUAACAAAAUAUUGUUGUUCAAUUGAUGGGCAAUAAUGGGAACAGUUGCUUUGCUAGCUGAUGUAUUUUUGUCAUACUCUACUUUUCUUAAGUAUGCACAAAGUUGUCAAUGACAUAUAAUGUGGGUUGGAGAAGAAUUCUGUGGAUACUCUAGGGUUUUCUGGUUUAACAUCUUGCCCUUGCCCUGGUUACAUGUAGGAGUUUCCAUUACUUUCCUUGAAGGGCUUUGAGCAUUUUGUUUGGCUGUUUUCAUCUUUUGUUUCUUGUUCUUGGUCUACUCUGCUAGAUAGUGUUUUCUAAAUGUAACAUUAAUGUAAUUUUGAUCUGAUAUUAAUCUUGCUCUUUGCAGCAUAAGGCUCCUUUCAUUGAAGAACUUGAAGAUCAGAUGCAGAAGCUACACGAAGAAAGAGCAGCUGCAAUUCUAGAAAGAAGAAUCGCUGAUAAUAACGAUGAAAUGAAGGAAUUAGAACCAGCUGUGAGUGCAGCAAUGUCUGUUUUUCGUAAAGGUGGAAGCAGUGCAGCAAUGAUAGAAUCAGCUAUAAGUGCUGCUCAGGCUGCAUCUGCAGCUGCAAGAGAAUUAAGAGACUUACCUGUGGAGCUAGAUGAACUUGGCAGAGAUUUGAAUCUGCAGAAACGAAUGGAUUUAGCUAGGAGGGCAGAGGCUCGACAAUACAGGAAAGCUAAGUCAGAUUCAAAGAGAUUGUUGUCCAUGGAAAUUGACAGUCCUAAUCGGCCAAUGGAAGGGGAAUCAAGUACUGAUGAAAGUGACAGUGAGAGUACAGCUUAUCAGUCAAGUCGUAAUCAGUUGCUUCAGAUUUCUGAACAGAUCUUCAGUGAUGCAGCUGACGAUUAUGCUCAACUUUCAGCAGUUGUAGAAAGGUUUGAGAGAUGGAAAAAGGAGUAUGCUUCAAGCUACCGUGAUGCUUAUAUGUCACUAAGUGCGCCUACUAUUUUCACUCCUUAUGUAAGGCUUGAGCUUCUAAAGUGGGAUCCACUUCAUGAGGAUUCAGACUUUAUUCAUAUGAAAUGGUAUGGAGCGUCCAGUUGAAAUUUGGCUGUACAAUUUGAGCAACACUUUGAUUAAAUGCCUUUUUGUUUCAUGAUUCACUCUAAAAUAUUUUGCUGACUCCUGGCAAGGUUAAGGCCUCUGGGACCAGCACAAUUGUGCAGCCUCUUGCUUCUUCUUCUUCUUCUUUCUUUAUUAUUUUAUUCUGGCCUUCUUUGUUUACCCUUUUUUCCGUGAAUCAUGUCAUUUCAUUUAUACAUUAUUUUUAUCACUAAAAUUUUUUUUUUCUUGGGUCAACGAUGAAAAAAUUUUAAACAAACAAAAUCCUGUUACAAAUUAGCCAAACCAUGAUAAUGUAACUUAUAGAUGUGUUCUUAUUUUUCUGUUAGAUGUAGUACUUUCAUAUCGUGGAACUUGAAUGUCCAGUAACUAUUCUUUUUGGUGGAUUUGCUGGUCAACUGAAUCAAAUUACCUCGAGGUUGAAAAUUUUUUCUUGGCUUGACCCGCAUGGUUGCAACUGUAGUAGCUUUCUAGCUUCAAAUAUACAGUGGCUGUUGUCUGUAAUUCUGCUGUCCACUUCUAGAGCAGGGCAAUAAUUUUAGUGGGGGUUGUCUCUUUUAAAUGCUCGUAUCAUUUAAACAAGCAUGGUGGAAAUUUUUUGUGAGCUUGAUGAUUUCUACCAGUUAGCCAUGGUUAGGUAGACCACUGAAUGCAGAGAUAAAAGAGUAUGAGAUUAUUGACUUCACUUUUGUUGUAACGUGCUAAUGAAAGAGAAUGAGAUCUUUUUGUUUUGGCUUUUUUUUUUUUUUUUUUAUGAUGCUGAGUCUAUCAUCUCUCCUACUUUCAGGCACUCCUUGUUAUUUGAUUAUGGUCCAGAAGAUGAUGCUGACGCCAACCUUAUUCCGGAACUAGUAGAGAAACUGGCAAUUCCAAUUUUGCAUCACCAGUUAGUAUACUGCUGGGACAUGCUUAGUACACGUGAAACAGAGUACGCUGUUUCUGCUACAAACUUGGUCUUAGGAUAUGUUCCUCCAUCCAGUUUGGCACUUGGGAACUUAGUAGCUGCACUUCGAGACCGCCUGGCUGAUGCUGUGACCAAUUUGAUGGUAUUUCUUAUCUCCUUUUUGGAUUAUCAUUUGCAGAGUAUAUCAACUAGUACUUGUCUUUCCUUAAAUAUUAUAUUCUUACUAAAAGGAUAUAAGUUUAUAGGUGCCAACGUGGAACACACUUGUAUUAAAAGCUGUACCAAACGCGGCAAGAGCUGCAGCGUACAGAUUUGGUGUGUCUGUUCGUUUGAUGAAGAACAUAUGUCGAUGGCAUAAGGUUCUUGCAAGGCCAGUAUUGGAAAAGCUUGCUCUGGAUGAACUGUUAAUUGGCAAGAUUCUUCCUCAUCUUCGAAGCAUUGAAUCAAACAUUCACGAUGCAGUUACAAGAACAGAGAGAGUUGUUGCCUCCUUAGAUGGGGUCUGGGCUGGUCCAAGUGUUACUGGGGAUCGCAGGUACUUGUUUCUUCAAGUGAAAAGUGUCAUUCUCUUGGUUUAAAAUGGAAGUAUGUCUAAGAUGCUACUGAAGAAUUGUGAAAGAAGCUUUUAAGUUAAAUUUUCAAGUUUUACCAAAUCUUAGGAUCACAGAAAAAUAAUUCUUAAAGUUGAGUUUGCUUUUGAGAUAGCAUCUUUGCUUGAUCUCACUUGCUAUUUGGUCAGGCACGAUUGCAAAAAUAUGAUUUACAUAUUUAUCCUUGCCACUACAAACAAUACAGACCUACAUGCUCCUCCUGUAUCAAGCCUGAAAUUAAGGUGGAUUUAGAAAAUACAAUAGAUAAAGGGAAAAGUGGGGAAACAUAGUUGCCAGUUUGCUUGGGUUUUGUAGUGGCUUAGUAUGUGGGCAAUUGCCUCUCUCUAUAUACAGCAUUCACUAAGUGUAUAAAUUGUAGCAAAACUUUCUGUUUGUGCUGAAGUGACAUAUUUCAGAGGGACAGAUGGUCUUACGUGGCAUGGGUAUUUAGUGUGUGGAGGAGGUAGAGAGGAAAAGUAGGGAAGUUUGGUAAGAGAUGAAAGCCUUGUGAAAUGCUAAGCCAGGAAAAGCCCUGUGUUCAAGCAUAUAAAAGAAAGUUAACUUUAUGGGCUAAUAUCUGUAUCUGGAUGGUUUCAUCUCAUGAGGACCCUUCUGAGUCAAUCCUUUUAAUGAAAAUGAUUAGAGUUGGACAUGAUUCCAACUUGACAUUCAAAACUCUCUGAAUGCUCACCCUAAAUUGUCCAGUGCAACCUUGAGGUUCAAGGUCAUUCAUUCAUUAAAAUGUUUUUUUUUUUUUUGGGAUACUAUGUUGCCAGUUAUUUAGUUCUCUAUUUAUUGCAUGUGGUACGCGCAUCUUUUUCUCCAUGGCUUUCAAUAGCAUGUGGCUUUCAAUGGCAUGUUGCAUGUAAAUUAGUGAUGAAUUUUUGAAGGCCUUGCGUUGUCACCUGACUAAUUUCCUUUGCCCCAUGAUACAAGUCAGCAAUGGACUGUUACCCUACUUCUCAUAUGAGUAAACUCACUGUAUCCUCACUAUGCUUGUAGCCCAAAACUGCUGCCACUGGUGGAAUUUUUGCUAUCACUUGGAAGGACGCUGGAGAAGAGGCAUGUUUCUGGUGGGAUUCAGACAGAAACUGCUAAACUUGCUCGCCGAUUGAAGAAGAUGCUUGUGGAGCUAAAUGAGUACGACCAAGCUAGGGCAAUAUUAAGAACCUUUAGUCUCAAGGAGGCGUUGUGACUCCCUUAUCUCCGAUGUCUAAUUGUCCCUCUUGCUCCUCCUCUGUCUAAUGGUUCCCCCUUGCUUGUACAUUUAAUGGUUUCAAGGACUUGGGGAGCUAACAUCAGCUCUUGCUUAGGAAAGUUCAUAAAGCACAAUUUUGAAAAGAAUGAGAUUCCUUGAUACACCGAGUUAGCAUAGUCUUUGAAUUAGAUGCCCUUGGCCCCCCCUCUGGUGGCCCAGGUAAUGCAUUUUGUGUUACGUUAGCUUAUGUUUUGCUUCGAGCUGAGGCUCUGGUGCCCCCUCUCUUCUCCAUCAGUAUGAAAACCCUAUGAAUUAUUGGUUUCGUGUUAUAGUCACGGAGAAACCAAAAGAUGAGCUCUUAUCAAGAACCCCAAUUCCGGCCCCUUUCGAUUCGUCGUCUUUCUAUCAAGAUCCAUAUGAAGUAUCGAUUUCACGUUUUGUCUGGACAUGGAAGGCCUUUUCUUUUCUCGUGUAUUCUAAUGAGAAUGCAGCCCUUGUAACUUUGUUUUUAAGGUUCGGCAACUGGAACUUUUUGGUGGCUCUUGCGGAUUGUUUGGUUAAUUAGCAGAUUUAUGUUUGUUUUUUUUUUGGGUUUUUGGGGGUUGGGGGUCAUAAUAAACUUCCGUUUUGAGCUGUCUUUUAGAAAAGAUUAGGCCUGACGGUCCCAGCUCUAACUUCUAGUUGAAUGUCAAACUUUGUGUUUCCAUUUAGUAUUGGGAUCCCAGAAAGGCUUUGAUUUCAGAGGAGGCCAAACAUGCUGCCGAAAGCCCCACUUUGAAUAUCAUGUGGAAGUUGGAAUUCAACUACUACUACAACUAAAAUGGAUCACCUUUUGGGACAAAUGAGAUUAGUUUAGCUUUCACAUUAGGAUACUUCUGCAGUCGUAGAAAAUUCAUGUUCAAUUAUCUUUGGUCCACCAAACCUGUAGCAAAUCGCUUGCUAAUCUAUUAAUAAAAGAACCAGUCAACUGCUUUGUAUAUGAGUAGGUUUAACCACGACUGCAGGAACCAAUACCUAAAUGACCUACUAUGUUGGUUGAGAUGCAAAUACGAAGUAUAGACUCAUGCAUGCAGGACAUGGAGCUUCUUUUUUCGGAGAACCUACUUUAAUUUGGGUAUUAAUGCAGUAUAUUCGAGUGAAACUGAAUUCAAUUGAUUAGUCAUUGCAUUUACCAUAAUGUUUUGGAAUAUGGGUCGCAAAAUCAUUUGAGAUUUGUGCUAACCAUUUCAGGAAAAAGAAAAACAAAAUGAUACCCUGGUUAACUUGAAGCUGAAAAGUUGAGAUGCCAUCUAAGUUUGGGGAAUUGGGAGUUGAAGUUCAAAAACUCUAUCGACUUUUUUAUGCAAACAAAUUAUUAUUAGUAGUAUAACUUCGUGGUUUCUUAUUUAGUGCAUCCAAAACAGAAGUAAAAAUUUUGCUGGAAAACGAACCUAUAGGCUGUAACUGAAGUCGUUUGGUAAAUUUUUCAUAUUAUGCACAAAAGUAGAGGCAAUUCUUGAGUCCUACGUAAUUUUACGAGGGAACUGCUGAGUGUUGACUACAACAGGUGCUGUCUUAUUUUGUGGGCUUUCGAAUUUCGAUGCGGGUUAUACUCUGUAAUAUUUGGAGUUAAAUGCGGACCAGAGCUGGCGAAAAUUAAAACUCACGCCUACCAAUGCAUUACGAAUUUUGGCCAUGACAAUUUAUGGACGCUCAGCGUUUAAGUCAAACGCGAAUGUGUGUAACUGAUGAAAGAAAUUUGUGUCAAAUUUUUUGAAAAUAUCGAAAAUUAUUUUCAAGAGAAAUUAUAAUAGUAAACAUACAGAAAAUUCACUAAAAUAAAAUGUAAAAAUAAAUAAUUAUUUGGUAGUAAUUCAUAAUCACAAUUGAUAAUUGCUAAUAAAAGUUAAGGUAUAUUAAAUAAGUUGAAAAAUAAAAUAAUAAGAAAUACAUAUUAAUUGGAGGAAAGAUAUAUUGAAACUUGGGAGUGGAUAGUUUUCAAGGGUAAUUUAGAAAGAACAUAAAAUGACACAAAGAAGUUUAUACUAACCCCCUCCUUUCUCUUUGUACAUAAAAUAGAUGAUGGGAAGGUUUGUAAAAGUAAUAUAUAAAAAGAAAGUGAAUAUUGUGCCUCACUCAUCAAAUUGACUGCCUCUUUUCCUCGAAGAACAUAGGGGAAACACAUGGAAUUUACACCUACAAAUAAAGAUAUGAUGAAAUUACCAAAAAAAAAAAGUGAGUUUGAAGUAAAUAAAGUUGUAAACUACAGGAAGUGACAUGUUAAACUCUUUCGAGUGGUAACACAAUAAUAUGUUGAUAGUAGAAUGGUCCCUCCAAAAAGGGAAAAAGGUCGAAUGGUUGGUUGAUAUAUUUCCCACUAGGUGGGUGCUAAAUAAUUGUUAACAUGUACUAAAGGUAGCUGAUUAGAAGGGGAAGGGCAUCAAAGGGCGUUCCCUAGUUAGACCAUGUAAACUUGGAUUGAGAUUGAGAACCGAAAUGUUUCGUUGUUUCGAGUUACAUGUAAUUGAUAUAGCACUGAGGGAAGUAGCGCAACAGAUCUUCUGUUUCACUCUAUGUUCUCAAGAUUCAAUCACUAUUAAUCGAGUAAAAAAGAAUUAAAAAUAUGAUGUUUAUGAAGGAAAAAUAUCAAUAUAAUAAAAAGUGAGAUAGAAAGUGACAUAAGUGAGACAAAAGAUCUAUUGUAGUUAAAGGGUGUAAGUGAGAAGUAUUGAAUUCGAUCAUUUCUAUUUACGCCUAAAAAUUUUUUAAAAAAUUUAAAAAGUUUAAAAAAUUGACAUAGUAUUAGUUUUAGCUUUCGAAUUGCGACAAGUACAUAACUUCAAUUAACCAUUGUCCAAAACAACUAAGCUGGUGUUGUUCGGUAAAACAAAUCGAAGUGUAACUACUCACGUAGUUGCAUUAUUACACCAUUGCUAGUUACAAAAUAUAAAUAGUGUUUUGAUAAGAAAUUAGUUGAAAUAAUUAUUGUAAUAUUUUUUAUGAUAUGAUGUAUGUGAGAUAAAAAGAUAAUUAAAAAAAUAAAAAAAAACAUGUUAAAAAUUGUGUUUCUGAUGCAAAUAAACAACUUUUUGCGAGAUCUAAUCUACUUGCAUGGACAAGCAAAUAAAAUGUAAUUGUACAAACAAUUUCUCGUGUUAUGAUAAAAACAUAAUAAUAAUUGAAGACAUUUGUUGGAUUCUCCUAUCUUCACCGGUAUGCAAAUGUGGGCCACAACACUAGAAUCUAGAAUUCCAUCCAAAUCCAACAAAAAUGUUGGCCUAACUCUUUCCACAAGUCUCCACUCUCCAUGUCAAGGACAGUCUACCCUCUCACGAGAAUAUUUAUUCAGAUAAAGGACAUGCCAAUUACAACUUAAAUAGAAGGCCUGUCAAAACUAAAUGAAUGUUAGCCCUCACCAACAAAAUCAAUUUGACUUUUAUCCCCAAAACUGAGAAAACAUAGCCCAACACGAGAAUUUUUUAAGCACAUACAUGUGGGAUUUUUUGAAGCACUUGCUAUUACGCUUAAAUUAUUAUAUGAAUGCUCCUUUUCUCUCAAAUUGCAAAACAACGUUUCUAUAAUUUGUUCAAGUUCAAAAAUCAUAACCUGUGAAAUGGGAUUGCUAUUUUUAGGAGUUUUUUUAAUAAAAAAAUGUAAUGUAAAAAUUUGAUGUAUAUGAGGUAAAAAAAAUAAUAAAAAAUAUAUUCACAGAAAACAUAAUUUUUUUUUUACUAAAAAUCACAAUCCAAACAAGGCCAACAGAAUGGUUAAAUUCUGUUUAUUUCUACUACAUAGUUGAUCCAUGAUUGUAUUAGUAUCUACCUAUUAUAUAAGAAAAAAGCCAAGUUACUAUAGCACCCCAUCUUUUUGACACAUGUAUUGCAUAUAUUUUUGACAAGUGGAUUCUUGGUCAUUUUAGCUAAACUUUUCCUUCCCCUUUUUGAUUCAAUUGGGCCAAAAUAAUUAAAAUGUUUUUUCUCUGAGCCAAGUUACUAUAGCACCCCAUCUUUUUUACACAUGUAUUGCACAUAUUUUUGACAAGUGGAUUCUUGGUCAUUUUAGCUAAAUUUUUCCUUCCCUUUUUUGAUUCAAUUGGGCCAAAAUAAUUAAAAUAUUUUUUCUCCUUCAGAAAAUCAACUAUGUCGCUUCUUCUUCUUCUUGCGGUAAGUGCUAUUAUUUUUUAUUUUUUAAAACUAAUCUAACUAAAAUUGUUGCCAUGUUCUUUUUUUUUCGUCGAGAUGAUUAGCUACUUAACAAAGAGAAGUUUUUAUUAUUUUUUUAUCCCAUUUUACAUUUUCUUUUCUUCCUUUUUUUUCUUCAUGUCUAAUCUCUCAUAUUUGCUCUAUUCUUCGAUCAUAAUGUUAUAGUCAACUGGCAUUUGUUUGUUAAAUUUAUAGGAUGAUGCUAUUAUUUGGUAAUUUUCAUGGAUAAAAGGUGAAAUAUUAAAAUAUGUAAAAAGAUCUUAAAAUUCAUUUUAUACCAAUGAUCAUUUUCUAUGAAGAAUAGAACAAUAAUUCUUUCUUUUCUUAUCUCCUCCCACGAUUUGAUUUCUUACUUCACAUUUUUUUUUCUUUUUCUUUGUUUUUUGGUUACAUUUUGUAAUUAUCUACAAUUUUGUGUAUUUUUUAAAGAGAAAAGAUAUAUCAUGUGAUGCUUCCACCAAGAUAAAUCUAGUUAGGCAUUCUUCUACUUCUGUAUUCUAUAAGAUUUUGUAUAUAUUUAAACUAACGUUAAUUUUUAUUUUUUUUAAUUAUUCAGGUUAUGUAGUAUCAAUUGGGUUGGCAUAUAAAAAUUGUAGUUGGUGGUAGAAGUCAAAAUUAAAAAUUAUUAGAAAAUUCAAUUUUGAUUAGGAAGAUGUUUUUGCAAUAAAAAAAAUGGUUCAAUUCUAAUUUGUAUAUGUAGAUCUGGAAACGUAGCAAUUCAUAUUUUUUAUCUAACCUUGCUAUUUAUAUUCUGGAGCUGCAGGAUAAUGUUGUCACCUUUAAACGGGAUUUAAAUAAAUAAAGAAAGAAAAAUGUGAAACUUUAAAGUAAGUUAUAUUGAUGUUGAAGAUUGUGACAUGUCUUAGUGGCUUUCUAAACUUUUUCUCAUUAUUAAAAAACUGGAAGCAUUAUGAUUGCUUUUGAUUUAGUUACAACUAAGACUAUGCUGCUAAUUAAUACAGCAAUGCACUUGUAGUGUAUUGAUUUUCUCUUUUUUUUGGGUAUUAUCAUAAUAAUAGUUCAAAAAUCUUUAUUCAAAUCACAAUAAAUAGGGGUAUUAACUUCAUAGAUGGAAUUUCUCUUCACAACAAAUUUUGAGGGAAAUUUUAUUUAUACUCCAUAUUUUAUUAAUUGUAUUCCUACAAUAAAUAAAAACUAUAUGAUAAAAAUAAUAGUGAAAAUAUGAUUAACAAAAAUGAGAGUUCAAAUAACAUUUGUUAAUUUUAAUUGUUUUGAGGUCCAAUUUUCUCCUAUAUUUCUAUUGAUUUAUCAUGUGCCAAAAUAAUUUGAUGUUAUGUGCUUGAUUAUAUUUCUAGGGGCCAAGCUAUGCUUUGCAAGUACCUCUAGUGUACUAACUAAAAAGGUGGCCAAUUACACGACAGCUGCAGUGGGUUUGCUUCUCACAUUAUCACACGACAGCUGCAGGCUGCAGAAUGUGCAUACUCUUGCAUGGAUUAUAUGUGACAGCCCCACCUCACCCUAAGGCGAAACAAAGGGUUCAGCGGACCGCCUGCCCAGCUCUCGCCAGGAUUACGGAGUCGAAUCACACAAAUCCGAUAUUACGCGAGAGGACCCAAAAUAAAUGAGCGAUUGAAGACCGCCAAGCUUAAACAUGGGGAAAACGCUUUCAUAUAUACAUGUCACUAGGUUUACAAUUCAAAUGGAACCAGUGAAACGAAAUACAUUUAGGGUUUGCUCAUUCUCGAGGAGCUAUACAAAAGAACAAAAGAUUUUCUAACUAGCUCAACUCGCUUCUCAAAAUCAUGAUUUCCAAAAGAGGUUCCAGUAAGGAAAACAAAGAUAACGAGGAGGGGGUGAGCUUACGCCCAAUGAGGUACCAAACAUAUAGCAGAAAAAUCAGGUAUUUCACGUUAUACAAACCAGAUACACAUGCUCGCUAUAAAGUAAGACAGGUAAACACAAGAACUCAAAUAGGAAGGAUACAGGUGGCUCUCAGGAGCCAGCUUUCCAGCGUAGUACUUGAUCCAAGCCGGUCGACUCUCCAUCAACGUAUAUAGAACCAACACGUCCGUAGACCCCACUUUACACCAAAUUCCGUCCACCAAACACCCCUUUACCGGGCCCGCUCACCUCAACAGAAACAGAAAGGGUAAUACUCGAGUAUACCGGAAUCAAGAGUCUCAAUACCCAAAGAUCCCAAAACAGACUACCGUGGUUCGUUAUCUAAUCGUCCAGGCCCUUGCCGGCCCGACUCGAAUAACUUAGCCACAGGAUUUGAGCUCAUAAGUCACAGAAAGGUCGUUGGUUACAAGUUUCCAAACGACGUCCGAACAGAUACAGAUACAGAUACAGAUACAGAUAUCAGAUACACAGAUUCAGAUUGACACCAAAAUUGGCAUAUGAACAGACAAGAGAACGAGUGUGAUAAAGUACACCCUCGUCUCAAACAAAUUAAACAGAUUGCAGAGCAGAAAUCAAGUUAAACAGCAAUGGAGGGGAGUGGUACACUCACCGGUUCAAGUACAAAUACCUCAAAAGUUUUCACUUCGGAUUGGCUUUAAUCGCCAAGAAACCCUAAAAUAAUCAAAAUAAACCAAUUGAAGGUUUCACAUCCAGAAUCGAGUAAACAAAAUACACAUGUGAGGCUCGACUACUAGUCGUAUGCCUCGCCAAAUAAUUACUAAUGCAAGGGUACAAAACAUGAUUUUUGGGAAUAAAAAGGUAACAUGAAGACCUAGGUUCAACAACCCAAAAGUCCUUCAUUUCUAUCACAAGCCAAUUCAAACUUAAAGGAACCAAUUGGCCUAGAAAAAAUUGGACAGCACUUCCCCUAAAUUUCUUACUUUUCCAGCCAUCACGGCUUCAUUAUUUUCCUCAAUCAACUCCCAAAGUCAUACUCAAUAUACACUCAUCACCACAGCCGUUCAAUAGGCUCAAGGUUAUCCAAGUACAAAAGUUAGUUAGGAAAAUGACCGGAAAUAAAAGUCAAGCCCUAGAAUAUUCCACUAAGCACAAGAAGACUCGAUUACAAGUCAUAAACCGAUGCCAACACGAUCACAAUAGGGUUCCAUAAGCAUAUAUAAGCAUUAGAGGAAACCAGAAAUUUCGGAAAUGUAACUAGCUUUGGCCCUGAAAAAUAGUUUUUGUCCUCAUUUUGCGGUAAUGGCACAAAUUUCACUACGCUUAUCGGAUGAGGGUGCAAGACCACCACCAUCUCGAAGCUAAAAGACAGGGCUACAACAUCACAGAAGGUCACUCAACCCAGUUUUGAGUGCAAACAGGUCAAAAAUGCAAGAUACUACAUCAACAACGUAAAACAGAUUCACCAAAACGCAUUCUAGUGGAAACAUCAUAACUCAGGCUCUACAAGUCCAAAUCCAGAAAUUCCAAAACCAUCUGAAAGCUAAGCAACAGGGAUAAAUUUCAUCAGAAGGUCUCAACAACCAAUUCGGAAGCAAUUCCAGGAAAAACAACCAAUUACAGGCGCAGUUCUCAAUUUCGGGUAAAACCAGAACAGCAAUAGUAAUUUCGACUUAUCUCAUUCUACUCUACUCCGAUUGACCUGAAAUUUUGUAGGAACCUCUAAAAUGUCAUUCCCUACAACUUUCAUGUUUUGAGCUAAGGCCAAUUCGGCCUCUAUCUAGGACCUAAAAAUUCGGACAGAAUGCUCCCACAAGAACCCUAAUUUUCUGAAAUUUCUUCCAAAACAGAAAUUGAUUGCAAUUGUCCACUUUUUUCACCUUCUAGAAUCAUUAUAUACCAUUUCCAAUCAUCAUAGAUAGCCACACAAUCAUGCUUAUAUUAAAACAGAAAAAUCCCCAAAAAUAAUAAAACUUCAUCAUUUCAACCACAAAUCAAAAAUUAAUCCAUAAACUUGCAUCUUAUACUACCACUAAGCAUGAUUUAAGCAUCAAUUAAAGGAGGAGGGUGGUUCUUCACAACUUACCUUAGAAACAAGAGAGAGAGAGCUAUUGGUCACCUUAACUUUCCAAAAAACUUCACACAACAACUCACCAACACUUCCUUAAGUGGUUUUAUGGAGCAAAAUCAAGGUUGGAUGGUUGGUUUUGGUGAUUUGGAACAAGAUUGAAGUGUUUUCUUCCUUGUGCUUGGAGUAAGAGAGAGAGAGAAAGAGAGCAAGAGAGGGCCGACUUCAAGGAGGAUUUUUUUGAGGAUUUUUGGGUCAAUUUUGGUUAUUUAAGUCAAUGGUAAGAAAGGUUUUAAGGUAAGCCCAAUCAAAUGGUGACACUUGUCACCUUUUAUUAACUCUCUACCUAACUUGUCUCUCUCAUAUCAAUCCAAAUUGCACCCUCCACUUAUCUCUUAACACCCGGUAAAUUCAUUCAAGUAUUCAAAACUUAAUCUAGUUGGCCGAAUUUUUCCGAACUUUUCGCACUAGUGGGUCCCACGUCCGAUAUACGCUUUUAAUUCCUCAAAAGCUAACCGAUACUAGAAAAAUCAUUUAAAAGCUAUAUUUACUCAUAAAAUUUAUUUGCACAAUGUUUCGAAUAAAGAAAAGGUGGAAAAACGUAUAAUUAAAAGAAAUUAAAACCUAGAAAUUAAGAAAAUUACGGGUCCUUACACUAUAUGCUUUGCAUGGACGGAAUAUAUAUAUAGUCUUAUUCUAUGACGGAAAAUCUAUGAAUUUCUGACCUGUACGAUAAGCAAAUGUGCGACACAGCACUAGAAUUUCAGCCAACAAAUGUCAUUCAGAUGAAGGACAUUCCACCAUACGAGUUUCAACCGCAUGUUUAUACCAUCAAAAUUCGAUCCACAACUUUACUGAUGCAGUGCAUGAUCGAGUGUACGAGUAUCCUUAUCUUAUGUAGCUGUAUGGCCUGCUUCACCAUGGUUUCAAUACAAAUUUCUAGUAAAUUACACGCCAAUACGAUCAUAAUUGGAUGGUAGUGUAAUAUCUACUAUAUGGUUAUCAUUUGAUGAUAGUCGGUUCAGAUUUCUAUCAUAUUCUUUUGGACUAUUAAUCUAUGAUUAAAUUUUAUAUACAUUAAACUGACAAUAUUUACACUAUCAUAAUUAGAUGUAUGAUACAUAUAUGCAAAAUUUGAAUUAUAUGUCAUGCAUCAUGUGGUGAAAUUGUAUACACUGUCAGUCUAUAGAAGAUUAAUCCUUAAUUUAUUACGAACAUUUUUCUUAAAAUUUUUGGUUGGUAAAAGUCAUUACUUACACAAAAUUUGACCAAGGGAUCUCGAGACUUCUUAGUUGCAGUUACAACCACAAAGUACAAGAGCUUGUUUAAAUUGUUAUUUUUUGAAAUUUUUAUAGAAAAAUAUAAUAUUAUAACAAUUUGAUGUAUGUAAAGUAAAAUGACAAGUAUUUAAAAAAUAUGUUUAUGAAAAGUGUAAAACUGAAAAAUGCUAAUUCAAACGAGGCUAUUGAGCUAAAAUGAUGAUAAAGACGGUAAGCUUGUCUACCAUCACAAUUUUAGCACAUAGAGGUUAGAAGAGUUGGUGCAUAUAGUCCUUGCAACCCUAAUUAGGUGGGUAAAUCAAGACCUAGGCUGCGGUUUUGGUUAGGUCAAAAUUAACACAACCAUUGACCUCCUGAAAUUAAUUGCUUUUUGAGGAUUUGAUGAACUAAUAUUAAGUUUGCAACGAAACCUGUUUCAGUCAUUCGUUGAUCCCAGCUGCCCCACCAGACCUCCACUUUCCCAUCCACACUUCCCCUACCAAUAGGAUUACACCUUUCCUUUCACGAGCUCAUUCUGCUGCUCUCAGCAUUCAUUCUUUCAUCCCGUGAAUCGCGACGCAUAAAGAAAUAUCAUGACCGUCAGUUUCGGUGACUGAAGAAAGGAAAGGAAAGAGAAGUUUAAUCCGAACGGUGGAUGGGCGGCGGCUACAAAGUUUUACCCGUGAAACCACCACCACGAGAUCUCCGCCCCCUCUCAUAAAGAAUCACAGGAGCAGAGACGCGGCUUUCCAGCCUGGACUCCUUUCAAUUUAUUCCAUCGCUGUCACCUAUCUCGAUCAAUCCAUGGUCCCACCUUGGCUUUCAAAAUUGCAUACAACCCGGUAUACGUCUAGGCCCUGUAAAUACCUAAGCUACCCUUUCACGAAUUUUUAAAAUUUUUUUCUUUUCUUUUAAUUAUUUAAACUUUUUUUUUUUAUGCUUCAAAAGGAUUGUGGGUUAGUAGGAAGUAAAUCAUCCAAAAACUCUCACCGUACUAAGAAAGCAAAAUAUUAUCCGAAAAUGUUCAAAAUUUAGGUGUUGUUUAAAGAUUGGUUCUUGAUAAUUGCAAUUAUCUUCCAUUCUUAUCCAUUAACCAAAAUGUUAAUGGAACUUUCGUACUACAAUGUCUUAACAAAAAUAUUUCUUAUCUAAAUUUGUAACUGACUACUUGGUCACGCUAGCUACAUCAAUAAAGAUUUUCACCAAAUUCUCACAAUCAAAUGCUCGUAUGAAUGCCAAAGGUCUUUAUUAUUUUGUUAGAUAGGACGAGCUACUCAUAUAUUGACCAUGUAAAUGUAUUGAUCAUGUAACUGAAUGUUAUUCCUUAUAUAACAUUUGUUAUGAGGCAAGGUUUUAGGCCCCUCUUCUAUUUAAUAAAUUAAUUAAUGGUUACCAUCCUUAUUUCAUGUAUGACAUUUUAUCAAAUAAAAAAAAACUUAUAUUUUAUUUCUCAACUUUUGUUCCUUUGGCUUCUAUAUCAGAUUAAAUAUUGGAUGUAACGCAAUUCUCUUGGAUACUUUUCGCCUAUUACUACUUCGGCUUCUACCUUUUGUUGAGCUUUUCACUAUUGGUUUCUAAUUAUCUUGUAUAAUACUUGUUCCACUUCUGCCAACAAAACUAAAAAAAGAAUGUCAACUAUUUGCAUAAAAAAUCAUAUCAAGUUUGUUUACUCUAUCCGCACUUUGUUUUGUACCGUAUUUGAAGCCAAAUGUGAUUGAAUUUUUAUUUUACUCCUGAUUUUUCUAUCAAAGAUAUGUUUAUAAUUCAUUUAACAAGCUCACAUGAGGUGGCAAAAUGACUUAAAAUGUUUAUUAAAUAAAUACAUAUACUAGCAUAAGAUUGAGGCAAAUGAUUUAUUCGAGAACCCUUUUAAAAAAAAAAAAAUUUUUUUUUCACAGCAAAUCUCUAGCAAAAUAACAAUUGUAUCCUUCAAUAUUCAAAAGUUGAAUGCACUUUGAAAAGAGUAAAAUUGUCAUUUCAAAGAAAUUAGCAAUGGCAUUAAAAACAUGGACUACGAUAUUAAAGCUAUCCUAAUUGACUGUCAUUAUAUGCUACAAUCAUUUUGUUGAUUGAUCUGCUAGUACAAGUAUUAGAGUAUCUAUAGUAGGAGAAUAAAUUCAUUCUCCACCUCAUUUACAAAUUCAAAAAAAAAAAAAAUCUAACCCGGGCUAAGAAGGUCAUUUCAUAUUGAUAUGUUUACUUUUCCAUUUAUUUUUUAUCCCCACACUUUCGUACUCGGACAGUUGGACUUCCAUACUCAUCCUCUUAUGACUUUAAUCUCUGAUCUCCCAUGACCACUCUCCCAAAACAGCCAAACUCCUCCAAUACCUCCUCUUCCCACCACCGCCAUCGCUCCCACAAUGCCACCUGACACCAGAACCACCGCACUCCUCCUCCUCACCAUCCUCCUCCUCCUCCUCAGCUCCCACACUCCCUCCACCGCAGACCUCCCGCAAUUUCGGGAAGCCCCAGCAUUCCGCAACGGCCAGCACUGCCCAAUCUCCACAUGGCCCUCCAACCCACACGACCCUUCCACCAUCCACGUCGCCAUGACACUUGACUACUCCACGCCAUACCUCCGUGGCUCCAUCGCCGCGGUCUUCUCAGUCCUCCAGCACUCCACCUGCCCAGAAAACACCUUCUUCCACUUCCUCACCACCACCCGCCACCGCCAUUUCCAAGGCCUCAACUCCACCAUCACCUCCACUUUCCCCUACCUCCGUUACCAUCUCUACCACUUCUCCCCCGCCUUAGUCAACCACCUCAUCUCCUCCUCCAUCCGCACCGCCCUCGACCAACCCUUGAAUUACGCCCGCAUUUACCUCGCCGACCUCCUUCCCUCCACCGUCAACCGCAUUAUAUACCUCGACUCUGACCUCAUCAUCAUCGAUGACAUCUCCAAGCUCUGGAAAAUCAAUCUCUCCGCGCAUAUUCUCGGCGCCCCCGAAUAUUGCCACGCAAAUUUCACCAACUAUUUCACUCCCAAAUUUUGGUCCAACAGAUAUGUCUCCAGCACUUUUAAUAACCGUGCCACAUGUUAUUUCAACACAGGGGUUAUGGUGAUGGAUUUAACGAAAUGGAGAACAAAUGGGUGCACGAGAAAACUGGAGCAUUGGAUGAGGAUUCAAAAGAAGUAUAGAAUUUAUGAGCUGGGCUCAUUGCCGCCGUUUUUGUUGGUUUUCGCCGGGAAUGUCGAGGGGGUUGAGCACAGAUGGAAUCAACAUGGACUCGGGGGGGAUAAUCUCGAAGGUUUGUGUAGAGAUUUGCAUCCGGGUCCCGUUAGUUUGCUGCAUUGGAGCGGAAAAGGGAAGCCGUGGUUGAGAUUGGACUCGAAGAAACCUUGUCCGUUGGAUAGCCUUUGGGCUCCGUACGAUUUGUUUAAACAUCGGCCAUUGAUCUCCGAUAGUUGAUGAUGCUGGUCGUAGGAGAUUGUUGCCCCGUGACCGUGAGUGAGUAAUUGGGAUGGAAACAGGUGAGGAGAGAAUGAAAAAGGAGAAAUGAGGACAGAACAGAUAGAUUUAUGGUGACGUGAGAGGAAGAAUACUUUUGGGGUUUUGGUGGAAUGUUGUGGCGGAGCUCUGGUGUGGUACUGUCGGUGGGUUUUUCUUGGCCGUCCGAUGUGAGAGAUCAGGACGGUAAGAUUUGGUGGUGGUGGUUUGGGAAUGAGGAUAUGAUGGGUGCAUUGUGAUGCUGGGUCCUAUUUUUUGGGAGUGGUUGGAUUCCAUGUUGCUAUCAGAGUUUGUUUUGUUUUCUUGGUGGCAGUGGAGGUGGAGGUGCUAAUUGAGUUUUUUUUUUUGUUUUUUUUUUUGUGUGUGUACAUGUUGUGCUACUUUUUAACCUACUACUACAACUACUACUUGUGGUUGGUUCUUUGAUUGUUUCUGAUGAUCAUAAUCAGAAUUGAGAGAAUUAUUCAUUAUUGAUUGAUGUUUGUGAUGGCGCAUUUCCCCUUUGCUUUCAUCCACUAGAGUGUCUGUUUGAUCUUAUCCUAGCAAGUAAAUAUGAUGAAAUUUGUUUUCUUGUGAAAGCAAUCAACGGAUAUGGGAAGGGACUACUGAUCAAUUGGCCAUUGGAUACCCCUUUGAAUAGCCUAAAAAUGAGCAAAUUCUAGUGGAGUUCAAUAGCAUCAGAAGACAUGUUAAAGGGACUGAAUCGAAACUCGAUAAAGCACUUAAUAAUGCUAUUGAUGAUCAUGAAAGUCUGGCAGCGCUCAGGUCAGGCAAGCUUUUAAUACGAUAUAUAUUUGUCGGCUACUGGCCGUGCAUAUUUCCAUGGUUUAUGAAGACCCAUCCAUUUUCGUGCCUGAUGCCUGCUGACUAGCAUCCGGAUUCCAGGGAAAAGGUGGAUUAACGAUUAAGAAGAGCUCGUCCGGAGUCAUGUUGAGUAACUUUCAACUUCAACUUUUUGAUUUUUUUUUUUAAAAAAAAAAAAACUCACAGGUUACAAUAGAGGAGGGGAAUCCCAUUUUACUCUUAUAAUGCGGACUAGAGCGAAAAAACUUCCAUCACAUAGUGGAAAAAAUUUCACUAUUGUAACGGAAGUAUUGGGCUCGCUCAAAGCAGCUUUUAUUGGGUCAUUCACCCCGAUCUUGAAAUAAUAGUUGUGCAAUUAGGUCCCCUUGCCCAACAUAAAACGCUGUUCAAGUUUGAUUUGAAUAGUUGGCAAAUCAAGUUCAAAUCAGUUGUUACCAAAUCGAGCUCGAUUCGAACGUCGAAUAGCUUAGUUCAUCUUUCGAUCCUAAUCAUGAAUAUCUUUUAUUAGUUUAAGAGCUCCGGAAAAAGGAAUAGGGGAGGACUUGAGAGUCAAAUUAGGCUUCUUUUUAUGUUGCUGGACCUUGGAACAUUUAAUCAUAGAUAUCAUUGAGUGUGAGUAUGUGAUGGACGCGGGAAAGAGAAGCAAUAGACAUAAAAUUAGGCAAAGCCUUGUGAUGUUCCUCGGUCACAACUUUGGAUAUGGACUGGACUUCAUGAGAAAAUGUGUCGGAUAAAAAAAUAACAUUCUUUUUUUUUUUUUUUUGGUCAAAAAGCAACCUAACAUUAUUCCCCAUUCUCCUAUGCUUCCUUUUGCAUUGUGUGGACUCUUGGGCCAAAAACUUAUCAAGCCAUUCUGUUUUCAGAUUGUUUCAGAGUCCAGGAGUGGAGCAGAAACCCAUACUGGGGAUAUUAACUGCGGCCAUCUGGCCCACUGAAUUGACCUACGUAUCAAUUGUGGCCUGUAUUGUUCACCACAUCCAUUGAUCGACCUACGUGUCAAUUGUGGCCUGUAUUUUUUGUAUUUCCCUCCACAAAAAAUACCUGAAAUAACUGUCCCUUUUGAGAAAAUAAAUACAAAAAACAAAAUAAAAAAAAAAAUCUAAGAAACGGACGACGCCAUGAAAGAAAGCAACAGAGCGCAGUCCUAGGCUAGCCUAAAAUUGCUGAAACAAAUCUUCAAACAUAACUCUGAUGAUUUCUUUUGUUUCCCAAGCAUAAUUUUAGGUACUAAAAUUCCUCAUAGAUCCUCGAAACAAUCAUGGCUACGGUUGCCACCAGUGGGGUUGGAUUAAGUGGAGCAAGACUCCAUGCUUUCAACUCCAGCAAACCAUUUUCUCCAUUUCUUGGGAAGAAGCUCAAGAUUAAACCAAUUUCUGAGUCAAUUCAUCCAACAAAGUUUAACCAUGCAAAAUCCAGGAAUCUUCUUGUUUUAGCAUCUGGGUGGAUUUAAUGAGCUUUGUCAACGAUCUUUUUGUUGGGGUUGGAGUUGGACUUCCAUGUACGGUCAUGGCGUGUGGUGAUAUAAUUUAUAGAAGUACACUUCCAAGCUCAAAUGGUCUCACAGUUACAGUUCCUGGGACGAUUUUAGCACUGGGUGCUUUGUCUUAUUUGUGGGCUACUCCUGGUGUUGCCCCUGGUUUUUUUGAUAUGUUUGUGCUUGCAUUUGUUGAAAGACUGAUUAGACCUACCUAUCGGAAGGUUAGUUGAUUGUCUGGUGAAUUUUUGAUUUUGUAAAGUUUUGAGGAUAAAAUCUUGGAAUUUGGAUAAUUUGAUUUUGUUUUGUGGUGGCAGGAAGAUUUUGUGCUUGGGAGAAAUUAGGUGAAGGGUCUUUUGGUGUGGUUUAUAGAGCUUCAUGGGCUAAAAAGCCCUCCCCAAAGGUAAAUAUUUGACAGGAACUUGCUAGUAUCAAAGUUUUGUUUAUUGUUUAUGUUAUUUCAGCCCUUUCGGAUUUUUUCCCCUUUAUGUGCUUUGCAUGUAUUAUAGGGAAUAUUGUUGAGGUUAUGCUGGUCCCUACUUGAACUUUGAUGGAAUAUUUUCUUCCAUUCUUUUGCUCAAAUGCUCAGACUUUAUAUAGAACCUAAUCACAUGUACAUGUAUCAAGUUUUUUCCAAACUUUUUGUCAAUCUGGAAUGAAUGUGUUAUUAGGCCACAGUUUGCAUUAAUAUUAGUGAUAAAGAUAUCUAGAAGGCAUGUUUGCUAAUUUCUAUUGGUAGCGAUCCUAAAAUAACAAUAGUUGCUAUUGGUUGUCACUCAAAGGGUGGAGAGUUAGUCUUGAAAAAGGCUACUGAAUAUGGAGCAGUGGAGAUAUGGAUGAAUGAACGUUGCGAAGGGCUUGUGCUAGUAGCUGUGCUGAUUUUGUGUAUGGCUUUCUCGAGGUGCUGCUCUCUUUGCCUAAUGUUGCUAAGUAUGAUUAUAGCAGAGAUAAUAAGACAGCUUCAAGCACAUAUCUAUAACUUUUGCAAAUUGGAUUCAUAGUUCUUCAAAGAAACAAGCUGAAUAUUGGCUUAUAUGGCGUUUUGACGGGGAAGCCACACUUGCUGAUUUAAUGCAAAGUAGGGAGUUUCCUUACAAUGUUGGUACCACUUCUGUCUCACCUUAAUUCUAAAUCUGUGAUGCAGAACAAAUCUCCUUGAUGGAAUUUUCAAGUAGAUAUAUUAUGAUGUGGAAAUCAUCUGUUCCAUAUGUUAUCCAUUUUGAACAUCACUAUGACUUAUUAUGUGUAUUUGCUUAGGUGCAUAUUAGACGUGCACAAUUCCAUGAAGGCUCACGGUAGCAUAUUUAAGGACAUAGCUGCUGGCCUAAAAAAGUGCCAACUCUUUCGUUUUGUAACUUAUAUAUUCAAUUCAUGACAUGAAUUAUAUGUAUUGUUACAUAAUGACGUAGGCCAACCAUUGGACCAUAGCUGUGCUUAUUGUUCCAUAGUGUAAAGCCCUAAGAUAAUAGGAUUUCCCUCCAAACAUAGCUGUGCUUAUUGUUCCAAAGUGGUAGAGUAACUGAUUCUUAAUAGAAACAAUAAUGUUGUAUUGUGAGGACAGAAGAGAAUAAAACUGUACUCUCUUCAGGAAAAAUUUCAUAGAGCUUGCCUGCCAAAAGGAAAAAGAUUAUAGUUGUCCAUAUUAUGAUGAACUGGUAGGCAAACAAAGAUAUCAUUGGUAGCUCUCCAGGUACAGAGUAACAACGGUGGCCACAAGAACUUCUCAAAGUGACAAUUGUGUUGUCAGGACCAGAAGGGUGUCAAAAUACUAGCUGAGAUUGGUUUCUAUUAAUAGUCUUUAGCCUCUAUCCCAAGCUUUCAGUGUUGAAGGUGAAUUUGGCUACCUUUAUGAGUGAAACAGUAGAAAUAGAUUUCUAGAACUGCAAGAAAGAAGAAGAUUUACAAAGAAAAUCAGGAAUUACUGAAACAAGGAGCACAGAAAAGAAAACUUGGAAAUUGAAUGAGAAGUCAAAUAUUUGUUCAACUGAAAAGAAAUGUUUGCUAGUAGGAAAAUUCUUGUCCAAGAAUUAAGAAUCCGUUGUCCAGAUUUCCCCUUCUGGCACUCAAAGGGUAGAGCCUGUAGAUUGACUGCUGAAACUAUGAAUCCUGACUAGACACACAAGAUUAAGAUGGUGACCUCUCCAGCUUUGCUUCAGUUAGAUGCUCUAGAUUAGAAACUGAUUCCUUUUUCACAUGGCAAAGUGCUUCAUGGGUGGAUUUCUGAGGUUGAAAACUUUUCCAGUAUAUCCAGGUCUUUGAGUCACUUUUGUUGUAAAAUAUGCCAAAUGAGUCCCCCCCUCCCCCUCUCCUGAAAAGAAGUCCUAGUUGUUUAUCUCCCUUUAACCUAUAUUAGCAAUAGGUUGAUCUAACUAUGGUUUUGUGUUCAUUAUCUUGUCUAAAGAAAAGGUCAAUGCUUUUGUACACUUUUUGCAAUGAGUUGCUGAGACGGUCUCUAUUGACAUAUAAGAUCAAAUUUACAUUUCUAGCCUCUUCUGCUAACCUUAAUGAAGUUUUCGCAAACUUAAAGGUGGAAGCACUGCUUCUGGGGAGGUUAACAACUUGCCUAAGGUCUAGAAAGGGAAAAUCAAAUUAUCCAGACUAUUUUGGGACGGAUCUUGUUUGCAUUAGAUGGUCUUCACUCAACCGGAAUUGUCCACAGAGAUAUUAAGCCACAGAACAUAAUUUUCUGAAGGUGACUGUUUUGUGCCAACCUUAUUAGCAGCUCGCUUAAACUCUCUCUCUAUUGUUUCUUUCAGUUUUUUUUCUUUUUCUUUUCAUUUUUCUUCAUUAAAUGUGAUGCAGGUUCUCGCACAUUCAAAAUCAUUGAUCUUGGAGCUGCUACAGAUUUAAGGGUGGGCAUCAAUUAUAUUCCUAAGGAGUUUCUGUUAGAUCCAAGGUAACUUUUCAGCUCAACAAAAAUAAUCACUGCCAGGAGCAUGUUGGUUUCUUCUCUAUACACUAAAGUACUCAAACUUGCAAAUAGCUGCUGAUGAAGUACUAAAGUUUCUAGGCAGCCUAAUCAAAUGUCAUUAUCAAACCAAUAAGAAAGUAUCAGUUAGUUACUCAUGAGAAAUCCUGUAAAAUCCUGGAUAUUGACCCAAAUCCUUACCUGGGGUCAUCUACUCAAAUGUUACCUUUUUCAUUAGGAAAAGAAAAUUAUGUUGAGCAAAGUAUCAAUCAACUUCAGUUAUCUCAGAUCAAAAUGUGUAAUAGUCCUCCCUACACCAAAAUUCAUCCCAGAAUUAGUGGCCAUCUUGGUUCUCUUAGUCAUGUCAAAAGCUAGGAAAAAUUCACGCAGGGAUGAGAGGGUUAGAAAAUGGAGCGCUACAAACCUCCACCCCUCCUUCCCCAAAAACGACCUUUUUAGUCAUAGAGGAAAUGUUUCUUCGUAGAAAAAGCCAACCAACCAUCAAGUAUACUUUGUUUUUGGGAAGGGAAGAAGAAGAGGGAAGGAGCGAAUUUUUGGGCAAUGGAACAACUUUAAAGUUGACUUCUUUUGUACUUUUGGAAGUCCAUCACAAUUAAGAAUAUUUUUGUUUUCGAUUUCCCAUAAAUUGCGCAAUAUUAAAUAACCGUUCUACGUGACUUUCAUAACCAUUUGGUAUCAGGCAGUAGAAGAGUGUAUUUCAUACUAUGAACUGAUUUAGUUUGACAACACCAUCGAGUUGAUUUUGUUCAAUACGAUCCACAAAUUUAAAUUAUCACCUCAAGAAGUCAAAUACAUAAUAUCUGAGUUGAAGUUGUAAUAAGUUAUUAUCCCAGUAACAGUUUCAUAUUUGGAAUAUACAUUGGGACUGAAAUCAUUAGGAUUUAUUUGAUCUCUUUACGGAUAUUCAUUGAGCAUUAUCCAAGCUAACAGGAGCUACUUUCUUGAUAGGCUCCAAGCAUCAAUCUAAUUCCAUCAAUUAUAGAUUCACAUGAUUCCAGACUUUGGUUUAUUUGCACAACAUUAUUAUUUCUCAUUUUCUCCAGGUAUGCUGCACGACUGAGCAGUAUAUUAUGAGCACUCAAACACCCUCUGCACCUUCAGUUCCAGUUGCAACGGCACUAUCUCCUGUUUUAUGGCAGGUAUUGUGUCUUCUAUGAAUACUUUCAUCUUCACGCCACCUUGAGGUUGAGCGAUACAUUUGACUUACCCCUAAACAACAAUGUCUGAGCAGCUAAAUUUGCCAGAUCGCUUUGACAUCUACAGCGCCGGGCUCGUAUUUUUACAAAUGGUAAGUUAGCGAUACUAGUUAAUUAUGACUGUUUCUCCUGGAUGAUGUCCUAGGAAUGAAAGCAGUUACGUAUAGGAGAACAAUAUACUCUUUUCACGAGUAUAAAAAAUGGUCAAUAAGUAGUUGGAAUAUCCUUUGCUGAGAUUGUCAUUCUGUACUUAUUUUCACAUUGUCAUUGACUAACAAACUUCACCAUGUUUAAAAUUCAAACGGAAAAAAGAAAAAUCUUUGGAAAGAAUUUUCUGUCUCUGUCUGCAUAUAACAAUGGCACAAAUAUAUGUAAAUCAUGUUUGAUAUUCCUUUUGAGGUUCUGCAUUUCAAAAUUUCCCUACAGAGAAGCUAACUCGAUCCCCAAGUGCGGCAUUGAAGUCUGAAACUAAUCAAGUAACACUAUGAUUGUGGUGAUUGAUAAUUACUGUUUUAUUGCAUUGGGUGUAGUGUUUGAUUGGCACUGCCUUAGUGACUUCCCCCUUAUUGAUGAUGAGCUCAUUGCCUGCAGGCAUUCCUGGACUACGAAACGACAAUAGUCUCAUACAAUUUAACCGUCAGCUAAAGCGAUGUGACUACGAUCUGGUUGCAUGGAGGAAUACAGUAGAACCACGUGCAAGCAAUGAGCUUAGAAGGGGCUUUGAGUUGUUAGAUCUGGAUGGUGGCAUUGGAUGGGAACUUUUAACAUCAAUGGUUCGGUAUGACGCCAAAGAGUCAGCGCAAAAGAAGCUUUAGCUCAUCCUUAUUUUGAUAGAGAAGGCCUAUUGGCCAUGUCCUUUAUGCAGAACCUAAGGAUGCAAUAUUAUCGAGCGACACAAAAAGACUAUAGUGAAGCUCUCAAGUGGGUUGUUCGGCUGAUGGCAAAGUCAGGAACAGAGCAGGACGGUGGCUUCACUGAAGCACAGCUUCAGGAGCUCAGGGUUUGUAUAUGCUAAACUGCAUAUUAUGGAUUUUAGAAAUAGUUACACUAUGAGUUACAACUCUCUAUCUGCUUUAUGCAGGAUAUACAACCUAAAAAGAAGUCGAGUGCGCAAAGGAAUGCUCUUGCAUCAGCUCUCAAGCUGCAGAGAAAAUCACAAGGACAUUAAAGGAGAGUGUUGAUGAACUUAAUCAAAGGCGAAAGAGCGUAUGGUGGAAUCGGUGGAUCCCAAGAGAGAAUGAAAUUUGUAAAAAUAGUAAUUUGCUUAUGCAUGUAAAUUAUUUUGCAGUCCUCAACCUUAACUUCUCUAGCGGAGUAAAUGAUGUUUAAUAGAGAGUACAAAAGCAGAUUUUAUAUAAAAAGUAAUAAAUGAUGUUUAAUAGAGAGUACAAAAGCAGAUUUUAUACUGUAUAAAAAGUAAUGUACAUCAUUCCACUCACACUCGGAUUAAUCCUCUUGUAUGGUAGGAGACGUAUAAAAGAAAAUUUACAGAUAAUCGAUUGUCCCUUCAGUUUUCUGAUUCUGAAUUUCAUACCAUUAUCCUAAGGCAUGCAGAAACACACAUUAACCAAGGCCAAAGAUCAUUCCUGUUGCAUAAUUCAGCCCUUCAUUUCACUUUCUCAAUUUAUUCCUUUUGUAGUAACAUGGAUACGUAGUUCGUUGGAGCUACAAAAAUAGGCAUAUAGAUAGCAUGAUAAUUGACUAAUUAUUUCUGUCUUCCUCACUGGAAUGAAGAUUGUAAGUAGCUAUAAUACGUGUGCAUUCAUCAUUUCCAUAUCCAUUGAAUGGAGUUAGUAGGAAAUGGAACAUCAUAUACACAGUUUUUUCUUCUUUAAUUUCCUUAGCAUUUCUCUUAUUUGCCUCCUUAUCCUAAUCUUGCUUUUCUAUUAGUACUAGUAAUUUCAUCUUGCUUAAUUUGGUGUGUUCGGAAACAAAAAUUUUUCAAAUAUUAUUUUAUUUGUGUCAUAAAAAUAUUUUUCAACCACGUUUUUAUAUUUUUAAUUAUUUUUUUAUUUCACGUACAUCAUAUCAAAAAAAAGUGCUAUAGUGACCUUUCUAAAUAAUAUUUCAAGCAAUCUGCCAUCCAAACACACUACGGUAAUUUCAGUUCUGCCACGCUCCAUAAUGCUCAAUUAAAAAUCCUUUCCGGAUCUCAAGGUUUUCACAGCAUACCUGGGAUAUUUCCAGGCAAAAACUGUUAAGGAUGACGAUGAGCCAUGUUAUGGCAUGAGACCUAUCAUUGUGCCAACAAUGUAUUGACCCAUUGUGCUGGAUACGUAUGAGAGUUUCAGAGUUGUGAUAUACAAGUCGGAAUAAUUACAUAUCUAAGCUAAAACUUUAAGAUGAUAAAUGCGUAAAAAAAUAAAAAGGAUAAUGAAUAAGUCAAGCUAAUUCUCUGUUCAUGUUGUGUUCCCUACCAAUAGAGGAUAUAGGGCUUGUUUUCAAAUGAUUCUAAGUAAAUUAAAACAAGAAGAUAAAUGUUUUUAGCUUCUGAUUCGAAUUAUGAAAAUCAGAAGCAUCUGUGAGAACUUAUCUACAAAGAUUGAGGUUCUCUGGUAAGCUGACAACUUCAUCCCCGAACUUGCAUGGCAAUUCAUAGCUAAGUAAAACUUAAAACUGAGGCCAACGGUGACAGGCCAGAUAACCAAGAAUUGGUCACGUUGUUAGUUGAAAACAUUGGAAGCAAUUCUGACAUGCUUAGGAUAAGUAAUUAUUGUUCGUACAGUUAAUUAACUGUCAUCAACUCACUAUCAAGAAACCCUUCAGUCUCCACCAUCAUCCUACCUUCCUUCCUCUCCUGAGGGAACUCCAUUUAUGGAGAUUUGAUACGCACGUAAGAAUACAAAUCAUGCACUACUAUGCUUCUUACUACUGAUAUUUGUUUGAGCAUAAAUUAUUACCCAUUCGUGCUGGCUUAUGGCAGUUGACACCACAAUUAGAGUACUUAACAUAUUCAAAUCUGCAGAAGUAACGUCACCAAUAACUAAUUUACAACUAAGUACUAUUGCUUUGCGGAUGAACUAGCUUUUAAAUAAUUUAGGUGAAUAUACCUACUUAUAUAGAGUUCAAACGUUGGUGGCAGCAAUAAUUAACGAUUAGUAGCAUAAGAUGAUGUCGAGAAUAGCAGGAACAACAACCGUAUCAACCAUGAGAGCUUCACGUGUGACCUGACCUUCUUGUUCAGGCACACAAAAGUCCACUUUUUUAGCCCUUGACAGUACAACACACACCCCACCAUAGUCACUUCAAAGUAAGCCUGGAAGACUCGGAUUAUGGCAUAGUACAAGUUUCUUAAUCAGCACUGUCCCCCUCAGACUUGUUUUCUUUCUUUUAUUGAUAUUUUCCCCUUACCCAAUGUGGUUUUGGGUCAUAGCCCAUCGUAUGAUUUUAUUGGCAUUUCAAAGUUUUGAUUAGCUUUGGAUAUUUCAUGGUUCAUGAUCAUUUGUUGUUUUAUGCGUGAAUAGAACAAUGACUAUAGCUUACUGAGUCAUCCUGCAUCUAUUUUAAGGACCUGCACAUUGCUUUAUCAUGAGCUAUGGAGCUUGGACUCAAUGUAUCAUGAUUUAACCUUGACUCAGACAUAAUGAAAAUCCAUCAUGGCGGACGAAUUCCCCAUAAGUUAGGUCCAUCUACACGCUUAACAUAAGAUAUGAAAGGAAAAAUUCUUCACUAUGUAAUUGCUAUCAUGCAUUCAAACUCAUCAGUAGAAGAAACGUUUUUCUAUGGCAUAGCCUAAUAUCUCCAAAAAAAACUAAAGGAAAGAGCAAAAAAAAAAAAAAAGAGAGAAAGAAAAACCAUGUAUUACACUUAGUUCAAGCUGACUAGAAAAACCAAUAAAACUUAAUGUCCAAGUCAAGGAGUUGGAGUGUGAACUGUUACAUUACGUUAUGUAAUUACUUUAUAUAAUGAAGUGUCAUGCGUUACAUUAUGUUGUUGCUUAAUACCUUUAUUUAUUUCGAGUGAUGAGUUUGAAUUGAAGACAGCUAACUAUAGACAUACGUGAGCUCAGAAACUGAGAAUGGCAGCUUCAAAACUGCUCAAAAGAAAGAACCCCCAAAACAAGAAAGUAAAAAAAAUCUUAAAUCAAUAGUUUAUUAGAACUUUAGGUUACUGAAAGCUGGUGUCCUUAGUGAAAUGGGAGGAACACGAGAUCAAGCAAGUGGGUUGGCUUUGCUUGGUAACCUGAUCAUCAAGAUUAAAUUAAUCAUUCACUUAAUCGAAUUUUGUGCUGUUUCCCCACUAGAUUUCAGCAAGAAAGGAGUAGUAGAAAAUUCAGCUAUGGUCAUUGCUUGGAAAUGUGGUUUCUUGGGUUCUUAAAUGUUGGUGCAAUAAAAGAGAAUAUGGCGGGGUAAUUGAAGGCUCACGUGAGGCUUAGUUUGACCGUUAUUUUGAUCGAUUCCCACAAGUAGCGUAAAAAUUCUCGUAAUUAAGCCAAAAUAUGCAGGGCAUACGAUGUUGAAACUUGCUUCCAUUUUUGCAAUUUAAUUCUCUCAAGCAUAUCUUUCUUUGAUCCCUUUUGGUUUUCAAUGUCAUUUUCAGAAUUUUCUAGCACAAUACUUUUUAUGGGUUCUUUGCCUUCAAUUUAUUUUGACAAAUUAUGACAAAAUGUUUCCUACAAAAAAAUUCAAUGCCAUUUACUUUGAGCAGAGUGAUUUCCAUUGGAAUUGUUGAAGACGAUCCUGCAAAGUAAAACGGUGACAAGGCAUCUUCAUUCAGCAAGUUCUUUAAAUUUCUCAUUCAGGAUGUUUUUUUGAUACCUUAGCUUAGUAGGGUAAAUACUUUAAUGCCAAUCCAAAUUUACAGAUACUCGUUGUGGUAGUCAACCUAAGAUGACUGAACCAGAUAUGAUUUCUCCUGUUAAAGAUAUUAUUACAAAAAAAAAAUCUCAAUAAAAUUAAUUCGUUCUUGGGUCAAUUCAAACUUUUAUUGUUUGCAUGGCAUGCCAACUGUAAGUUUAGUGCUUCAAGAAAAAAGAAAAAUGGAAAUCAAAACUUUGAAUAUAACACUUUGUAUAUCAGUGAUCACUAUAGUGACCACUAAUGAUACAGAAGGCAGAAUUCCUGGAAAAAAUGUUGCCUUGAAGCCUCCACUUGCACCCAUUGUCAUACAUACUGUCUCCGUAACUCCCAAUUAUACAAAGCAACUACUGGAACUGUUGACUUGAAGUUGCAACCGCACCCCAUUAUCACACCUAUUGUCCCAUAUGAAUAAUGCUGAUGGAAAUUUUGCUGGAUUAGAUUGGGAUAAUUCAUUAUAGUAGGCUAUUAGGUGGUGCUUUACUUUACAUGUACGUUAGUUAAAAUGGGCAUUUUUUAGUAGGAUCCAACUGAGACCCUCACUUUGUCUGUUUAGGUGGAUCCGACUCAAAUAAGACAUGAACUUAAAUGAGUGUACCAGAAAUAUGCAGGAGAAGGGUCACUUUGACCAAAAUUAUCACCUCAUCAUCAACACUAUUGCAAGGCAGCUCAUAAACUAAGGAAUUGUGCUACCUUAUUGAAGUAAUGGCUGACCCCUUAUGUUGGUAGGUGAUGCAUGAUAACCAGAGUUGUAUAUAGAGAAUGACAUGGCACUAUGGCAUUGAAUCUACACUUGUACAAAUAUGCAUUAGUAGCGGUAUUUAUUUACUCACUAGUGUUUGAAUAAUUUUAAUCUUUAUUUUUUUUUCCUCCAUGUUGGGGGUUUAUAGCAUGGAAUCCCAAGUGGGUAUGGGACCCUUAUGGUACUGUCUGGUGAGCUAGGGGGCACUGCACACACCUUGAUGCCCCAUAGUUGGCUCUUUACUCGACCAAGGCAAGUUUGGACCACACUUGAAACUCCUUAUAUAAAGAGCCCUUCUUGCUCUUUGUUCAUCACUUCAAUUUCAGCAACUUCUUCAUUCAUCACUUGUGAGUUUACCUGCACCAAAGCACAAAGAAGAAAAAAGAACACUUCUUGCAAUCUAUUGUAGAGAAGAUGAAGAUGAGCAGCACAAACAUGGGAAGCUCCAAGAGAAGAAUUUCAAGCAGAGGACUAGGAGGGGUCCUAAGAGAGCAAAGGGCUAGGCUUUACAUAAUCAGAAGAUGUGUGGUCAUGCUGCUUUGCUGGCAUGAAUGAAGAGUAUCUUUCUAGUUCUAUCUAGCCUUCAAUAAGAAGGGAUGCUUGUUUUUUUCUUCUUCUUCUUCUUUGAUCAUCUUGGGGAGUGUAAAUAGCAAAGGCCGAGAUUAGUGAGAAAGAAGUUAACAAUUUUGUACUAAUUAUUAAUUGGCUUUAUGAGCCUUCAUGUGUAUACAGUCGGAUAGCUUAAUGGAUUGAAAAAAUCAUCUUUAUCAAUUCAUUGAGUCUUAGUAAUUCUUUUCAUUUUCUCUCCUUUGAUAUUAUGUGUUAUCAUUUCUGCUGUGGAUUUUUGAAGAUGGAGGACUAGUUCAUCAGCCAAACUUAAUCAAGCUAUUGUAGGAUGAGGACAUGCUCACAAAAUUGGGUAGCUGAAGUCUAAUUCACAUUAAUCUUUACCUUCUGGUGAUCGGCUAAUCAUCUUUAUUUGAUCAUUUCUUUCAUCAGUCCUCAUGGAGGUUGACUAGUUUAUUAUCCUCACAAUAGUUCACAUUCAUCGCAGUCCUCAACGUACACAAAAAACAAUGAAGAUAAUGAAUGCUUGGAUAUUUAAGCAAUAGGGAACUGGUGAUGACCAAAUUGGGAAGAUGUAUGAUCGGAUUCUUUAGUGCUAGCUCAAAGUUCAUAUCAACUUCAAUUUGCAGAUUUUUCUACUUGUAUUUUCGUACCUGAAUUAUUCGAAUAUCUGGAUCCCCAGAUUCAGAAUCAGAUGAGCAGGACUUCCAAGUUUCUUCCCAGAAAUUAAAAUUCAAAAAUCCAGAUCUUUGGAAGACUUUUUUAUUUCGUUUUAUUUUGGUAUUGGCAUUGGAUUGUUUUCUUUCCCGCAAGAAGUAGUACUAGUACUUACCUGUCGUCCAAAUUUAGAAGCUACCUAAGCCAUCCAACAAGUACCAGAGAAAACAGGGUGGAAAAAUUUUGUAUUCGUUUUAUUAGGCUUAGCCAGUCAGGUUUAUAGCAGAUACCAUACAUAUUACACUUAAUUUUGCAGGCUUUUUUUUUUCAGAAAAGAAAGUAGUUGAUAUUUCUAGUAGAUUUAUGCUCUUUAUUUCUGCGCAUAAACUUGAAUUAAACUCUUGACUGGUGCAAACAAGUAAGGGAAAAAAAAAUAUAGAUUAUCUUUAAUUAGCAGAACAAUGACUAAACCUUUUUUCUUUAUAUAUAGAUUUUGAGCGAAUUAUUAGCAAAAACCUAGAAAUAGUAGUAUUAUUUCCUGCUGUUUUAACACUUUCUGAUUAUCAUGUAGGCCCUAUAAUCAUUUAAAGUGAUAAAUGUUGUGAUCUUACUUUCCUAGUUUCCAAUCCAGUCAAACUAUUUACAAACUUUUUGUACUCUCAGGAAAGCAGGUCCAAAAAAGACACAGAGUAUCUUAUAUAUUGCAAAGUAUGUUAUUACUUAAUUGUUACAUGCUUAAUUAACGAUUUUGAUUGUCGUCUUGUGAAUUGCAGGUGCAGCAAGAAAUUGACUUAAGACACUAAUUGAUAUAUUUCAUCUGUUUCUUUUGUCUGCUUUUGAUAAUUGAGGGUUUGGUAGCUACAAACAUGAAAAUUUAGCUAAUUAAGCUUUAAUAAUUAAGUUGGAGAUUAGUUAGUUUGUGACAAGGUAUUGUCUUGAUCAUCUUGUCUUCAACCAAACCUGCAUUAGUGAAUUUCAAAGUAUUGUAGUCGAAGAAAGAGAUGUUGGCCCAACCAGACAACGCCACUGACUCUUAUGCCAAUUAUGUUAAAUCCUGUGAUUAAUGAUUAUCCUAUCCAAGGGACAUUGGAGUCAAACCUUCAUUUCAUUAACAAUUGUGGUAAGGGACUCCAACCUAAUAUUUACAUGUGCCAUGCAUAUUAUAUAAACUGAAUUAUUAAGUAGUAGUAGUAGUAGUAGAAUUGAAAUAAUAGCACACAAAAUUAAUUAGGAUAAACAGUCAGAUAUUAACACUUCAAACUAUAUAUGCUGAACUCUUUUUUUUUUUUUUUGGAAAACAAUAAUGGGGUCAUAGGACUAUAAUGUUCAGCGUGUCCCCAGAAAUUAAUUUAUACUGCUCAUCUUGUACGUCUAUUUUUCUCCCCCUAAAGUUGAAAUGAUUUCUUUUUGCAUCUAGCUCAAGAAAUCAAUAUAGUUAGUCUUAGGAAGUAGAAACUUGAAUUUAGUAAAGUUUCUGAAAUUUUCAGAAAGUAGAAUAAGUGUGCAAUAAAGAUGCUACUUUUUUCUCCAAUGACCCCCUAAAAAAACAACAAAGAAAAGAAAUAAAGAAAAAGAAAACAACAAAUUAAGAAAAGUGCAAAACAUAAACUUAAUAGUGUCUUGUAUGGAAUUCUCCUCAACCAAAAAUUUGGACACCGUUAUAAGCUUAUAAACAUUCUUGGAAUUAAUCACAGAAUUCAAGUCAUUCUCAUUCAUCCUUGUGCUAUUUAUUUUUCCUUUUCCCUAGAAUAAUCUUCUUGGAAGGUAUUCAUUAUUCUCUUUUUCUUUUUCCAUUUUCUCCCAAUUAUUCAGCUAGAGUUGGGCCAACAGGCGCUUAACAACAAAAAGAAAAACUAGUGCCAGAACCAAGCUGCGGAAAAAAACAAGAUAGGAUAAAAAGGAACAAAAUAUUUGUAUUUUAGUGAUCGUGAGGUGCCACAUUAAUUAGUUGUUCUAGUUGAAUUAAAACUUAGGUGAUAGUGACGAACUAAAAAUAAUGGAUAUCAAUUGUCCUGUUUGUUUAAUUUUUAGUAACAUUAUACACAAAGUCUAAAUUUCAAUCUGCAAAUUUACUAUUAAAAACUUGAUAUUUAUAAAUUAAAAAAAAUUAAUCUUUUAAAAUAGCGUAAGUGAAAGGGUUCGAAUUCAAAAUCUCGCAUUUACACUCUUUUAUUUUUAAAUAAAAAGAGAGUUAUUAUACUAGUGCUCUAUAUAUUAUCAAGAAACGUGCCAUCUAAAAACAUACAACAUAAGAAAUAUCGUUCAUCUUCUGUUUAUUGGAUGCCAAAUCAAUUAAAUGCCGAAUCAAAUUUUGAUGUAAGAUGGUUGAUGUUUCAUGUUUCUUGAAGGGCUUGUGAGAUUUAUGAUUAAAACGUCAACUUUUAUGUUUAAAUUCAUCUGGAAUCAAACUUACAGCGCGAAGCUUACUGCGUUUGCCAUUCUUGCGGCAUCAACAUGAUCUGAUCUGUGAUGAUGUUACUAAAACUGUUCUUUUCUUCUUUCCCCUUCAAAAGAAAAAAGAUCAUGUACAGAAAGAAAAGGUGAACAAACAAAAGUGCUGUACAAGAAAAAAUAAAGAAUGGCAAAUGGGGUGAAGGAGUUGAAACAGUUAAAAGUCCAAAACUGAAGUGGGGCAAAGAUUGUCAGGCUGCACAGGAGCUGAAUCGCUAAUCUAAUAUUCUGCUGUCGGCCACAUAACAAUUGCCAUCUCAUCUCGUCUCUCAGCUAAGCCAAAAUUGAGGUGAGCUCAAGAAAUGGAGUGAUGGAGCCAACCCCGACACAAUGUGAUCAGUCAAAAUGGCAGCCUUAUCCACCCCCACGUGCAUUUUCUUAUCUUCAACCCACCACCACCACCAUCCCAGCCCAUGAGGCAACCACCACCACCACCACCACCUCCACAACGACCAUGACCUCCCUCCCCUUUCAAACCCCCCAGUCCCCACUCCCUGUGAUUCUUUUCUAAUCAUCAAAAAUCCCCAUCAAAGUGGUCCGCCCGCCUACCCCUCCCUAGGCAUAUAGAUUCUUCCUAUGUAGUACUCGUAUACUUACUUCCAGUAUGGACUUGGACUAACAUGCAUACAUCAUCACUGCUAAAAAAUUUAACCGAUAUAUCUUCAAAAAAGAAAGAAAGAGAGGAACGUAAAAAUUGUUUCAAGAUUCAGAUCAACUGCUAUAUGCAUGUAUAUAUGUAUGUUUGUGUGUGUAUAUAUAUAUAUCUUCUUGUACUUGGGAUGCAAUAGACGUUCAAUGCCAAUAUCUGACUAAGAUAAUUCAUAUCUCCUUCGUUACGUACGCUUGAAUGGAUGAUUGGCUUUGCAAUGGAUGAUAUAUCUCCCAGUUUUGGAGUCUAAUCUUAUCACCCGCCAAGCAUACAUGCUCGCCCGUUUGUAGAUACAUCUGGGUGAAUUGAUGCGUAGUUUUGGUAGGUAAGGUGAGUCAGAGUUGAUAAGAACAGCUGACUAACGAGUAACUGGGUGGAAUCAUAAUUUACGUAAAUUAAAUGGGUCAGAAAGGCAAUUAAAUGAUAGGUCUACGCGUGUCAAUAUUUCUUCCCCUCCCAUGCGACCCUUUGGCAUAGAUGCAAAGGAAGUGGAAAGCCUGGAAGGGGUUUCGAUGAGCUUAGAACUUUGGAAGGCUUUGGUGGGCAUCAUCACUUGAACUCAUUUCUCAAUUGUUUCUGUCAAUUGUGCCCGCAAUUAUUCGUUGUGAGAAAGUGACUACAGAUGGGAGCACAGUGGGCGCUUUCAUGCUAAAAGAAUGUGGUUUUGUCCACCUCCCAAACACGCCCCCCCUCCCAAAACCCCCCAUCCCUACAGCAAUUACCUCUGACUUGAAUAUAAAUUUAAAUCUAACAAAGAAAAUGAAGAAAAAAGGGAUUAUGUGAUAAAUUUCUUGUAAUAAAGAGUACAUGAUUACCUUUUUGCUGGUUAGAUUACUUUGAUCGUUAGUCAUGAGGAUAGUUUGUAGGUAGGUUUCAUCAACGUAAAGGGUGAUUUGUUACUUACCUCUAAUGAGAGGGGGGUAAUUGAAAUUUAGCCUGGAAUGAAAGGAAGGAGAAAUCAAUCAUGCAGAGUCUAUAUCUUUUGAUUUUUUAUUCUUGUGAGAGGAUUUAAUAUUGAGAAUCGAGAGGCCAAUACAUUGCGAUAGAAACAAGAGAAGAAGAAGCCAGAAGUGGUCCAUUUCCACAUGGAUUAAUUUAACUCUUUCGGACUUGUGGCAUUAGGGGUUCAGCCUAGAUGGUGUCUUAUUGGGACACAGCCACUCAUGCAGCUCUCUGCAUUGCUUCUUUCGGUGCUUUGAACUUUGAAGGCUUGCUUGCUUCAUGAUGGUCAAGACACUAAACUAUAGAUGUAAAAAAAAACACUCUUUUUUUCUUUCCAACCUCAAUGUCCUCCUUGUCCACCUCCAAUAAUAUAUCUAUCUAAAUCGAUCUGUGUGGAUGAUUGCUGAGAAUAGUAACCUUUUGCAUUAUAUGAUCAAGCGUCUGCGUGUACAUGUGUGAAUUAACUGUACUGUAGGAUUCGGCCGUGAAGAUAUAUGACAAAGUUUUGCAAGAUUCAAACGACUCAUGAUUUGAAGUUAGAGUAACAAUCAAUACGAAAAUGAGGGGAAAAAAAAUGUUAUUGCAUGAUUACGAGUAUUGAAUUUACGUGACAAGAUCCAAUUCACAGGGUCCCUCCAUUGUGAUGAAAACAUUGCAUUUCACCUACAUUUGCUACUAUUUGACAUCUACUCCUAACUCUUCUGCCCAGUGACUAGCAAUGGGGGUCGCCCUUCUUAACUUUGUUUUUGCUCAUAAUAUUUUAUAGAUUUUUUUUUUUUUUUUGUAAUUUUCUUUUAACUUGUCCUCCCUCCGAGUCCGAAGGUAUUGUUUACCUUACAUCUCUUGCCUUCUUCCCCUCCUCCUGUAACUUGACUUUUUGCCUAAAAAAUGUUAUUGUCCUUCUCUUCUUUAAAUUGCUGCCCAAAGUAAAAUAUACUUAUAAACUACCGCGUUAUGUCAAAGAAAUCCUUGCUAAUUGGAGUAUCUUUUUGUGCAUGUAUUGUGUACAAGUUAAUCAGUAAAGAUUGUCAAAUAGAUGGAACAUUGGGUGGGGUUAAAUCAGUUAAGAAAAUGAAAUCAAUAAAGUUAUGAACUUUCACAAAACGAUCAUUCUAGCUGAAGUUAAAACGGAUGACACAUUUAGUAUCUACCCUAUUCUGCACAUCAAUUAUUUUAUCUGCAGGAUAGGAAAAUCGGGUGUUACAUGGAAAUGCUACAACUCGUUAUCCAACUUGAAAAUACCAUGUAGAAGAUAACUUUAAGUUCACCACUUAAACCACUCUUUACUCUCAAGAAUCGAAACUGGUAAUCCUAACAUGGCAAAUAGUGUGUGCGUGUGUGCGUGUGAAGUAGGCAGAAGCAAAAGGGUCCUGGAAAGGUGGAACUGAGUGGCAAUGUUGUGAUGAAAAAGAGUGUAGUUGCUGGCACAUUUUGGUGAAACUGCCCUAUGUCGAGUGCUUUAUACCGCGUUCCUUCCCACACCAUCUCAAACAAGGAAAAAGAAAAAGAGGUACGAGACUUUCAGAUCAAAGUUUGGUGAUUCUUGAACAAAAGAGACACCUAAUUAUGACCCUGCCUCAACUUCUUUUUAUCUUGGAAGAAAAUUUUAAGUGACGAAUCAAAUGAGCAUCCAAAUCUUUAGAGUGCAUAUCAUCAUACUUAUUUAUUGUCUAUUAUUCGCUCUUAAAUUAUGAUAAAAGAGAAAAAAAUUAGAUGAUCGUUCGUUUCCAAAAUUCAAUUUAACUCGUACGGACAUUAGUGUGAUCAUGAGUUUUCUCGUUCAACUUUUAAACCUUUUCUUUUUUUCUUUCCCCCGCUAAGUACUAUUCUACAUUUUGUUGAUUCGAUAUCUUCUUUAUUCAAACAAAUAUUUGGCCAGCUAUUCAUACAAAAAAGAAGAAGAAGAAAAAUUACUCCGGCUUGAGCAUGCUGCCAAUGUAGGAGUGGAGCGUGCAACAUAUGAUGUUCUACACCCCGAAAGUCCCAACCCCCACCCUUUGAGAGGGCACAAGGUCCACAACCGCACCCACCAGGCAGAGCAAUUACCAACUCUGCAUCCUAGAAUGACUACUGCUGAAACCGAUCAUGUUAAGGCUAGGACCAGUCGUUUCUAAAAUCCAUUUAUAGCCAACCAUAAUAUGACCUGUAAGGUUCUUAGGUUCAAUGAAUCCUUCAUUUACGUUGAUGGGACAUAUGAAUCCAUCUUUGUUCCAAUGAAAUAAUGGUUGACAUGAUGCUGGAAUUCUCGAGUUCUCCGUUGAGUAUUCCAUUGAGUAUAUGUACCGUAAGGUCCGUUUGGUUCAUGGGAUGACACAGAAUAGUAUUUUUAAACUAUGGGUAUAUAUAUAUAUACACACAAAACAGACAGGCGCGAUCGUGAGUACUAGAGCAUGAUCUAAUUCUUACUACAUCAUAGUGUCUUUGGAGUACAUUAGCCCUUUUUACUUUAUCUCUCUAUGAAGAAUAAAUUAUCCUUACUUAAAGAAAAUAAUGUCAGCAGAUACAUGGUAGUUUCCAUGAAUCCAUUUUUAGACAGAAAUUAUUGAGAGCUAUAGGGAGUUCAAAGUUUCAUGAGCUGCGGUGUGGGCCAGAUUGUAUAAGGGCCCCAUGUAGCGAUUUUAUGUUGGACUGGUGGUUGGAUCUUUACAAACGGGUGUGAACAGAUCGUUCAGCCAUCAGUUCUUAAUGCUGUUCCUGACUGAGGGACCAAAGCCAGAGUUUGCCUAACAAGGACAAAUAUCAUAGGCCCAACAAUGGGCUAUUUUUAUUUUUUAUUUUUAUAUUUUUUUAGUGUGAGUGGGAGGACUCCAACCAAGUUUUCAGAAAAAUUCCUAGACUUUCACAGUGGGGAUGUUUCACUUUUUUUUUUUUUUUUGUGAUGUUCCCUUUUUUAUUUUUUUUUAAUGGGGGAUGUGGAGAAGAAGCAGGAAUGAAAUAAUGGGCAUGAAAAUAGAGAAAUUUGACUAGCAAGUGACAGUAAUCAAUUGUCUUAACUAUUGGACUAAGGUUUGAUGAUUAAAUGAAUUGUGCUCUUCCGCUGUGUUCCAUUUUGCAGGCUUCGUCAUCCAGAACUUCGAGCGGGUAUAACCUUUUAUGCUGGAUCCAAAUGAGCCACCAUGACAUGUAGCUUUCUAAAUCUGGACGAAAGGAGCAAAAUUAUCUGUCUGGGUUUGUAUUCUUUUUGUUCUUUAAUUUAAGCCAACUCAGGCCCAACUAUGUUUCAUUUAUCACUCCUUCAAAGCAUGGCAUCAAAAGCUUUUGCUUGACAUGCAAAUGAGCUUUGUAAUGCCAAGUUUUGAAUGAACCAAGCAAUCAACAAACAAGUUCGUAUUUGCCUUGUUUGAGUUCGAAAAAAGUUUAAUCGUUUAAUUAAUCAAUUGAUUUCGAGCACAAAAUUAGACUCCUGCAAUAAUUUAGCCGUCUCUCUUCCCUCCCCUUCUGAAAUCUGGCCGUAUGAUUCGAUCGUGACCAAAUCUAUUUACACGACAAAAUCCGAUUGAAAAGGAGGACGAAAGUGUUCCGUUAAUCCUUCCCUCUUCCCCCACCCCUCCUCGCGGCAUCACCUCCACUUUUCCUCUCUCUCCUCCCUUACAUUCCCCACCACCUUCCUUUCUCCACAUCGGUUCCUUUUCUCCUUUACCCCCGUCCUCCCUUCCUUGAAUCUAGCAGGAAUGAACGACCAGGUUGUGACCAAAUCUGGUCACACAACAAGAUCCCAUGGGAAAGGAGGGUGAGGGUGUGAGGAGAGGGGAAAACCAAAAUAGGGAACGUGGGGAGGCAAGAAAUAGAAGGUGAAGUGCUACAAGAGGAGAAAAGGUGGAGAAAAACAGAGGGAGGAUAAGGAAGGUGAGGUGGUGAGGAGGAAAAAAAAAAAAAGGGAGUAACAGAGGAAACAGUAAAAAAUGCAAAUUAUAAAAAUACUCCAAAUAUAUUUUAAAUUUUAAAGACACGUAAAAUACAAUUGCACGGUAAAUUUUUACCAUACAAUCCUAUAGUAUAAUUUUUAUAAAAUAUCCCAAAAAAUGUCUAAUCCAUGCCAACCCAUAGGUCUACAUAUGAUGGUAUCUAUAAUUGUAAAUGAAGUAAAACUUGAUAACUCUCACCCCUAAAGAGAAGCCACCUUUCCAUUUUCUCCCAUGGUUAUUGGGCGGCAGAGCCAAACUUUCAAAACCAUGACCCUAAUCUUGGUCUUAUCUCGAUAAAAAGAGAGAAAAAUACAAAAGAAAAUGCAUAACAAAUAAAAAAAUGUCAGAAAAGCACAUAAACCACAUCACAUUUUAGUUAUGAUAAAAUGAACAAGAGCAUACCCAUCAAGUGACAAUUGUAACAGGUACAAGGAAGCUGUCAUACAAACUUACGUUCAACUGAGAAGCUAGUCAAAACAUGGGCUACUAUAUGGGCCUAUACAUCAUUCAAGUAUUCUGAUUCAAAAUGAACAUUUUUAGCAAGAAGCUUCAAAUUGACAGCCAAAAGUCAGUGGUCCUUUCUCUCCAUUCCGUGCUUGUCAAGUACCGUGCUCCUCAAUGUCAGCAGAUUUGUUUCCACCCCAUGAUAUAAAACUAUCCUGAGAUGCAAAUUCCUGCAAUUUGUUUCCACCCCAUGAUAUAAAACUAUCCUGAGAUGCAAAUUCCUGCAAAGCACUUGAAACCUUGAACUAGAACUAAAGAAGGUGAAGGCAGUAGUAAACUAACCAAGAUAAAGUAGACCAUUAAUAUAAUAAUAUGAAGCAGAGAGAGGAGGCUUGAACUCACAAGCUGGCUCAACCGGAAGUCAGGAGGUGUAUCUAGCUCCAGUUUACUGAUCAAGACCAGAUCUUGGCACUCUUCUAAAUCUUUCUUCAAAUGUUCAGGUCCUAAGUGGGCAUAAUCAGCAAGACGAGGUUUGGGUUUUAAUUCUUGCUCAUUUUUAUCUCCAUCUCUGUUUGGAGAUUGGCUCCGUAGAAACUCAUCACAUAAAGAUAGUGCUUCUACAAGUUGCUGUGAGUCUAGCAAGUAUUGUGAUUCACUAUCCCACCACUCUCUCUUCUCACCAGCAUCAUUGUCGGUUUUAUCAUCCUUGAUCAGCAAGAUCCACAGCAGAGACGGGAUCUUCACAAUUGGGCUGGUCGCUUGGAGGUCUAACCUCAUCUUCCAUGCAAACCACACCAUGAUGCUACAGAAUAAUUAACAAUCACUGAAUGAUAGAUAAUACAGAUGUUAAUAGAAUUUCUAAUUCUCCACCCUGGCAAGAGUCCUCUACCAUAGUCAUAUUGGUGGUUGUGCUACCCUGCAAACUUCUUUUUUUUAAAGUUCAUAAAUGAGUAUAAGAUCAUUACAAUGAACAAAAAAUGAUGUAACAGCCACACAACACAAAGGUGCCUUUGAUUGGCGGUCAUAAGAAACAAAAUGAAUGGCAAAUACUAAACACCCCCAUCCUUCAUGGUAUCUGGAAGUGCCAAAUAGAAAUGAUUUUAAACAGGGAGGACCCAACUUUACCUGAGCCGCUGGAAGAACAGAUUCUUGGGCAUCACAAUCAGGGAAGCGGCUUUCAGUACGAGGUGGUUCAGGGGUCACAGACUUGGGAGUAACAGGAUCUACCUUGACAAUCGAGGCAUCAUCUUCUGGAACUUCUACUUCAGCCUUUUCAUUCUGCUUGACCUGUUGCUUGAUAAAAGACCUUGGAGAUAACAUAUUCUCCCUCCCUUUCAUCUUCCUCUGUACCGAGGUGAUACUGGUGCAUCACCCAAUUAGUCUUCUCUGGCUUGCCACCUCUUACUGGGCUAAGAUACAGCACCAUAAUUUUUUUACAUCCUUUUUGUAUACAAUCCAAAUGAACAGCCUUUGUCCGACCAGUCUUAUGCCAACGAACAUCUCCAGAACUGUCACCGAGUAUCUUACGACGUUUUCUAGUUCCAGUAUUAUAAGCUUUGAUUGCCCUGUGAAAAAAGUGUGCUACACUCCCAUCCUGUUUAACACCUAAAAACCACUACUUUAAAAGAUUGAAGUCCAAAGAAAACAAAUACAAACCAAAGCAUUAAAGUGGAAUUAUUAAGUCUUGUAUAUGUAGACAUAACCUACCAGGCAAAUUUUGAGGAUGAGUAUAGCAGAUUCCAUCAUCUUCAUUAACAGUUGGAAUAAAUUCUUCAAUAAAAGGAUGGGGCUUCAUAUUUUCAAUACCAACUUUUCCAAGUAAAUGCCAAAUAAUUUCUUUAUCAGAUGGAUCAAACUUUACCCCUCGCGGUAAUCCCGGCCACUCUUGGGUGACCUGAAAAAACAAAGACAGAAGAAAGAAACAAACGAUUUUCAGCUUUUAGUCUCCAACUGCUCCUAUGCACUUUUAAUAUGAGGAAAAUAUCUUUUGGAAAACUGGCAACUAAAUGUUCUGUUCAUCUCACUAAUAUGUUUUUGCUCUAGCAAAGCAAAUGGGGGUAACCUUCGACACAGCCACAUGGGACAAAUAUGCAUAAAAGCAUAACAAAAUUUUAACGAAGCUGAAAAUCAGAAAAUCAAUUCAUCCUGCCCCACAAUUAUUGAUUUAUUUAGUUCAUGGCAUUAAAUGCUCAUUCGUCAUGACUAUAGAGAGAAACUUAAAAAUAGCAAUGUCCAUAGGCUUUCUCUUACACAAGUAUUUUUGCAUUUCAACCACACACCAAAAAGAACAAUACUGAUUAUUAAAUAAUGAUCCAAUGAAGAAAGCACAGGCAAGUAGAAAGAGAUGGGUCACAGAUAUUAAAUAUGAUAAUCUUUCUUCUCAAUUAACCACUCCCAGAAACUAAUUUCCAACAAUAAAUUUGUGUUUCUGAUUAAGAAGCAACUACUGCUGAAGCUUGUUCCAGAUAAUAUGAUGCACAUCCAUUUUGAGAUGUGCAAAAAUUUAUGAGAGAAGAAAUAUACAUCACUAUUGUCAAUGACAUGCUGACAAUUUGGGCAAGUUUUUGUAGGAUUGCUUGUCCAGUUAACUUGUUGCAGAUCACUUGCGCCAGAUGCACUCCUAAUUUUGGUUGCAAUUCUGUUACUAUCAACCAGCCACGAUGGUCUGCAUAAUUUCACGAAAUAAAUCAAGUUCAUGCACUGAACAGCUCGAAGGCUUAAGAAGUGCCAAAGCAGAUGAGACCCAUAAGAGUAGAGGAUAUUGACACGGAAGUAAAUAUUAGACCACAUAUAAUUAGGAUUCUAUAGCAUACAGAAAAUAUAGAUUUGAAAAGUAAGCAAGCAUAAUUAGCAGCACAGGAAAAAUGUACAUAAGAUUUCACACCAAUUAAAGCAUAAUCUUGCCAAACAAUAAACACAUUUCCCAAAUAAUAUUUCACUUGCAUCAUAAACACAUUUCCCAACCCACCUUUUUAUAUUCCCAAUCACCUUUUUGUCUCACAUACAUCACAUCACAAAAAGUGCUACAGUAAUUAUUCCAAAUAAUACUCUAUCCAAAAAAACCCAAAAAAUCAUUUCACAUUCACUACAUCUGGAUUUGCAUUUAGAGGAAAGAACCACACUUAGAAGCACAACAAAAUCAGUGGGAAGAUACUUUGCUCCUCUACUAAAUGCAUAUCAAUUUUGAAACUUUUCUUAACUUCAUCCUUUAAUAGGCAGCACAGAGUAGACUUCUCCAAAGAAGUUGUUUUUACCAGCCAGAAAUAAAUACAUCCAUUGCUUAUUAUAAAUAAAAAGCUAAUGAGGUUUAUCAGAAGUUAUGUUAUGAAUAUAUAUAUCCUUUAAGGAGCUACCUGCAUCCAAAAGAAUUAUCUGCAGGCUUAAAAUUUAGGACUACAGGAGUCAACAAAAUAAUGUCAUUCUUUUAGAUGUUUUUCUUUUCAGAAAAUAAUUACACUCCAUUAAGUAUUAGAAAUUUUCUUGAAUAACAUUAAAUAUCUAAUUCAUGUGAUCGUGCUAAGUUUUACUCAAGACACGUCAGACCCCUUACCUGAAAUAAUGGCCCUUCUCUUGCAAAUACAAAUCGUGUUAUCUUACUUUGCUCAUUUCCAAACAUAAGUAUUAUGGAAUGUUGGCCCCUUUCUCAAGAUGAAAAAAAAAAAGAAACAAAAGAAAGAUGACAAUGGAGGAUAUUCUCCUAAUAACAUCCGUUCCAACAACUGAAAAUGGGUAUGGUUCAUAUCGAUGUUUGAAUGUGAUAAAAAUUGCAUAUUUAUACGAUUUUGACUUGAGCCAGAAAGCCUUUGCAGACAUCCUCAACUUUCUCAAUCACAAAACAAACACAAACCUGAAUUAGUUGACUUCUUGUGUAUUACUGAAUUUAAUAGAUCAAUAUACUCAAAACUGACUACAUUCACCCAUUAAAUGAAUAAAAAAUAAAUAAAGGAAUAAAAAGGGGCAAUCACAACUUCUCGACUGUAAAAUCCAGAAAGCAAGAAAAUCAAUCCCCUGAAAACCAGCAGGCAAAUAUUCCCACAUUGACCAUUCAACGCCAGAACCAGCAAUUCUUUUCUAGCUACAUGCAGCUCUAAACGUCUUAUAGGAAAAUCAAGCACCAAAACUCACCGCUAUCAUCGAAAACUCACAUGAUAUAAUCACAUCCACAUAUAUCUCCAACUGCAAAAAAUAGAUCUUUUACGGAGGUUGCAGCUUACACUCACAGUAAUCACAAGUUUAAUUUUAUAUUUUUGUUUUAUAGCCUAAUCAGAUUUUUUUUUUUUUUUUUUUUUAAUAAGUGGGAGGCCUUGGGUGCAAGAACUCCUACUUACAAUCCCCCAUCCAACCCAACCCUCCCAGCCAUAGCCUAAUCAGAUAAGUUAAAAAUAGUUAAUAAACAAAAAACUUAUUUCCAAGUAGGAGGCAGAUGGCGGAGUUGGGAGGAACCAUCGCUUUAUCAGAAAUACUCAGAGUACAAAACCACCACCACCAUCAUUUCCCAAAAAAAAAAAAGGCUUCACAUGAUCUUUCAGGCUAAUCCACAAAAUGGGUAAAGCUGAUAAACCAAAACAAAAACAAAAACAAAAUCCGUUCUUUCAUCAAAACCACAAGACCCAACUCAGAGUUGACCUAGAAGAUUCAAUAGAUACUCAUAAAGAUUCAAUCUUUGCACUAUCUACAAGUCAAUGUGUUCAACAAAAUCAAGUCUAUGGUGAUUUUUCAGUAAACAGCACAAGAGGAAUAAAAGGAAGGAGACCACAAGCAGAGACUUACCGAGCCAUGGGAGAAUGGAUGUGAUCAAAAGCAGCAAAAAGUGAAACAAAUGCCCCUUUUCUUCUAUUAUUUAAUGCUUUGAAUUCCUACUGUAACUAGUGCUUCUACAGUUCUCCACCUAGUAAUAUAUUAACUGUUAAAGCAUCUUGGGAAUUUCCCAAAUAAUAGUAGUGUAGUUUAGGAGGUUUCACAAAGUGUUCUCGGUUUUCCUAACCAUUAUAUACCGCUGUGUGCUUCGGACGCAUUUUUUGGUGAAUUUUGAAAUUUGAAAGCGUGUCUACUUACUAUUGCUUUGAGUACGAUGUUGAUAGUUUGACCAUUGACUAGACAACAUGUGAUUAAUCACUACCUACAGAAAAAUGGAAUUGAAAGUGGAAAAGGCAAUCAACCGACACUUUAGUAGGAGUUUGGCCACUGAUUGUUUCAUACCACAUUUGUUUGAUUUAUGUUCAUCUCAAUAAUGCUAAAUUCAUUGUUGCCUUUUUUUCUUAAUGCUAUUUUACAUGUAAACAUGUUUUCGACAACUGCUAAAUUGAUUGUUGCGGUAUUUUUUUUAUAGAUUAUUCAAAAUAAUCUCUUAUCUACACACGCUCUCGACCGUUCCUAAGAAUAUAAUGUUUUAUUUAUGAGGGGAAAAAGUCCAAAUUGUUCAAUACUUUCCCACAAAAUACUAGCAAUUUGAUAAAGUUUAAUGCUUUGUUCUAGAUUGUUAGGUAAUACCACAAGAAUCGAACGUGUAAAGAAAAGCUCAAAGGUAGAUCAAAUUACUUGAUCCUUUAAAUCAAGUUCGUUCAUUUUCUAUUUUCUAACUCAUUAAACAAAUCAUUAAGUAUAUCGUUAAGUUUCAAACCUCACUAGAGUUUGGUUUGAUUAACAUAAAUUUUGAAACAUAUAUAUAUAUAUCAAAUAUAUAUACUAUAUAUAAAGUUUGAGAAAGGAAUUUGGGACUAACAUUUAUCGUCAUUUUAUGAACCUUCUUUUUUAUUCUUAUAAAAACUACUUUUAUUUUAACUACCUAUAACCACUCAUGACUAUUUACUUUUAACUAUUUAAAUAUAUGUUUUAAACGUAACUAUUCCUACAUAUUAUAGCUACCAAUAUAAAAUUAUUUUAUAAAAAAAUAUUUAAAAGAUUAAAGUUUGUUUAGUAAUAACAAUUUUAUUUAAAACAUAUAACCGAUAAUAUUAUGUAGUUUUUGAUUGCACAUGCAUUAGUGUGUAUUGAGUAAUAGUUUAAUUUACUCAAACUCAGUUCGAUAAGAGUUCGAUUCAAUAAAUAAACAUAUCAAGUUUAAACAUAAUAUUCUUUCUUUGAGGAGAGAUUGAACAUAAUUUCAAGUUAAAUAAUAAUAAACAAAUAAGCUUGAACUCUUCACUUUAGAUCAGUAAUGUAAAUGAUUUUAAUAAAUCAAACACUCUUUUUAAAUCGUUUACCACUUAUCUAAGUGGAUACUACUAAAGCUAUUGGCAGUGGGCUGAGUGUGACGAUUUUUUUAACGCAAGCAAUUAUAAUAGCCCAUAGCGUUAGCAUACACAAAAUUGGUCAGUUUGAAUUCCAAACCGACACAAAAUAAGCCCGCAUAGUCAAUCGCCCAUAAGCCCACAACAAGCUCUAUUAGGCUGACCACUGAUCCACUGCCAAAUUGCCACCUAACACAACUUGGCUCCGCUCUGCUCCCUGCGCAAAAACUCGGGGGGGAAAAAAAAACCGCCACAACUCCGGCACCGUACGAUGAGCAGCAAAGCCCGUACGUCCCCAGGGAAGGAUGAAUUGAAGGAUCCCCUCACCAAACGUUUUCAAUUCAUAAAGAAUUUCACGUGAAAGGUUUAUCAUACAUCAAUCAGACAGCAUUGAAAAGCUACAAAAAACAUCUCUCUUCUCUUUUUCUUCACGUUGGCCGUUUUUCUUUGUCAGUUUCAUACAAAAGGACACCCAAUCAAUCAUAAUGGACAACAACAAAUUAUUUCACAUUCUCCUACGACUAUUUGCACAAGAAUUUAAUCACUUUUCUUAUAAUUAACAAUAAUGACCAAUGAUUGGAAAAUUCCCCAAGGAAAUAAGAACCGAGAGAGAAAGAAAAAAAAAAUCAUAUAUCGUGUGAUUUGGUGGUGAGUCAAGCCCGAGUCAAGAAACUGCGCAACCGCGUCUUGUAAACCCUAGUCGCCAUCGCUCCCUAUCGAAUUCGAGCAUGAACCCUUGUUGCAUUACAUUUCCGAUGAGCGAAAACCCCGACGGCUGAACCACCGGUUGCAAUGCCAGGCAUUUUACGUUCUCCGCCGUGUCGAUAAAGUAAUUUUGAGGUGGUGGCGAGAACAUCGAGCCACCAGCGAGUUUGAAACGCAGCCUGGGUAGACUCAGUCUCGACACGCCUGACACGUUGACGCAGAAAUCAAAAUUCGGAUUCCGCCGAUCUGACUUUGGCAGCUUAACGCGCCGCAUAAACUCCUGUAGCACUUUAUCAUAAGCCGGCUUCACCAAAAAUGUCAAGGUUGUCCCAGAAUCCAUGACUGUCCCCCCAUUGCCAAGGUCAUCAAUUGCCCAAACCGAAGGGCUUAUUCGUAAUUUAGCGCCACCAACAUAAGCAGCCUCGAUCCCAAUGUAAUAAAAUGUAGGGGACAAGCUGUUGUUUAUCAACGGCGUGUAGCUCAUCUUAGCACCUCCCACGACGCCGGCUUCAGGGCCGCCGCCGCCGCCAAUUAAGAGAUAGCUCGUCGGAGUAGGGCUGAGGGUGUAGUCCAUCAAACAAUAAGAGAACUUGUUACCGAACUUCCGGCCCAACUGCGAUGGAAACGAAAUCGGCCCAAGACCCAAGCCUAGAACUCCUUGAGCACCAUUGAAGCUGGGUCCCGUUACGCUCGGCCCAGAAGCUCGAAACCCACAGCCGAAAGCUAAGUCCCUGAAUUUCACAACCUUGCCUGAGCUCGUGUUGAACGUCGUGGUUUCGCGGGAGAAGAACCCGGAACUGAGGGACCCAUCAGAAUACGAAUAUUCAUAGCGGCACGUGCUGUGGCGACGGGUGUGGUUACAGGGCACGCGAUCAGGGUGGGGGACGAGUUGACACACCGAGUCAUAGCAAUGGGACGGUGAAAAUGUGGUUGAAUGGCGAGCUAAAAAAGCCGAGUUGGGCGGUCUAGAGGAGCAGUUCCGGCAGGCGGAGCAGGUGACCCAGAUAAGGUCGCUGCCGGUAUCUGCGACGAGGAGGAGGGGCUGAGGCGGUGUGCCAAGGGAGAGCGAAACGAAGUACUGGCCGGCGCCCAAGGAGGCGCCGGAGGUGAGAGGGAGAUGGGCAGUGGAGGUGGAGUUCUUGCGGUGGAGGUGGCGGUGGUGGUGGAGGGAGUUGAGGCGGUGAGUGUCGGAGAGUAGAACUUCGGAGGGGGUUGGAGGGAAAUGGUGGUUGGGGUGGAGAAGUGGGAGCUUGAGAUAGUCAAAUGUGGGUGGCGGUUGAGAAGUGGAAGAGGAGGAGGAGGAGGUGGUGGGAUCUAGGAGGAAGGUUAAGAUGAGGAAGCAAGAGAAGAGAAGAAGAGAGAGACGGGGGGAGAGUGGCAUCACUCUCAUUUUUCUGUGACUGGGAGAGAGACAGAAACAAAGACGGUAGGUGUCAUCGGAUUUAUAUGUACAAAUUGUUAGAUAUAGAUGAUUUAUUUAUUUUUUUUCUUGAAAAUUUUACUAUUAUGUUUUAGAUUUCUAUAUUCUUUUGUUUUAGAUUUGUUUAUUCUUUUUCCAAUAAAAGGAGAGAAGAGAACAUUUGGAACUUCUUUUUUUUUUUUUUUUUUUUGGGGUGCUAGAAAACUACUGGCUCCGUUUGGAUUAGCUGUUUUUGGGGUUAUUUUUCAAAAACACUACUGUAGCAUUUCGAAUCUGAAAAACAAGUCCGUUUGGAUUAGUUGUUUUUUGGGUUAUUUUUCAAAAACUAUAUGAAAAACUUUUAUUGUAAAUUUUUUUGGAUUAUUUUUAGAGGUAUUUUUGAGACAUAUUUUUGAAUAUUUUUAGAAUAUUAUAAUUUUUAUAUUUUUAUAUAAAUAUACAUUUAUGCAUUUAUAAUACAUUUAUAUUUACAAAUCUAUAAAUGUAUAUUAUUAUAAAUGUAUAAAUUAUAAUUGAAUAUUAUAUAAAAGUAUAAAUUAUAAAUUAUAAUUUUUAUAUAAAUAUACAUUUAUUUAUAAUACAUUUAUAGAUAUUUAUAAAUAAAUAUAUUUAUAUAUUCAUAUGAAAAUAUAUAAAUGUAUUAUAUUAUAUAUAAUACAUAAUAUAAAUAUAUUUAUAAAUGUAUAAGUGUAUAUUAUUAUAAAUGUAUAAAUUAUAAAUGAAUAUUAUAAAUGUAUAAAAUUAAUAUAUUAUAAAUAUAUAUUAAUAUUAUGUAGAAAUGUAUUUAUAUAAUUAAUAUAAAUGUAUAUAUGUAUUAAUAUUACGUAUAAAUGUAAAAUUAAUAUUAUGAUAUUAAUAUAAAUGUAUAAAUGUAUUAUAUUAUAUAUAAUACAUAAUAUAAAUGUAUAUUUAAAUGUAUAAGUGUAUAUUAUUAAAAAUGUAUAAAUUAUAAAUGAAUAUUAUAUAAAUGUAUAAAUUAAUAUAUUAUAAAUAUGUAUUAAUAUAAUGUUGAAAUGUAUUAAUAUAAUUAAUAUAAAUGUAUACAUGUAUUAAUAUUAUGUAUAAAUUUAAAAUUAAUAUUAUGUAUAUUAAUAUAAAUGUAUUAUAUUAUAUAUAAUACAUAAUAUAAAUGUAUAUUAUAAAUAUACAUAAAUAUUUAUAUAUUAUGUAUAAAUGUACAUUUAUAUAAAUGUAUAAUAUAUUAUAUAUUAUAUUAUAUAUAAUUUAUAUAACAUAUAAUAUUUAUGUAAAUAUAUUAUAAAUAUAUAAAAAUAUAUUUUAAAUAAAAUAAAAUAUUAUAAUAUGUAUGUAUAAAUAUAUAAUAUUAGAAAUUUAUAUAAUAUAUAUAAUAUACAUUAAUAUUAAUAUAAUUUAUAUAUAAUAUACAUAUUAAUAUAUAUUAUAAAACAAAAUUGUAUAAAUAUAUUUAUAAAUUUAUAUAUAAAUAAAUAUUUUUAUAUAAAUAAAUAUUAUAUAUAUUAUAUCAAUUGAAAUAAAUAUAUUUAUAUUAAUAUAAUAUACAUAAUAUACAUAAUUGAAAUAUACAUAUUAAAAUACGUAAUUGAAAUAUAUGUAUUAAAAUAUAUUAAAAUAUAAUUGAAAUAUACAUAUUAAAAUACAUAAUUAAAAUAUACAAAUUGAAAUAUACUUAUUAAAAUAUACAAAUUAAAUAUGCAUAAUUGAAAUAUAUUUGGUGUUGUUUUUGAUAUAUUGUUUGGAUAUGGUGUUUUUUAAGUUGUUUUUGAAAUACACAUUUACUGUAGCAUUUGGAAUGUGAAAAACAGUUUUUCAAAAACAGGCACAAAAACACUCAAUCCAAACGGAGCCACUGAUUUUAGUCACAAGCAGUAUCAAGAUUCAAGACUUAAAUAGACACCCGAAGAGUAUAAUUAAGUUGAUCAAAUUUCUAACAUCGCAGACGUGAAAUAUUAGCCUGAUACUUUUUAUAUUAGCUCUUUUUUUUUGUAUGAAAAUUUCUGUUUGGAUUGCUGAGUUUUUGAAAACUAGUUUAUCAAAUACUUUAUAAAAAGUGCUCUAAAAGAUACUUUAAAAAAUAGUUAAAAUUUUUUUAGUAUUUAAAAAAUAUUUCAAAAUAUAUUUUAAAAACUCUACUACUCUUAAAUAUAUCAAAAUAUUUCAAAAUAUAUUUUAAAAACUCUGCUGCAGUAAAAUUUUUCAAAAAUAUCUCCAAAAACAGCUAAUCCAAACGUAUGUUUUUCAGAAUUUUCUAGAAAAUAUAUAUUUUCCAACAAUUUGACAUCUAAAAAAUCUAACGAACCUAAUAUUGCAAUCCACACGGCCUCAUCUAUUGCACGAUUAGGUUACCAUCUCACUAGCGUGAUUAGUGGCUGUAUGACUUCAUAGUACUACAAGUUUUACUAUGAUGUAUGUAUACUAUAUAUUAGAUACGGUUAUAAAUGUAGGUAUAAUUUUAUGCGUACGGGGUAGAUGUGAAUGAGGAGUGAUGAGAAGGAAGAUUGAGGGGGAAAAAAGGAUAGAUUGAAUGGCAGAGGAGAGAGUGUAAAUAACAAAUUUGCACAAAAAAAAAGAGUUAAAAAAAAGGAGUAAUGGUGGAAAUACAAAUUCGAGCAAAAAUAGCGGGAGAUGAAGGGAAGAAGAAGGAAGAUCCCCUCGUAACCUAGUGUGUGUGUGUGUGUGUGCGUGCGUGUGAUGACUGAGGAAAAAAGUGAUGACUGAGGAAAAGAGGAAUCACUCACAAGUGCGUGUAAAUGUGUGUGUAUGAUGACUUGUAGCUUUGUCUUGAAAUUUGAAACUGUGUAACAAUAUUGGGAGUGUUUGGAUACCAAAAUUAUUUCAAGUAAUAUUUUACUUGCAUCACAAACACAUUUUCCAACCUAUCUUUUUAUAUUUCCAAUCAUCUUUUUAUCUCACAUACAUUGUAUCAUAAAAAGUGCUACAGUAAUUAUUUCAAAUAAUAUUUCAAAUAAUACAUUAUCCAAACAAACCAUUAUGGGAAGAAAAAAGGGCAUUAAAUUAUGGGCAGAUUGGAGAGCGGGGCACAUAUACGAUGAUUGAGUCAUAUGCCAGCGAGGAGUACAGAUGGGAUCCAAUGAUUGAUAUAUAUAUAUAUAUAUAUAUAUAUAUAUAUAUAUAUAUAUAUAUAUAUAUUGUGUGUUUGUGUAUCAAGAGCACCGCUCCAAAACAAAAUUUGUUAGUUUCUCUGUGUGUUUUUGUGUGUGGAGUAUUAUUUUCUGAUGAACAAGAAAAAGAUUUGAUUAGGUUAAACAUGUCAGAUUUGCCCGGUGAUGGUCAUCAAUAUUCUGGAGUUGUACUGCAAACAUUACGACUUUAAGAUAAGAUAUUUUUUUUCCCUUGCUUACCAAUUGAAUCGAAGCUUCAAAAGUCAAUUUCUGCUUCCCAAAUCCAGUGUAGUGUAAUUCCAAUCCACGCACCGAACAAGAAGAGGAAAAGAUUUAUGCUAUGUAUUUAUUACUGGGAUUUUUCUAAGGAGUACUCCCAAGUCAUUCGUUACCACACCUAACAUAUACCUAAUGUAUCGUGUAUGUAUGUAUAUAUAUUAAUAAUUAUUAUUUUUUUAUAUUUAUAUUUUUUCUAUUUAAUUGCACCUACCCUCUAUUAUAUUUAUUUAAUUUCUCUAAUUAAUUUUAUAUUUUAAAAAAAUAUGACAAUCGUAUUAAGUAUACCUUAACGAGUGAUCUAUGAGCACCCGUUAAAAGAAAGACGUCUGCUGCUAUCAUUUUCAUUUUUUCUUAGAUUGUAUGUACAGAUCGACUGUACAGAUUGUUUGGUUCAUGUGAUAUUGGGGCUUUUCUUCCAAAUCGGGAAGCUUGGUCAAUAAUUGUGCUUCACAUCGUGACAAUUAAUGGUGGUGUAAGAUACGGACAUGGAAUGGUUAAUGUAUUCAACUGGUAACUAUCAAGGCUAACGUUAUAAUGACUGUUGAAUGGUAAGUAGUUUUUAACAAUCCGAUGCAUGAUUAAUACUGUAUUAUGAUAUCGAAUCUUCCUCGUUAGUUUAUUUAGGAGCUGCGAUCAUGUUAACUACUUUCUUUGUCUCACUUUGAUAGUUAUGUUUCUUUUUUCACACAGUUCAAGAAAAAGUAGUUAACUUUAUUAGAAAAGUAAAUUUAGAUUGCUAUUUUCCUAAAAUAUCCUCACAUUAAAUAUGGUACAACUUUAUGGGAACUUAAAUUGAUGAUAAAAAAAGAAAAAUCAACUCUCAUUAAAUGAGGUAGGUUUAUAGUAACAACUACUUACAUUGAAAGAAGGUAUUUUAAAAAAAUUAAAAUACAGCUACAUUCUUCAAUUGGAAAGUGAACUACAAUUUGGGACAGAUGAAAAAGGAAUACAAGACUAUCAAAGUGAGACGGAGGGAGUAUAUCGUAAAUACCAUUAACGAAAUGUUCAAGUCCAAAUUAACAAUAAUGGCUUACACCCUAUUUUCUUUUUCCUUUUUUUUUCUUUUUAUAAAAAAAAAAGAAAAAAAAAACAAACUUAUUCUCCUCGUCCCUUGUUAGAAAAGGGAAAAAGGGGUCUACUAGUACUAGGGUGCAGCUGCAGCCCUCAGUUUGCAGUUGGCUGGGCUCCUGGAAUUCACUUUAAUCAUGUUUGUGACAGGAAAGGGUCCAAGAACAUUGGAUGCCUUUCAUUUUUGUGCGACGAAAAAGAUCAUAAAAUGCAAAAGUUUCAGUCAUAAUAAAAGUAGUCGUAAAAAAAAAAAGAAAAAGAAAGAAGAAGAAGCACUAUUACAAAAGAAAAUCUAAACCAAAAGAGAAGUAGCAAAAAAAGCAUCUACUUGGAAAAUAAAGAAAUUGGAAUGGACAACAGGAGGAAGUACAAGCAUUACACGGGCAGGUUUUUAACCAUAGCAUUAUGUUGCGUAGAACAAUAUGAAAUCUUGGAGUCAAAGGAUUCAAGAAAAAGCACAAAUUGUAAGAUUUCUUCACAUCCACAUGAAAACCCAUGUGUGCUUACGUGCCUUUUUUGAAAUACUGAACCAAGCAGAGGAGUCGUGCUUGAGAGUUGAAGCCAUUUCCUCAAAAAAAAGGAAGAAGAAGUUGAAACUUUGCAUGUAUGCCCUUAAUCUAUGCAUGUGAUUACUGAUUUUGCGCCAGAGUCAAAAUGCUUGGCGUCCUUUUGAAUAAUGACGGUCAGCUGCAACAACAGUUCUUCUCUCUUUUCUCCUCUUUUUUUUUCACUUCUGUUUUUCCUUUUGGUGUUUUAGCUUUGUAUUUCCUUGAGGGAAUAGCGGGAAUUGGAGACCAACUAACAUAACAUGGUUGGUUCCCACCUCAUGCCCCCAAAAUAGCAAUUAAUAAAUGUACCAAUUGCCUGCACGACCUCUGUUACCAGCUUUGCUGAGCAGCAUUGUAAAGUACCCGGGGGGAAAAAAAAUUUAAAAAGAAGUAGUAGCAUUUAAAAGAUUAGAGAGGGUCAAAUUUCUAAGAUGAUACUCCAUAGAUUGUAUGGUGGUAUUUAGCUACAUGUUUGCUUCGAUAAAAUCGUCUCAUUUUAAGAUAGAAAUAUAUCAUGACGGAGAGUGAACCAUCAUCGAUCAUCGAUCGGAUAAAAUGGAUGCACUAUGCAUGCAUAUGGAUGUAAGAAAAUCACAUAGUGGCAAAGUAACGGGAGAUAAAGUUUGAAUCCUUAAUCUUUCACCCUAUCAAGAUUUUAAGUCAGGGGAAAUGGCUGACUGAAAAGACUUAUUAACUGAACAAUACUAAUACUCCCUGAAAUAAAUACCGUGUACUGACCUAAGAUCAAGUUUUGAGACCCCAAUAUUUUCCAUGAUUUAAGGGCAGGGUGCAGGGAUCGGGUCACAAUCAAAUAUGGAGCAAGGGGGAGCACAUGCGAGGAAGAGAAGAGACAAGGCAGAGUUUUGUCUCGAAGAAAAUUAGGACAUCAUAAUUGAUUGAGAUUUUUGUCCUUGCUUAAGACAAAACUUCACAUGUCACCAAAAUAAUUUCCUCUAAUUUCUCAGAAUUCUUCAAUAAUUCUGCUUCUUAGGCGGCCUAAUAUUAUUGUUACAACUGACAAAUUAUCAGAUUUUGAUAAUGCAAAGAAUAUUAAUAUCUUUCACUUGAAAGAAGAGGCAAAACAAAUAAUUGAACAAAUUAAUAAAUGUAGGCCUACUAAGAAGAAUAUGUCAACGGGGGAUAAGCAAUACCCGAAGCUGGAAACUUGAAAAAGUAAAAAGGCCCAGAAGCAGGUCUAGCCGUUGCGCAAUUUGUCAUCUUUAUACAGAAUAUGAUUCCAUGAACAAGAAAAAGGGCAUACUAAGGUUGCACUGCUGUCUCUCAAAGAAUUUGGUGAACAAGCAGCAGCGUGACUGUCAAGUCACAGGUGGCCAGAAGUGGCAUCUAAGAAACAGAAAAGGAUGAACGGCUUGAGAUUCAAGUGACUUGGGUCUUUUUAACUAUAGGUUAAGACUUAAGAUAGAUACGGUUUAUGUCAAAAAGAUCAUAGAUAGAUAGAUAGAUAAUCUUAUGUGAAAAAAAUUUGGGUCUUUUUAUGUAGGGUAAGAUAGAUACUCUUUAGUGGUCAACAAUCAAAAUUGAGAACUUACAAGUAGAAAAUCUCAAGUUCAAAUAUUCCAACUUAGAAUUGUAAAUAUUUCUGCUUUUUUUUUUCUUUCUUUCUGAAAAAGACUAGGAAUUGUAGUUUGGUACUAUUUGUGGGAAAAAAGUAACGUAGAUUAUUGUUAUGUAAUCGUAGCUCUUUAAUUUCCAAGAAAACGAAAAUCACAGUACUGAGUUCUUGAUUUCCACAACAUGGCUGUUCAGUUAUGCAUGACAGAAAGUAUCCAGUUCAUGUCUCUUAAGCUCUGAUCGUUAAAACAAAAUUGACGUGACACACGGGUACCUCUUUUAAAUUGGAUACAACACAGUCAAAGCCCACAAUGGUAGAAAAAGAAAAAACAUGAAAACUAAUUCCAGUAAUAAGUAACCCGGGACUGCCCGCCCUUUCAAAGUAGUUAAUUGAUAACCACAUCACACAGGAAGUAUCAAAUAAUUGUCAUGCUUAAUCUCCGAACUACAACUUAUAGUCCAAUGAUCUCUAAAAUGACGGUAAUGCUAACGGUUAAUUACUUUUCUGCUAUACAAGCUUACAACUAAGGCUGCAAACGAAUCGCUCGCGAGCGGCUCGAGUCAAACUCGAGCUCGAGUUCGAACUCAGAAUAUUAAGCUCGUUAAUUCGCGAGCCGACUCACAAGUUUGGAUAUAUAUAUAUAUAUAUAUAUAUUUUUUUUUAAAUUUAAUAAUAAAAUUAUGUAUAUUAUAUAUAUAUUUUUUAUUUUUUAUUUUCAUAGUACAAAUACGUAUAUAUCCUUAAUAUUUUAUUAUUUAUUAAGAAAAAAAAUAUUAUUUUAUUUAUUUUUUUAAAAUAAAAUAAUUAUUUUUAUUUUUUUCGAGCUCGAGCUCGGCUCAACUUGAUUCGAGUCGAGCUCGAGCUCGAAAUUUGCCGGCUCAUCGAGUUAAAGCUCGAACUCGAUAAAAUUUAAUCGAAACUCGACUCGAUUAGCUUAAAGCUCGACUCGGCUCAACUCGUUUCCAGCCCUACUUACAACAACCAUUUCAUUCAGAAAAACACACACAUGGCCUCCAAGCGUAUCUCCUCCUCGACCUUAGUGCUCGUACAUCCACCUUAUACAAUACAACACAAUUGUUUUAGUGCUCGAGACCUGAAGAGAAUACAAUGAUGUGGCUUGUGUCUGAACUCUGGAGAGAAUGGCCUUGGCAUCUUCACUUUCUUUGGAGGCAAGUAAAAGGAAGCCAACUGUCAGCAUGCGCAUUCAUCGAUGAUAUUCAAACAAGACGGCAAACAAGGAAAAUUGAACUCAAGCGCAUAAGCUUCAGAUUCGCCCUUUAUCUUUAUUUACAGAAAGGUAGCACGUAUCCACGGGAGAUCGAGAUUUAGAGAUAUCAAGUGACCACAUCUUAUACUGAAUUACUUAGACCACGAUGACGGCUUAAAUCCUCCAACCAACAAGUUUGAUGCCGCAGAUGCAUUUAUUUUUCUCCUCUUGGAUUCAAGUUCCACGCGUCUUUUGGAUGCAGAUGACCCAGAAUAUCCAGAAAAUAUUGAAGCAGCAUUGAUUAGUGCUCGUUUAUCUUUCCUGUUCUUAUCAAACUUGUGAGCAAAUUUAACACUUCGAGCGGCAGCAGCAUCAUCUUCAGAGGCAGGAAGCAAUCGAAUGCCAAGCCCCAUCUUCCUCGAAGCUGCCUCUUCUUCAGCUACUCUUUUCUUUUGGUUCUGCAGACGUUUGAAAAUCAGAUAAUCAUAGAAGUAAUGGACACAAAUAACCAAAAAAUGUAGAGAAAAUCCAAAUGAAAUCAUACCCUAAGUUUGGCUCGCAGGGAUUUGUUUAAAGCAUAAUCAUCAGAGUGCCUGGAGUCAGAUACUCGUUGAAGGCGCACUAGCACCGGCUCAGCUUCCUUCUUCUUCUUUAUAUCCUCUUCCUGGUGCUCAAGACGGUAAAAAGGGUCUGCCAACUUACUUCGUUCUGAAAAAAACAAAAGUCCAAAUUAUGCAACAGAAAAUGGUUAAAAUAUUGUAGCUUUUCUUCCAGUACUGCUUCCUACAGAAAAAUAAAAAUUAUGCAACAUAAAAUACUUCAAAAUGUUAACUUUUCAGCCUGUUCUGCAUCAGAAUAUGUCCCCCGAGGGGGAGGGGGGAAGAGUGUGUGCGCGCGCGCGCGCAUGUGUGCUUUCCUAACAAGAAGCAGAUGACAAUCUAGACGUGCAAGUCACAUAGAAGCUACUCCAACCAAUGGCAGACUUCACCAUAGAGAAUAAACACAAUAAAGAGAGCAAGCAAGCUUACGGCUAACAUACAUUUCAGAAGCAUAUCCCAACAUUCUCAUAGCACAUGAAUAAAUAAAAAUUUUCUAUCCCAUGGAUGUCCGAGUGCCAGUAAUGACCAAUAGUAAACCUCACCUUCAUCAACUGGGAGGAGCAUGGUUUCAGCAUCUUCUACAUCAAACUCCUCAAUUUUCUUUCUGGCUCCACUUAUAAUAACAUAUUCACAAUUCUUUGGAUCUGUUUGAAUCACUAUCUCAUGUUUGCAGCAUGCAGAUUUCAUUGUAAAGCUCCAUAUCUGAUACAAUUACAGAUAUAUUACUGUUAGAACCCAAACAAUAAAGAUUUUCUCCCCACCCAAUUGAUUAAACAGAUUGUGAACCAACAUGCCUACCUUUGUCGAAUAAUAGCUGCCAACUUGCUUUUUCUCUGCAUUGAAGCGCACACCCUUUGCAAUCAUGGACUCACAACCACCACACCAAAUGUUGAAUGGCAUCUCAAACCUACACAAAGGAAAACGUGUCCAAAGUCACCAACUAGAAGUUCCCAACUAAAAGAAGAAGAUAACCAAGGGAUAACAUUUUGAAAACUUUAAUUUACUUUUCAUAUUUCUUACAUGGUCCUUUACAUUCAUCUUAGAUUUAAAAAAAAAAAAAUCAAUCACACAAAUUGGCAGAAGUUUAAAGAUGAUAUGAAUCAUUCUUUCUCAGUGAUAAUAUCAAUUCAAAUCCUUCAACUUGAUCGAAAGGUUUCAUAAGACUGAAAAGAUCACACAUGAUAAUCUAUUGACAAAUGAAUCAUAAUGCCACACAGUUUGUGUUUAGGGUCUUCUCCCACUGACUCCUCUUACUUUCCAUACUUUGUAGAGUAUAAAGACUUGCAUGACUUAAAAAUCACUAAAAAGGUUCUACUGCUAUAUGGACAUUCACCAAUAACACAAAAUGCUCCAGAUUUAUUACCUUAUAACCAAAAUGCCUUGGUCCAAUUUUCUGGCUCGCUCCCGCAAAGCAUGUUGACCAUGGAACUUGUUCAACCCACCCUGAAUGAAAAGCAAUGAUGGAACACAUCACACAAAAAGUGUUAAGCACAAAGAUGGAAGUAUCAAAGUGUGCAAGAAAAUAUGUUCAUGUCACAGAAAAAAGUGUUAAGCACAAAGAUGGAAGCAUCAAAGUGUGCAAGAAAAUAUGUGCACAGUACCUUUUUGGGUGACCAUUCUGGAGGGUAGUAAAAAUUAUCAGCUCUUGCAGCUGCAAGGGAAGACUGCAGAAACAAAAGAACUGAUUCAGCAACUCAAAAAAAAUCAGCACUACAUCUCAAAGAGAAUUAAAGUUUCAUAAAACAUCUUGUAACGGAAGAAGCGACAAUGUUAAGCUGACCAUCUUCAUCCCUACAUGUUAAGACUAUGGCAGAAAGAUGUGUGCAUUCACAUACUAGUUUCUUCCUUAAGCAUAUCAGGUCCUAGUUUAUUUAGUUUCUAACUAAGCACAUAAAACAUGGUAUCAGACAUCUAAAUUCAUUUGGUAAAGGGAAAAAAAGUUUAGGCUAGAAUAAUCUUCAUCAGAAAAACACUCCUCCUUCUUCCACAAGGAAUUCACACUUAGAAAAGCAACCAACUAACAAUCAAACCGAGCUUAAUAAUACUUCUUGCUGAGCUUUUUAACUUAAAUUUCUGAUACACGUAUUGUUUCUCACUAAGGAGUAUAUAUUUUCACCGUCAACAUUAAGCAUUUUUUGAUGAAAUAUGAUUUCCUAAUUUUAAAAGCAGAAAAAUGUUUUUUUCCCCUUUUGGACGAAGUUUCAUCAUGGCUUUACUAAAAUAAACAGAAAAAUGUCCUACCAGGCAAUUCAUCAUCAAAUUUCACACAAAAAACUGCAUAACAAAGAGUACAAGGAAAAAAAAUGAAACAACAUCAACGAGAUUUUAGGGAAAUGUGUAUAACUCUUCACGAAAUUUAUGCAAUCAACAACAAGACUCGUAUAGAAAAUGAAAACAACAUAGCGUGGCAAACAAAAAAUCAUACACAAUUAGAUAAAUUUUCGGAUUACAUAAAAAAUUUUAUACGAAAUUAACAGUAUAAUAUCCAUAAUUAUAUUCUAUUGAUAAGAAAAAUCGUAUUCGACAUGCUUCGUUAAAACCCUAGCCAUGAAAGAUAGGUCAAAUUAAAUGACAAUCCUAAAUCAUUCAAGAAAAUUAUCGAGGAGGUAAAAUAACAGAUUCUGAUUUACAUACCAUUAUUGCUAAAUUUCUUCAGCAAUCGAUCGAUGACGAAAUCUUCUCCUCUUGUAUUUCUAGAAAGCUGGGAUUAGUUUUUGAUUCGCAAUUUUUGGUCGGAAUGACAGAUGGGACCACCGGCUCUCUUUUAUAUACUUGUGAGAGAUACGAUAAAGGAUUGGCGGCAAAGGCCCAGUUGCUGCAACUGUAUGUCAUGGGCUUUUCGGGGCCGAAAGGCCCAAUCAAAAAACAUUAUUGCCAAAGGCUGGACCGGUCAGCCAAUGUCUUUCUUUAAAUUUUAUUUUCACCUGAUAGAUUUUGUCAACAAAAAAAAAAAAAAAAUUUCUUUACUAAUUUAGAAAAGGUUUAAUCUUUCCUAGUCUUUUAUCAAGAAAAAUAUAAAUUUCAAAAAUUUGAUAAUGAAAAGAUUAUGUAACGUCCUCAGAACAUGUAGAGUAAUCGAGCAUUAGUAAAAUGUUUCCUAUGCUUUAUAUUACAAUUUUAUGAAUGAAUUUGAUUGUUCCUAUGCUUUAUAUUACAGAUUGAUCAAAUACGUGUGUCACUUCUUCUCUUCUUAUUUUAGAGAUCAUUUUUUACGUAACAAUGUGCUAGCUAUUUUGAAAAAAAUUAAAAAAGAUUUACUAUCUUUGCCAUUGUUGAAUAUUAAUUUUGCUAACUCGGUAUAUUUUUACUUGUAAAAACAAUUAGUAGAUGUGUAAUGUGCUUUGCAUCUUAAUGCUCUCAUGUGACGGUGUUACUUAAUUUGUCAGUACAUAAAAGGUUAAUUAUUUGGAGAACAAAUGUACAAAAAUUGCAUACAUUUGUUGACUUAAUUACUUUUUUUUUUCAUUCAAUUUGCCCAAGUCAUCAUACCCAAACUAAGGGGGUUUUUAACACAAAAAAAAAAAAAAAAAACAGAUUGAUGAAGGUCAAAUUUUGACCUUAUAGAGAUGUUGUAGAAGUUUUUCAAUCUACUUGCAAAACGUCCACAAGAAUCUGUGAAUUGCACCUUUAUAUGAUGCUGCUCUAUUAAUUGAAAUAAUAAAAGGGUACGUACGUGGUUAAGGCAGAAAGGUUAAGAUGCAAAAAAUCUCAGGUUCAAAUUGCAUUGUAACAGCUAAUUAGUUGUAUCCAUAUACUUGUAUGUGAAAUGCUAGCUCCAUAUAUAUCCCUUGGUAAAGUGAUGCUAUCAAGCUAACCUUCGCCUUUCAGCAAACAAGUAAAAAAGAGAAAAGUUAACCUUUGGCCUCUCCUUCCCACCUAGCUGCAAUUUCUUCUAUUCACAUCAUUCAGAUAUCACGGAUUUGGUAAUCUGAACCAUAUUCAGUAGGUGCCAUAUAUAUAUAGGCCGGAUCCAUCUUUUUCCUAAACAUCCUUAGCAACGAGAUUUCCUCUAAAUCUUUAGUCCAUUAUCAGAUAAUGCACCUCACCUUUUAGCACUGAACACGAUCGUAUCUUUACUUAGACAUCGAAAUAAAUCCUGAAAGUGUAGAUAAUCUUCCAUUUCUCUCUUUUACAGACAACAUUGCGAAUGAUCGAUCGUCAUCACUUUCUCAAACAGUGAAAGAUUGCUUGGUUGAAAGAAAACAUGGAUGGCAUAUUCCCCACUCCCCAUUUUCCAUUUUCCCACGUACCCUCUUGUGAGUUCCAUAAAUUAAAGCGCUUUUUUUUUUUGUUGGGGUAAGUCAGUGCUAGCUGUGCUAUAUGCACUCAAACAGUAUCGAUCCACACACACGUACAUGCAGAAGUUGACAUUUUCAUUAAACUAAUGAAGAAUUCCGCUCCCAAAAGCAGGAAAAGAAAAGGAAAAAUCAUAGCCCCAGAUGAAAAUUCAAAUAUUAUCUAAUUCAGUGUUUGACAAUCCACAUAAUGACUCCUUAUAUUCCUUGAAAUCUAAGGAACAUUUAUUGGGAAUAGGGGUUUGCCGCCCCCUUGUCUCUCUUUCUCUUUCUCUUUCUCCCACAAACACAUACGCAUUUACAUUAAAUAUUAGAUUAGCAAAUGCUCACAAGGCUCACAUGUAAUGUAAGCAAGCAAGCCCCCUCCAUUUUCAACCCUCCCCUCCCCUCGUACGUAGCUCAAGAAAUCGUCUUAUAUUUGUCCAUUAGAUUCGAGCUGUCAACCCUUGAAAUUUUCUCAAUCUACUAAAAACCCUUCUCGAUCCUUAUAGUCCUCACAUCUUUUCUCUGCACUUUCAUUACUCCAUGCUUCCUCUUCUCACCUUUCUCCUUCUCCUCUUCCAACAUGAACAUUUCUCACGUCCUAAUCUACCUCAUUCUGUGCCUCUCCAUGUUUUUCUUAUGGCUUCAUGAGUACCGCGGCCUCAUGAACACCCACAACUAUGAUGCCAUCAGCCAUCCAUCGUCUCUAUCUCAUCAUCAGCCCUCGAUCCAUAGAAAAGCACUAGCAAGCUCCGAGUUUGACUUCACCCCAUUUCUUAAAAGCCACCAUAACAAGCGGCCGAGACGCUCACCGGAUGACCGGGCGCCGCCCAGCGAUGGAGACGAAAUCGAUCCUCGGUAUGGAGCUGAAAAGCGCCUUGUCCCAACCGGUCCAAACCCUUUGCACCAUUGAGGAACGGAGGGCAAAUGUUUUUAUGUGAAUGAAAAGAAAAGGCAGCAGCGAUCAUACAAGAAAAAUGGUUAGUUCCUAUAGGUUUGAUAUAUGAUGAUUUAAUUAGUCAGCUUUAAUAUGUAAAUGUAUCCAAGCAAUUAAAUAUAAUUUGUUUUAUAUGGUUGAUUUUUAUAUGUUAGGCCAUCAAUAUCAAUAACAUGCUUGAUAAUGGGAUAUGAUGUUUCAUAAUGUCCCUUUCCUUUUUUUUUCUUUUUUCUUUUUUUCGUUUUUUCAAAGUUUUCCUUUCCAUUUUGUUCGGUCACAGACACAGUAUUGUUGUUUUGCAAUUAACGAAUUGAUGAGUAGCUGUGACGGCACGGCACAAUGAAUGAAUUGAUACUUAGCUAACUCCAUAAUUAGAAUUAUUAAUGAAGUUGGCUUGCUUUCUUUGAAGAACAGUACUACUAUGAAGGAAUGGGUAAGAUGCACGUGAUGGACUACUUGUUUUUUGUAUUUGUAUGUUAUAUAUUGAAACAAUCUGCCAUGUCUCUCGCUGGGCUAUAUACAUAAACCAGAUUUUUUUUUUUUUUUUUUUGGUUGCCCUUUUCAAGAAGUUCACCACAAAGUGAUCAAUAUUCAACGAGGACUAUAAUUUGUCCUUCCAAGUCUUCACAUUAAUUAAAUUCGAUACACAUUAGAGGAUUGCUCAAUAUAUUAUCGUGCCGUUGUUCAAUCUUCAAUGCACAUUAUAAGGCAGUUCUGAGUUCAACAAUUAGACACUAUUAAUUUAGACUCAUUUCAGUUGGUUUUUCCUUUUAUUUUAUUUUUUUAUCGUUUUAGGUACUAAAAUUAAUAAAGAGCAAUAUAUAUAUAUAUAUAUGAAAAAAGAAUGAGGUAAUCCAGGUAUUUGAAUGAGAAAAAAAAAAAGAGAGAAAAGCGAACAUGAAAAAGGGAGCUGGCUGGGAAUGCAUAAACCACCAAUUGCAAUGUAUUGCACUUUGUUAUGGUGGAUGUAUAAAGUGGUAUUGAAGAAAUUGAGCAGCAUUCAUUUGGUUAUUGUUGACGGUGAGGUAGGUCCCCCAAAUAAAAUAAUCAGUAGUGGCAGGUAAGUUACGAGCGGUCAACGCUACCUCAACAAGUUUGAUUAGUUUUGCCAUUUUCCAUUCGAUAGUUUCUUUCCCUUUUUUCUGAGAGCGUUUGGAGGAUUUGAGUGUCAUUGUUGUGGUGGUUAUUUUGCAGCCACAAAUUCUUUAUCGAUGUCACGAAAUAAAUGAGGUUAAAUUUAUUUUUAAAUAAAAAAAUGGUUGCAUAGUUGUGUUGUUUAAUUACUUCUCUGAUUUAUCUUACAUUGAAAAGACCAAUCCUGAAAAUACUCCUUUCUGGGAGUAAUAGUUUUUGCUUUUCUUUCAAGACUUUCUCUGUAAUAAUAACAUCCUAAAAGCUAGAACAAUACCCAUUGGCCACAAUGAUCUGGGUUUUACUAAAGAAAAGAAAUCGCCGCGAUAUUGCCCCUUCUUUUAUUACCAUUUUUCCCAACAAUUAAACCUAGUAAAUAAUGCGUUAUCUUCAUGUUGGAUAUGAAAUAGAUUAUGAAUUACUGGUCUAAUAAGUGAAAAUGAAGUCAAAUUUCUAAUUAUUUUCUUUAAAAAGAAGAAAAAUGUAAAAAAAAUAAAAUAAAAUCAAAGGGUCGCUUAUGAAUUUUCAGACUACCGCGUGAUUGAUCUGCCUUGCUUUUCAACUGUAACGCAAACUUCUCUCUCAAACGUACAAAAUUUUAGGCCACACAAGCCUAUAAAUAAUUUGUAAUCAAAAUUGACAGCCUAACCAACAAUUGAUUCAAAAUCAACUGAGGUAAGCACACUUUUAGCCGAGGAGAUUUUUUUCACGUUUAGUUCAGUGAUUAAGGUUGAGAUUUCAAUAUGUAGCAAUUCUGAAUUCUAAAUUUUUCCAUCGCUUCUUAAAUUAAACAAAAAAACAGGGUAAGCGCGCCUUUUGUUUUUAUUUUUAAUUUUCUAAUCCAACUCGUAAAUUUUUGCCCACUAAGAAUGCCUGCUGUAUGUUAUUAUUAAGUAUUAUGAUCCUUAUCCUUGUAGUUAUUAGCUUUUUGUUGUUAUAAUUGCGGUUAAGGUUUCCCUUUAGCAUCUAGCAUGCAAAAUUACGUGCCUUGUGCUUACGAAGUCACGAUCUGUAAAAGCGAUGUUUGCAUCACACGCUUUCUUUUCUUGAGGUCAAUGGGAUAUAAACUAAACCAUGGCCGACAGCCGACUCCAACGUGACGGUCCUGACGGCCGCAAACUCCAAUUCCACGCUUUCAAGCCGGACGCUUGUUGCUGGGCCUUCAAUGGACAGCAGAAGCGCCUCGCUGCGGCACGUUUUCAUCCACUAGUUUUGGUCCCGUCGUCCUUCCCAGGUGAGUUUUAGCAUAAAUUGAUUGAUUAAAUGUUCAAAGCAAAAUAUGUUAAAUUAUGACCAAGAGAAGACGGAAAUCAUUAUUCUAAGGGGACAGGGAUACAAAAGCAGGUGCAGGUGGCUGUUUACUCUUACGAGACCUAAUGACUUUUUGCGCCUUUGAAAUACCCAGAUUUUGACGGUUUCAUCUUAAAUUUAGUAUCUAAAAGUUUUAAUUAGUGCUUGCCACUUUGGCCCCUUAUUAGAUGGUAGCUAAGUGCUAAUUCUUGAAUGAAAUGAGUGCUUGAGCUUCAUACUGAUUCUAGAUUAUGAUUGACAAUGACCAAACCGAAUUGAUGGUGUUUAAUCAUGCAACUUUAGACAUUCAUGAAUUCCUAUAUUAAUUGCUCUAACUAGGCUAAAAGUAGAGGUACUGUAUCAUCAUCAUGAUGAAUGAGAAAAGCUAAAGUUACAAAUUUUUAUUUCACCCUCCAAUCUCCCAGUUGCUUGUCCCAGGAUUCAAAUCCUGAAACAGGCAACACGCUAGCAAGUUGUUAGUCACAAGAUGUUAAUGAAUUGCUUUGUGUUGAAUCAGAAUUAGAGAUAAUAAUUAGCUAUCUAAUCCAAAUCAUGAGAGGUGCAGACCGAUUUAAGUUUGCUAAUCAAUUACUACAAUUUCACCCAUAUUUGUAAAGCUACAUAAUCCUCUCAACAAAGAAUUAGGGAUAAUUUCAGAAACCUCUCUUGAGCUUGCUGACAAUUUCAUUGAGCUUCCCCUCAGGUUUGAAAAAUUAUACCUACCUCCUUUGAUUUGAUAGUUUUAGUAAGAAAAUCUUAAAAUAAUAUUGACUUUGUCAAAUUUUUAAAUGAAUACCCCAAAAUGUCCUUGUGUAAUGAGUUUUAAUUUAUUUUUCUAUACCAUUAUAAGAUUAUCUAAUAUAAUUAUAAGGAAAAGGUGCCAAAAUUUUUCAUGUCCAUAUCUACUAUUUGAUAAACAACUUUAAUAAUAAAAAUUUUAUUACUAUGAUAGGAUACUUUUGAUGGUAUUUUAUUAUGGAUUUAGAUUUAUGAGAUAUAAAAGAAAAUGUUGAAAUAAUUCAUUUGGAGUUUAUAAAUUUUUCAAGUAGUGGGAUUAUCAUGAUUUAGUAGCGGUUUUGGGUCAAGUUUUUUUAUUUAUUGUUAAAUUUAAUACCAAAAAUAGAAAUAUAAAAAUCAACAAAACAUUGGAUUACAUAUAAGUUAACUCAUAAAAAAAAUCACUCAUUCGACAUUUAGUUACAAUAGAAACUAGAUGUAAUAGUUCUAGUUCUAUAAUUUUAUUGGCAAAAAAUUUUAAAAAAAAAGGAAUAAGAAGGAAAAAGAAUGAAAAGUAAUUUUAAAAGUCAUUCUAAGUAUAAGCAUAUCAAACAAGGAAAUUUCAUUAAAAUAUUUAAGGGUAGUAUUGUCAUUUUAAAUAAAAAGGGAGGUAUGUGUAAUUUUUAAAAUCUUGAGAGAGCUAAAUGAAAUUGUUAAAAAUCUCAAGGGGGGUUUCUGAAAUUUUCCCAAAGAAUUAUUUAUGAUGUUUAUUUGAAGUAACAAGAAACUCUCAAUUAGUUCGUUUAAACAAGGUCAUGUUUCUCAAUUAAUACUAAAUAACUCAAGUUUUCCAUCAUAAAUAGAUUCUGUUUCAUGACAUAUUAAUUAAAUUUGACCUUUAUUUUCUGCUGAAUUCAAAGAACCUACGUGCAUUUAGAUUUGAGAAUUAUUUUACAGUAAAUGCAAGGACAAAUCAUCUUUUAUUUCAAGGUGACAUGGACGCACGUAGUAACCACCAUGGAAAGCAGAGUUGGGGUCUGCAAUGUCAACACACAAGACAUUAGACCAAUUCUAGGUGUCAAAACAUAAUAAUUACCCCAUUUGAAUUGUUAUUUUUAUGAAUUUUUGUGAAAAAAAUGUACGGUGACAAUUUGUUGAAUAUAAGAUAAACAAGUAAUUAAGAAAUAUAUUCACGAAAAUCGUAACAAUUUCUCUGCAUAAGAUCACAAUUCAAACGAAAUAAAUGUUUCACCGAACAUCCCAGAACAACUGAUGAUACAGUAAAGCACCAAGUUUCAUAAAUUUGAUGAACAAUAUAUCCGAUCGAGAGCAUUUUACUCUUUUAUCAGUGUUAAUACAAGUCUGGAAUUCCUACUUAGAAAGUCAAUGCACAACUAAAAAAACAAAUUCUCCGUUUGAAUUCAAGAGUUUUUGAAAAAAAUAGUUUUGUCUUCUUUAACAGUUUAAUACCCAAACCAACCAAAAUCAUCCACUUCACAAAUUAAAAAAGCAAGAAAGGCAUAAAAGUAUAUGACAAUUGAUUAGGCUCCUCACCCCUUGACAUGCAUGCAAUUGCCAUCACACGGUUGGAAUUGACUCAACAACCACCCUAGCUCGGUCCUCGCUCAUAGCCUAUUUUACUGAAUGUGUUACAUCUGAACACCAUUUGGUUCUCACAAACCAAGGAAUCGUACUUUAGCCAUAUUAGCCUGUCACCUAUUUGAACCCUUUUGGUUAAUAGACAUCUUAACAAUUUAAGGUUGGAAGUGAUGAAUCAUUUUUUUUGUUGAACAUACUGCUGAUCUUUCUACAAACAUACACUUUUCACUCCCCACCUGAAAGAGGGGGCAGGUUAUAUCACAGUUGAACAGUCUGAACUGCGAAAACCCUCCCAUAAAUUAGUGCAGCAACAAGAAGCUUACAGACAUGUUUGAGUUAGUAUCCAAAUUAAGGUCAUCUAACAUCAGUAUUACACUUCAAUCAAUCCAGAAAGUAAGCAAUUUACACAUUACCACACAGCUUCAACAGAGUGAAGAUUGUUGCAGCAAUAAAAAAGACCAUGGAGAUUGCCACCCAAAAGUGCUGAGACAAAGAGAAAUUUUGGUUAGAAGGUCUGAAAAAAUAUCCACAUGAUUUCAUAAAUACAAGUGAAACAAAGUAACAAACCAAGAACCUCCCACAGCUAUGCAAUUAUAUCACAUAAAUAUUACCAAAGAUGUUUGAAGGAGAUUUGGGUAAACAAAAGAGUGUAUAGUAAAACAAAAAUGGAAAUGAUCCCACUUCUAGGUCAGCUGAUUGCCGACAAUGAAUGGCAAUAAUACCACCUUUAGUAUUUAAAACCAUAAGUUAUAAAACUUGAUACUUACAGGCAGGGUUUCCCAUAUUGCUUCAUCGCUCAUGCUUUCCUCCUCCCCUGGCAUUAAAGCCCUGCACAUCCUGAAAAACAACUUUGGUGUUGUGUUAAAAAUGCUCAAAGCCAAGUCUGCAAGAGUCAACUACAAAGUGGAAAUUCUCAUAACUGAGUUUCUUUAUUGAACUGAAAACAUUGAAAACAUGUUUUUUUUGGUCAACAUUGUGAGUCUAUAACUAUUUCCUUCAUUUUAAUGGAAUUUUCGACUUCCCAUCCACACAUAUAAACACACACAAAGGAGAUAUAUGCAACUAAACUUCUUCCAAGCUAAGAAGAUAUCUUGGCAGGAAAGAUAUCUCACCUAACAUUAUCAACCAAAAUUGCUGUUUCAAAUGCUAGCAAGGGCAAAAAUACAAUCUUCAGAUUCACAGCUGCAAUUAACCAGUGUUCAUGAGUUUAAGGGUCUCCGGAGAUCAAGACUUGUUAGUAAAGAAAGAAAAGACAAUUAGCCCAGAAACUGCAGAUGAUAUUUCAAGUGUGCUGUAGAAUAUUAAAUAAGAAGCAAAUGGACGUAUGAUACUAGAAGAGUUUCAGAGAAGGUAAAUACAAAAGCAACCAGCCAAAAAUAGACAAUAAACAUUGCAUAGGAGCAAAAAUAACACUCUAAAACAUGCUAAGUACAUAUACUAAAUGUUGUCAGAAAAACCAUACACAUGAGCACAAAAAGAGAAACACGGUAAUCAAAUUUGAAGAUGAUACCAUAAAAAUAAAGAAAAAAAGAGAAGAAAUUUAUUGUGCAGCAAAAUGAACAACAUGCUGUUAAAAUAAAAAAACAUCAAUAACUCUUGUCAAGGGAUUUGGCAGUAUACCAUCAUGGUUCUCGAGAUAUAUACAGAGAAGUAGCUCAAAAGCAACAAGCAAUGGUAUCGCCAUGACAGCAUGAAAUGGUGCCCACUGCUCAUCAAAGAGUGCAUCUUUAUGUCAUGAUAAACGGCUUUGAAAUGAACAGUUAAUAAGAGUUAUCUAACUGUUGACAUAUAAAAUACAUCAGACAUAUUGUACCAUACAUGGCGAUCAUGUGGCAUCGAAGGAGCAGGUAAAGAGAAUCUACCCCUUGCUACUACUACAUGAAACAACCAGAGAGGAAGAAAAAUGACCCUGCAAAAGUUAAAAAUCACAGAAUCUUCUCAAAAUGUGGACAUCAAAUUCUUUCAAAUGCUCAUGGAACUGUAGAAAAUAUAUCAAAAAGAUGGAGAGAUUUUGAAACAAUACAUGCGAUUAAUUGCACCCCUAGAUGCACACCCAAAAAUAAUAUCAACCCAACCUUCUAUUCUUACUUUGUUAGUCCUUAUAUGUAAAUUGGAGCUACCAAUUCUUUUUUUUUUUUCUGAUUCAUGACAGCUUGGCAAAUCAAUGACCGAAGAAAUAGUGUAUCAAUCAUCUGAUCUUAUCUCUAAAUUUCCUCCUGGAAUGGAAUACUGCUAGAAAUAAUCAUACGGCUCUGCUCUGUGAACAAAAUCCUCCAAGUUUCCCACUUUAUUAUUUUUUCAUGUAGAAAUCACAAGCAGAGUAGCCAAGCAGCAAAGUAAAAUAUCUAGCAGGCAAACCUAAAUUUGCCGCAAAUCCACGCAUGAAAAGAGAAUUAUCCACAAAGACAGACAGACGGAGAGAGAGGGAAAAAAAUAGCAUACUACAAUCAGUAGCAGUAGCUUUUAGGAUUUAACAAAAGCCAUAAUUCAUCAAAUUCCUCUCUUAAUUUCUUAAAUCACUGGGUCCAAAUUGAAGAUAAAUUCAUCAAUUAUAAUUUUCAGAAAAUAUCUGAAGUGCCUAAACAUACACAUCCAAUAAAAAGGUAAGUUCAAAAGCAAGCCACUUUCUUAUAUUGGGUAACUAUACUUUUCAAACUAUCCAAAAUUCAAUGGAUGUGACAGUUCUCCUCACACUAAUAUACCCUUUUCUACAGCUUAUUGCUACUAACAAUUUUUUUGCUUGAGUAAAUAUUUGUUAAAAAAAGAAAAGGAAAAAAUCAAGACCGGCAUCAGAAAGAUUAAUUAUUUAAACUAGAACACAAAUUCACACCAAUCUCCAGCUAAGCAAUAUUGAGACUGCAAUUAACAAGAAUUUGAAAAAUAUUGACAAAUGCUGAAUAACCAAGUAAUGAAAAUGAUAACCCUGAAUAACCCUUCCCAAAUUUCACCAAUCCCAUUUUGUGUACGUGACACAUAUAUACGUAGAAACGUAUAAAUUAAAAAUAGAAAACGAACCACCAAGAAUGAUGAAGCGUUCGAUCAAGCUUUAGAGCGAGAAGAAGAGUGAAAGUGAAGAGGAACCCAUGAGCUAAAACUGCUUGCAAAGACUUGAGAACUCUUCUCCAACUCAUAAUUCAGUUUGUAGAAUCGAUUAGAGGAGUGAAGAAAGGGAAUUGCAGAGAGAAAAAUAAAAGGGAAUUUUUUAGUGAGGUAAAUUUGAAACGGGAUGGUACUAGAAUUACAAGCCAAUGACUCGAUUAGAAGGAACUGAUUUGGUGAGAAGUUUCGGACAAUUUGAACAGCGGAACUAGAAUAAAGAGUACCAGUAAACAACAACGUUUGAUUGCUUUUGCAGAGGUUUUUGUAUUGUAUUUUUUUUUUUCAUUGAUUUGUUCAGCUGUUUGAUACUUGGUUUUCACUUUUCACGCCAAUGUUGUUGUUUAGUUUAGCUGCGGGAAAAUUUUAGACUGACCAAAGCGCCAUUGAAUCUUUAGCCGGAAAAUGUAACGUUUGUUUGCAAGUGAAGGGUGAUUUCGUCUAUUUGGUCCACAAGGACAUAAUCACCAUUUUUUUUCCCCUUAAUAACAAAGGGAUGUGAUUUAAGCAACACAAAAAGUUGAGAGAUUACUUAUAUUUUAUAAUUCUAAAGAUGGCUCAUCCCCUUCCUCAUGUUCUAAAAUUCCUAUCCACUCUUCCCCUGUCCCCCGUUUCCUUUACCCCUUGCUCGUCCUCUUCCAUGUCUCCGCAGUUGGCUAAUCAUAAUUUUAUUUUUUGUUUUGACAUUAUUUGUUUACAUAUAUAAAACAAUAACAACUUUAUAAAUUGUUCUUUUACAUUGUGUUUGGAUUGCUAAUUUAUCCCAAAUAAUAUUUCGCUUGCAUCAUAGACACAUUUUCAAUUCACUUUUUAUAUUAUCAAUUACUUUUUUAUCUUACAUACAUCACAUCACAAAAAGUGCUACAAUAAAUAUUCCAAAUAAUACUCUAUCCAAACACAUUUAGCUAGCUAAAUAUUCAAUGUGAAAUCAAGUUUAAAAAUCAUUUUGAUCUUUUGAAUUUAUUUUUCCACAUUUAAUAGCAAAUCCAAGUUUAUAACUGUCAUAUUUGUUUUUAUUUCUUUGGUAAACAAUUUACAGCGUGUGAAAAAAUUCAACUAAAAAUAACCAAAUCAUCAUUUUAUCAUAAAAUUAUGAUAUUUUAGUUCUCAAAUCAUAAUAUAUAUACACACACACAUAUAUAUAUAUAUAUUUGUGUGUGUGUGCCCGUGCAAUUAUAUAUAUAUUUGUAUAUGUAUGUAUGUUUGUUUGUAUAUGCCUCUGUUAUUAAUAUGUAGUUAUAAUGUACAUAUGUGUGUCUAUAUACAUACAUACACACACACACACAUAUAUAUAUAUGUAUAUGUAUACACACAUAUACAUAUAUACACAUACUCUUUUUUAGUUUAUUACAAUGGUGAGGAAUGGAAUGUUGGAUGUGACGGAAGUAUCCUUUCUUGUCCCUAUCCCAUUUAAAAGGGGAAAAAAAUCCUUAUGAUUAGUUCUCAAAUCAUAAUAUAUAUAUAGUGUGUGUGUGCGCGCGUGUAUAUAUAUAUAUAUAUAUAUAUAUAUAUAUGUAUAUGUAUGCAUAUAUGUAUGUAUGUUUGUAUAUGCUUCUGUUAUUAAUAUGUAGUUAUAAUGUACAUAUAUGUGUCUAUAUACAUACACAUACACAUAUAAGUAUACACAAACAUAUACAUAUAUACACAUACUCUUUUUUAAUUUAUUACAAUGGUGAGGUACAGAAUGUUGGGUGUGACGGAAGUAUCCUUUCUUGUCCCCAUCUCAUCUAAAACGGGGAAAAAAUCCCCUUUCCCUCCCCCACCUCACGGCCAAAAAAUGAUGAGAGAGAAGGAUUCGAUGCCCCCACAAAGAUAAAAUGGUGCCGUAGCUAUUUGUUAUUGGAAAAUAUAACAAGAUGAAAGCUAGAAAGCAAAGUGAGAAACAUGAAAAAUAUCUAGGUUGAGAAAUAGCAAGGUAGGUAUACUUUGACUCAUAUACUCGAAAUCAUUCAAAUUUUUCUCUAUUAUAAAAAAAAAGGUGUAAAGUUGGCAAGACUCUUUAGGGGGAGGAUUUUUGGCUUCAGGCUUCAACAAGUGGAACGGGGGUCAAUAGUAUAAGGUAUAAGCAAAAUAGAGAAGAAACAAACAGAGUGUAAUUGUAGUGAUUUGACCUCUUGAGAAUUAUAAAUUAUAUAGGUGGUAAAUAUAUAUUUUUUUGUCACAACGAUAGGAUCCCUAUAACUUAAUCUAGUCUAAUCUAGGGGGAGGGGAAGGGAACUCGAUGUGAGUAGAAACUCCAUCGAAGAUGGUCACUGAAAACCGUCACAUAUAAUGACAAUUUUCUGUGAGAGGUAAGAAUCGAACCCUUGACCUCCCAAACCACCAAACCUUAGAAGGCUUAGCAGUGUGGCAUAUAGGUGGUAAAUAUAAAUUGCUUCAAUUUUCCAUUCCAGCAUUUGUGACAUGUCAUACUUGACAUCUAAUCGGUGGGACAAAUUUCAAUAAAAAUCUUUUGAAGGGACAAGAUGAGACAUAGCAUCUUAUUCAAGGACGCUGGUGCAAUUUGACCUCGCUUUUGUCUCUUGUUAUACAUCUGCAUCAGCGGCCUAUUAACUCAGUUGGUUAGAGCGUCGUGCUAAUAACGCGAAGGUCGCAGGUUUGAGACCUGCAUGGGCCAUUUCUCAUCUUUUUUUUGGGUUAAAUUAAUGAUCCGCAAGGAAUAUUAAUCUGAUUAAAUAUGCAGUUGGCCUAUUAGCUCAGUUGGUUAGAGCGUCGUGCUAAUAACGCGAAGGUCGCAGGUUCGAGACCUGCAUGGGCCAUUUUACAUCCUUUUUUUUUCGGUUAAAUUAAUGUUGUGCAAGCAAUAUUGAUUUGAUUAAACGGGAAUGAGCAUUGAGCAUGAAAACAACUUUGUCUGUUUUUUUUUUCUCGUGCAGCCAACUUCAAUACCGUCUCGAUACGUUUUUGUUGGAGGAGAAUCCGGAAAACUCAGAUGGCCCGAAAACUAUUACUCCUAUUUGAUUUACUCGCUCUGUUAUAUUAAUAUAUUUUGUUGUUUUCAUAUUUAUGUAUUAAUAGUUUCUGGCUAGGUACAAAUCUAAUGAAAUAUGGUAUCUCCUUCAUGUUGUCUGCGUACUUUGUGUAACAUGAUCCAUAUACAAAAGCAAUGGAAAGAUUGAUACUGAUAAGCUAAAAUUGACUGAAACUCACAACAAAGAUCCCUUUUUCAGAGAAAGAGUGGCAACUGUAUGCUUUACUCUCGUGUUUACUAAUUUAGACUACUGGAUGAUAUACACAAAAAUAAAUUUUUUUUUGGGAAGGAAUGAAUAUACACAAAAUUUAGAGGCAGCGCAUAGCAUAGCAACUCUGGCAAUGAUUAGAGUUGGAAAUGCGCAAGUUGAGCACUAGAAAUUUGAAACCAAAUAUACCCACUAGUAGUGAAUAUAUAGAGUAAACCCCAAGUGAAAACAUGUAUCCAUAUAUAUAUGAGAAGAUGACCGACAUCAUGAUCAACCUUGACACUAGUAAUUAACAAAGACAACACCCCAUGAGGCCAUGACCAUGACCAACGACCCAAAUCCGAAAUAAGUAAAUUAAGGCAAAGAAGGAGUCAAGGAAGACCAAGUAGAGAAGGCAGGCAAGGAAUCAGGCCACCAGUAUAUAACAUGAUAUAUACAUUUUUCUUCUGAACUCAGUCGUCACAAGGUCUCGUGAGUGAUGAAUAGCUCUGAAACUUGCUUGCUUUGGUAAAAACUGUCUCUUCUCUUCGUUGGACCACCGGAGCUGGAAGCCUAAAUCAGCAUAUCGUACCAAUGGGAAGAUGCAGGAGGAAAAGUUGUUAUAUAUGGAUGGAAGUUAAAGCCCUAUCUUGGAAGAUUAAGUCUCGACACUUCUUCUUAUGAUUGUUAUGUCAUGUACAUGCUGCCGAGAGAGAGAGAUUGUUAAAAGAGACAAGAAGCAUCUCGUCGCUAGAAAACAAACUCACCACUGACUUCUUCUUUUGCCCCCCCCCCCCCCCAAAUGAGAUAAAGAAAGCUAUCAAAAUCCACAUUUCUUUCUUAGGUUUUUAUAUCAGGUUUCUCUCCUCACGAAAAAGAUCCUUCGCUGUUUCUUCCCUUCUUAUCCCACUCUCCAUCUUUCUUUCUCUCUGUGGCAUUGUCUAGUAGCACAAGCAAUCCGAGUCACAACAAACUUGGAACUCCCACCAACCACAGUCCCACGUUGUCUGUUUCAGACUUUCAUAUAUAUUCCUCAGUGGAAAUGUGUACUCCAUAUCGGGUGCGAUCAUAUCAGUAGUAGUGCUAAACUCAACCCCAUCAGAGUUGUGUGUAUUUUGAUCGACAAUAAUACUAGGGAAGAAACCCCCUUGUAAAGUUGUAAUACUACGUAUUGAUGAUACUGAAUGGCUAAUAGUUGGACACCAGCACAAACUAAUUAUUGUUGAAAAAAAAAAACCCCACAAAAACACACCAAAAAGCACACAGAAUAACACACAAGAAGAUGAAGAAACUGAUUAUAAUGUUAAUAUAGUUAAAGGGACCUAUGUUCAAGGAUAUUUAUGUUGGUUCUUUGUCUCUUAACAUUCCCUGAACCGGACUCAUCACCGUUGGUUUUCUCCAUAACUGCUUUAAGGGCUUCCUGUAUUGAGCUGAUAGAGUACUGUUGCUGCUGCUGCUGCUGGUCAUCACUGUCUGUAUCAUCCUCCCCAGUGAUGAACAAAACAUUCUUAACUCUACCACCAAGAGUUGUUAUUUCAGCCUUCAGUGUUCUCAACCUCAGACUCUUUAAUGUCUUAAUGAGAUCAGGCAAGAGAUCAGACCUGUCUUCGCAGCACAAUGAAGCUCUUAUCACCAACUUACCGUCCUCAUCAGACGCAUUAUCAACUGUUAACUCAUCAAUCUCAGUUGGAACUGGUGUUGAUUCAGCUAUCAAAGAAGUCUGCCUCUUUAGCUCCUUCACAUGUUGUAUUACUUCAGCCAGCAAUGAUGCCUUAUCCGUCUUAACCACAAAAAAGUAAAUGAGCGAGUUAGUAAAUGUAUAUGCUUUUAAUAGUAAAGCAAGGAUAUAAAUCAAGAUAACAAGUCUGAACAUGCAUAGAAGACGAACUAGAUAUUUCAAGAUGUGUGGAAAGAAGAGAGGAGAGGGUUGGGAUGCGUAGUUGAAGAAUGGUUCUUAGGUAGAUACUUUUUGAUCAUUUUAAGGGUGGACUGGGGUUUAUUGAGACUAGGCAUGGGGGAGUUUAUACUUUAUAGUGUGCAAAUAAGACUGACAUGAAUGCUUCCUUGUUGUCUUUAUUUCUUUUUAACUCUCUAGUUAUAUCAACUGCAAAUCCGGCAAGAAUUUUCCAAUUUAGCUUUUCAACUGCACCGUGGUUUCUCUUUUUCAUAUCAACCAUGCGACAUUAACGCUUGUUUCCCUUUUCCAUUUUUUUCUUACCACCUUGGAACUACCACAACAAUCAGAACAGAAGAAUAUAACCACACAGCUCGAAAGAAUGGAUCCUUAAAAUAAUGCUGCACAGAUAUAUCAAAAGAAAUAAAGUAUACCAACCAGACUAUUAUCUAAUAUCGAUUCUGCUAGUAUGCCACUUUCCGUACCUAAAUUUAUUCUUCACUCUUCUUCUAUUAAACGUGAAGAAUUCCUCUUCCAUACUUUGACAAAUCUAAGUAGAAUCUCACAGGAAAUCUAUUUAGAGAUCUUUGAAUCUGAGAAUCUUAAUAAGAUAAUUCAAAGCAUAAAAGGAGGAAUUAAUAAACAUGUGCAACACAAAAAAGACCAUGCAGGAAUGAGAAUAAUGUGCUUAUGAUUAGUUAGUUGGUUGGAAUGUUGGUGCAUACUUUGGUGGUAUUAGGGAGCAAGCUGCGAAGCUUAGCAAGAUGAUUAUUGAUUCUUUCCCUUCGUCUCCUCUCAGCUUCACUAUGACUUUUGGAAGCAGCUAGAGCUUUAGCAUCCAUGAUCUCUUGAGCAGUCAUUUUUUGCAACUCAGCUUGAAGCCCAAAAGGAGCUGCUGAACUAGCUUGAACCACUUGACCUAAACAGGUGUCAGAAAUAAGCCUGAGAUGGUCUGAUGAUGAACCCUCAUACGCAAACUGCAGACCAGGAGGAGGAGGUCUCCUAUUGAAUAAACCCCCGUAGGGUGAUGGUGGUGGAGGGAGAAGAAAAGGGUCGUGAUCGCGAAACUGAUGAACUGGAUUGAAGCUGUGAACUUGAGGGAUUGUCCAUGGCAAGAUUGGUGAUACUUCUGGGAACAUCAGUCCUCCUCCUCCUGAUGACCUUCCUCCACCAGCAGCUGCCAAGUAUGCAUCAGUACUGUUGUGUUGCUGCAUCUCUAGCCCGCUUGGUUGAAGAUGUAACUUUUCUUGGAAGCCCUGAAUAGCACUAUUUGUUAUGGUUUGAGGAGAAGAAUGAUCAGUUUGUUGAUCUUCAAUGUUGUUGUCGCACAUAAUAGACAGUAAUACUAAAACUAGAGAUUCCUAGUAUAAACCACUAGCAUAUAUAGGUAGGAUGUGAAUAUGUUCUUCUCUUCUCUCUGCACACACUUUAUGAAAGUAUAUAUUUAUCCAAGUCUACAAAACAAGCAUCGCAUUGGAUGACUUUUGGAUUAUUCCACUAGCUACCAUCCAUGCUUUCUUCACAUAAAGAUGAAAAGGAGGAAUACUAAAGAAAAGGACGGAGAAGGAACUUGGAUUCUAUUUCCUCUGGGGGUGCAAAAGGGAUUAAAAGGGAUGUUAAGGAAGAAGAAAGGAUGAAAAAAAAAAGAGAGAGAGGAGAGAAAAGAAAGACAGACAGACCAGAACAGACCUUGGUUUGGCUGUUGAUUUGUGAUUGAAAAGUCUUUCUCUUCCAAACGGAUCUUUAAAACUUUGGUAGGUUUCUAAUCUUUCUGCCACAACCUUUGUGGGGGAUAGAAUGAAUCCGAAAUGGUGAUGACGGAUGAGAUGAUGAGGCUCGGCCCCUUUUUAUCCUACCAUCAACUGAGCAUAAGCUUUCCCUUCUUUCUCUCCUGUAUGCUUUAUUGGUUGUAUCCUUUUGGCUCCUUUGUUUUCUUAUGGGCCCUCAAUAGUCUUCCACCUCCCUCCACUCCUAACAUAUAUAGAGGAGGUGUGCUAGUACUGUUGGUCUUACUUUCCUUUCUACUUACGGCAUACUCUUUUCUCCCUCACGAUCCAUUUCUGUAGCUAUCAGCCUUAGUAGCGAAUUUCUUUUUGGUUCCCGUAUUCAUGUUCUGACACAAUAUUCAUAUUCGGACAUAAUUACUAUAGGAUAGUAUAGACAUUCCCUUAGAGCAGUAUAAAUAUGUACGAGUACUUAAUUAUAUAUAUAUUGAUUGAUAGUGUAUACGCUAUUAUAUAGUUAAUUGGAUGCAUGAAACAUAUACUCUCUGUCCCAUUUUGAUAGCUCUAGUUUUUUUUUUUUCACACAGUUUAAGAAAAAGUACUUAACUUUAUUGAAAAAAUAAAUUUAGAUUGCUAUUUUUCUAAAAUAUCUUACAUUAAAUAGAGUACAACUUUAUAUUAAUUACUCGUAAAACUUGAAUUGAUGGUUUGUGGGAACUUGAAUUGAUAUAAAUAAGCUUGAAAGAAUAAAAAAUUGGCAUUUCAUAUGGUAUCACUGUGUUUUGGAAAAUCUAAAUGCAUUAAAUGGGAUAUGUUAUAUUCAAUAACAAUCUAUAUUAAAUAAGAUAGUUUAUAGUAAUAACAACUUACAUUGAAUAAGGGUAUUUUAGAAAAUUAAAAAAUAACUACACUCUUCAAUUGGAAAGUGGACUACAAUUUGGGACAAAUGAAAAAGAAAAACAGGACUAUCAAAGUGGGACGAAGGGAGUAUAAAAUUUAAAGUUUAAAUUUAAAUUCAGAUAUAUAUGUCAUCUAAUGAUAAAAGUAUAUACAUAUAUACUGUCAGUAUAUAAAAUGUUAAUCCUAUAUAUUGAAUGAUGGUUGUAGAAAAAGUAUUCUAAUUAGUCAAGUUUCGUGUAAGAAAACUUUCGGCCAUAUGUCAUUGUGAAAAGGAAAAGAAAAAGUUUUAGUUGGACUGUGAUUUAGUUAUAUUAUGAUCAAUUAAUUAAUUACCCUUUCUCAAGUAAAGUAGUGCUAUCUUUUAUCAAAUGGGAUUUGAUAGUAAGCUCUACAUUGGGAAUCUCAAAGAAGGAAAAUUUUUUUUUUUUUUUUGUUUUUUUACCGCUAUGCUAUGCAGUGAUAUGGGGUUUUGUUGUAUAAUCUUGAAGGAAGCAUGAUGGUUUGUGAUUGGUCCAAACUUCAAAGCGUAUAAUUACAUUGUGUAAGUGCUGCUGCGGCAGGAUGAGAGAGAGAGUAAGAAUUGGUAAGUUGGGGGAAACACAAACACAACACAGUGAGCACACAACACACAGAUUGUCGACCGACCAAAGACAGCAAUAUUUAUUAACAAAGCAGAAAAGAUCAGAAAGAGAGAGAGAGAGAGAGAGAGAUGGACAGAAAGAAAAGUGCGUUAGUGUGUGUUUGUGAUGUAUCAUAUUCAUUCAUGUUGUUUGUUGUUUGUUGUUGUAUGUUGUAUGUGUCUUGAGUGUGAUGAUAGAAAGGGUUCUUAGCUUUUCUUUCCUUGGUUCAAUUGCCUUAGGUUGGUAUGGGAACCUAGCUCCUCCUCUCCUCCUCGGUCAAGCCCCCACGUUCUUCCCAUAUUAUUCCCUUCUUCCUCUCCAUAGCUACUUCCACGCCAGCACUUUCUGCUCCCCCCAAGACCCCUUGUAAUCAUUGUGUCUUGGAACACACUCCUUCCCUAGUACUAGUACUAGUACUAUUACUAUUACUAUCUAUCUAUCUAUCUAGUUCCAUUAAAGAUAAGAUAAGGAAAAAAAAAAGAAAACUGUGUACAGUAUGACUACUACUAGUCCACAAGUCCCUCUAUCUCUAUCUCUCUCUCUCUCUUCAAAUGGCCUUCAAUGAAUCUUGCUGUAUCAUAUGCAUAUAUACACUAACACUAGUUCCUUGGUUUCAGUUGCAUGCAUUCAAUGACAUUUGCCAGGGCCUUUUGGAAUCGAAAAUCUUUUGAAAGAGAAUCAGGGCAGAGACUUAAUUAAUACUUAGUCCAUGAGAACUUGUAGUUUCUUUUCGGGUGCUAGUUGAUAUGUCUGAACUUUGUUUAUUGCCUCACUCAUGUUUUUUCAUUCUUCUACUUGCAAGUAGCAGCAAUUACCAGCAGUGCGCGUUUCAUCAUCGCGCUUCUUCCAACUCCUAUUUUUUGGUUUUUGGUUUUUGGUUUUUGGUUUCUAGUCAAGCAAGAAAUUGCAGUUGAAGAUCUCACAUCCAGGUAUCCAUAGGCCAUCCGAAGAGACGUAUAAUUAUUUUAGACAAUUACUGUUGUCAUUCUAGUGGCUUUGGUUUCCCAAUGUUCAAAGGACCCUAGCUAUCUCAGCAGUCCCUCCAUACCUAACUUCUUAAACCUUCUUAUUGUAUGUAAUCGUAGCAACGUUUACUAUUCAAAUGAACUUUGUGGAAUGAGAUAAUGGAGAAUUAUUUGUAUAAUUUGGAAAAGUCUUCAAAAGGGCAUUUAUUCUAGUGUGAAGAAGAUUCAAUAAAUUAAGGUACAUUUGUGUCACUGCAAUUCGUUAAACCUUUCAAAAGAAAUUUGGGUUCAUUGAAAUUCUGUAGAAAAUAGGCAGAUGGAACCUAGAGAGGCCCCUCAAAAAAUCCACAGAUGAUUUUGAUGGUUUGUCAUAUGUAUAUAUAUAUAUAUAUAUAUACACCUAAUUUUUUUUUUUCUACAAGUAGCUUUGCCUCCCUGUUAGUUUCGGAGGAAAACAUGUGGAUUUGGCUUAUGGAGGUAUUAGUCAUUUGGGAUAAAUGUGAAGAAGCUUCAAAUGCAAGCACGGUUAAAGAUAUGAAUACAAUUUGCACGCUCUCUUUCUAUUGUCAAAUAGUCAACAAUAUGAAGCUUCAAAUUCUGCAAAAGCUCCUUUUCUUCUCUAAUCAUCUGCGAUUAUAUUGCUUUUAUUAACCACUUUUUAAGAUGCAAUGUAUAUGUGAUAAAAUUGUGAUUAGAAAAAUAAAAAGUGAUCAGAAAAUAUGUCUGUGUUACAAGAAUUUUUUUUGGGGGGAGGGGAACAUUGGUUGUGUCCAAACAAGGCUAAAAAAUAUACCCUUGAGUAGGUUGGCAAGAAAUUUCCUUCCAUUCAAGUGUCAAAAUGUCAUAAAUCAUGAUGAGAAAAUGAAAAAUCGUGUGGGGAAAAUGGAAAUGUAAAAGGCAACAAGAACAGUCUUUCUAGCAGCAAAGAUAGUCAAAUUUCAUGGGCAAUUUGUUUUCUUCUUUUUGAUAUAUACAUAUAUACAUAUAUAUAAGUUUAUAGAGCUAGCAAGAUUUAAAGGCCACACUAGUUAGCAAUAGACUAUUGGAUCACUCCACCACUUCCUACACAAAUUCUAAAAAAUAGUUCUUUAAAUUACCUGGACCAACGAGUAUUUUAAAUUGAACUAUGUUACUACAUGCUUAAAAAGACUAAUUAACUUUUUAAUUAAAUUCUCCUUACUUUUUAGUAACAUGCUCGACUACUAAUACUAAAAGCUCAUCAACUUUUACAAUGAAGCCUUGUUAUUUACUACACGUAGACAAAGUAAAACGCUUGACGUGCUUUUUUCGCCUGAAAGAUGAAAAACAAGAAGGGAUCAGCAAUCGCACGGUUAAUCAGAGGAUUGGCUAGGAAAAGUAAAACAAAAACCAUCAUCAACCUCACUAACUUUUUCUUGCCCUUUCGCCCUUUUAGAUUUAGCACCAUGAUUGGCAAUUGUACUGUGGUAAAUGCAUGUGUUUGUUUGUCUUGUUGGGUGUGAAUGUCUGUGAAAGAGAGAGAGAGAGCCUGAAUUGAGAUUUAUUACUUGGGCAAUGUUACUACUAUUUACUAACAUUCAAGAAUUCCCUUUUGGCAUAAUUGACGUUAGAACUUUGGAAGUAAAUUAGACAGAUGAAUUAUGCCAAAUCGUGCACAAGUUUAUUUCCAAUGUCUCUUGUGGUGCUUUAUUCGUCUCAUAUAUUUUGCCCUCUUUUGGUACGGAGGGUUCACUUUUUCCAGCGUCAGCGUCAGGUCACUCUACGUGCAGACCCUUUUCUCUGUUUAAGCCUGCAGUAGUAUUUGCUUUGAGCAGGGAAGCUAAAGGGAGGGUUUUCUUGGACCCUUUUGGUGGUCACACGCAUGGCUACUUUGGUCCCAAUUCCUUAAUCUUUUUCUACUUUGUAUUCAUUUUUUAUGUCUUAGUUGCACAAACUGUAUAUGCCAAUAAGAUACUUGAGUGGAUGAAAUAUUGAACAGUGACUCGAAUGGGGUAGAAGAAUCUAGCAAAACUCAAAUAGUACCUCACUGGAAUUCGAUUCAAGCUAAAAUAUAUAAGUUUGAACUCGUCAAAUUGUUUGAACUCAACUCCAGCUUAAUCACUGUGAAUAUAAGUUUGAGUUUUGAUCGAGAAAGUUCGCGAAUCAUGUGAUUAAACUACGACGCAUUUUUAACCCUAGUUAAUGCUCAUAACUCCAUCUACAUUUGCACUUGAGUUUGAUUGAGUAGAUUGACAAAUAAUUCGAUUGAAAUUGAUUUGUUUGCACCCCUAAUUUUCAAUGUAUUUAUCACUUCAUCUACACGUUUAGAACUUUAUAGUCUCUUUUUAAUAGAAAAUGACUUAUUUUGUAUUUUGUAUCUUAAAAGUUCCAAUAUUAAUAUCAACAUGGAUAGUGCAGAGAGUAAAAAAGGAAAAAUUUUGCUCGACAAUGACAAAUUAGAGCAGUGUUUUCCUUUUAAUUUCAAUAUGGUAUUCAAUUACUAAUCGAUUACAUUCGCACCAGCACCACUAAUAGCUCAGCCCACGAGAAGGCCAAAGCCUGUGGGGUUUAUAAUGACAUCAGUCCCACGCUGUCAUGACGUCUUUUUACCAAGCACAAGAGCCUUUAGUUUUCGUGUCUCUUUUGCUCUUGGAAAAAAGAAAAAAGUAGACUUUCGGAUUAUUGGCUUUUGUAAAUAAAUAAAUCGCAAUAAAAAGGAUGAACCUUUUCACAUUCUGUUAUAAUGGGGUCCUUUUUUUUAAAGUUUCAAAUUGUACAGGCUACAUUUAGCCAAAAGGAGGUGUAGAAAGUACGAUAAAUUUUGGAUUUAUUAUGAUCACCUUCACUUUUUCGUGUAUUAAAUUAUAGUCUCGUGCCACUACUCUCGUACUAAUGGGUACUUAAUUACUAAAUUAACAACUAACUUAGCUUCAUCUUUAAUUUUCCAGUAUUAUACAUGGGUCAUGGGUGCUUAUCACAUGCUUUUUUUUUUUUUGGUCUUAUCUUUUUUCUUUUGUUUUCUCAGGAUGUAGUCAAAAGAAGAAGGCUUGCGCACGUUGUGGCUCAACCAUGCAUUGAAAGAAAUGGAUGAAACACAACUUGGUUCAAUUGAUAAGAACGAAUCAUUUUAUCACAAAAGGAUGUGUGUGUUCGAAUCCAACUGUCGACGUGAUAAUUGUUAUUGGCGAUCGUAUGAAUUCCUAUAAGUAAUUUAUGGUUUUGGAGAUAUACUUUGACCCGUGGUGGUGACCAAGGCGAAUUCAACCGAACUUUUUCCUUAAAAAAACAAAAGUGUUAUUAUUUUCCUAUCUUCUAUGCCUAAUUAUUGCCCUUGAAAAAAAUUAUAUAUAUAAAACUACGUACUUAGGGGUUAUGCAACAUUUCCCCUGAAUAGCUGCAUACUUCAAGAAAUGUCCUGGUUAAAAAUUGGAUGCUUUAAAUUAAUGUCAGAAUUAUCUCUCUAAUUUAAUUACUGCUUGCGAUGGUAGUUGUGGCCAUGCUAGCGGGCACAGUGAUGGUGUUGGCCGCGGCGCGUUUGUGAAGUUGGUGGCGUGCUAUUUUACUUAUAUUAAUGACGGUGGCGACAAUGACAAAUUUAAUAACGAGUAGUAAUGGAAAUCUAUAAUGUUCGGAUUUUCAUGUUUUUAUUCGCCAUUUAUUUAAUUUCUCAAUAAUUAUUCGAAUUGAGAGACUGGUGGUUUACUUAAAUAGUAGAAAAGACAUUAUUGAGCUAGGAUCGGUUAUCAAUGUAGUAUUCACAAUUCCUCCUUAGUCUUUAGCUAGAAUUAGUCAACGAUGUACUCAACAUUAAUAAUAGUCCAUUAACCAAAUUUAUCCCACCCAAGAUUUGUAAUGCAGUAAAGAUUACCUAGGCUAAAAAAGAAAAAGAAAAGAUAUACUCGAACACUAUUUGUGUUCGAGUAUAUCUUGCCUCCUACUAGCCACUAUUUGUGGCUUUCCCCCUCCCUCCCUUAGAUUAGACUAGAAUAGGUUAUACAAACUGUUAUCGUUGCUGAAAAAAAAAAAGAACACCGGAUGAGUUAUUUGUGUUUGCCUGUAAAUGCUACCCUUAAUCUACAUUCAACUAAAGCUCGAUACAUCUUCCAAAAUAAAAUAGUGACACAGUGCAUGUGUUUGUUGAUUCGCUUGAACAUUCUUUCUGCAAGUAAUGAUUGUUGAUUCAUAUCCUCAUGAUCUAUCAUUAUUUUAGACGCACAAGAUCAUGAGGGUUCAUGAAUAAUCUGCCUGGUUUAUGGCACAACUGCACAAGUAGACUAGUGCUUUGGUGGUACAUAUCAUUUUGUGGACCAUUUUCUCAUUUGUGUGUUGCGAAAGAAGAGAAAUACUCUACUACCAUCUGGCAUCAUAAGUUUAUAGCAAAUUAUCAAUCCAAGUAGUGGUCCAUCAAGAGAAUUCCCACGUCUAUAGUGCACUAUAGGUUGCAAAUCCAAGAUAAUUUACUCUUCGAAUUUUUAUUCUAUGCAUGUCUUUGGAAAUAAAAGAUGCUUAAGCUGAGUUGUACAUGUUUGCUCAUCAGCUUGAUGAUGACAGAGAAGUUAUUGACACAAUCCUAUCCUCGGAUCCUCAGUGGAAAAGGUGUUCGGUUGAUUGAUUAGUGGAAAAGGUAUUUAAUUAGUUGAUUAGUGGGGAAUUAGACCUCACAUUUUUCCCCACCUCGGUUCAUUAUAAUUUCUAUGAUUCAAAACUAUUUUGCAGUGCACUACUACUAGGAUCCAAUGUGCAGUGUGCACUAUAGGGUUCUUGUUCUCUCCAACAACAGCGGAUAUGUUGUAUAUAUAUACAUAUCUAUAUAUAUAUGAUGAUCCAAUUUUUUAACUAAUAAUUAAGGACAUUUGACUAGCUAACGAUGAAGCUCCCGUUCUGAUUCGUAACCAUUAAUUCCGCUUUAUGCAUUUCUUUAUAAGAUCUAAAAUCUUUCUUUAACACAAAAAAUAUACAUAUAUUAGAGUGACUCUUUCUGUCUUUCCUCUAUCAAUCCUCUUUCGUUUCCGAUCACUUCUUGGCUAACAAAGAUACGUGCGAAGGGCCACAAUCCAUGCAAUGUUGCGGUUAGGUGAACUUUUACUUGGGAAAUCUAGAUAUUAUUUUAUCAGGAAAUAUAAAAUACAUAACGGGUGCUCAUUAGACACUUGUUGUAUAAAUACACUUCAGGUGUUAAAUUUUGAGAAAAUAAGAUUAAUUUAAAAAAGUGUAUAAAUAUAAGAAAAUAAUAAUUGUUAAUGUAUGUAUAUACAUAAUAUAUAUGUUGAAUAAAAUUUAGACGUGUAAAUUAAUUAAUGAGCACCCAUUGAACACCGUUAGAAAAAUUCAAACACACAAGCCAUCAAAUUCUUCGAACUUGAGGAUGGGAUCCAGUUCGCUGAUUGGAUUUAUUAUAAGGAUAAAUAAUGGCUUUCCGCAUAAAUAGCAUGUAACAUCAUAGUUUAUUGCUAACAAGAAGACAAGAAUGGAACCCUUUUGAGGAUUUUUCUUACUGAGAUAAGAUCAUAAAAGAACCAUUUGAAGCUAGGACCAUGGAAGCUGUCUACUUAACGAUCACCGUCAGAUGAUAAUGAACGACGCAAUCUGUUUUACUUGUCGGAAAGUGUUCUUGAAGAAGGUAGAAUCAAACUAAUCCUCGUUCCAUUUUGAUAGUUCUAGUUUUUUUCACAUAAUUAAAAAAAUAGUUAACUUUAUUAGAAAAAUAAAUGUGGUUGCUAUUUUUCUAAAAUACCCUUACAUUAAAUAGAGUACAACUUUAUAUUAAUUAUUCAUGAAAACUUGAAUGAUGAUUUAUGGGAAAUUGAAUUGAUGAUUAAGAAAGAAUCAAUUCUCAUUCAUAUAUCAAUAUGUUUUGGAAAAUCUAAAUGUAUUAAAUGGGGUAAGUUAUAUUCAAUAACAAUCUAUAUUAAAUACGGUAAUUUAUACUAAUAACAACCUAUAUUAAAUAAGAUAUGUUAGAUAAAUUAAAAGAUAAUUACGUUUUCAAUUGAAAAGUGGACUACAAUUUGAGAUAGACGAAAAGGAAAACAGGACUAUCAAAGUCAGACGGAAGGAGUAUAAAUCAAAGGUAUGAGGGUUUAAUCAGAUCAAAGAAACUGGACGUUUGGGCUCCUUCAAUCAGCCACGUCGAUCAAUCAUAGUGGGCCACUACAGUACUGUAAACUAAGUACUCCCUCCAUCCUAAUUAUUUAAUCAUAUUUGGGAAUCCAACUUUUUAAGAAUAGUUGUUUGAUUGUGAUGUUUGUACUUCUCUUUCCAAUUUUACCUCCACAAAUUCAAAAUUUAAAUUUGAAUGGUAAUAUGCAUAUGAUUAAAAAGAAGAGCUAUAUUGGAAAGAGAGACUAAAAGGUACUUUGACUUUUUCAACAUGACAAAUGUUUUGGGACAUCCAAAAUGAAAAGUAUGUCAUUUUCAAUAAAAUGGAGGGAGUACAACAUUACACUGUGCAUUAAUUAAUUAGAAAUUGUGAAUUCUUGAGAAUCCCAAAAAACCCCUUACGUUCUUAAAUAUACUAAAUAGGACUUGUUUGGAUUGUGAUUUUUCGCACAAAAAUUUUUACAUUUUUUGCGAACAUAUUUCACAAUCAACUUUUCACUUUACGUAUAUCAAAUCAUUACAAUUUUCUAUCAAAACUCCUAAAAAUAGUAAUUCGAACUGCUAUGUACCCUUUUGAAUAUCGACUGUCAAGUUGACAUUCAUCUAUGUGGCAAUAGUGUUGGAUAUAAAUUGAGGGAAUGGUUCCUUGAAGAACUUCAUAGUUUUAGUAGAACUUGAUCCGAGAUAGAAGGCCUAAUUUCAUUUUGCACCCUUCAACUAUAUUUGAUUUCUAUUUUAGUCCCCAAACUCUAAAUUUGGAAACUUUCAUCUCUAAACUAUACCCUUAUGCCCUUAGAACAUGCAAUGAUGUUGAUCAACUGUCUAGAUUCUCUCAAUUUUUGAGAUUUCAUUAACAAUUGUGCUUAGAUCGGACAAUUUUUAUAGUUUAGAGACUACAGUGUACCAAUUUAUAGUUUAAUAAUCAAAGUGGGUUUUGAAAUAUAAUUGAAGAGCGCAAAAGAAAUUAACCCGAAAUGGAAUAUAGAGUGUAGUAAUAUGAUUAUUUUAUAUGAUUUCACGGGAUUUGAAAAUUUUAAGAAACUUGAACUGUCUAAAUUCAAUUCCUCUUAUUUUAUAGAUUUUCUUUUUAACUCUGAUUUGACGCAAAAGGAGCUCGGCUAUUAAAAAUUUAGGAAUAACCGGAAAACUUAAAAAGCAGUGUGGAGCUUUGACUGGAGCUGCGGUCUAGUGUUUGAAUGUUAGCUGUCUUAAUCAAAGGCAAGCAUGCAAAUAUUCUUUCCUUCUUUCUUUCGCAGCUGUUAUUUUCUCAAAGUCAGAGGGAAUGUUGGAGUGAAUCUGGGAGUCAAAUGAACAGUUUUUGUUAGAGAUUUCAAGGAUUAUGUCGUCAAUGUAAACAGUGUCUUUCUUGUUUGAUUUGUUUCGGUCAAUCAUUUGAACACACAUGCUUUUAAGUUUUUAUUCCACUCAUGGCCGAAAGCAAGUGGUGUGAGUAUGACUACUGAUGUCUUCUUCAAACCUCCAAAGGAAUUAAUUAAGUUCGGAAUCCCAGUCAUUAUUGCAGGAUUAAAGUAAUUUUGAUUCUGAUCUAAUGAUUCAUACACAGUUGAAAAAAGGGCGUAAGAAGUUCUUUUUUUUUUUUUCUCAGACACAACAUGCUUUAGAAGUUGGCUAAGUUUGAAGACUCGUCUGUGAUCAUGGUUAUCUGCUUUUGCAGCUGCAGCUCUGCCCUAAAGAAAUCAACAAUCAUAAGAUCUGUUCAUGCAUGCGAAAAGUACUUGUAUAUUCAACUGCAGAUUUAGCAGUCAAGAAAGUUCUGAAUAGCCCCAUGUUAAGACGAAGGGGAAUACGUAUCUGUACCCAUUGGCAAUCUGAUUAUUUCUUCUUUCUUUUGCUUUAGUUAAUUUCUUUCUACAAAAUAUGUAAAGAGUUUUACUGGGCAAAAAAUGUGAUGUUAGAUCAGUACUAUAUAACUCAGAAUUGUAAGUAACUGUUACCUAAUUUCAUAUUCGAUCGUGUGAGAUAUAGCAUCACUCUUUCUGUUAAAAACUUUCUGUUCUUUUAUCUGAUAGUGGGUAGUUUUGGGAGACCAUUCUACCAUAGCGAGCAUUCAAUUGUUAAUAAUACUUUACCUUCUUUUUACCUCAGUGGUAGUGAUACCUUUUUCAAUAAUCACACGUUGAGGUAGUGUUUUUGCAAGGAAUAAACAGCAUAGAUGUGUGUGUCUAUGUGAUAAUCACCUUAAACAUUGAGCAUGACUAGCAGUAAAUUGGCAUUUCAUUGGCAGAAUUUGCAGCUCCGCAGUCAUCAUUACCACCACCACCCUUCUCUUGCGUUCAGUUGGUGGUUGAUCUUUAAGGUACAUUGAAUCUGUGUCCAAAAAAUACAGUAUGCAUAUAUGCAUUACGUACGUAUGAAGCUACCAUAUAUACGACAACUAUACCUGGCAAUUGGGCGGGUUGGGCGGGUUUUGGGUGGAUUAAUAUUGGGUUUUCAUUUAAAUGGGUUAUACCCAAUCCGCCCAACUUAAACUUGGGUUAAUUUUGGAUUGGGUUAUAUUGGGUCAUUACAAAACCAUGACCCAAAUAUGACCCAAUAUAUUAAUUUAAUAGAUUUUGAUACAUAAACUCUCUCAAAUACAUUUUCGCAUACAACAAAAAAUUUUACACACAUAAACAUAUUUUUAUAUAGAUAGACAUAUUUUCAUACACUGAAACACUCACGAUACAAACACACACUCACUUCUUAAAUUCAUUUGAAAUACAUUAGUGUGUUUGGAUAGUAAAUUAUUUGAGAUAAUUUUGUGAAAAAAAUACUGUAACAUUUUUUUGAUGUGAUGUAUGUGACAUAGAAAGGUGAUUGAAAAAUGUGUAGAUGAUACAAGCAAAUCAAUGUGUGUAAAUAAGGUGUAAAUAAUAUGCAUUUCAAACACACUAUUUUUACGCAUACAAACACACUAAAAUACAUCCUAAUAUACUUUUACAAAUACACGCACAUAUUAACUGUUUAAACUCUAAAAAGGUUAGUGAAAUUGGUAGAAAUCUCAUCUCAAGAGAGGUUUCUGGAAUUAUGCCAUAUAAAAACGAUGGCAAAUUGGACCAAGAGCAGCAGCAUAGCCUGCUUCCAUACAUUGACCGCUUCCAAACUUUAAAAAUUUGUUUUUUUCCCUUUUUUUUUAAGAAUAUACGGGACCAAUUCCCCCGCAAUGACAGUAGUACUUCGUAAAAAUAGGAAAUGAGUAAACAUUAAUUAAUUAUUAGGCUACGAAAUACUAGAUUUAGCAACUAACAAACAAAUAAUAAGAAACUAGAUUUAAAUUCUACAGGUCGACAACUUCCUAAUGACCUUCAUUGAGCAAAAAAAUUAAUUUGUUUAUUUUUGUUUUUAACUUAAGUUGGGUAAUGGGUGCCCAACACAAAUACCCAAACCGCCCAAAAUAUAUGUGGGCUUUUAUUACCCAACCCAAAUUUGACCCAACACCCAAUUUACCCAACCCAAUCUCUCAAAUUAGUGGGUGGAUUGGGUGGGUUAUUGGGUUUUGGGCAUAAUUGCCAGCUCUAACGACAACCAACUACUUAAUUUCUUUUUUUUUUUUUGUCAAAAACCAACUACUUAAUUUCAUUUACAUCAUUCCUGUUCAAAAUUAUGAAGACAUCUCACGGAGCAGGCAUUCUUCAUGGACUUCCUGAAAUGUUUGGAUCGUCAUUUUUUUUCUAAAAAAAUUUUCACGUUUUUUGUGAAUACAUUUUUAUUUCAGAUACAUGUUAAAUCGCUAUAGCACAUCUUUUUACAAAAAUUUCCAAAAAUAUAACAAUCCAAAUGGGCUGGAGUUCCUAUUCGUUUUCUUUUAUCCAGCUAAAAAUAUUAAAUAUCUAUUCAAGAAGAUCCUCAAUCAACCCAAUAUUAUAAGCCGAUACCCUUCACUUUGCACCUACAUCCACCCAUCUACAUCCGAUAGGCCAACACUAUUCACCAAGCAUCUUCGUCCAUACAUGGGGAUCCUGUAUGGGCCUCCGGAUCCAUUAUGGAAGUAUGAAAUAAUUUGCUCUGUUUGGCAAGUGAAUUUUUGGGUGUUUAUCUAAAAUUUUACUCUAGUUUACCGUAGAAGUUGUAGAAAAAAUUUUUGAAGUGUGUAAAUUUUUGGAUAUUUUGAAGUGUGUAGUUUAAAAAUUUUGAGAAGUUUUUUUGAGGUUACUGUAACUAAAGUUGUUAAAAAACUUAUAGCAGACAAACUUGGCCAAAAACUUGUUUGCCAAACAAGGCCAUUAUUCUGUAUACUAAACGACCCUAUGGAAAACAAAGCAAGGGCCUGAAUUUCUUAGGAGAACUGAAGCAUGGGCCAGUCACGAGGGUUGAUGGAUAUCACGAUAAAAGCCCAAGCUUACGACACAAUUCAAUAGGUUGUUUCCUAACCUUUUCCCCACCCCCCCCCCCCCCCACACACACACACACACACACACAGAGAAGAAUAAGAAUUAAAAAAAAGAAAAAGAGAAGGCCAAAUGCAGUUUUAUAUUAUAUAAAAUAAUUUUCAACUUCAAAGUAUUCAUGUAGUUGAUGUAAAUCAAGUGGCUAUACACAUACUAUUAUAAUUGAUUGUAUGAGUGAGCAAUUUAUAUAUUAAGGGAAAUUGCAUCAAUGGGUUAUUUUCUUUUCCGAAAGGGUUUAAAUUGAUUAAACAUUUCAAAGAUGAGCUUAAAAUAGGUCAAGCCUGGAAACGCAUAUAAUUAAUCUUUAGGAUUUUUAUCCUUCAUAUUGUUUUGUUUAUGCGAUUUAGUAAUGUUGUGCAUCUAUUUUUGUUCUCACAACAAUGCAGGGGAUAAAGGCCAUGGCCACCUUCCUUCUGAAAGAUAAAAAGAAAAGGUAAAAAACGAAAAAAAAUCUAUAGAUCUUGCAACCGGGAUUUAGAGCUGGCAAUUUGUCCCAAGUCCCAAUGGGCUACCCAUGCCCAAAGGAACUUUGGGCGGGAUGGGUAUUAUAAUUUGGUAUUGGGUUUAAGUUGGGACACAUCCCAACUAUACCCAUUAAUGAAUGGGAAAGGAUGGGAAAUACUUGGGUACCCAUUGGGCUCAAAUGGCAAGGGCUCCGUUUGGAUUAGCUGUUUUUGGUAGGUGUUUUUGAAAUAUUUUAUUGUAGCAGUGUAUAUGAAAAAUUUUUACUAUAAAAUUUUUUUGAAAUAUUUGAUAUAUUAAUAUGGAUGGGAUGUUUCUUGAGUUAUUGUAUAUUACUGUAACAUUGUAUUUGAAAAACUUAUUUUUUGAAAAAAAAGUCAAUCCAAACGGAAUCUUAGAUUCAAAAAUUAUCUUUAACAAUUUUUAUAGUCAUACCAGCGAAUAUAAUCUAGUAGUCUUCCUAGUCAUUAUCCACAAGAAUUUCCAGUAUUUCAGUUAGUUUAGACCUGUCAUCCUUGGACAAUGAUAAGGAUAAAUAUUCAACAUCCUAAGGACCUUGGCCAUCUUGAUAUAUGUUGGAAUAUGGCUGUAUAUCUAUCUUUUCCUUUAUUUGUUAAUCCAAUUUUUGGUGGGAAUCUUGAGUAUAAAGCACUUGCAUGUUUAUUUAAUGAAACUAAAAGAAAUUUAAUAAAUCAAAAAUAUAAAAAUUAUAUAAAAUAAAAAAUGAAUUAAAGGAAAAAAAAUAUGUAGAAAAUGGAUUUGGGUAUUGGGCGGGAUCAAUCUAAACCCAUCCCAAAAUGAUCCCGCCCAAGUUAGUCCCAAAACACAUAUGGGUAAGGUUGGGCCCAAACCCAUAUGACUCGGUUCCAUCUCAAACCCAAGCAAAUCCCGCCCAUCCCGCCCAUUUUGCCACCUCUACCGGGAUUGCAUGUAUUGCAAUUGUGAACCAAAUUCAAAUCCAACCACCACAAAAUUGACAUUAAUUGUGGAUAUAUUAUCAUAAUAUUUUAUGGAAAAAAAAAAAUAAGAAGAAGGAGAACAAAUGUUGGGGAAAGGAAAGCCCAAAGGUCAAAUAAUUCAUAAAUGCCAAAUAAUGUCAGCGAGCAAAAUUGGCAAACCCAACUACAACGCAUAUAGCAGUACUAGUUGCAAAGAUUAAAGACAGCUUUGCCUCCCUCAGCAUUUACGGAGGUAGCCAAUUGCCAAAGAGAGAGAGAUGGAGACGACGGUUUUUCUUUCAUGUGAGAAAGGAUAAAAUAAAGCCCCUACUUUUCUUCAUUUCCUGAUUUCAUCUCAAUCGUUCCAUGCCAGCUGGCUCUCUGCUCUCUCAUUCAUUUAACUAUGUGACAGCAACCAUACCCAGUUGCCCAUCUCCAAUCUCAGGAUGGAUCAUAAUUUUAAUCUCAAUCCUUGGGAAUAAUACUUGAGGAGGUUGUUCUCCAUUGCAUAAAUUUUCUUUAGUAUUUGCAGCGAAUAGGUGAAUUCUGGUUUAACGAGCUGUGUUGAGCGGCUAAGGUAUUCUCCUGUAGUGGGGCACGGCUCUAUAGAAAUCACUUGCUCAAAUUAUCAGAAGCGGGGCUGUGUCCCCCGGUUCCCCUCCGAUGGUCUAGUUAGUUCGGAUAGGAAUCAACAUGGAAGGAGCUAUUAGGAGUGAUUCUUACAGAAUAUUCAGUUGGUUUCUUCUGAGUGGGAGUCUCUGAUAUUUAUAUGAAGACAACUUGGAGAGAAAGAUGGUGGGAUUCAAGUUCCUAGGAUCUGAGGGGGACUGAGAGUAUCCGCCUGAUUUGACAGGUUUGUGCCAGGGAUAGGUCUUAUCAGAUGUCCUGUCUGUCCUGCAAGUGUCAGGGCCUUUGACUAGACAUCUGUUGUCACGUCAGUCACAGCGCCACUCUGGGACAACAGUAGACGUAGGAGUCACUCGGUCCUCCAUACGCGGGGUGUAGCCGAGGUGACUAGAGCCGAUGGGAGUCCCCUACGAGAUGAAGGGAUCAGCCCGGCACGACCGGGCCGAGAUGAUCAUUAUCAGGAACUAUGGGCAGGAAAGGGGGCCCGGCUUGGUUAAACCAAGCCGGGUCGACCAUCUCAUGCAGCAUCAUGCAUUAGAUGAUUGCUUAUGUUUGGAUUAUCAAUGUAUAAGCGAAACAUAUAAUGCAUGUUAGGAGGAUUCCAAUUGGGCUACACGAAGAUGUAGGACGUUGGAUCGUAUUGAUCGAGAUUUAAACCACCGACCUAAUGCACGGGAGUAACUUUAAGAAAUCCUUCUUAAUCAACACAGCUUAUAUAUUUUAAUGAGCAAAAAUUAUGUAUGAGAUAGAAAGAUGAUUUUCUAGUCUCAGUCUUGCCACUAGCACACUUAAGUGACUUAACCGAGGGAUGAAUUAGACCAAGGAUAUGGGUAGAUUAUCAAAUUUUUUCUUUGUCCUCCCCUCCCAACAAAGGUAUUCUAGUUAUAUGGUCUGGCCAAUUUCUCUACUGUGUUGUCCAAAAAGUUGAAAACUAAGUGCAAGUUUAGAAAGACGUGACAUAUUUGAAGGGUAUGGCAUCCAUUGCCACUAGAGACAUGGAAGAUAAAUGCUUCUUUUCUAGCUAAUUAAUAAGUAGUACCUUCUUAAUAUGCAAGGACAGGCAUCAAGAAUGGAUACCCUUCAAAUAUUAUAGCUUCUGUAUUCUUUCGAGUAAAAAUUACCAGCAUCAUAAAGCACUCAACAAGCAAGAUUCUAGUCUAGGAUUCAUCCUCGAAAUAAUGCACCAAUAAAGCCAGAAUGUUUGGUUGGAUUGUGGGGUCCUAUAAAUGCUAGUGAUGAUCAGACAAGGGGAUUGGGCACUUCGUUGGCAUCUGUUCUGAUGUGACCAAUGAAUUCUGUGGUUUAAUUAAACUGCAGAAAAGGACUCAACAUUUCUCCCAACCAAUUCGUGUUUGUAGAGUUUUUUCCUAUUUUAUGCUUCACAUUUUGUUUUUUUCGUUAAUGUGGUAUACAAAAAUAGUAGAUGAGCCCAACAAAUCAUCAAAUAUGCAGAGGGCUCGUCUGCCGUCCAAAACGUAGUAAAUGAAGCUUUCCCUUCUAUUUAUCAGCUAAACUUGGGUAAUUUACGUACUCAGUUAAUACAUUAUUAAUUCAUAACAAGGAAGUAAAGGUGAGAUGCCAUUUUUGUUCCCAAAUUAAGAUGGUAUGUGUUCUUUUUUUUUUCUUUCUUUUUGAUUUAAUCUUCUUCUAGUGUAUGUACAGCGAAAACCUUUAGCUCAUUCUAUUCUAUUUUAUAGAACAGUCUGUCUAACAGGUGCUCAUAGGACAUCCGUUAAGAUGUAUUUUAAAUGUUAAAUUUUUAGAAAUACAAAAUUAAUUACGGAAAGUAUGUAAAUGCAGGGAGAUUAAUAAAAAAAAGUAUAUAAAUACAAGAGAAAAUAGUAAUUUUUAGUACGUAUAUAUAUAUGAGAGACUGCUCAUGGAAUACACUUUAGAAAAACCCUUUGCGAAAUUUGGUAGCUACAAAUUAGAUGUGCAGGUACGGCAAGAUGACAUCUUGAUAACACUUCAUGGAGUAAGAUUAGGGUUAACUAAUCGUAAGAUCUAAGAGUAUCCUCAAGAAUUCCAUCCAUGAUUUUUCGUCAGAAGCAUAUGAUUGAGCCGUACCACGUCACUAAUGCAGUCAUUUUUGCUUAGUUUUAGCAACGAGGCGUUGACUCACAAAUCAUUCCUUUGUUUAAACAAACACUUUUUAUUGGAUAGCGAUCUGUCUAAUUUGUUGAUUUAUACAUUUAUCAAUCAGUACGGGAUUACAUAUCAAUUUCAAAUAUUCUUUCUACUAUUACAAUCUACAAAAUGCUUUCAAUCCUCCUCCUGAUACAUAUCUGCAUUACAAUCAGAGAAUCUCAAUGUAUAGAAAAUUGUCCCUAAAGUAAAGGCCCAUACUAACACCCUUCCACAAAAAUUCAAAAAAUUUUGGAUCAGGAACCCCAGGGAAGGAUGAAGGAUUGGGCGUCCCCAGGGAAGGAUGAAUUGAAGGAUCCCCUCACCAAACGUUUUCAAUUCAUAAAGAAUUUCACGUGAAAGGUUUAUCAUACAUCAAUCAGACAGCAUUGAAAAGCUACAAAAAACAUCUCUCUUCUCUUUUUCUUCACGUUGGCCGUUUUUCUUUGUCAGUUUCAUACAAAAGGACACCCAAUCAAUCAUAAUGGACAACAACAAAUUAUUUCACAUUCUCCUACGACUAUUUGCACAAGAAUUUAAUCACUUUUCUUAUAAUUAACAAUAAUGACCAAUGAUUGGAAAAUUCCCCAAGGAAAUAAGAACCGAGAGAGAAAGAAAAAAAAAAUCAUAUAUCGUGUGAUUUGGUGGUGAGUCAAGCCCGAGUCAAGAAACUGCGCAACCGCGUCUUGUAAACCCUAGUCGCCAUCGCUCCCUAUCGAAUUCGAGCAUGAACCCUUGUUGCAUUACAUUUCCGAUGAGCGAAAACCCCGACGGCUGAACCACCGGUUGCAAUGCCAGGCAUUUUACGUUCUCCGCCGUGUCGAUAAAGUAAUUUUGAGGUGGUGGCGAGAACAUCGAGCCACCAGCGAGUUUGAAACGCAGCCUGGGUAGACUCAGUCUCGACACGCCUGACACGUUGACGCAGAAAUCAAAAUUCGGAUUCCGCCGAUCUGACUUUGGCAGCUUAACGCGCCGCAUAAACUCCUGUAGCACUUUAUCAUAAGCCGGCUUCACCAAAAAUGUCAAGGUUGUCCCAGAAUCCAUGACUGUCCCCCCAUUGCCAAGGUCAUCAAUUGCCCAAACCGAAGGGCUUAUUCGUAAUUUAGCGCCACCAACAUAAGCAGCCUCGAUCCCAAUGUAAUAAAAUGUAGGGACAAGCUGUUGUUUAUCAACGGCGUGUAGCUCAUCUUAGCACCUCCCACGACGCCGGCUUCAGGGCCGCCGCCGCCGCCAAUUAAGAGAUAGCUCGUCGGAGUAGGGCUGAGGGUGUAGUCCAUCAAACAAUAAGAGAACUUGUUACCGAACUUCCGGCCCAACUGCGAUGGAAACGAAAUCGGCCCAAGACCCAAGCCUAGAACUCCUUGAGCACCAUUGAAGCUGGGUCCCGUUACGCUCGGCCCAGAAGCUCGAAACCCACAGCCGAAAGCUAAGUCCCUGAAUUUCACAACCUUGCCUGAGCUCGUGUUGAACGUCGUGGUUUCGCGGGAGAAGAACCCGGAACUGAGGGACCCAUCAGAAUACGAAUAUUCAUAGCGGCACGUGCUGUGGCGACGGGUGUGGUUACAGGGCACGCGAUCAGGGUGGGGGACGAGUUGACACACCGAGUCAUAGCAAUGGGACGGUGAAAAUGUGGUUGAAUGGCGAGCUAAAAAAGCCGAGUUGGGCGGUCUAGAGGAGCAGUUCCGGCAGGCGGAGCAGGUGACCCAGAUAAGGUCGCUGCCGGUAUCUGCGACGAGGAGGAGGGGCUGAGGCGGUGUGCCAAGGGAGAGCGAAACGAAGUACUGGCCGGCGCCCAAGGAGGCGCCGGAGGUGAGAGGGAGAUGGGCAGUGGAGGUGGAGUUCUUGCGGUGGAGGUGGCGGUGGUGGUGGAGGGAGUUGAGGCGGUGAGUGUCGGAGAGUAGAACUUCGGAGGGGGUUGGAGGGAAAUGGUGGUUGGGGUGGAGAAGUGGGAGCUUGAGAUAGUCAAAUGUGGGUGGCGGUUGAGAAGUGGAAGAGGAGGAGGAGGAGGUGGUGGGAUCUAGGAGGAAGGUUAAGAUGAGGAAGCAAGAGAAGAGAAGAAGAGAGAGACGGGGGGAGAGUGGCAUCACUCUCAUUUUUCUGUGACUGGGAGAGAGACAGAAACAAAGACGGUAGGUGUCAUCGGAUUUAUAUGUACAAAUUGUUAGAUAUAGAUGAUUUAUUUAUUUUUUUUCUUGAAAAUUUUACUAUUAUGUUUUAGAUUUCUAUAUUCUUUUGUUUUAGAUUUGUUUAUUCUUUUUCCAAUAAAAGGAGAGAAGAGAACAUUUGGAACUUCUUUUUUUUUUUUUUUUUUUUGUUGGGGUGCUAGAAAACUUCUGAUUUUAGUCAUAAGCAGUAUCAAGAUUCAAGACUUAAAUAGACACCCGAAGAGUAUAAUUAAGUUGAUCAAAUUUCUAACAUCGUAGACGUGAAAUAUUAGCCUGAUACUUUUAUAUUAGCUCUUUUUUUUGUAUGAAAAUUUUACACCUUCACUCUAUCUCGUUUGGACUACAAUUUUUGGGAAAAAAAAAGUGUCUUUUCAGAGUUUUCUAGAAAAUAUAUUUUUCCAACAAUUUCACAACUAAAAAAUCUAACGACCCUAAUAUUGCAAUCCACACGGCCUCAUCUAUUGCACGAUUAGGUUACCAUCAUCUCACUAGCGCGAUUAGUGGCUGUAUGACUUCAUAAUACUACAAGUUUUACUAUGAUGUAUGUAUACUAUAUAUUAGAUACGGUUAUAAAUGUAGGUAUAAUUUUAUGCGUAUGGGGUAGAUGUGAACGAGGAGUGAUGAGAAGGAAGAUUGAGGGGAAAAAGGAUAGGUUGGAUGACACGAGAGAAGAGUGUAAAUAACAAAUUUGCACACAAAAAAUGAGUUAAAAAAAAGGAGUAAUGGUGGAAAUACAAAUUCGUGCAAAAAUAGCGGGAGAUGAAGGAAAGAAGAAGGAAGAUCCCCUCGUAACCUCGUGUGUGGGUGUGUGUGUGCGUGUGAUGACUGAGGAAAAGAGGAAUCACUCACAAGUGCGUGUAAAUGUGUGUGUAUGAUGACUUAUAGCUUGUCUUGAAAUUUGAAACUGUGUAACAUUAUUAUGGGAAGAAAAAAGGGGGUAAAUUAUGGGCAGAUUGGAGAGCGGGGCACAUAUACUAUGAUUGAGUAAUAUGCCAGCGAGGAGUACCGAUGGGAUCCAAUGAUUGAUAUAUAUAUAUAUAUAUAUUGUGUGUGUUUGUGUAUCAAGAGCACCGCUCCAAAACAAAAUUUGUUAGUUUCUCUGCGUGUUUUUGUGUGUGUGUGUGUGUGGAGUAUUAUUUUCUGAUGAACAAGAUUUGAUUAGGUUAAACAUGUCAGAUUUGCCCGGUGAUGGUUAUCAAUAUUCUGGAGUUGUACUGCAAACAUGACGACUUUAAGAUAAGAUUUUUUUUUUUUGCUUGCUUACCAAUUGAAUCGAAGCUUGAAAAGUCAAUUUCUGCUUCCCAAAUCCGGUGUAGUGUAAAUGCAAUCCACGCACCGAACAAGAAGAGGAAAAGAUUUAUGCUAUGUAUUUAUUACUGAGAUUUUUCUAACGAGUAUUCCUAAGUCAUUCGUUACCACACCUAACAUAUACCUAAUGUAUCGUGGUGUAUGUAUGUACAUAUAUUAAUAAUUAUUACUCUUUUUUACAUUUAUAAUAUAUUUUUUAUUUAAUUUCACCUACCCUCUAUUAUGUUUAUUUAAUUUCUAUAAUUAAUUUUAUAUUUUAAAAAAUAUGACAAUUGUAAUAAGUAUACCUUAACGAGUGAUUUACGAGCACCCGUUCGUUAAAAGAAAGACGGCUGCUGCUAUCAUUUUCAUUUUUUCUUAGGUUGUAUGUACAGGCUGUACAGUAUAUUGUUUGGUUCAUGUGGCUUUUCUUCCAAAUCGGGAAGCUUGGUCAAUAAUUGUGGUUCACAUCGUGACAAUUAAUGGUGGUGUAAGAUACGGACAUGGAAUAGUUAAUGUAUUCAACCGGUAACUAUCCCUUUCAUAACUCACAGUUUUUUGUAUGAGUGUUUCGAUAAAUGGACUCUGCGAAGACACUUCAAAAGCCGGCAACUUUUGAAGUGCUCCGCAGCACUUAACUACUAAACCCCCCAAACCCCCCAAGCGAUGUGGGAACUUAACCCCACAGGGUGCCCCGCUGCUAAGAGAUAAAGACCCCCCAGACUCCCCGAGACAGGUUUUUCCCUUUCAUAACUCACAGUUUUUUGUAUGAGUGUUUCGAUAAAUGGACUCUGCGAAGACACUUCAAAAGCCGGCAACUUUUGAAGUGCUCCGCAGCACUCAACCGGUAACUAUCAAGGCUAACGUUAUAAUGACUGUUGAAUAGUAAGUAAGUAGUUUUUAACAAUCCGAUGCAUGAUUAAUAUUAUGAUAUCAAAUCUUCCUCGUUAGUUUUUAUUAUUAUUUUUAUCGACACAGGGGUGUCCUGGUCAAUUCUUACGGGGCCCGAUUAAUCCCCUGCGGUCCGGACCCGACGCCCCAAUCCGGCCCGAAUACGUUAAGUGUGCGGAGGAAUCCAGCGGAGCGGAGACUCGUUAGAUUAUUUAGGAGUCGCGAUCAUCUUAACUAUAUCGUAAAACGAAAUGUUCAAGUCCAAAUUAACAAUAAUAAUUUAUGGCUUACACCCUAUUUUCUUUUUCUUUUUCUUUUUAUAAAAAAAAGAAAGAAAAAACUUAUUCUCCUCGUCCCUUUUCAGAAAAGGGAAAAAGGGGUCUACUAGGGUGCAGCUGCAGCCCUCAGUUUGCAGUUGGCUGGGCUCCAGGAAUUCACUUUAAUCAUGUUUGUGACAGGAAAGGGUCCAAGAACAUUGGAUGCCUUUCAUUUUUGUGCGAUCAUAAAAUGCAAAAGUUUCAGUCAUAAUAAAAGUAGUCGUAAAAAAAAAAAAAAAAAAAGAAGAAGAAGCUCUAUUACAAAAGAAAAUCUAAACCAAAAGAGAAGUAGCAACUACUUGGAAAAUAAAGAACUUGGAAUGGACAACAGGAGGAACAAGCAUUACGGGCAGGUUUUUAACCAUAGCAUGUUGCGUAGAACAAUAUGAAAUCUUGGAGUCAAAGGAUUCAAGAAAAAGCACAAAUUGCAAGAUUUCUUCACAUCCACAUGAAAACCCAUGUGUGCUUACGUGCCUUAUUUGAAAUACUGAACCAAGCAGAGGAGUCGUGCUUGAGAGUUGAAGCCAUUUCCUCAAAAAAAAAAAAAAAAAAGAAGAAGAAGGAGUUGAAACUUUGCAUGUAUGCCCUUAAUCUAUGCAUGUGAUUACUGAUUUUGCGCCAGAGUCAAAAUGCUUGGCGUCCUUUUGAAUAAUGACGGCCAGCUGCUACAAUAGUUCUUCUCUCUUUUCUCCUCUUGUUUUUCAAUUCUGUUUUUCCUUUUGGUAUUUCCUUGAGGGAAUAGCGGGAAUUGGAGACCAACUAACAUAACAUGGUUGGUUCCCUUCCACCUCAUGCCCCAAAAUAGCAAUUAAUAAAUGUACCAAUUGCCUGCACAACCUCUGUUACCAACUUUGCUGAGCAGCAUUGUAAAGUACCCGGGGGGAAAAAAAAUUAAAAAAGAAGUAGCAGCAUUUAAAAGAUUAAGAUAGUUGCAAGUUAAGGAUGGCACUCAAUAGAGAGGGUCAAAUUUCUAAGAUGAUGCUCCAUAGAUUGUAUAGUGGUAUUUAGCUACAUGUUUGCUUUGAUAAAAUCAUCUGAAAAAUAUGUCAUGACGACGGAGAGUGAAUCACCAUCGAUCGAUCGGAUUAAAUGGAUGCACUAUGCACCCAUAUGGAUGUAAGAAAAUCACAUAGUGGUAAAGUAAUGAGAAAUAAAAUUUGAAUCCUUAAUCUCCCGUCCCAUCAAGAUUUUAAGUCAUGGGACUUUGGAAUAUUGGUUUGUUCAAGAUUUUAAGUCACGGGACAUUGGACUGUUGAUUUGUUAUUACGUGUUUUAGAUAGAGCUAAUUAAUAUUUGCCAAAAACUGGUUUAGCGCCCAUUCUUAUCUUACUAAUAAAUAGACAGUCAAAGAAUCGAACCUUUGCCAACUAAACUUAACCUGUAAAAUUUUGUUUGAAAACCUUCUAAUUUUGACCGACGAGGAAAAAUCGAAAUCAAGCUAUUGAUGGAUUGCAAUGGAAAUAGCUGACUGAAAAGACUUAUUAACUGAACAAUACUAAUACUCCCCGAAAUAAAUACGUGUACUGACCUAAGAUCAAGUUUUGAGACCCCAAUAUUUUCCAUGAUUUAAGGGCAGGGUGCAGGAUCGGGUCACAAUCAAAUAUGGAGCAAGGGGAGCACAUGCGAGGAAGAGAAGAGACAAGGCAGAGUUUUGUCCGAAGAAAAUUAGGACAUCAUAAUUGAUUGAGAUUUUUGUCCUUACUUAAGACAAAACUUCACAUGUCACCAAAAUAAAUUCCUCUAAUUUCUCAGAAUUCUUCAAUAAUUCUGCUUCUUAGGCGGCCUAAUAUUGUUACAUCUGACAAAUUUUCAGAUUUUGAUAAUGCAAAGAAUAUCUUUCGCUUGAAAGAAGAGGCAAUAAUAGUUGGCCCCUCUCCAGGACAAGAUCCCUCCAUGUUUCGUUAAUGGAGUUUUGGGCGAUAGGCAGGUGACAAUUUCUCCUCUCUUUUUUUUUUUCACGUUUAGGUGGAAAGGGAAAAAAAAACCCAUAUAAUGAAAAAAUGCCUCAAGUAUGAAAAUAAUGUAGGAGUAAUAUAGAUGAGGUGAAUUGCUACUAGUAACGUGGGACUUUUUGUGCUAGUCACAGUAUCAAUUUAUACAACAGUUUUUGCAGUUCGUAAAAUGGGGGCAACAUGAAAACUAGAUUAACAUGCAAGAAUCUAGAUAAAAUAGUCUAUAUUCUAUGAGUGCAAUUGAUACAAUUUUAUAAUUUGAAUACCUUUUUUAAAAAAGAUAUAUAAUUAAUUCUUCAAGGUCUAUGGAAACAUGCCCUGGUAAAUAUGUAAGUCGAUUGCAGACCAGUUAAACAAUGACCUUUUUUAGACAACGAUAGUUGUGCAAGAUGAAAUGUCUACUGCUUAGAUGUUGGACUACGAGCCCUGCUCGGUUGAGACUGGUCGUCUGUAGUUAUAGUAAGGUCCCAAGUUCGACCUCUACGUGUUACUGUUGUUAGGUAUUUUUGGGCGAAACUCCGCCCAGCUCGGAGGAGAUUAGCCUCCAGACCCGGUAAAAAAAAAGAAAAAAGAUGUUGGAUUACGAGAUUCGAGCAAAACAAAUAAUUGAACAAAUUAAUAAAUGUAGGCCUACUAAGAAGAAUAUGUCAACGGGGGAUAAGCAAUACCAGAAGCUGGUAACUUGAAAAAGUAAAAAGGCCCAGAAGCAGGUCUAGCCGUUGCGCAAUUUGUCAUCUUUAUACAGAGUAUGAUUCCAUGAACAAGAAAAAGGGCAUCCUAAGGUUGCACUGCUGUCUGUCAAAGAAUUUGGUGAACAAGCAGCAGUGUAGUGUGACUGUCAAGUCACAAGUGGCCAGAAGUGGCAUCUAAGAAACAGAAAAGGAUGAAUGGCUUGAGAUUCAAGUGACUUGGGUCUUUUUAACUAUAGGUUAAGAUAGAUACGGUUUAUGUCAAAAAGAUCAUAGAUAGAUAGAUAAUCUUAUGUGAAAAAAAUUUGGGUCUUUUUAUCUAGGGUAAGAUAGAUACUCUUAGCGGUCAACAAUCAAAAUUGAGAACUUACAAGUAGAAAAUCUCAAGUUCAAAUAUUCCAACUUAGAAUUGUAAUAUUUCUGCCUUUUUUCUUUCUUUCUGAAAAAGACUAGGAAUUGAUAGUUUGGUACUUGGUUUACGUUGGUAUUAGUACCACCACACUAUUUGUGGGAAAAAAGUAACGUAGAUUGUUUGUAAUCGUAGCUCCUUAAUUGUAAUCGUAGGCUGUUCAGUUAUGUUUGACAGAAAGUAUCCAGUUCAUGUCUCUUAAGCUCUGAUCGUUAAAACAAAAUUGUCGUGACACAUUGGUACCUCUUUUAAAUUGGAUACAACACAGUCAAAACCCACAAUAGUAGAAAAAGAAAAAACAUGAAAACUAAUUCCAGUAAUAAGUAACUCGGGACUGCCUGCCUUUUCAAAGUAGUUAAUUGAUAACCACAUCACACAGGAAGUAUCAAAUAAUUGUCAUGCUUACUACUUGUCUCGCUUAAUCUCCGAACUACAACUUAUAGUCCAAUGAUCUCUAAAAUGACGGUAAUGGUAAUGGUUAAUUACUUUUCUGCGAUACAAGCUUACAACAACCAUUUCAUUCAGAAAAACACACACAUGGCCUCCAAGAGCGUAUCUCCUCCUCGAACUUAGUGCUCGAGACAUGAAGAGAAUACAAUGAUGUGGCUUGUGUCUGAACUCUGGAGAGAAUGGCCUUGGCAUCUUCACUUUCUUUGGAGGCAAGUGAAAGGAAGCCAACUGUCAGCAUGCGCAUUCAUCAAUGAUAUUCAAACAAGACGGCAAACAAGGAAAAUUGAACUCAAGCGCAUAAGCUUCAGAUUCGCCCUUUAUCUUUAUUUACAGAAAGUGGCACGUAUCCACGGUGGUCGAGAUUUAGAGAUAUCAAGUGACCACAUCUUAUACUGAAUUACUUAGACCACGAUGACGGCUUAAAUCCUCCAACCAACAAGUUUGAUGCCGCAGAUGCAUUUAUUUUUCUCCUCUUGGAUUCAAGUUCCACGCGUCUUUUGGAUGAAGAUGACCCAGAAUAUCCAGAAAAUAUUGAAGCAGCAUUGAUUAGUGCUCGUUUAUCUUUCCUGUUCUUAUCAAACUUGUGAGCAAAUUUAACACUUCGAGCAGCAGCAGCAUCAUCUUCAGAGGCAGGAAGCAAUCGAAUGCCAAGCCCCAUCUUCCUCGAAGCUGCCUCUUCUUCAGCUACUCUUUUCUUUUGGUUCUGCAGACGUUUGAAAAUCAGAUAAUCAUAGAAGUAAUGGACACAAAUAACCAAAAAAUGUAGAGAAAAUCCAAAUGAAAUCAUACCCUAAGUUUGGCUCGCAGGGAUUUGUUUAAAGCAUAAUCAUCAGAGUGCCUGGAGUCAGAUACUCGUUGAAGGCGCACUAGCACCGGCUCAGCUUCCUUCUUCUUCUUUAUAUCCUCUUCCUGGUGCUCAAGACGGUAAAAAGGAUCUGCCAACUUACUUCGUUCUGAAAAAAACAAGAGUCCAAAUUAUGCAACAGAAAAUGGUUAAAAUAUUGUAACUUUUCUUCCAGUACUGCUUCCUACAGAAAAAUAAAAAUUAUGCAACAUAAAAUACUUCAAAAUGUUAACUUUUCAGCCUGUUCUGCAUCAGAAUAUGUCCCCCGAGGGGGAGGGGGGAAGAGUGUGUGUGUGCGCGCGCGCAUGUGUGCUUUCCUAACAAGAAGCAGAUGACAAUCUAGACGUGCAAGUCAGAUAGAAGCUACUCCAACCAAUGGCAGACUUCACCAUAGAGAAUAAACACAAUAAAGAGAGCAAGCAAGCUUACGGCUAACAUACAUUUCAGAAGCAUAUCCCAACAUUCUCAUAGCACAUGAAUAAAUAAAAAUUUUCUAUCCCAUGGAUGUCCGAGUGCCAGUAAUGACCAAUAGUAAACCUCACCUUCAUCAACUGGGAGGAGCAUGGUUUCAGCAUCUUCUACAUCAAACUCCUCAAUUUUCUUUCUGGCUCCACUUAUAAUAACAUAUUCACAAUUCUUUGGAUCUGUUUGAAUCACUAUCUCAUGUUUGCAGCAUGCAGAUUUCAUUGUAAAGCUCCAUAUCUGAUACAAUUACAGAUAUAUUACUGUUAGAACCCAAACAAUAAAGAUUUUCUCCCCACCCAAUUGAUUAAACAGAUUGUGAACCAACAUGCCUACCUUUGUCGAAUAAUAGCUGCCAACUUGCUUUUUCUCUGCAUUGAAGCGCACACCCUUUGCAAUCAUGGACUCACAACCACCACACCAAAUGUUGUAUGGCAUCUCAAACCUACAUAAAGGAAAACGUGUCCAAAGUCACCAACUAGAAGUUCCCAACUAAAAGAAGAAGAUAACCAAGGGAUAACAUUUUGAAAACUUUAAUUUAGUUUUCAUAUUUCUUACAUGGUCCUUUACAUUCAUCUUAGAUUUAAAAAAAAAAUCAAUCACAUAAAUUGGCAGAAGUUUAAAGAUGAUAUGAAUCAUUCUUUCUCAGUGAUAAUAUCAAUUCAAAUCCUUCAACUUGAUCGAAAGGUUUCAUAAGACUGAAAAGAUCACACAUGAUAAUCUAUUGACAAAUGAAUCAUAAUGCCACACAGUUUGUGUUUUGGGUCUUCUCCCACUGACUCCUCUUACUUUCCAUACUUUGUAGAGUAUAAAGACUUGCAUGACUUAAAAAUCACUAAAAAGGUUCUACUGCUAUAUGGACAUUCACCAAUAACACAAAAUGCUCCAGAUUUAUUACCUUAUAACCAAAAUGCCUUGGUCCAAUUUUCUGGCUCGCUCCCGCAAAGCAUGUUGACCAUGGAACUUGUUCAACCCACCCUGAAUGAAAAGCAAUGAUGGAACACGUCACAGAAAAAGUGUUAAGCACAAAGAUGGAAGUAUCAAAGUGUGCAAGAAAAUAUGUUCAUGUCACAGAAAAAAGUGUUAAGCACAAAGAUGGAAGCAUCAAAGUGUGCAAGAAAAUAUGUGCACAGUACCUUUUUGGGUGACCAUUCUGGAGGGUAGUAAAAAUUAUCAGCUCUUGCAGCUGCAAGGGAAGACUGCAGAGACAAAAGAACUGAUUCAGCAACUCAAAAAAAAUCAGCACUACAUCUCAAAGAGAAUUAAAGUUUCAUAAAACAUCUUGUAACGGAAGAAACGACAAUGUUAAGCUGACCAUCUUCAUCCCUAUAUGUUAAGACUAUGGCAGAAAGAUGUGUGCAUUCACAUACUAGUUUCUUCCUUAAGCAUAUCAGGUCCUAGUUUAUUUAGUUUCUAACUAAGCACAUAAAACAUGGUAUCAGACAUCUAAAUUCAUUUGGUAAAGGGCAAAAAAGUUUAGGCUGGAAUAAUCUUCAUCAGAAAAACACUCUUACUGCUUCCACAAGGAAUUCACACUUAGAAAAGCAACCAACUAACAAUCAAACCGAGCUUAAUAAUACUUCUUGCUGAGCUUUUUAACUUAAAUUUCUGAUACACGUAUUGUUUCUCACUAGGAGUAUAUAUUUUCACCGUCACAUUAAGCAUUUUUUGAUGAAAUAUGAUUUCCUGAUUUUAAAAGCAGAAAAAUGUUUUUUUCCCCUUUUGGACGAAGUUUCAUCAUGGCUUUACUAAAAUAAACAGAAAAAUGUCCUAUCAGGCAAUUCAUCAUCAAAUUUCACACAAAAAACUGCAUAACAAAGAGUAAGGAAAAAAAAUGAAACAACAUCAACUAGAUUUUAGGGAAAUGUGUAUAACUCUUCACGAAAUUUAUGCAAUCAACAACAAGACCCAUAUAGAAAAUGAAAACAACAUAGCGUGGCAAACAAAAAAUCAUACACAAUUAGAUAAAUUUUCGGAUUACAUAAAAAAUUUUAUACGAAAUUAACAGUAUAAUAUCCAUAAUUAUAUGCUAUUGAUAAGAAAAAUCGUAUUCGACAUGCUUCGUUAAAACCCUAGCCAUGAAAGAUAGGCAAAUUAAAUGACAAUCCUAAAUCAUUCAAGAAAAUUAUCGAGGAGGUAAAAUAACAGAUUCUGAUUUACAUACCAUUAUUGCUAAAUUUCUUCAGCAAUCGAGCGAUGACGAAAUCUUCUCCUCUUGUAUUUCUAGAAAGCUGGGUUUAGUUUUUGAUUCGCAAUUUUUGGUCGGAAUGACAGAUGCGACCACCGGUUCUCUUUUAUAUACUUGUGAGAGAUACGACAUCGUCCGCUGAUAAAGGAUUGGCGGCAAAGGCCCAUUUGCUGCAAUUCUAUGUCAUGGGCUUUUCGGGGCCGAAAGGCCCAAUCAAAAAACAUUGUCAAAGGCUGGACUGGUCAGCCAAUGUCUUUCUUUAAAUUUUAUUUCACCGAUAUAUUUUGUCAACAAAAUUUUUUUUUCUUUACUAAUUUAGAAAAGGUUUAAUCUUUCCUAGUCUUUUAUCAGAAAAAUAUAAAUUUCAAAAUUUGAUAAUGAAAAGAUUAUGUAACGUCCUCAGAACAUGAAGAGUAAUCGAGCAUUAGUAAAAUGUUUCCUAUGCUUUAUAUUACAGAUUGAUCAAAUACAUGAGUCACUUCUACUCUUCUUAUUUUAGAGAUCAUUUUUUACGUAACAAUGUGCUAGCUAUUUUGAAAAAAAUUAAAAGAUUUACUAUCUUUGCCAUUGUUGAAUAUUAAUUUUGCUAACUCGAUAUAUUUUUACUUGUAAAAACAAUUAGUAGAUGUGUAAUGUGCUUUGCAUCUUAAUGCUCUCAUGUGACAGCGUUACUUAAUUUGUCAGUACAUAAAAGGUUAAUUAUUUGGAGAACAUAUAUACAAAAAUUGCAUACAUCUUAACUUAAUUACUUUUUUUCAUUCAAUUUGCCCAAGUCAUCAUACCCAAACCAAACUAAGGGGGUUUUUAACAAAAAAAAACAUUGAUGAAGGACAAAUUUUGACCUUUUAGAGAUGUUGUAGAAGUUUUUCAAUCUACUUGCAAAACGUCCACAAGAAUCUCUGAAUUGCACCUUUAUGAUGCUCUAUUGAAAUAAUAAAAGGGUUAAGGCAGAAAGGUUAAGAUGCAAAAAUCUCAAGUUCAAAUUGCAUUGUAACAACUAAUUAGUUGUAUCCAUAUACUUGUAUGUAAUGCUAUAUAUUAUAUCCCUUGGUAAAGUGAUGCUAUCAAGCUAACCUUUGCCUUUCAGCAAACCAGUAAAAAAGAGAAAAGUUAACCUUUGGCCUCUCCUUCCCACCUAGCUGCAAUUUCUUCUAUUCACAUCAUUCAAAUAUCACGGAUUUGGUAAUCUGAACUAUAUAUAUUCAGUAGGUGCCAUAUAUAGGGAUCCAUCUUUUUCCUAAACAUCCUUAGCAAUGAGAUUUCCUCUAAAUCUUUAGUCCAUUAUCAGAUAAUGCACCUCACCUUUUAGCACUGAACAUGAUCGUAUCUUUACUUAGACAUUGAAAUAAAUCCUGAAAGUGUAGAUAAUCUUCCAUUUCUCUCUUUUGAGAUCUUUUACAGACAACAUUGCGAAUGAUCGUCAUCACUUUCUCAAACAGUGAAAGAUUGCUUGGUUGAAAGAAAACAUGGAUGGCAUAUUCCCCACUCCCCAUUUUCCCACCCUCUUGUGAGUUCCAUAAAUUAAACCCUUUUUUUUUUGUUGGGUUAAGUCUGUGCUGUGCUAUGCACUCAAACAGUAUCGAUCCACACACGUACAUGCAGAAGUUGACAUUUUCAUUAAACUAAUGAAGAAUUCAGCUCCCAAAAGCAGGAAAAGAAAAGGAAAAAUCAUAGCCCCAGAUGAAAAUUCAAAUAUUAUCUAAUUCAGUGUUUGACAAUCCACAUAAUGACUCUUAUAUUCCUUGAAAUCUAAGGAACAUUUAUUGGGAAUAGGGGUUUGCCGCCCCCCUUGUCUCUCUUUCUCUUUCUCCCACAAACACAUACGCAUUUACAUUAAAUACUACUAUUAGAUUAGCAAAUUAAUAAGCUCACUCUGUCACAAGGCUCACAUGUAAGCAAGCAAGCCCCCUCCAUUUUCAACCCUCCCCUCGUACGUAGCUCAAGAAAUCGUCUUAUAUUUGUCCACUAGAUUCGAGCUGUCAACCCUUGAAAUUUUCUCAAUCUACUAAAAACCCUUCUCCUUAUAGUCCCUCACAUCUUUUCUCUGCAUUUUCAUUACUCCAUGCUUCCUCUUCUCACCUUUCUUCUCCUCCUCUUCCAACAUGAAGAUUUCUCACGUGCUAAUCUACCUCAUUCUGUGCCUCUCCAUGUUGUUCUUAUGGUUUCAUGAGUACCGCGGCCUCAUGAACAUCCACAACUAUGAUGCCAUCAGCCAUCCAUCGUCUCUAUCCCAUCAUCAGCCCUUGAUCCAUAGAAAAGCACUAGCAAGCACCAAGUUUGACUUCACCCCAUUUCUUAAAAGCCACCAUAACAAGCGGAGACGCUCACCGGAUGACCGGGUGCCGCCCAGCGAUGGAGACGAAAUCGAUCCUCGGUAUGGAGCUGAAAAACGUCUUGUCCCAACCGGUCCAAACCCUUUGCACCAUUGAGGAAUGGAGGGCAAUUUAUGUGAAUGAAAAGAAAAGCCAGCAGCGAUCAUACAAGAAAAUGGUUAGUUACUAUAGGUUUGAUAUAUGAUGAUUUAAUUAGUCAGCUUUAAUAUGUAAAUGUAUCCGAGCAACUAAAUAUAAUUUGUUUUAUAUGGUUGAUUUUUAUCUUAGCUAGGCCAUCAAUAUCAAUAACAUGCUUGAUAGUGGGAUAUGAUGUUUCAUAAUGUCCCUUUUUUUUUUGUUUCCCUUCUUUUCUUCACUUGCAUAUUUUCGUUUUUUCAAAGUUUUCCUUUCCAUUUUGGUCGGUCACAAUGUUGUUGUUUUGCAAUGAACGAAUUGAUGAGUAGCUGUGACGGCACGGCACAAUGAAUGAAUUGAUACUUAGCUAACUCCAUAAUUAGAAUUAUUAAUGAAGUUGGUUAGUCUGGAAGGCUUGCUUUCUUUGAAGAAUAGUAUGAAGGAAUGGUAAGAUGCACGUGAUGGAUCGACUUGUUUUUGUAUUUGUAUGUUAUUGCCAAUCUGCCAUGUCUCUCGCUGGGCUAUAUAUAUAUAUACAUAUAUAUAUAUAUAUGGAGUUUGUACUCGAAUCUUGCUCCAACCCAAAGUACCAGAUUUAUUUUGUUAGGUUUUUUUUUUUUUGGUUGCCCUUUUCAAGAAGUUCACCACAAAGUGAUCAUUAUUCAACGAGGACUAUAAUUUGUCCUUCCAAGUCUUCACAUUAAGUAAAUUUAAUACACAUUAGAGGAUUGCUCAACAUACAAAUUAAUAGUCUUUCUUACGCACCAAAGUUGUUCAAUCUUCAAUGUACAUUAUAAGGCAGUUCUGAGUUCAAUCAGACACUUUAGUUUAGACUCAUUUCAGUUGGUUUUUCCUUUUAUUUUUUUUUUUAUCGUUUUAGGUACUAAAAUAAAGAGCAAUAUAUAUAAAAAAGAAUGAGGUCCAUAGAUAUAAUCCAGGCAUUUGAAUGAAAAAAAAAAAAAAAAAGAGAAAAGCGAACAUGAAAAAGGAUAAACCAUCCAUUGCAAUGUAUUGCACUUUAUUAUGGUGGAUGUAUAAAGUGAUAUUGAAGAAAUUGAGCAACAUUCAUUUGGCUGGCUGCCGGUGCCGGAUGGGAGUUUGGUUAUUGUUGACGGUGAGGUGGGUCCCCCAAAUAAACUAAUCAGUAGUGGCAGGUAAGUUAUGAGCGGUCAAGCUCUUCUAAAAAGUUAGUUAAUUAAUUUUGCCAUUUUUCAUUCAAUAGUUUCUUUCCCUUUUUUCUGAGAGCGUUUUGAGGAUUUGAAAGUUUUGAGUGUCAUUGUUGUGGUGGUUACGAAAUAAAUUUUGACAAUUUGCAGUCACAAAUUCUUUAUCGAUGUCAUGAAAUAAAUUUCGACUAAUUUGCAAUCAAAAUUUUCCAACAGUAAAAUGACCAUAGGAUCCGCGGUUUUUAGAUUGAAUGAGGUUAAAUUCAUUUUUAAAUAAAAAAUGGUUGUAUAGUUGUGUUGUUUAAUUACUUCUGAUUUAUCUUACAUUGAAAAGACCAAUCCUGAAAAUACUCCUUAAUUUGCAAUGAUCUGGGUUUUACUAAAGAAAUCGUCAUGAUAUUGUACUUUUAUUUUCAACUUCGAAACCUCCUAUUUACCAUCCCUCGCACCUUACCAUUUAACAUAACCUUCCCUCAUGCCGCAGUAUUGUGUCUUGCACAAUCUUUUGCUUGUCCCCUUCUUUUAUUACCAUUUUUCUCUACAAUUAACCUUCCACGAGAUUUAUCUUCAUGUUGGAUAUGAAAUAGAUUAUGAAUUACUGGUCUAAUAAGUGAAAAUGAAGUCAAAUUUCUAAUUAUUUUCUUUAAAAGAAGAAAAAAUGUAAAAAAAUUCAAAGGCUCGCUUAUGAAUUUUCAGACUACCGCGUGAUUGAUCUGCUUGCUUUUCAAACUUCUCUCUCAAACGUACAAAAUUUUAGGCCACACAAGCCUAUAAUUUGUAAUCAAAAUUGACAACCUAACCAACAAUUGAUUCAAAAUCAACAGAGGUAAGCACACUUUUAGCCGAUCGAGGAGAUUUUUUCACGUUUAGUUUAGUGAUUAAGGUUGAGAUUUCAAUAUGUAAUAAUUCUGAAUUCUAAUUUUUUCCAUCCUCUCCUCACUUCUUCAAUUAAAAAAAAAAGAAAAAGGUAAGCACGCCUUUUAUUUUUAUUUUUAAUUUUCUAAUCCAACUCGUAAAUUUUUGUCCACUAAGAAUGCCUGCCAUAUGUUAUUAUUAAGUAUUAUGAUCCUUAUCCUUAUAGUUAUUAGCUUUUGUUGUUAUAAUUGCUGCGGUUAAGGUUUCCCUUUAGCAUCUAGCAUGUAAAAUUACGUGCCUUGUGCUUACGAAGUCACGAUCUGUAAAAGCGAUGUUUGCAUCACACGCUUUCUUUUCUUGAGGUCAAUGGGAUAUAAACUAUGGCCGACUCCAACGUGACGGGCCUGACGGCUGCAAACUCCAAUUCCACGCUUUCAAGCCGGACGCGUGUUGCUGGGCCUUCAAUGGACAACAGAAGCGCCUCGCUGCGGCACGUUUUCAUCCACUAAUUUUGGUCCUGCCCUCCUUCUCAGGUGAGUUUUAGCAUAAAUUGAUUAAAUGUACAAAGCAAAAUAUGUUAAAUUAUGACCAAGAAGACGGAAAUCAUUAUUCUAAGGGGACAGGGAUAUAAAAGCAGGUGCAGGUGGCUGUUUACUCUGACGAGACCUAAUGACUUUUUGCACCUUUGAAAUACCCAAAUUUUGACGGUUUCAUCUUACAUCUUAAAUUUAGUGUCUAAAAGUUUUAAUUAGUGCUUGCCGCUUUAGCCCUUAUUAGACAGUAGCUAAGUGCUAAUUCUUGAAUGAAAUGAGUGCUUGAGCUUCAUACUGAUUCUAGAUUAUGAUUGACAAUGACCAAACCGAAUUGAUGGUGUUUAAUUAUGCAACUUUAGACAUUCAUGAAUUCCUAUAUUAAUUGCUCUAACUAGGCUAAAAGUAGAGGUACUUAUCAUCAUCAUCAUCAUGAAUGAGAAAAGCUAAAGUUACAAAUUUUUAUUUCACCCUCCAAUCUCCAGUUGCUUGUCCCAGGAUUCAAAUCCUGAAACAGGCAACACGCUAGCAAGUUGUUAGUCACAAGAUGUUAAUGAAUUGCUUUGUGUUGAAUCAGAAUUAGAGAUAAUAAUUAGCUGUCUAAUCCAAAUCAUGAGAGGUGUAGACCGAUUUAAGUUUGCUAAUCAAUUACUACAAUUUCACCUAUAUUUGUAAAGCUACAUAAUCCUCUCCAUAAAGAAUUAGGGAUAAUCUCAGAAACCUCUCCUGAGCUUUCUGACAAUUUCAUUGAGCUCCCCUCAGGUUUGAAAAAUUACACCUACCUCCCUUGAUUUGAUAGUUUUAGUAAGAAAACCUUAAAAUAAUAUUGACUUUGUCAAAUUUUUAAAUGAAUACCCAAAAUGCCCCUGUACAAUGAGUUUUAAUUUAUUUUUUUUAUACAAUUAUAAGAUUAUCUAAUAUAAUUAUAAGGAAAAGGUGCCAAAUUUUUUAUGUCCAUAUCUACUAUUUGAUAAACAACUAUAAUAAUAAAUAAUUUUAUUACUAUGAUAGGAUACUUUUGAUGGUAUUUUAUUAUGGAUUUAGAUUUAUAAGAUAUAAAAGAAAAUGUUGAAAUAAUUCAUUUGGAGUUUAUAAAAAAAUUUUCAAGUAGUGGGAUUAUCAUAAUUUAGUAGUGGUUUUGGGUCAAAUUUUUUUAUUUAUUGUUAAAUUUAAUACCAAAAAUAGAAAUAUAAAAAUCAACAAAACAUUGGAUUACAUAUAAGUUAACUCAUAAAAAAAAUCACUCAUUCGACAUUUAGGGCCUGUUUGGCACCCUAAUUUUUUACCAAGUUUUUUAGCUACUAGUUUUUUAACAACUUUUGCUACAGGAACCCCAAAAAACUUUCUAAAGUUUUUUAUCUACACACUUAAAAUAUCCAAAACACAACAAAAAAAAUUCCCUUCCCCUUUUUUCUUCUUCCUCCCCCACCACCACCUCCGUCGCCGGCUCCGACGCCGAUUUCUGAUGCUGGUGCCCGUGCCGGUCUUCUUUUUUUUUCCCCUUUUUUUCCCUCUCCCCCUCUUCCUCCCCUGCCAUCCUCCCCUCUUGUCUUUUUUUUUCUCUCUGCGUCUCCCCCAUUUCCUCCCCCACCUCUCUGUGAAAAAAAAAUAAAGAAAAGAAAGAUGGUGAGAGAAGCGGGAAGGGGAACAUGGGAGGCGGGGGGUGGCAGGGCAGAGGGGAAAGGCGGGGCAGAGGUGGUGGCGGGGGAGGGGGAAGCGGCGGCAGAGGAGGUGACGGGGAGAGGGGAGGAGAAGGGGAAAGGGAGGAGAUGGGUGGCGGGAGGUGGCAUUGGUGGAGUUGCUGCUGGGGUGCGGAGGUAACGGGGAAGAAGAAGAAGAAGAAAAGAAAAAGGAAAGAAAGAAAGAGAAAGAGAAAGAGAAAGAGAAAAAGAAAAAAAAGUUUUUCACCUUACAAAAACUUCUACAAAAUUUUUUCAAAAACUUCUACAGUGCACUACAGUAAAGUUUUAGACAAACUCCCAAAAAACUCAGGUUCCAAACAGGCCCUAGUUACAAUAGAAACUAGAUGUAAUAGUGCUAGUUCUAUAAUUUUAUUGGCAAAAAAUUUUAAAAAAAGGAAUAAGAAGGAAAAGAAUGAAAAGUAAUUUUAAAAGUCAUUCUAAGUAUAAGCAUACCAAACAAGGAAAUUUCAUUAAAAUAUUUAAGGGCGGCAGUAUUGUCAUUUUAAAUGAUAAGGGAGAUAUGUGUAAUUUUAAAGUCUUGAGGGAGCUAAAUGAAAUUGUUAAAAACCUCAAGGGAGGUUUCUGAAAUUUUCCCAAAGAAUUAUUUAUGAUGUUUAUUUGAAGUAACAAGAUACUAUCAAUUAGUUCGUUUAAACAAGGUCAUGUUUCUCAAUGGACUUAAUUAAUACUAAAUAACUCAAUCAAGUUUUCCAUCGUUUCGAUCAUAAAUAGAUUCCAUUUGAUAACAUAUUAAUUAAAUUUGACCUUUAUUUUCUGCUGAAUUCAAAGAACCAACGCGCAUUUAGAUUUGAGAAUUAUUUUACAGUAAAUGCAAGGACAAAUCAUCCUUUAUUUCAUGGUGACAUGGACGCACGUAGUAACCACCAUGGAAAGAAGAGUUGGGGUCUGCAAUGUCAACACAUAAGACAUUAGACCAACUCUAGGUGUCAAAACAUAAUAAUUACCCCAUUUGAAUUGUUAUUUUUAUGAAUUUUUGUAGAAAAAUGUAUUAUAAUAAUUUGUUGUAUGUAAGGUAAACAAUUAAUUAAAAAAUAUAUUCACGAAAAUCGUAACAAUUUUUCUGCAUAAAAUCACAAUUCAGUAGAAACCGAUGUUUCACCGGACAUCCCAGAACAACUAAUGAUACAGUAAAGCACCAAGUUUCAUAAAUUUGAUGAACAAUACAACCGAUCGAGAGCAUUUUACUCUUUCUCAGUGUUAAUACAAGUCUGGAAUUCCUACUUAGAAAGUCAAUGCACAACUAAAAAACAAAUUCUGCGUUGAAUUCAAAGAGUUUUUGAAAAAAUGUUUUUGUCUUCUUUAACAGUUUAAUGUCCAAACCAACCAAAACUAUCCACUUUACAAAUUAAAAGAGCAAGAAAGGCAUAAAAGUAUAUGACAAUUGGUUAGGCUCCUCACCCCUUGACAUGCAUGCAAUUGCAAUCACAGAGUUGGAAUUGACUCAACAACCACCCUAGCUCGGUCCUCGCUCAUAGCCUAUUUAAUUGCAUUUUUCUGGAAUUUUUUUGGGCACAUUUCUAGGUAAGGUUUAAAAGGUAUGCUCUAGCUAGUUGUCCAUUGUAGAAAGUUAUUGUCCAAUCUUCAAGCUUAAAAUAACAUUGAAGUAGUAGUCUUGAAAUUGUUUGUUGCAGAAGAACAUAUGUAAUCAUCAUAUGAUCAUGUAAAUGCUCCCGGCAAUCCAAGUUUAUCCUAAUUUCUGUCAUCAGCAGAUCGGCCACAAAAUUAAUGCCACAAAUAGUGAAAUGAAUUUCUUUUGCACCUUUCAGCAAUACUUUAUAAAAGCUGACUUACCUAAUCUUGAAAAUUGAAAUAAGAGAAUAUCCCUCUAACCAUUGCCAGCUUUGAAUAACCACUGGCCAUUGUUCAGUGGCCACCACCUAGUGGGUGGGGUGGGGUGGGAGGCAAGGGUGUGCUGUGCCUUAUCUGAUCCGGUGGUGGUUCAGUCCCCUCCGAGUUAUCUCUGGACCUCUUUAGAUCCGCCCCCUUCCUCUUAGUGUAGGAUAGAUUAGAUUUAUCGUCUCCGAAAAAAAAAAAUUUACCAGCUUUGAAUAAUUGAUUGAAUUACUAGUAAUUUACAACCCCCUUAACCAAUACGGCUGAAAAAACAUCAUCCUUUCCCACAGGCCAAAACCCAACUGCUACCAUAGAGUAAAAUAAGCCAUUCCCAUGUAUAAAGUCGCAAAUCCAUUCCAUACCAUUUCCAUCCCUCACGAAUUCCUUCUCCUUUUCCAGCAUCCCCUCUUUCCUUUCCAUCCAUAUUCAACCAUUGACAAAAAUGGUCCGUCCAAUGCCAAUACAUGUGACUAAUCAUGAAAACUUUUGCUCUCUACCAUUAGCCAAUAGGAUUGUUCAUUUCAGCAUCAGUUCUUGUGGCGCUUUGCGCGAGACAUUCCAAGAUGCUUGCUAGAGAGUCUGGUAAUGGUACUAUUGAGAAUAGUACCGAUUCAAAACUUUCACCUAUAUCACCAUUGCUGCUCCCCAAGAAGACCAUCACAAAUAUCAACAACGCGGCUGAUCAUCCGGAGGGAAAUAAUCGUGGAGAAUCCGAAGCUCGUGGGAUUUUUGCCAACCCCGGUGAAGGAUUUGGUGAAGGUGGAUUGUGGCAGAAGAAAAUCUUGAUGGGUGAGAAAUGCCAGCCCCCGGAGUUUUCUGGUGUUCUUUUUUAUGACUCUCAUGGAAAUAGGAUUUCUGAGCUUCCCAGAUCACCUAGGGCCAUGCAUGUCGAAAGAUACUCUUCUUAAUUUUCCUGCUGCAAGAAAUCUGCAAAAGCUUUUUUUUUUUUUUUUUUUUUAAUUUGUUUGUUUCCAUGUACAAAUUAGCAGUUCAACAGCCAAAUACUACAUAUUUCUAAUGUUACAACGUUAAACGAGUUCAUCGAACCAUCUUUUUUUUUUUUUCCAAUUAUUCUAACAAAAUGAAUUUAGUGAUCCUAAAUCCCAAUAAGAACUCAGGUCCUCCUUUCCAUAAUUAAGUUUGUAUUGGAAUUCUUGUUUCCAAAUUGUACACUUAUGUUGCAUUCUUUGAAUUUCUUAUUCGACAUUGAAAAAUGUAGCAAAAAUUAAAACAAACUAGAAACACACCAAAAUGAGUUUUGGUCUGAAUCUUUGGAACUGACUUACUUUAGAUGGAAGGUAAAUGUACACAGGCCUUGAUAUGUGUUGCGAUUAUUACUAUACGUAUCACAUGUUCAAGGUGUAUGGAUGACUUUGUUUUUCUUGGCCUUGUUUGGAAAGUGAUUUUACUCAGAAAAAUUACUACGUUUUCCGUGAAUACAUUUCCCUAUUACCUUUUACCUCACAUAUUUCAAAUCUUUACAGUAAUUUUUUUACAAAAAUCCAGAAAAAUGCAAUCCAAACAAUGUACACCAUCCCCAUUAACAAAAGGGGAAAAAAGAAAAAAAAAAACCCACUUCACAAUAAUGAAAGGAAAGAAGUAAAGUAAUACUUGAAAUUUGAAAGCAAGAAAAUCUGAAAAUGCCGUCUGUCACUGAAAAUGCCCGUCUGAAAAAUGCAUAACUUACCUCCCAAAAUUGGCUAAAUUCCUGAGGCUCAGUUUGGGAGUUGAGAUUUGGUGAGAAAAGAAGGGAACUUUAAAUAAUUUUUUUUUUCUUGUUUGGGAGUUUGAAAGAAAAGAAAAGAAGAGAAAAUAGAAAAAAAAAUUGGAGGAUAGAUUGAUUGAAAAAUUUUCUCUCGAAGUGUGGAGAGAAAUGCAACGAAAGUUCGAAUUAACAGUGAGCCUUUCCAAAAUACUAAUUUUACUCGUAAAAUGUUUAAAUCAUAAAAUCAUAAUACUGAAUGUGUUCAAUAUUCCUUUUUAUUUUUUCUUCUCUCUGUUUCCUAAACUCCAAAAGUUAAGCCUAAGCAAACCAAUUACCAAACCAACUUUCUAACAUCGCACCUCCCCUCCAAACUUGACCCUGCCUUUUUGCCUUCCCUCACUUCCCUUCGCAACCUGUGCACACCACCUCUCACAUUAUCACAUAGUCACACACUUAGGUGCCUCGAACGUGAAGAGAGAAAGAAAUGGCUUUGUCGACAGCUCCAAUUCUUUCACCAUUAUCUUCAGCAUUGUCGUUGUCAUCAUCCAACUUUAUAAUCCCAGAUUCCUCUACAUUUCAUGGCAUAGACACUUCAAUCAGAACAGUGAAAAGAAAUUCAAGAUACAGAGCUGUCACCAUAGCUCAAAAUGAUAAAGAUAAACCCACAAAAUUGGUGACCUUUUUGGGCAAAGGGGGUUCUGGUAAAACCACCUCUGCCAUCUUUUGCUGCUCAGGUAUCCAAUGUUCCUUUCCUUUUUUUUUUUCCCUUUUUUACUUGUUUAUCUGUGUGUUGAAGAUUUUGAUACUUGGAUUUUGAUUUUUGUGCUCCGAAUGUUGCUGAUGUCUUUCUUGUUAAUGAAUGUCAGUUUCUUGAAAUUGGAGCGAAGUUUUUAAUUGCCAUUAGCCAGUGUAAUAUGCUGAGUUAUCCUUGAACUGCUGCUUGAUCUGCCCUUUUUUAUUGGAAAAUUUGGCUCUAUGUGUCCAAGAAUUUUAACUACUGAGACAAUUACAGGGCUGGAAAUUGGUGUAGAAUCAAUUUUCAUGGAGGUCUGAAAGGUUCUGUCUUCUAAUUUUAGAUCAGAUAACCAUCAAAAAUUCAGCUUACAGUAUCUUUAGCGGAGUACAUCGUGUAAAAGAUUCAAAUCAUGAUGAGUUUGUUGUUGCUUUCUUCUUUUACUGAUUACUAGGGAAGUUCAUACACUGUACCCUGGCACCGAGCAUAUGUUGAAAAAUAAAAUAUGAACUUUAUAUAAAAACAGCGAGAAAACUUCAUUUCCAACCAUAGUUUUCUUGUGUUAUUGGUGCAAAGAACUAAAUGGGAAGAGAUAUGCUGGAGUGAGUUCUUAUUGACAUUUCAUAGAAUUUAUUAUGUUAAGUGCCUAAGGCUUAUGGGUUUAUUCUGAAAUUUGCUGGUGCUUUAGAGCAUAUCAUCACAACUUGGCCUUUUAUGUUCUUCAUAAACUAUAUGGUAUUUAAGCUGAUGUUUGGACACAUCAUGUUUCGUGAAGAUCUUCUUAUGUAUGUUGUUAACUGUUGUUUUGUUGGUGCAGCAUUAUGCAAUGGAAGGUCUGAAAACAUGCUUGGUGAUACAAUCUCAGGACCCUACUGCUGACCAUCUCCUAAAUUGUAAGAUUGGAACAUCUCCUAUCAAAUGCAACAACCACCUUUCUGCAGUUAGAUUGCAAACUACUAAAGUGUGUUGUCCUUCUACCCUUUUCCCUUGCCUUCCAUGCGACUUUAAGGUUCCAACAUAACUUAAUUUCUACUUGAAAAUGAACCAAUCCAACUGCAGAUGCUUAUUGAACCUCUGAAUCGAAUGAAGGAAGCUGAUGCUCGUCUUAAUUUGACCCAAGGAACUCUUGAAGGGGUGGGUAUAUAAAAUGUUCUGUGCUGUAACAACGUCAAAUCAGAAAGUUCUAAGUUUCUUCUAUUGUUUUUUGUUUAUGGUUUGUCUUUCAUUAUGUAGUAGGUAGUCGGAGAAGAGCUAGGUGUACUUCCUGGUAUGGAUUCUAUAUUUUCCAUGUUGGCACUUGGAAGGAUUUUGGGAUUUUUGAGGAAUACAAGUCAGGGGAGAGGUCAACAAGAUGAAUUUGACAUUGUUGUACUUGAUGGUAUAAGCACAGAGGAAGUUAUUCGGAUGAUCGGUGCAACCAGCAAAGCAAGGUUUAGAAGCCCUCACCAUGUCAUUGUUCCUCCAAAGAAAUAGAAAAGAAAAUGGAAAAAUAGACAUUAUAUUGAUCUUAUCUAUUCUCAUGUGCAGAUUGUACUUGAAAUAUUUGCGUAAAUUGGCUGAAAAGACUGACCUAGGGAGGUUGGCAGGACCCUCUCUUCUGAGACUUUUAGAUGAAGCAUUGAGUUUUAGUAGUGGAGGUGCCAAUGCUAAUGUACAAUUGAGUUCAGAAGUGUGGGAUCACCUAGAAAAGACAUUGGAGGUAUGUGUUUUCAAUUGAUUUUUGUUGGGCCUUAGCAAUAUGAGAACUACUGUAAAAGUUGCAAUGGCUAUGUGCAAUGCAGAGAGGUUCUGCUUUCUUUCAAAAGCUGCAAAAGUUUUCCUGUUACAUUGUUAUGAAUCAAGAUAGCCAACUCUCUGUAAUGUCUGCACUACGCUACUGGGGAUGUGCAUACAAGCUGGUGUUCAGGUUUCAGGUGCUUUUGCCUUUGCAUCACCAAAUGCAGAAUUAACGCUACAGCAAAGGAUUUUUCACCAUUGCCUUUUGCUUCUAUUCCACAUCUCUCAAUGAGUGCCCAUCCAAAUUGGAAUGAGGUUUUGGUGAAUGCUCAAAGUCAAGAUGCACGGCAGCUUCUUAACUUGACGAGUAAACAGACCUCCAUCUUUCCACCAGUUACCUUUGAUCCAGGCAACAAAUCAAUCACACUUUUCAUGCCUGGCUUCGACAAGUCAGAAAUCAAGCUAUUUCAAGUACGUUAAUGCCAUUGUUAAUUGCUUUGGUUUUUGCUGAUAGUCACAUAUUCUGUUUCUUGUUUGUGAUCAAUGAGGUUUCACGAAAGUGAUCCUGAUACACGAAUCAUCUUGAUGAGGUAGAAACCUGACUGGAGCGAUUGCUUUGAAUGAAGCUGGAAAGAAAGAAAAGUUUAAAAUUGACAUAAAAUAGAACACUUGCUUAAUUAAGCACCAAGAAGAACAGUCACUAGAUUACAUAUUCUAGCAGGGAUGACUCAAUAUUUCAGUUAGAGCUUGACAACAGUUAGGUCUAAAAUAGCAUGCAGUGGACUUCUUUCAAGAUUUUGACAAUCAUUUGUCAUCCUUAUAACUUGCCUCCUUACAAUAAUUUUUCUUGGUGGGGUAAUUCAUGAUGAUUGAUAACAUGGCAUCAAAGUACCUUUUCAUGAUUUAUGAUCUGUUUGUGUAUGUUUCCUAUGAGAAUUGAGAACGUACUCAUUUAUGAUGUUUAAAAUUUUUCUUAUGAAUGCAGUUCAGGGAGGAUCUGAACUUCUGGUUGAAGCUGGUGAUCAAAGACGAGUCAUUCAAUUGCCUUCUCAAAUUCAAGGGAAAGUUGGAGGUGCCAAGUUUAUAGACAGAAAUCUAGUGAUCACAAUGCGGUAGAGAGGUGUAGAACCUGUUAUGGCGGUUCACCUCAAUAUGGCUGAAAUAUUUAGUAGCAAAUCAUGAUUGCCAUUUGUUUACGAACUAUAUGUUUUCUUUAAUCAAAGCUUGAUUGCAGUUUACCCCAUUUUUCCUAGUUAAGGUCGCCAUUGAUCCAUACAUCUAUUUUAUGUGCUUGUACGAUCUUUCUACACAGUACACGGUACUUGUGUAACUGUACUGUGCACGAGGUUCUGCAGUAUCUUUUUAUUGCAGAAGAAGAGUUACUAAAGGAGUUCAUUUUAUAAAUAUUGAUCGUGUACAUACUAUUAGGUGGGACGCGUAUUACAUAUGUAAAACUGAAUUUUAAAUUUAAAUUUAGAUUAAUUGUUAUGCAUUCAACAGUGAAUAUAUACAUUAUUAGUGCACGAAAGAUUAAUCCUGAUUAAACUUAUUACCUUGAACUUAAACCAUGAUAUAAUAAUGGGUCAAAUGGAGCUUGUCCAAAAUCUUACAAUUCUAUUUGGAAGUAUCUUUGGGAACAUUAUUAAUUUUUUUUUUUUGGGCUAUGAUUUUGAUAUGAUCGGUUAGUCCUACUCUUUGGGCAUUACUGGAAAAUUUUCUGCUGCUGCAAGCAGUAUACUGGAAGAGCAUUACAAAUAAAAAAAAGUUGAAACUGUAGCAUACAUCACAAACACAUAAUUAGAAUUGAAACAUCUCUAUUCCUUUGCUUCUGUAAAUUCUCAAGUAACUUCAAAAUAACUCGUAUUACAUCUCUAGGAUCUAGCUCUAUCUUAGUAGUACUUUCCUAUUGACAGCCCUGCUAGUUGCACAAUAUCCGAUGCAGGCAGUUUUUUUUUCUACAUUUUCAUAAAGAAAUGACAAAGUAUACAGAUGAAAAAUCAAGAAGUAGAAUUAAAAAAAAAAAAGAAGAAAAGAUGCUGAUUAUCAUGCUUCAGGCUUCUUGUCUUCUCCUGUCUGCUGAAUACGGCUUCUCAGUUCUUCAAAUGCCUUCAUGCUCUCAGCGUCAAAGCCUCCAGCAAACUGAAAUAAGUUGUUACUUAGUAUGUGUAGUAACUUGCUUUUAACUCCAAAAAGAAAGUAUCUAGGUAGAGAAUGGGAACUUUGUAUACUAACACAAGACCAGAUAAUCCAUAAAACCACUUGAAUGCCUAUUACCUUGGUUGUAUAUUUGAACGUUUUAUAAAAAUGUCAAAUCAACAUAUGCAAGAGGAUCUUUGGAAGUUACCUGAUGAACACGGAAAGCAAAACGAACCCCUUGUAGAACUAAAAAUUCUCGGUUUGGUUCUUUCUCUGGUGCGCUCAUAGCAUCAAGCUCUGAUGCUACACGUUUCAUGUACUUCCGUGCUAAUUGCACCGAUGAGAGCUUUAUCUGCAAAUGAGAGAACUUUGUUUAACUUUCUUUAAUGCAGCAAAAGUAUCAGAAUUUUCAUCAUGAUAUUGCUUCAGCCUGUCAUAAAUGAAGAAACAUAUGCAGUGCGUAAAGAGUGUGCUUCUGCAGAGGGUAAGCAUGAGCUAGGAGAUGCUGUUAUAUUAGAGAAGUUUCACAUUUAUCAGACAAACAUCAAUAGAACAAAUAAUCCUGUUUCUUUUUCAUCAGAGGUGGACCGUGCCCCUAUACCAUUACUUGUUUUGUUCUUUUCCUCAUACCUUGCCAAUCAAUCCAGUAUCAGACAACCAGUCAACUGGAAUUCCAAAUUCUUUAUAACGAGAAAUAGCCAUGUCCCUUGUGCGCAAAGAGCAUAAACACUCUGUUCAACUCUGCACGUGCAAGAUUCAGAAGACAAAAGCAGAUUAGGCUAAAAUAUCCACAAGUUUGAAAGUACUUUGAGUUGAUUCACAUGCUAAAUAAAUAACCGUGUACUUACUUCUCAAGUAAUUUGUACAUCUUCUUUAGAGCAGAUUCACAAGGAAGAUUAGGAUCAUCAACAAACGUAGACACUUGCUUCUCCAACUUCACUAGGUCCUGAUAUUCAAAGGCUGCCUCUCUAAGAGCAUCUGCUUUCCCUUCUGGCCAAUCAAAAUGCUUCAGAACUGCUCGCUCAUCAACCUUUCCAAUAGAAAGACCGGCAUAUAGAUAAGAUACGAACAAGUUUUGACAUGGCAAGAACAUCCAGGUAUUUACUAUGACAGGCUCAUGGGUUAAAUGCUCAUAAGGAGUUUCCUAGAUGAGUAUAUCACUAUUCUUCAGAGUCUUGCUAGCAAACAUAGGCAAUGUAAUCAGGCACAAUUUGCCUCGUUAUGUAUGUUUACAUUCUUGAUCUUCAAAUGUAGCAUGACAGGUACUAUAUCUGAGUCCUCUAUGCUGCAGAUGUAGUUUCUGAUCUAAUGUUCACAUGUAGGAACUUUGUAAAAUUUUAGCAAAAGAAGUUACCAAAUAGGAUAGUUCCUCAUCAAGCCAAUUGACAAAGGCCACCAAAUCUUCUAUGUUGGUAAAUGAGGCUGCUCUGACUUCAGUUGCCAAUGACUGGACAAAAUCACUUGAGUUUCCACGUCAGCUUUUACCUGAUUUUAGAAAAACACACUCCUGUUAGAAUUGGCAUUCAGCACAUAGAUCAACCAAAAAACAAAGAAGAGAUUUUUACAUACAGCUAAAGGAAUGAUGAUCUGUUUUCUAUUUCCCCAAUCAUGUUGCUUCUUGCUUUCUGAUGUGCUUGAUGUGGAAGAAAUCAGUGGUGACGAUCUUUCUUUGCCUCACGUUUCAUAAGUGAUUGGUAGAACUCAACAACUUCUGGAGCACGAUGAACUUUAUCUCCACUUCCUGCUCCUCUAGGAAGUGAUCCUGGGGGGAGGUGGACGAGGUGGUCCACCAGGUGGCGGUGGAGGUGGUGAGCAGCUGGUGGAGGAGGUGGAGCACCUCGCAGUAGGAACAUUCUUAUUUGAAUCUGCAGGAGCACCUGAUGAUGCUUUAGGAGGUGGACGGGGACUCUUGGAGCUCGCUUCUCAAUAUGAGCUAAUUUCAUUUUGCUUACUGUUUGAGAAUCAUCCUUGCUAUCAUUAGAUUGCUCGUUUGAAUCACCAGAAUGGAUGUUCUCUCUUUUAUAUGAGAAAGUUUUGGGGGUAAAGUAAUUGACGUAGUUCUGUCUGGCUUGAAACUUGAAGUGUCACCAAACCUUGCAACUCUUGCCUGCUCUGCUUUCUCCUUAAUUUUCUUUUCUCUCUCUAAGGCAAGUUUAUGCCUAUCUUUGUAAGCAGGAUACUUCUCAUCAAGAACACCUUCAACUGAUUUUGACAUUAACUGAAAAGAUGAUACAACGGAAUUAAGUGAGCCAUCUUGGGUUCUAAUUUGCAAGGGCGCAGGAGUUUCAGGAGAAUCAGGGUCCUGCUCUGCUGUCCCAAAACUAGUGAUGGCUACACUAUCACCAGCAUUCCUCAGCAUCAAGGCUUCUAGAGGACCCUUUGGUCUGACGCUCAUACUGGCCCUGCUUGGAGAUUUGCCUCCUAAAGAUCUUGUUGGCGAAGAAAGAGCACUUGAGUCAUCCUUAUUUUUUGCCCCAUUUCUUGAGCUUUUGAAUUAAGCUGGGCUUUUUACUGAGACUGCUGUACCUACUCAUUGAGCUGUCAAUGGAAGUAUUAUCAAAAUCCUCACUUCCAGGAGAUGAAGGGUGAGAAAAAUUGCUUUCAAGGUCUGUGUCCCCUUGUCCACGCUCUGAUUCUGCAUAUUCUAACAUCAACCGUUUGGCCCUCUCUCGUGAUCUUGGGCUUAAACUCUUACUGAGAUCACGAGCUGAUAUUUUCCCAGAGGGUGUUUGAUAAUUACGGAGCUCAUAUCUUAAGCAUGCAUUGACCCAACGAAGGUACACUAGCUCUUCGACUUCACUGAACCUAUUCAUUUGAAGUCCUUCUACUUGUUUUAGAAGGUCUUCAUUUUUUUGCCUCAUAUUAUUGACCUCCUCUCUCACCUGCGCAACCAUUUCAGUCUGCAGAAGCAUACAUAAAUAAACUGAUGAGAUCAUUUAACAGUGACAUGAUUUUUGGAAGGUGAACAAAAAAAUCUGAGCAGAAACAACAGAGGCCAAUUAUGUCACCGUAAUUGCAAAAGAAAGAACUGAAACUUUUACCUCUGUCAUGUUAGAAAGGGAUGCUACUUUGGCUUCUGCAGCAUCCAGUUUAACAAUUAACUCCCUCUUUUCAUGCUGAAGCUCUUUGUUCUUCCUCUUUAGCUCCAUAACCUCCACUUCCAACUCCUUUAGAGCUUUAAGCUUGUUCUCAACUUCAGCAUCUUUUCUGAAGGCUUUCUGUUCUUUUGACUGAAGUCCACUAACUUGUUGCUUGAGCAGCAAUAGCUGGCCCUUUGUCUGGUUUGUCUCAAGUUGAAUUUGUUUUUGCAGUUCUUUGAUUUUGUUUCUAGCAAUCUCUAGCUCUCUUCUAGUUGAAGCUCCCUGAGAGACCUCCUCUUGAAGUUUUUUCCUUUCAGUCUGCAAAGAGUUGAUUGCUAUGUUCAGCAUGUCAAUUUCCACAGUCUUGAUCUUGAGUUGUUUCUGCAACUCGGCAAUAUUUGAUUCUUGUUCCUUUAGCCCAUAGUACUCCAGCAAUUCACCUUCAAGCUUCACCUCCCUCUCCUCUAAUUCUUUAACUAGGUUGAGUAAUCGUUCCAGCUCACUAUUAUUAUUUGCCAUUUCAUUUUCAUAGAUUCUGUCUCUCUCUGCCUUGGAGCUUGCUGCUGUAUCAUACUUUUCACUGGGUAAUAGAAAAUCAAUUUCUCCAGAUAAAAGAUUUUCAAAUUCAGGCAAAAAUCUCAUCUUCAAUAUUGGAUGGAAUGCUUGGAGGAGGAUUUAUGAUGCCAUUGAUCAACUUAACUUCCUCCUUUUCCUCCUCCUGCUUGUCAACCUGCAAUUCAUUAAACAUACACAUAUCACCUAAAACCUGAAUAAAUUCUAAAUUUAAGUGAAUCCUUUGCUUACUGAUGGUCAUAGAGAAAGACAAGUACUAAUUUUUCUGCAAGAAACUAUAGUACUAUAAGAUUAAAAUAUUAGGUUUUCCAAAGUACUUACAACCACCUCUUUGAGGCCAUCAUUGGAAUAUGGAGACUGCUCAUUGUCUUUCCCUUCUCUCCAAGCUUGUUGAUCAUUUCCCCUUUCUGUUGUCCAUUUCAUUCAGUCAAAGAUACAAGAAACGCAAUCCAGGUCAAACUCACAAACAGAAAUAAAGUUUAUAAUUCGAUAAAUGAGGGAAGUAGUCCAUUUGAAAGCCAUAUUUGGACAAAGCUUUGCUUUAAGAAGCUCAUUGUAGCUUUGCUCGUAAAAAGCUCUUAUGUGGAAAGCACCUUUAUUGCUCUUGUGAAUUCAGCAUAUGUGACAAACUUAUAAUUGUCACUGAGUAAAAUAAAGUACUGUGAAAAACUACUAAGCCACUGAACAGAUUACCUGAACCCUUGGUUAGAGAAGACGAUGGCUUUCCUGCUUGGACAUUAAUCUGCCUGACCGCAUAGGCUGCAACAGAAGCAGCAACCAAAAAGCCUAACCUGACUAUCAUGUAGGAAUUGUUGAUGGAAAGUACCGAAACUUCCACUCAUCUACCAACACAGACCAAUUCUCAGACUGUCCUCCACCCAUUUGUCCCACAUCCAUAGCUCACAAUCAAACCAUCUAUAAACUUAGGCAAGAGCAGCCGAGGCAAAAUGCCAAGUUAAUUUAAAAUUCUAUCAAGGUAUCCAGCAGCAACUUUUCAAGAAAAAUUAGACUAGGGAAGGUACCACAGAAAAUUCCUGAAAACUUUUUUCUCUAAAUGAAUACUCUUAUCUCAAAAUCAGCAACAUUAUCAUCUUAUCAUGUUUUUUUGACCCUUCACAGGAAAAAACUAGUUCGUAUGUUUUAAAAGUUCCAGAUAAUAGACCAUAUACCAGCUGUAAUCCUAAGAGCUACAGGAACCACCAAUAUCUAGUGGUUAUUCUUUGUCCAAGAAGAUUGAAAUUCUAUUAACAGGCGUGUCCAAUUUUCUGGCCUAUUUUGAAGAAGAUGAUGAACUGUUAAAUAAGCAAUGGACAGAUUGAAUAAAGGCCCAAGGCACAGUAAUUUUGAAAGUAAAUAACUACUGCACAAGUUCACUGCCAGUUAUCUUACUUAUAAAAAGUCUUUCUAGUUUCUGUCUUGUCUCUAGUACCAUGCUAUAAACAUCCUGUUGGCAGUUAUCCAAGUUAAUUGUUGGCCUUCAGCAGCUCAGCUCCAUUACAUACAAGUCAAAAUAACCAACUGAUGCUACCCAUCUGACUAAUCUCAGAAAGCCACACUCAGCUGAAAUGAUGUGUUACUAUUAGGGUUAAAAGGCGCACAAAAUAAAUCUGGGAUUCAUUAUGUAAAAUCAAGAAAUUAGUAAGUGUGAUAAACCACUUAUAACUAAGGAGCUACAUCAAUAGGUGGACCCAAGGUAGAGCAUAUGUACAAAAAGGCAUGCUUAAUUUUGGCCCUUCACAUAUUUCAGGGUGAAUGAAAUUGUAUGUUUGCUAAGGUAAGGCUGAUACUUGCACAUUCCCUACCUAUGCUUAUGGAUUGGAGCGUAUGGAUGAUAUUAGCCAAGAGAAGCCAGGUUAACCCAAACUUUACGUAUUCCACUAGGGAACUUGACCUUUUGCCACAUGUUUGCCUUUUUGUCCUUUUUCCCCCCUCAACCUCAAAUCAAUAAACUAACUCGCAUGUUUCCACAAAUUUUGGGAUUUUUCCCUGUAUUUCUUCAGAUGUGACAAAUCCAAGGAAGCUCUAAAACAUGGCUGAUAGUCAUAGAUGUAAGAAGCUUUUCCUGGUUUGAGGAAAAGAAACCGUACAUUCCAAUUGGAAAUAUCAAUGAAGAUUUUGUAAUGCGUCAAAUGCCAAACAAUGAGGCAUUGUUUUGACAAUUCAAGAAAACAAGAAAGCAAGGAUUAAGUCAAUGGCUAUCUGAUCCAAGACAAAAGGCAAACAAAAAACAAAGAAAAAGGAACUUUUAUAAAGUAUCAACAACCAAAAUCAAGAAAACUUGAUGAGAACGCUUUUUCAAAAGGAAAAAAAAUAUCUGGGUUAAUUUGGAUCACAAACACAAGUCCACCGCCCCAAUAAAAGCCAAAUUAUUAUCCAAAGCACUAGUGGUUCAGAGUAAUGGGCACUGAAAUUCUAGUUGGAUGACAAACAAUCAUUUAAGUCUAGGACAAAAAUUGAUAAAACCAAUUUAUAUCCCAAGAGUGAUUUAGGAGUUUUGGGUGGACCACCAGUCUUGUUUGCUUAAUAGCUCAAAAUUUGACCUAAGUGACACAAGUAGAAGUAGGACAUGCCUUUCUUCCUCAUGCCAAGUAUGACUUCCAUUUGCUCCCCAGUUUCCUGUUUCAUCACUCAAACAAACCCCACCCUUAACCGCCCCACCAGCCGCCAAUGUUUUAAUUUUGCCUUUUGUCUGUCUAAUUUCUGUAGUGUUUUUUUUCUUCCUGGUUUUACUUUCAAAUACACUAAAAAUUCAUCAUUUUAUGCUUCUCAAUCUUAACAUACGCGGAAGAACAGAUAAAAAUCCGCUCGUCACAGUUGAAGCAGCAAGGACAUUAAGCUAGAUAUCCAUGGAGCCCCAGUUAUUAAAAGAACUAAAGGAAAAAAAAAGAACAAGAACAUAACAGAAAAGAAAGGACAAAUUAAGAUGUAAAAUUCUCAAGCUUAUCUAAUGAAAAAGAAGCAUAAAGCUGUGUCCUUGAGCAAGGAGAGGAACUUUUUUUUUUUUUUUCCUUGAAACAUAUGAUACUAUGAGGAAAUCACAAUGGAUUGGACGAGAAACAGUUAAUGUGAAUGAUUAAUCAGAUGUUUGCCAACCAAAGAUUGUUGCCCUAAACCUGGGCUGGCCCAGUACACAUUUCUCCUUUAAUCCUCAGCCCGCACUCGUGGCACAUUCUAGUCGUACAGAGUUGCUUGCUAGUUCUCCUGGAUGAAAAUGGAGUCUUCAACAAUACAUGCAAGCAACCCAAAACAAAACAAAAAAAGAACUGAUCUUGAAUCCUAGACUUCCAAUAUAAUUAAUUAUCUAUAUGCUGAAAAUUCACAGAUGAAUAUUUCUACGGGUGCCAAAAAACAUUAGCAUAUGUAUAAUGCUGCUAUUUACGAGCUCCAAUUUGAGGAUUCCCAAGCAAAGACAUUAGCAUUAGUACGUGGUUUUCUGCAUACGUGGUUUGGUUGGGUUAUUGUUCACUUGUUCAGGUAAAUGAUAGUAUCUCCGUGUAACUCGCGACCAAGCCGGGGAACAAAGAGACAGCAUUUCACCUUAAUGGCUUGCAAAAUUAUAUUCAUGGUGGCAAGCAUCUUCUCUUCUACAUCCAUCCAUUUGAGUCUAUUCGAUCUAUGGACACUGAUUGAAGAUGGUCCUCAUAGCCAAGGGUGGUGCAUAACAGUCAUAGAGAGAGGAAGCAUGACUGCAUAUCGAGCACAACUUCGAAUAGCUAGAUCCGUGACGAUAAGAUGCAUGGCUCGCUAAGAGAUUUGAUGCAAUGGCAUCUUCUCUUGUAGGGGAAGUGCACGGACGAAAAAUUAAGUGAUGUCAAAAAUAGUAAUAAGACAGAUGUCCUCGUCACAACUUUCAGUUGUGAAAUAGUGAGAGUUAUGGUGUGAAUAUUAUAUCCAGCAUGUUAAUUGAGUCAUAUAGACUUGAUCAUACCAAAAUUUUCUUGUCAAUAUAUAAAUGGUGAAUGACAAAUCAUGUGGACUAAUGCAGCCACCUUAAUGAAUUGGAACAUUUCUUUAGAUGGCAAUAUUGACUUUGUUGACAACUAAUUGAUUUUGUAUCAUACAUAGCUCCUUCAUUCACAUACUCUUAAGAGCAGCAGCCCAUCAAGGUGCAGGCGCUUAGCGACAAAAGGUAGAAAUGAUGUCUUGCACAUAACUGAUUCUUAACGUUGGAAAUCCGAGGAUUAAUUACUUUGCAAACUCAAAAAGGUCACCAAAGAUCUUUACGUGUAGAUCUUUACAUGUAUAGCAAGCUGUAGCAAUUUCCUAUUGGACUAAAUGAGAUAUCUAAGGAGGUGGUGCGUAUACUCUUGUCGCUGGGGACAAGUCACAGACCUUCGCUUUAUAUAAGAAAUCAAAUCAAUGUGCGACCACAGCAUAUGAAGGACCAUCAUUGAGGAGAAGGCAAAGGUUGGAUUAGUGUAUAGUGUAUUUGAUGAAGAUGACUUCCUGGACUGCUCUCUGCAGUGUAACAUCUUCCAACUUUAUAUUGUAAAACAUCUCUAUCAAAACCUCCUUUAAUAACGAAAGUAGAAGAGAGAGAGAUCAAUAUGUUCAGUUCUACAGUUAUCCUUUUGUUCCCUGUUUACACCUACACCUCAAUCAUCCAUCCAACCAUAAAUACAUAAAUGGUGAGAGAGAGAGAGAGGGAGAGGGAGAGAGAGAUGAUGAUGAAAGAGGAGGAAGCCCAUAUGACUUGACAAGGGCUCAAAGUUCUCGCUUCUCAGUUGGGAAACGAGCAACGCUGUGAAACAGCAAGAGAGAAAUUUGCUGUUACUUUGGUACACAAUUCUAUGUAUUUUUUACCCCCCCAAUUCUCCCUCCUUUACUUAUACCUUGUCUCCUCCGUCCCUAAACAAGCCAAAUUUUCAUAUCUUUCAACUCCACGUGUGGAGGGAGAGAACACACAACACAACUCUCUCUGCCUUCAAACUCAUCAGUCAUCACUACUCCUUGCUCUAUUAUCCCUUUCUCACUUGCUCUAUAGCCCUUUCUCGCCUAUUGUCAUACUAAUAUCCCAACAAAAUCCCACAAAAAUCCCAGAUUCUGAACCUUCUCAAAAUCCCAUAUAUAAACAAAUAGUUUUGUUUAUUUGCCUAUUUCUUAUGACACAAACCUAAAAUCUGCCUUCCGACGACUUCUAUAAGUUCAUACCCAAUAGCUUAUCUCCAUGCAAAGAAUUCAUUGUUGUUCAAACAUUUCAUCAGGUGAGACUGAUGAGAUUGGCAGUUUGGAGGCUGAUGAUCAAGAUGAUGAUUCUUUAACUCUUCUUUCUCUUGCUCCUCCAGGCCAAAACAACACCUCAAAGAAUCUUCUGGACUGUAGUUUUGAGUACUCCUCAUGCCAACUACCUCAGGAUAACUAUCAACAAUGCCCUAGGACUAGUGCUGAAAAUGGUGUAACAGUGGCACUUCAUAUUGGUCUGCCUACUUCAGAAGCUAGCUCUACUAGUCAUGCUCAUAACUUUGGGGUUCUUCCUGAAGGACAAUACUGGAUUCCUACUCCAGCUCAAAUUCUUGUUGGCCCCACUCAGUUUUCUUGUCCUGUAUGCAACAAAACAUUUAACAGAUACAACAAUAUGCAGGUUAUGGAACUUCUAUGUAAUUCAUUUUCAGUUAUAAUCAGAUCCUAUCAAUGUUCUUCUUUCCCCUUAACUCCUUGCAUGCAAAAAUAAACAAAGCCUUCAGUAAACAAUAGUGUUGCAACUUGCAACUAGUUGGUUGCUACACUAGUAUGUAGACUUGUUUAGAGAUUUUUGUGGCUGAUGAUUAUUAUUUUAUGUGGGCUUAGAUCAAUCUCUUGCAUAACUUUUCUAUCCUCAUGAUCCUUCUGUAGAUGCAUAUGUGGGGGCAUGGAUCACAAUACAGAAAAGGGCCAGAAUCUUUAAGAGGGACAAAGCCAGCCUCAUCCAUGCUUAAACUUCCCUGUUACUGUUGUGCUGAGGGUUGCAAGAACAACAUAGAUCAUCCAAGAUCAAGGCCCUUGAAGGAUUUUAGGACUCUUCAAACACACUACAAGAGAAAGCAUGGGACAAAGCCAUUUCAGUGCAGAAAAUGUGGGAAGCCAUUUGCGGUUAGAGGAGACUGGAGGACUCAUGAAAAGAAUUGUGGGAAGUUAUGGUUUUGUAUUUGUGGUUCUGAUUUUAAGCAUAAAAGAUCACUCAAAGACCAUAUUAGAGCUUUUGGAGAUGGCCAUGCAGCACAUAGUCAAGACUUGCGUGGAAUUGAAGAAUUAGUAGAAUUAGAAGAAGAUGAUGAAGAAGAAGAGGACAACUACUAAGUAGGGCUAGAUAGACUUUGUACCCUCGAAAAGUAUUGGGGGUUUUGUUAGUUUGUACCCUAAACAUUAGUAUUCUACUAACUUAUGUUUGUUGUCAAUUGACCAGUUUUCGUACAUGAUUUGCACGUUUGUAGUAGGUAAUAAUAAAUUGCACAUUGGCUCUUGUCAAUUUUGACCAAUUUAUGAUAGGAUUUUUUCCUAGUUUUUCAAAACAAAUUGUACACUCAGUAAUAGAUUAGUGUUAAAGGAUUAAAAAACCUACCUUAACGUACAUAAUACACUAGCGUUGUUGAUUUGAGUAUUCAAUGGUCACAAAGAGAAGUUUAGGAGGGUGCAAACUGUGCAAAACUCGAUCUAAUACUGAAAAGGGACAAAGUGGUAUUGAUCAAAAAGAUCAAGAAGUGAUUAAUGUGUGAAGAAUAGAAUAGAAAUGUCGGAUAUGAUUCUGCCAAUGUACAUCCAUUUAUUACAUGUGAACCUUUAGUUGUAGUAGUGGUGGUAGGCUGCUGAAGUCUGAAUAGUGACUAUUUGGCUCUAUGCUUCUGAAUGUGUCUGCGGAUCUAUCAUCUAUGUGUUUGAGGGACUUGAGAGAAGAGAAAGAGAGAAAUAAAAGGGAGAGAAAAAGAUGAGGACAAACAGUAUAAUGAAAGGCACAGUUGCAUGGCAUUAAUGUUCGAAGUGCCAGUUCGAUUAUCUGAUUAAAGUUUGGUUCUUUUCUUUUUUUCCCCACUUUAUUUUUUUGGGCCUUCAGAGUCUGACAGGAGAGUAGAGACUGAGUCUGAGUUUUUUCUGAGGCUUUUGGUCUGAGGGCCUGAGGAGGGCUGAGCUUGGACUAGCACUACUAACACUUUGAUAGAGGCUUUUGUCAGAAGGUAACAAUGGACCACUGGAAGUUUUUCUUUUUGGGGUUUCACCCAAAGUAUUAACUUUCUACCUUUUGGGACGAAACAAACAGAUAUUUCGUAAUAUGUUGCCAGAGCCCUGUUUUUGCCUUCUUUAAGUUUAAUAAUGUGGUUGCAUGGGCUCAUAUGCACUCUGAUACUAUAUGGCUGCUCUCUCAGAUGUAUAUGUCAAGGAUGAGGUCCAUAUCCUGCACUGCAUGCCUUACUUUUCAACAGUUUCACCGUCUUAUCAGUAUUAUCGCUCUACUUUUUUGAUACAUUCAACUUUCUGUUUCCUGUUCUUUCAUUUUUACCCAUUUUUGAGCUGUAAUUGGUAUUCGUUUUUCUCCCUGGUUUGAGACUUAGGCCGCAUAAAACUGGUCCAUUAUCAUUGUUAAAGUUCACUAAUUUUUACUAGUUUCCUUGGCUUGUUAGAACAGCCGUGACAAUUUGCCGUACUUCUGAUUUUAUUUGUUCUUCUUGUUUUUGUGUGCAAGUGUGUCAACUUCAACACACAGACAAAUUCUGGAGUGAGGUUUUCUUAUUGGACAAUAAAUUCAGACUUACUUUUUUCUGAUCAAGAUUUGAUCAGAAUUCUCAGAUGAUGGUUCUAAUCAAAUUAUUUGGUUUGCUGCAGGGAUGCAUGUACUACAGUAUAGUACACAAAAAGUCUGCAUUAUAUGGCCCUUUGGGCUGUCAAGACGCGAACAUUUUAUUGUAAUGAAUAGGAGAAAUGUUUUUGAUCGGAGAAAGAAAAGAAAAAAAGAAAUUACUCUUGUAGGAAACUUUAGCACUGUAGCCUAACAUGUCCAAGAAUUCCUUCUUCUGUUUCAUUCUUUUUUAUACGGUUAGAUUGAAUAGUUGUCAAGCAAAAAGAAUAGUUGUUGGAAUCCCAUCUAAGGAAAAGGGAUGCCUGUAAUCACCUUUAAACAGAAAAAUAUCUGGCGUUUCUCCAACAUUUUAUGAAGCUUAACCAAAGAAGCAACGUGGUGGCCGGGCUUCCUUGUCCCAAGUUUGACCAGUUAAAAAAAAAAAUAAAAGGAGAUCUAGAUUAUUUGCUGCAAUUUAAGUCUGAAUUGAUCCCAAGUUGUAUGUAGAAGUGGUCAGGGGUUCUGGGUUUUUAUUUUGAUUAUCGUUUUCUAGCAAUACUCUUGUUCCUUUUAACAAGCCCUUCUGGCAUGAUGGAAAAGAAUAGUUCCAAUGCAAAUUUCUCUCUAUUUUUUCAUGCAUGCAUGUGCGGAUUGCAAGGACAACUCCACCAAGACACCCUCACUUAGAAACAUUUCAUCGAAUGAUAGAAUCUACGAACAUGGCCUCUCUAUCUCUUUUUCUUCGUUUUCAUUUGAGUUAGGCACUCAACUCACAGCUAUACAUACACAUUUUAUUCCCAGUUUUGUCCUAUUACUUCAUGGACUUUCUUCUUUCUUUUGUUUUCCCCACUUUUUUUUGGUAAGUCAACAAAUUUCUGUUUUGCUGUUCUUCUAGAUGAUAAGGGAGAGAAAAAUAUGACAGUAAUUUCUUCAAAAUCCAAUUCUGACAAUAAAGAUGGGAGACAUAUGGUCAAUGAUGCUGGUAGGAGAGAAAAAAACCAUUCUAAGUAGUACAAACGAUAAACCAGUACAAGCAUUUAUUGGACAGCUCUUGCUGCCAAACUAAUUAAUGCUUGAAUAAUUGUGGCUAGUUCCUUGGAUCAACCUCCCUAUCAAUCAGUGAAGUUAGGGAUGGUUGCCUGAGGCUCAGUAGCCUUAGCAGCAGCUGAUGGUUCAGCAGUAGCUGUUGGCAACACUGGCUUAACCACCAACUCAGCUGGCAAAUCCUUAAUUCCCUUUAAAUAAAAUGUAUAGAACAGCUUAAAUGGGAACACAAUCUGCUGCAGCUUCACCACACCCUGCACCCCCUCGAAUACUCCUGAUCCAGCGGUCACAGCCAGAUGUGUGUCCUCGUAAGUCAAAUAUGGCCCCUGGACUGAUAUGUGACCGUAGUCACCAAAAUAGAAGCUGUAGAUAGCCUCAUAACGAUCACCUUUCUUCUCAGGAACAUGUUUUAUCAGCACACAUAAUCCUGAUGUUAUGCCUAAUCUCUUCUGCAAAUCACCUGUGUAGAGCUUAUUGCUGAAUGGAACUAGAUCACCUAGAGAAUUUGCGUCCUUUUUGCUAAGUCUCAAGUAUGCUGGGCUGCCCCUGUCCCUUUCAUUAAUCUCAUACACAUAUAGUUCUUGAACUUUAGCUGAAUCACAAAGACAUGAUUUUGUGAUGAGCAAUAAUACAUCGUGAAUCAUGAAAUCCAACUAAUUUUAGCUAGUAGUUUCACUGACUACCUCAAAAUUACCGAUAUAACUAUGCCUAGCAAAUCUUUUAUUUCCAAGAACUCGUAUUCAUUUUUGCUUGGAGAAAGUAGAAUGCAUCUGACGGACCAUUUUCCUAUGGUUUCACGACAAAAUACUAACUAACUCAUCGAAUCGAAAAAAGAUUUAUUGGUACAGGAAGUACUCACUUGGUUCUGGCUUUGGUUUGCCGAUGUUGAAGAAGAAUGCUUUUGUUGAGGCAUCUUUGGAGGGUCUUCUGGCGGAGAAGGCUUGGUGGGUCGUCGAGAUCUGGACAGAUUUAGUUAAAAGUGGAUUUGAAAGCUUAAACGCAAGCUUGUCAUAAUGGAAUUCGAUGUUGGAAAGUGAUUCAAGAUUGAAUAGUUUAAGGGAAGAAACUGGUCUGAGAGAGCUUGUACUUGCCAUUGAUGAAGUGGAUGCUAAUGGUUAGGGUUGAUCUAUGCAAAGUAUAGGUUCAAGAAACAUCCAUCCAGGGGACAAUGUGCCUUGAUUUAGAAAGGUAUAUAGCUGGAAGAUUCUGCACCGAUAAAUUAUGCACCAAUAUUAAACGCACGCCUUGUAAUUCUGAUUGGUUUAAGGGUACCUAUUGAUGAUGACAAUAUAGCUUAAUAGUUUUUUUUUUCUUUUAAUGUGGAAACACAGGCUGGACUCGUAAAAGUAGUCAAAAGCUGUAGCUGUAGGUGUGGAAAUAAUUAGAAAAUUGGAAGAACAUGGAGGAGGGAAAAGUAUGAAUGUAGCAGCAAAAGACAUAUCAAUCAGAACCUUCACAACAAAAGACAUAUUUGUUAGGUAUCGAUGCUAAAAUCUUGAGCACUGUGCAGAAGCAACAUCAAUGUUUGUUAGGAUCAUCAGAUUAAAAUGUAUAUUAAAGAGCUACAAUUAUUCAAAUGAUUAAAUAGUACAAGAAAAGUUUUCUGUACAUAUAAAUCAUGUACUGUUCGUUGCCAUGUAUAACAGCCUUAAGAAUUUCUCACAAAUUGCAAACAUUUAUAUCCCAAUUUCACCAGCUCCGGCAAUGGCCAUUGACAUGCCGGUAACAAUGCUGUACCUUUACUUUGACCAGGCAACAUAUCUGGUGAACGAUGUCCCGAUAAUUGCUUAGCUGCCAGCAGAGUUCUAUAAAUGGUGUUGAUGUGAUCAAAACUGGGAUCAUCACUCAAGGCCUAAUGCUUUUGCCAUCUCAGGGUUGUAUAUGAGAUCCAUGGAUCUCAAGUUAAUGGAGGAGCAGGAGUUUAUUUCCUCCAUUACAUGUAGAAGAAAUGAAGUGUGCAAAAUGAAUCAUGAGUGAUUCAUCUAAGCUUUUGUUAAGAUUUCUGCGCCAGUUUUUGUAAUCAAAAUUGUGUGCUCGAAUUGCGCAGCAGGGCUGCCAUCAGCUGUCAGGGUUGUCCAGUUAUCCUCCCAUGUGAUACACUCCGUGCUUCCCAAUGUAAGAAUUGGUUCUGCAGUAAAUUUACAAAACAUAACAGGUAAGGAUUCAAUUCAAUAAGCAAAUUUCACUUUACUGCAAAACACAAUCUAAAGUGAAAAUAUAUCAAGAUAGUGCCGGACUUGCCUGAAUAAGCCAAGAUGACAAAGUAAUAGAAAUUAUGGCAAAAAUGUACCAAAAACCUUUCAGCAAGUCCAAAAGGAAGUGAGGAUUUCAUUCAAAAAUAACCUCGUUUAGCAUUGCAUAUGAUCUUUCAAAUUUCCUAGCGAAGUACCAUCAUGGUAUCACCUGAUGUACACUAUCAUUCCUUAUGAAUCCAUAACGGUCUCCCUCUGAUUUCAGGACUUUUUACAUGCAUUUGCGAUGCCAUGAACAAGUUAAUUUUAUUAUUGUUGUUGUUGUUGUUGUUGUAGUUGUUGUUAAUCAAGCAACAGCAAGUUUGUUCAAUAGGGGGAAAAGGUUCAAUAUACUGGUCAAAGCACAUCCAACUGAAUACCAGUACUUGAAGGUACAUAUUGCUUUCUAACAAGGCAAUCAUGCACCAGCUCUCCCAAGUAUUUCUUAAAUUAAAACUAUGUUUGUGAUGUAUCGACAGACAAAUAAUAGAAACUGGCCAUUUAAAAGCAUUAUCUACAUUAAAGAGGAAUAUGCUCACCAAUUGUGAAUGUUUGCCCCUCAACCAUGAAGCCUGGCUUAUCAUUGCCUGCAAACAACCAAAACAAAAUAAAAGUUGGCAUAACUUUGAAAGUACAAGUAGAAUCCAAAGGAAAAGACAAAUCCAAGUUCAGUAAACUUGAAUUAUAUGUUAUACCAUCUCCAAGCAUAAAAACUAGAAUAACAGAAUAACAGAAACAAGUUUCCAUUCAAAGCAAGGACACAGCAUAGGAAAAAGACAUACUUCAGAGGCAAGACAUUCAGAAUAAUGAAAAUACAUAGCCUAUUAGAAGUUAUAAAGUAGAUCUAAGGUUUUAAGAUUAUUUUUUAUUUUUAGGUCAUAAUGUGCGGAAAGAAAAGUCAAGGUGUUAUUCUAACUUCUAAAGAUAAUUACUCUUAGAAGAAUAUAAAGCCAACCAUCUUGGCUUGACUCUCAGUCUCCCUACAAAUUGACACAACUUAGAUUCUCCAAAAUCAAUGGUAUGGAUACAUACUCCAUUAUUAUGUCAAUCAAAGAGUUAAAAAAGAAGAAGGAAAUGAUAGGACUUACUUUCUAUAUUUGAAAUAUGCAAAGGCAGAAAUAGCUCUCAGUUUAGAGUUACCAUUUAAGCAACCUAGACAUUUUCCAAAGAAAGAUUAAACAAGACAUUUAGUUUGGACAAAAGAGAUUACUUGAAAAGUUUAGAUCACAUGCAAAUGGAAAGUGCAACCGUAGAUUAAGACGUACUAUGUUAAGCCAAUCUGCAUUAAUUGGCUUUAAAUAUAGUUCUAGACCACCUAAGGAGGUAUAGCCACGGUGCUACCUGAAGAAAGGUGCCACCUCAUCGAUGUUAGAGGAUCUUGAAUUCACCAUAUCAUAUGAUUAUCAUGUUAACAGAACAGCAUGUAAUUCACUGAAAUGACAGCGUAGCAAGACCAUUGCUAGUCAUUGGUGAAGGCUGAAGCUAGUGCAGUUUUCCUUAGCGACUGUGACAAUUAUACUGAAAGGAUUAACAUGAGGGACUACUCACGGUGGUGAAAUAUAAGUGGUUCAGAAUGAAAUACAUUCCCAACACCAUGUCCAACAAAACGGUCCACCACGCCGUAACCAAAUUUCUCAGCAUGCUCACUGCAACGACAAUUAACAGAGUCCUUAGAGAAGGCAAAAUAUACUUUAAAUUAAAACAACAUCUUUGUUUUGAGAAAGAUUUGCUCAUAUUUGAACACCUUCUAGUUUAACUCAUAGUAAAAGUACAAAAGGUGAUAGAUGAUGGCACAGUAUGAAAGCCUCUAUAAGAACUAACAAUCAAGCUUGACAAGGUCCCCAACAUAAAGCUUGCAAUAUGAGGAUCUUCACCAUAUUUAAGUAUAUUGUGUUCCUUUUCACCCCCUCAGUAUCAAAUAAAAUAAUUUCUGAACAUAACACCACAAGAUUGUCCGAGCAAAAACAAAUCUUUCAGCUAUGAACAUACAAGAAGCGGGCAAAAUUGGAUAACAACAAAGGUUUGAUUCAACCAAUCUCACAAAAACUUCAGUGUUGUGUUUACUGCCAAACAAUUCCAAAUAAUGUCCGAUGUUGUAGGAAGUAUGUUAUUGGAUCCAAAAUAUCCAAUUGUGGCUCUCAUUUUCUAGACAGAAAUACAGACAAAUGUCAACAGGUGCACAUGCAAAUGUACUUCAAUGUUUAUACGUUUUCAGAUAUUAAUCAUACCUGAUUCGCUUCCCGAUUUUCCUAUACAGAGCACCAUCCUUGCAAACAGCAAUGCCUUUAUGCAAGCACUCCUCAGUCACCUGACACAAGGAGAAAUUAGGUUGCAAAAAGAGGGAAAUAAUAAUAAUAAAAACUAUCUGUGGGACUGAUCAAGAGGUUGUACUACAAAGUUCUAAGGAGAAGUGAUGAUGCAGCAGUUUUGUGAGCUUUAGGUAACAGAAGACAUGAUUCUCAUCCUUGACAUUGCAACGUUCAGGAAAUGCAAUUUUUCUUUUCUUUUCUAGUAAAUGCAAAAUCAUACCUUCACAAGCCGUUUCAUUGCAUCACUAACAUUGCCACAAAAGAAAGUUUUUGAAGUGUCCCCAUGAUAACCCUGAGAUGAGGCCAAAUAAGUUUUCCUAAGGUCCCAAGACAACUUUAAACAAAUAAUUACAAAAAUGAAGAGGAAAGAAAAAAAAUAUAUAGUGUGGAGGAACCAAAAAGAGGAAAAAUUAAGGAAAACUGAGAACAAAUCAUAGAAACAAAACAGAUUUCAAAAGGUCCCCUUAGCAACUCCUAACUAGGUGUUCUAAGCAAAGAAACUAUUAUGUCUUCUAUUAAUAUUUUGAUUUAAUUGUAUAAGCAGAUUUAUCACGUAAAGAUAACGAUUCCAAAAUUUUACAAAAAAUUGAGAUGACAGUACGAAACUUGCACUAUUUUGAUAUUGUGGACCAGAAAUAGCAAUUUCUAACCAUAAAUAAAUGUAAGGAGAGAACUUGUGGAAAUGCAGAAUGGUUAGUCUGUUUAACAUUUAAGACAAAGACCCUCUAAUAUCAUUUGAUCAACAAAUGGAAAGCCCAAUAACAGCAUUCGAGACAAUAAUAAGUACUCAGCAACUUACAUUCAAGUAGACUGUCACAUCAAUGUUUAUUAUAUCGCCAUCCUGCAUAGCAUACAAGAACAUUUAGGUAAGUGACCAAAAUUUUCCCAGCGAUGAUGGUAAAUACUAAAGAAACACACAACCUGUAGCUGACGAGAAUCAGGUAUCCCAUGGCACAUACACUCAUUGACCGAUGUGCAUACACUCUUUGGAAAGCCCCCAUACCCUAAAGGUGAAGGAUAAGCACCAGCAUCAACAAUCAUUUGGUGCACCACCUUAUCAAUUUCGUUCGUCGUCACAGAUGGCUAGUUCAUAUAAAAGGGAAAACAAAUUAAUUUGUCCACACAAAAAGGUCCUAAACAUAAGCAAAUCUUGGUACAAAAAUGCAACAUGCAUGUGUACAAUACCAAUCACAUUGAUAAUGUUGAUACAUGAAAGAUAGAAGAAGAAGAAGAAUGUGAUACCCUCUGAUGUAACAAAAAGUGAAAAGAUAAACAAGAUGCCAUGAUCAUAUAAGGAAGGAGCACAAUAUAUAAAAGGAGGAAAAUAAGAGCAAGAAAUGAACCAGUCCCAGUCAAAAGAAGGACAACAGGGGGCCGGGAGGGGGGGGGAAUUUGCAGUGACCUGAAACAUAUGUUCACCAGUGCAAGUUCUUCAAAAUACUACAAGGCUCCUAAAUGAGAGAGCUGGGAAUCGUCGAAGAUUAACACUCAAUACUAGCAAUCACAAUUAUAUAGUCCCACUGAAAGCCACCCACUCCUUCCUUAGUGACCUACAAGCUUAUACAAAGUUCAUAAGUCCAGGAGCUAUUUGACAAAGACCGCAAUUUCCAUGAUCUUCAAUCUCCUAGAAAACAUGUGAAGCCACUAAUUCAUAAAGAAGUAAAACCGAUAACCUGCAAUUUAUCAUUAAAGAAUGCUUCCAAUUUUCAGUUCAUGUUUCAACUGCUUUUGGACUUAGAUGGAAUUUUACAAAGGAAAAAUAAAGUUUCAGAAUCAGGCAGGUAUAGUAUGUGAAACAAUAGGUUUUGAUUUUAUUGGUGAGUCUGUACGAUGACCACUUAGAGUAAUCAUAAUAAAACUUUUCAUCUGCAUGUAAACUUGAGAAAAGCAAACAAGCGAUUCUUAUGAGAAUGUAGUGCUAAGAAUAAUUAUUAUCUUUGAUGAUGAAUACAUAAAAGUAGAUUCUCACCCUAACCAAUGUUCCUGCAUGAUCUAGGACUUGGGCAGCAAGUUCACAAGCAGCCCUCAUUUUCAAAAUUCCUUCAGCAUCAUGAAUCUGAUAUUCUUUGGAAAUUUCAGGCAGUAUUUUUGUCCCUGCAUAGGGAGGCUUUGGUAUGUGAUCAGGGACAGGGAGCUGUUGUGACACCUUUCCACGCCUCAAAGGCGGCCUUCUUUGUGAAGCUGUUGAAGUCCUAAGCUCACGCUCUCUUUGUGAAUGAUCAAGAAGUAAUUAAAAAUGACAAUUAAACAAUCAGGUACAGAGAAGCAUUACAAAGCAAAAAUCAACAAUCUAUAGAUCUUUAAUCAUUUUCAAUAUUAAAUGUACUCAAACAAACAUGUCGUUCAACAGAUAUAGCAGGUCAGUUCUUAUGAUUAUAUAUCACAUGGUAACUUUCAGGAACCUGAAUAUUCAACAUCCAAUAAUAGAUCCAUGUAGAUUAGAGAAUACCAUUUUUUUGCUCCACCUUUAAGUAGGCGUACAUUGUGAAUGAAGAAAAUUAAGAUACAAAUACAGAUUAUAGAUUUGUGAAAGAAACAGACAUAUAGAGAUGCCAAAAAAGGAGUAAAAAUGCGGCAUACUAUUGUUAGGUCAACAUGCCAAGUUCAAUUUUUUGUCAUGCCAAUUGCUACCUGAAAUAUUUCCACUGCCGCAAAUGCAGUGGAAAUAACUAGAAUCCACUAUAUGAUGCAAAGAAUUAUAUAACAAAAUCUCUCUUUUUUUUCAGUUCCAAUUUCGCGACCAUAGCUAAAGUAAUUGCUACUGUUGAUUUUUUAGGCUACAUUAAAUCACAAAACGGGGGAGGAAAAAAAAAAAAGGACUACCGAUAGAAGCAUAGCAAACGAAAGGUAAGACAAAGUACUUAAUUGAAUAUACUGAAGUAGUAGAUAGCAUUACCUUCUUAUUCUAAUAGCCUCCUCCAAGCCUGAAAUUCUUUUUGAAUAAACAACGAGUCCCUUUCCAAAGCUUGAAGAUUUACCUAAAUUCAACAGAUAAGCCAGAAUCAAGAAAUGCCAAAAAAAAAAGAAGCAUAGUGGUAAUAUAGCACUCACAUUUAAAUAUUCUGCAACUUUGAAGCAUAGCCAAAAAAAAGGGAUUGAAAAUAAAUAAGUAAUGAAAAUGAUUAACAAAAGGGAUUAAAUAUGCUAGCAGUACGUAUGGAUGGGUGGAAGUAGCUAGUGAAAGCAUCAUAGGAAUGAGACACACCUGGGAAAGUUGAAGGGAAGGAGGCUAGUCGAGCCCCCAUGAAAGAACUAGAGGAAGAAGAGGACGAGGAUGACAAGGAGCAGAGUUCGCCAUGGAAGCAAGUUGUUGAGAAUUGAAGAGUUGGAACUGCAUGAGAAAUUGAAGUCAGAAAAAAUGCCAUCUCUCAGACACAAAGAAGUUGAGAGGCACAGGGGAGUGGUGGUGGUGGGGACGAUACAGCGAAGACUUCGAGAUUAAAGUUAAACUGGCCGCUCCAAAAUUACUUGGGCUUCGUUCGAAGCCUUAUGCCUUCAACUUGUUCAAUGAGUAUUAACAGAGUGGGGCUUCCAACUUUGUUACAAGUUGGAUCCAUGUAGAAUUGGACCAAACCAAUUAAUGAUUACUGGUGGUCUUUUUCAAUUUCUUUCAUGUAUUCAUCGAUUACUAUUACGGUUAGAUGUACGUCACACAUGUAAAAUUUAAUUUUUAAAUUAUAUUUGGAUUAGGCAUCAUGCAUUCAAAUCUAAAACGAUAUACACUAUAGUUUAUAAAAGAUUAAUUCUAUUUCUAUUUCAUUUUUUGCCUUUUGUUUUUCCCCUUCUCCUUUUGUUUUCUCACAAGCGUUUUUUUUUUUUCAAAUUCCACAAUCGAAUGUCUACUGAGGAAAGAAUUUUUUUUCAUAGUACAUCAAAUUCUCAAUUUAGGAGAAUAAUGGAAUGAUGCUACAACAUCACUGCCGGAAAUCAAAUUUUUAGCAUGUCAUCUCGAAAAGUUUAACAUUAAUACUGCCACAAAUGCAUCUCCCAAAUUUUAUUUUAUUUUUUUGGUAAAAAUAUUUUUUCUGUCUAGACUGUUCUUGACAUUCUUGUCCACGGUACAAGAAUGCAUAAAAUGGAUCUGGCAUAAGCCGGCCUGGCCCAGUAGUUCUUUCUACCGCCAAGUUCUUAAUCUGGGCUCUAGUGUCAAUGUUUUGAGAGGGAUGUAUGGUAUGGCCAUGUACUUUUGGGCAACAGUAACUUACACACGGGCCUCCAAAAGUCGUUCUCAACCUUUUUUCUUUUUCUUCUUUUAUUUUUUUUUCUGGGUGCUACGGAAGCCACAAAGAUAUAUAUAUUCCCAACUUCAUUCAGUUAUCGUGUUUAUUUUUCUUUUUUUUUUAUAUAUAAAACAAAAUCAGGCAUGCCCUCAAGGCGUUUACAAGAAUUUUUAUAAAUCGUCAGUUUUAUAAGAAAACAAUUUGUUAUUAUCAAUUGAUCAAACUUGUGUUGAGAGUCAUAAAAUUCUAUGCGUGGCCCAACUUGUGAUUAAAAGUGGAAGAAGGGAAAUCGAUGUUCUUGACAAAGUAUCUGAUAAAUAGAACGUAAUUCCGUAACAAAUCACGAGGAUUUCAAAUUUUCAAUCAACCAUUUGGGUUUUGCUUGAAUGAUAGCUUGUCAGAUUCAUAUUGUCACUCCACAUUUGUGUUAUCAAUAAUAUUAUUUGUUGCCGGUGGCCUAACAUAAUUCAAGCUUUAUGCAAUUGAUUCAUGAAUCAGAUGCAUAUCCAUCAACUAUCAAACAAUAAUGGGACAAUCAUCUCCUAAAACUCCUGUCCCGCAGUUGAUAUCUAAAGGACUACUUUUGUUGGGUGGUUCGUCUUGAUGGAAGAAAACAAAGAUCUUGAACAGCGAAGCGCCAAAUUAGAAAAGAAAUAGCUUUUUUUUUUCACAAAGAAAUUUUAACAUAUAUAGCAAGUAAUCUACUCAAAUAAUGAACCAAAAAGAUGUGUACUCUUGUAAGUUAUAUGUAUAAGGUGCUACGUUACAACAUACUAUGACAUAAUAUAGAGCACUUUUCGAGGCAUUAAAUAAAUAGGCAUACAAGGUUUGUGUAUUUUUUAUGUAAAUACAAAAGUUCAACCUAUCUGAAUAAUUCAUCAGUCCUUUCGUAGCUGUAUCUAGGACUGCAAACAACUCGAGUUGAGUCGAGUUUUGACCUAAUCGAAUCCAAUAUUAACUCAAUUUUACCAAGUUCGAAUUCGAAUUCAAACUCGACGAGCAUUCAAUGUAAAACUCAAAUUUGAUCUCAACAUCAAAUUCAAAUUCAAGCCUAGUUGAUGUUGAACUCGAGCUUUAAAAAAAAUAUUUAAAAAAUUAUUAUUUAUUUUUUAAAAACUGAAUAAAAUAGUCAUUUUUCUUUAAUAAGUAUUAAAGAUAUAUAUGUAAUUUUACUAUAUAUAUAUAUACACACACGCACAUAUAUUCAAAUUGGUUCGCAAGCUGACAAGUUGAGUUUCUUUAUACUCGAUUCAAGUUCAAUAACUCGACUUGAUUGGUUUAAGUUCGACUCAAGUUCGAUGUUGGCCGAACUUGAGUGGAGUAUUGACUGAAUUAGUUUGUGAGUGGCUCACAAUCUAGUUGUAUCACAAACGCGUUCUUAAUUAUAGUAGUAUUAAUUUUUUUUUAAAAAGGUUCUAUCCAAAUACACUACACAUAUGAUCUUUAAAGAGUUACAAUUUUAUGUAAAUAUUUGAUUAUUUAUUCCGAAACUGACGGAUGCUACUAAAACUAUUCAAAUACAAUUCCUAAGUAGGAUCAACUUUCGCAGCUAAGCAUUGCCAUAAGCAACAGAUUAUGUGGGGCACGAACAUGGGUUUUGGGGGACAGAUAUGGAUUGAUCUUGUGGAAGUUUCGGAGAAAACGCGUGAAAUUAAACAAAGAUUGACUGCAUUAUAAGAAAGGUACGAACUCGUACUAUGCAUUAGUAUCUUGUGACAGAAUUUAUAUACAAGUUUUAAAAGUAUGCAUGAUGUUUUGACAUUUUUGGUUCUCCAAACUCAAGGUCAUUAUUCCUUCAGAAAAAAAAAAAAAACGAAGAAAAUUCCAGGUCAUUAUGUCUCUCAGAGUCAUAUGCAACAUCUUAAAGCAAAUUAAUACCUGGAUUGUUGCUAGCUGUUUAGUUUAAAUGGUGAGAUUUGACGAUAAUAAAUUAUGAUUAAUAGGGUUGAAUAAUUAGGCAUCCUUUGACUAAUAUGGAGUAGUUUGAAAUAGGGUCGCAUCUCAUCAUCUCAGCUCAUUGAUUUUAGAGACGUUGUCAAAUGGCCAUGUAUAAAUCAAACUAAUUACAUGCAGCCAUAAAGAAAAAAAAAAUAUAUAUCUACAAUUUAAUUUGAUGGGACGUUAAUGAGAAUAUUGAGCAUGUCAAAAAAGAUAAGGCAAAGAAGACAAUUAAAAUCUGUCAAAGUUAUAGACAGGAGAUUUCAGCUGGGAUUUCUCAUUAAAACAGUAGUGCAUGAAUGUGGACUUAAUUAGUAAUUAGUAGUGAGUGUUAUAUUAUAUGUGAGGCUCCAAUUUCAAGCAUACAUAUCAUGAAACUUAUGAUUCUGCUUGAAAAGUGUAAUUAAUAAAAAAAAAAAAAAGAAAAGAGAAGUCUUCACAUAUGCAAAAGCUGUCAAGAGAAAAUUUUAGAACAAACAAAAACACCAAUUGAAUUAAUAUGUGUUGUACCACAACACAUUUCUAAAAACGCGUUUCUCAAUAUUCUACGUGUGGCAUGGCAAAUUGGCAAUAUGGCAUGUGCUGUUACUCCCUAGGCCUCCCUUCUUUCUUUCCUCCUUAUUAGUCUUCAAAAUUGGCAUGAAGUAGAUGGAAACUUCUUCUUCAACAUCUGUACCAGUUUGGGUCCAAUCCCCGACUAGCUAAAUACCAUGUGGAGAGACGAAAAGUCGCAGUCAAUUGCUGUAGAUAGAUGCAGAACUAACUCAUGCAUUCCUACUCUAGAUUUCUUUCUUCUUCACGUAUUAAUUAUAGGAUGAUUCUUUUUUUCCUUGCAUAAUGAUAAUAUAGCGGUGUAUAUGUAUAAUGUAUUAUGUGUCACGGACGGACUAUCCUAUCACGGAAAUGAAAAUGAGACCAGAAUAUGACUUGGUACAGAAUAGGUCCUUGAUCCGAUUUCUUUGGAUGCCAUUCCAUCAACAACAAAUCAGAGCCCAUGAAGAUAAGUACUGGCACCUACUUCUGUGGAUGUUUAGAAGAAUUUAUUUUUUAUCCAGAAAGAUUAGUGAUCAAUUAGCAAUAUUAAAUGCAAUUUACUUUACUUACUGUGUAUUUUUUUCAUUAAUCCAGAUGCAAGUUAUUAGCAAUAAAUAAUAACCUCAUCUUCAGCAUUUUUUGUUUUACAUAAAAAUAAAAAAAAAAAACAAGAAGAUGAGAUAUCCAUCAAUAUUUGAGGAUGAGAAAAUUUACUUGAAAUUAAAAUUUUUUGGCGUUCCCCUAUACCUAAUUCUCACCUGGCCAGAAACAUUUCUUGCAAUUGUAUACAGGAAGCUAAAAGAGUACAAUUAUUGUACUUCACCUACAACACCAGAAAUAUACGACGAGUACCAGAAAAAGUUUUAUCUGUUGUCUUUGGACUUUUAGGCCAUAUCCUCCACCGCCAUGACCCACCCCCCUCCUCCUGCCGGAGCUUCUUUAAGCUUUAUCCUAUUCGUCUCUCUCACGUCCAUCUGGAGCGCAUGGUAUAUGAAUCUGGAGACCAUAAUAGAUAUUUUUGGAAACAAAAGAGAUACUACUGCUACAACAAAGUACUAUGCAAAAAGACCUACCAAAGUAUGGUAAUUAAUUAAAUGCAAGUCACAAAAUUCGUAAGAUAUAAUACUAAAACACUUCAAAACUUUGAACAAUACACUAUCUUCAUUUCGUUUGUAUCUUGGAUUGAUUUGUUCCACCAUGUCAUGCACCUAAUUUCAGAUUUCUCCGGUCUCUAAACAGUAAUAUACAAUUGAAACUAUGCAACUUGCAACAACACCACCACCCCCCUUUCCAGUUUCCUCCCCACCUAAAAAACAAAAACAAUUACAUGAGAAAGAAAAAAAAAAAAAAAAGUUACAGAGCACCAAUAGCCCUUGGUUUCUUGCUACACUCCAACCCCAACAACUCCAUUCCCCUCACUCUUUUACCACUACAACUACUAUUACUAUCCAUUACAACACCAUUAACUGGUAAUGGUACCUUAAAUAUAUUCACCCCAAAUAAUCUAACCAUUUGAACCGGCUGAAUAGGGAUUGAUAUUCCGGCAGCCACCGGAGCGGCCUCGGCCGCUCCAUUCCUCUGUUUCCAGUCAAUGUAAAGCUGCUUAUCAGCUCCAUUCCUCGGUUUCCAGUCAAUGUAAAGCUGCUUAUCAGCUCCGGUUGAUCGCUGAAAGCUGACAAUGUCUCCAGCCUUCAAAUUCUUCUCCUUCACAAACCUACUCCACCCUUUAGUCAGGACAUAGCUCUGACUACUGUUCCAAUAGGAAUAUCGGAAUCGCCAUACCUUUCCACCCAUAUCUUCAAAGUUGAGCAACACGCCUUUGGAAGUAUUCCCACUUUGCAAAGGGAAAUGCUUUUCGGCAUGCUGCUUUGGUAUGACUAGCCUGUUCAGCUUCCCAACAUCGCUGGGAGUCACCGCCUUUUCGAAGAGUUGUUCACGAGCUUUGGUUGUCCUCUGAGAACCAAACGAGUGUAGACCAGCAAUACCUUUGCAGCCCUUCUUGCCAUUGCCAUCUAAUCCAUAGUUCCUCUUGCUUUGCUCCAGCUCGUCGUUGUAAGUAUGUUUUCGAAGCAUGUCGACAAUUUCAGCCUUGGAAUGGCAGCUCAAGAAAGCAGCUUCGACGUCAUCUUCCUCAGCUUCAUUCAAGGGCUUGAAGUUUGUGACAGCAUCGCGGCCGCGAAAGCGUUGCGCCGCGAUAUCAUAGGCUCUAGCAGCUUCCUCUUCUUCAUUGAAGGUUCCCAGCCAAACCCUUUGAUGCUUUUCGUAAAUCUGCGCACCCCAUCUGCCAUUAGGCUGAGGAACCACCCCUUUGAACCUUGAGGAUGGAAGUUUCCGGGAUUCGGCUUCUACGCCGACUUCUGCAUCGAUUAUCAUACUGCUUGCGCCACUCCCAACUCGGCAGAGGCUCUGCUGCUCUGGCGACGACUUGAUAUUCACCGGUAGAGUCAUAUUUGACAAUGAUGCUGGUGCUGCUGAUGAUGCAAAAGAGUUCUCACUGGUAGUGCUCUCAUCUAUGCUGCUAUUGUCCAUUUCUUUCUUUAAAGAUUUGAUUUUGGUGUGAAGUUAGAAGAAAAUAUGAAGUUUAAGAGGGAUAUAUGGAAUGGGAUGAGAUAAUAAUGAUGCUUUGAGAGAUGAGACAGAAGAGCUAUUAGGAGUAUGAAAGUUGUUGUUUGGUGAUGCAAGGUGGAAGUUAUAUAUAUAUAGACAUAUAUAGAGGAGUAGCAGCCCAAAGUUUUUGUGUGUGAAAUAUGCACUAGUAGUAGAAUAAAAUAUGCUGAUUAUCAAAUAAACUACUAAAAGCAAAACCAGACUCGUAUUAAGCUAUUACUAUAAGGAAAAUAGUGACAUGGAGAUGUGGUAUUGUGGGUCAACUCCAAGAGAUGGUAAGGAACUAGGAAGAUUCAUGGAUUGAUUCUUGGGGAGGGAGAAGGAAGGUGUGGGGGGAGGGUAGGUGUAGUAGGGGCCAUGGGAGAUAGUUUGAAUAGUAGAAGUAUGUAUAUGUUGUGGGCUAUGUAUGUGAGGUGGGGCAAGAUAAAUUGAGCAAGUUGAUGGGGUUCACAUGAGUGUGGACCGUGUAGAGAAGCAAGUUCAUCCCCCCUGAUCUUUGCUGCUACUGCUGACUCUCAAGCAUGGCCUCCCUUUCUGCUUGCCUUUGUUUUGGAACGUUUAUCUGAAUUACACUUGGGAGUAUUAAAGGCAACGACAAAUAAUAGAGAAGAUUUUGAUGAGGUAGCACUAGCUGGUACUAUCAGCAUCAGAUGAAGAUAAAAGGAAAUUUUAUAGGAAAGAGAAACGUACCAUAUAUUACUAGUCACCAAUGUGUAUAUAACUAGAAUGUGACGGUCAAAGGGGCUGGUUUUUGUGUAACAAAGCAAAGGGCUCCUACUCUUGUUAUUUUCGGUUAUGCAAAAAGAUUUUUCCACAAAAGGAGCUACAUCGCACCAAAACAGAAGUGUUAUAAUAUUUUUUUUCAAAAAAAUAUUGCAAAUAAUCACCUAUCCAAACACAAUCAGGAUCCGUUUGGCGAUACGGUAAUUUAUUGAAAAGUAUUUCAUCUAAUAGAGCUUUUAAUAAAAGCAUUUAUUAAGUAGUUAAGUGCUUCUAAGUAUAUUAUUUGGAGACAUAAUUUAAUAAGCACUUAUUGUAUUGGAUAAUCUGUAAUUUUUAAAUUUUAAAAUAUAUUUAUUUUUUAUUUAGUUCAUAAUAUAGUAUAAAAUAAUUAAAUUUAAUGUUUUAUUUUGUGGAAUAAAUAAGUUAUUUUAAAAGCACUAAAUUUUAGUUUUUUUCUAAAAAUGCUUUCAACACUAAAAGUUUCUUCCUCAUUUUGUGUGGAAUGAUACUCACCAAACAUUUCAAAAGUGUUUUUAACUCCUGUAAAUACAUUUUUAUCAAAAGCACCGUGACCCUAAAUGAGUCCUCGAUGAAUUUUGCACUUGCGUGUUCAAUGAAUUUUCCUUUUAUGAAACAAGAUCUCGUGCAUCUAACUACCCAAAUUGUUUGCAGGUAGGAGGAGACUCGAUCUGGUUCCACUGGGAUGGGGAUCAUGGGCCAAUGUUUAUGAGGGAUGGAUAGACUUGAAGACAAAGCUCAUCCAACAAGAAUUUCCCAUAAAACUUACCUGGCUUGAUUUGAUUCGUCCUUUCCAUCUCUGUUUUGUCUUUAUUGGCCAGGUUCAACUGAGUAUCUUGUAGCACAAUAAUAAUUUCGCAAUAUCCAAAACACUGAAAAUGUCCAAAGAGAAAGGGGUUUAUGCUUGUUUUCCUUUGAACUAUAUAAUUGAGCUUGUGAUGGCACCCUAGAUGAAGGAUAUCCCCACAAAUGGCCAAUUUCAAAGAAGUUAUGAAUUUCUUAAUUUUCAUUAAAGAACGUUUUUGUCUGGAAAUAUUAUAUUAAUUAAUGUCCUCCUCCCAUUAUUCAGGUUCUUCAUUACGAUCUGCAUUGUUGAUUCAGAAAGAGUGAUUAGUAAUAUUAGUGUUUGGACAGGAGAUUAUUUGUCCAAAUAUAUUUGCUUACAUCAUCAUUACAAUUUUCAAUACACUUUUUUAUUUUCCCAAUCACUUUUUUUUUCUCACAUACAUCACAUCACAAAAAAUGUUACAUUAAAAAUAUCUCAAAUAAUUUACAAUCCAAACACACUUGCCGGCACCGACUUUAAUGUAUGAGUUAUUCUAUAAGAUGUGUUUGUGUAAGCAUUAUUUGCACAAAAAUUAUUUACUUGCAUCAUAAAUAUAUUUUUCAACAGAUCUUUUUAUCUUGUUAAUAAUUUUUUUAUUUCAUAUAUAUCAUAUUACAAGAAGUACUUCAGUGAUUAUAACAAAAAAGUAUCCACAAUGGAAUAUUAUGCCAUUUGUUAUUCAAGAAGAAGAAGAUGUAUUAUGAUAUCCCACAGAAAGAGAGAGAGAGAGAGAGAGCCAGUAAUUACGAGUAGUAUAUUUUCACAUCACGUCCAUGAUUUGGUUAAACUUAAAACAAAAGUGGUGGAGCUUAUCCUCUUUUCCCUCUUGUUUAGUUAAAUCAACUUUAUCCUCAAGAAGUCAUAUCACUGCGUGUUGUAGCUUUCCAACAACUUUUUACUGUUAUUCUGGUGAGUUCUCUCAUAUUAUUGGUUUGUUAGUUCCCGAACAAGGUAUAUUUUCCAGAGGUUUUUCAAUUUUACUCCAAGUACCAAUAUUAACUCUAAUCUUAAAAACAUAGAACUUUGUCUAGAUUGCAAUUUUUUGCAGAAAAGCUUCUAUAUUUUUUGUGAACAUAUUUUUCAAUCAAUUUUUAUUUCACAUUCAUAAAAUCAUUACAGUACGUUUUUUUUUAUAAAAACUCCUAAAAAUAGCAAUCCAUGAUAUUACUAUCCACCAAUCAUUGACAUAUCAUGUACUUAUAUAUUAUACACUAUAUACUAUCUACCGGUCCUUGAUAAGCUCUAGAAAAUUUUCAAUAAAUUGGCACGUGUCAUUUCUCAAGACUUUUGAAUAAUUUUAUUCUUUUAAUAAGUAUCCAUUAAUUAAAUUUAAAUUUUAAAAUCCCAAAAUAGUACUAGACAUAAAUUUUGAAUAUCUAAAAUUUGCAUUACUCUUAAUCAUUUAUAGUAGUAUUACUGUGUAAUCGAGAUUAACAUGAAAUGAUAGAUAGAAUAUGGGGUUGAUUUGUACGGAACAAGUCCUUGGUGAUUAGGGUCCACGAACAAGUUGAUUAAAAAACCAGUAGCUAUUAGACGGUGGGCGUAGCCUUUCAACGCCGGGUUUCUAUAAGUUUGUUAUGUCGGUCCCAUUUUAUUUUGAAGAUUCCCUAAGCCUAUUAUUCUCUUUAAGUCUUUUCCACUGUAUUAUAUUUCUUUUAUUAUUCAAAGUUGAAUUUUUUUUCUUUUCUAAUAUGUGGGUUAAGGGUUUACAUAUAUAUAUAUAUAUGUAUAUAUACACAUUUAUGUGUGACAUCCAAACAGUAGAUUUGUACGUACUUUGUUUGUAUCUCCGUAUUAGGUUAUACGGAAAUGAGAUGUCUCCUUACAGGUGGGAACGUAUCUUAAUAAUUGUAGGGUUUGUCAUAUCAUCAUAUGAGAACCCUUCAUGUGCUGAUGAGUUAAUAUCAAAAAGUUGAAUCAUUCUCGGAUGUGUCCAAAUCCCAAACUAAUUUUGAGUUGACCCGUGUUGAGCUUAUCUUUCUCCUAUAUAUGUAUUGUGACGUCCGGAUAGAUAUUAAGAUAGUCUGAAAUUCAAGAUUUGUGCAAAUUAUAAGUUGCAGAAGCAAAACUAAAGAGAUUUAUUUUAUGGGCAUGAGUUCUUUUCUUGCUGGUAAUAUCUGAUGUGGAUUCCAACAUCUUGUAGCUAGGAACCAGGAAAAUUGGAGUCUUGCAAAAAGAUGGGAUUUUGCAGUGAGCAAUGGGAUAUUUGGACGGUUUGGUACUCCUUUUUUUGUUUUUGGAGUGUUUUAAAGAGGUCAUUAUUAUUUUUUUUCUUUUUUCUAAAACACCAUCUAUAGUAACUCGUUAAAACACUUAACAAGUUCUAAAAAGCUACAAAAGAAAUAAAAAUACAUCAAAUAUAGUAUCGGUAGCGAAGGUGGUUGUCGGUAAUGGGAGCAAGGGAAGGGGAUUUUUAAAAAAAAAAAAUUUUGGGAGUGAAAAAUAACUAUAGUCAAUCACAAUAAAAUUUUAAACAAACUCUUGAAAAAAGAAAAAAAAAAACCAUCCAAGCCAACCUUGAUUUAGAAAAAAAAGAUUAUUUUUUUGCGUAAAUUAAAAAAUAUUUUGCAUUUUACCCAAUUGUGUUUCUUUUUUUGUCUUCUCCACAUGUUGCCUCGCUGGCCAAAUGUAAUCAAGUUCUACAUGAACUUUACGCUGUUAACAACACAAAAAGAGGAAAAUGAAGUCAUAUUGGAAUGGAAUGAGGAAAAUGAUGCAGUGGACAACACAUCAUCUGUCACAGAGAAAAAGAAGAAGUUGAGAUGAUGUCAGUUUCCAAGUUAUUUUCCUUCAUAAAGGGAUAAACACGACUUUGGUCGAUCACAUUAACAUGUUAUUCUCAUGUCGACACAAAAAACAUGGUCAAUAACCUUAAUUAAUCAAAUUACAUGUAAGCGUAAGUUGUGAUUUAAAUCAAAGACAAGAAGAACAGAAAAUAUUUAAAAUCAGGGCUCUCUCUUUGCAUGAUAUGAUGUCUCAGAGUUUCUGGCUUCUUUCCGCAAGUGAUUAAGGAUUCUUAAUUUACUAGUAGAAUUUACCAUCAGAUUAGCAUGGAUUAUGGCAUCUUAGGAAGCGACAAUUAUUAAGUAUUAACUUAAAAAAAAAAAAAAAGGAUCAGAUGAUUCAUUAACCUUAUCAAAACGCAGUACCCUUUGUUCGCUGUCUCUUUCAUUUUCUCGCACACGCAUGCAUGCAUGUGGACGUGAAUGCUACAAAGGUUAUGUUAUGCUCCAAAAACAUUGCACUUGCAAUCAUGCAUGGUGAAAGAUCAGUCCCAAAAAAUAUAAAGACAUAUAUAUAUCUUGAAUCUUUUUGGAUGGUUAAUAUCUCCGUUAGAUUCACAGCCUUAAAAGAAUAAUAUCAAGUCCCCAAUUAACUUCAGUCAAUAAUAUUACCUGUGUAAAUUGUUGGAGACAACUCUCUCAACUGAGACGGUGAUGAAAAUCAAUAAUUGCGGCCUGUUCUGUUAUUUAUGUUCUCUGUACAAAUGAAGGGGAUGGAAUUGACCAUGUGAUUCCCGAUUCAUUUAAUUAUAUGAUUAAAGGGAUAACCCAAUGAGAUUGAGUAGAAGAAUUUUGUUGCAAUCCUUCUGGAGAUCAGAUAAUGUGGCGUAGACUAACUGAGUGGUAGGGUCUCAGUUGUUAUCUCCCUCAAUUACUGAGUUCGUAAACACGUCAGAAUCGAGCUAGUGAGUGGGACAACUAGAAGAAAAAGCUCAUAUAUAUGUAUGUAUAUAUGUAUAUAUAUGUCAUGAGCUUGAGAACUUUUUGUACCAUUCUCCUUUUCACUUUCUCCAAUAUUUAAUCUAGAGAAUAAUCCGAACAAAUAUUCUAUGUUAUCUGCUGUUUUGGUACGUACCAUCUGUUGUUUGAUGAUCCCUUUACGAAGAAGUUCUGUUGGUUGGUCUAAAACUUUGUUAAUCAACAGCUUGAUUUAACGGGGGGAUUAUCUCUUGUGCUAAUUUGGAGCAACACUCUUCAACAUGAUUUUUCGGAAUAAAUAUUCGAAUAUCCGCAUUUUGCAAGAUCAUGAGUAUUUCCAUUUAAAUUAAUAUUUAGGGUCUGAACUCCUUGUCCAAGUGAAGCAUUAGUUUUUUUUUUUUUUAGGUAAUAAAACAAAGAACUUUGUUAAUGAUGAAGUUGCUGGAUAUCAUCGAGCACGAUUUGUUUGACAAAAUUUGGAGCGGCUUGUUUGAAAAAACUUGUCAAGUUUAGAAAGGGAAGUUCCGUAGAGAUUCAGAAAGGUUGCAUGUCCAAGUGAAGCAUUAGUUGAUCUAUAUUAGCAACAAAGUGUGCUCAUCAAACUCUACAUCCGAUAAACUUGGGAUUAACCUUUAUGUGUCUUUUCCACUACAUACUUAAUUAGGUGCCUUUUCCUCUUGUCAUCAUCAUGAAAACACUUUGCAGAGAGAUUUCCCUAUUCCUCCUCUAAAUGGCGUAAUGGAUCAUCCAUUAAUCAUAUUUAUCCUUUGGUUAAUCCAAUUUUUAAUUAAUUUGUAUUAGUUUAGUUCUCCCUUUCAUCUCCCUUAAGCUUAUCCAACAGUACGUACAAUAUGCUGCUUAAUUUAUUGAUCACAAAUCUCAACUCUCAACCAAUAAAGAGAGGAAAAAAAAACCCCAUCAAUAAAGUUUGGUCGAUCUGCAUAUAUCAUUCUCCUGAGGCAUGGAAUUCUAAAUAUAUGAUUGUGUAGAUAUUGUUUAUUUUUAACACAGACUUUUCCUUUUUGGGCUACGUCUGUUCUUAUUAUGAAUAAUAAAGGUUUCUCGUGCAAAGUUCUUCUCUUAAAAGCAGCCGUCGCAUUUUGGAAGCAGAGUUUGAUUCUGUUCUUUGAGGCUAGCUGCAGUUGCAAUGCUGACCAAAAGAACCCUUUUCUUUAGAUGCCAUCAUCAUGGUAGCCGAGUAAGUGCCUCUAGUAUUAGAUCAAAAGCCAAAAAUGCCCAAUUAAUUAAUAAUAUCUAGUGCUUUUUCCAUCAGCUGAAAUCUUCAGUAAUUAUCUCGAAUUGGACUGUGAUUAAAAAAAGUAUGAAUCACACACGAGCACUUUCCAACUCCCUGAGUUUUUCUUUUUUAUUUUUUAUUUUCUCGAAUGGACAUGACAUAAUUAAUAUAUAGAUGACUAAAACCAUCAAAGCGAAAACCAAAAAUCAUAGCCACCGACGUUACGUAUGUUUCAAUUAAAUAGGUUUUUUUACUGCCAUGUCAUGACUAAAGUAAAAUUUGCCACUGGCCGAUGGUGACGAAAUUGAUAACUGGGAAUCUUUUGAUUUGGAAGUUUAGGCAAUUAAAAAAAUGGAUUGUCGUACGAAUUCUCUAAUGCCCUACUUUUUUGUUAUCAAUUAUCCUAACCGAAAGUUGUUAACGUGACAAAGAAUGCAUGAUAAUACUUUAAUUACUAAACCGUGGAUUUAGCUUUAUGCACAUGAUGUACGUUUAAGUAGAUGACAGAGAAUUUGACAGCAUAGCUUUUGAUCUUUGUGACAUCACAAUUGUUCAUGCAUGUUGAUAAGUAUUUUAAGGAACAAUGAUGAUAGAAACAAAUUAAUUUGCGCUUAAUUACUUUAAUUUCAACUGAAGUAUGUCCGAAAAUAUCUAUUUUUGUAUAUAUUUUAAAAAAACAAAUUUCAUUAACCAAUUGUUAGAAAUCGUUUGCCGCGAUUUGAUUUACAUCGCUACUCUAAACAAGCACUAGAAAUAAUAAAUGCAAAGAAAAAAUCAAAGAGAAAUUUAGUGCGUUCGAAAAACCAUGUACUAUAUGUUAUGUCAUACAACUGGAUCACAAUGAAUCACGAAGAGAAAUUAAACCCUUAAUUGACAACUGGAUCACAAUGAAUCGCAAAGAGAAAUUAAAUCAUUCCAAUUAAGGACGUGUUUUAAUCAACUUCAAGCUUCUUAAUUAAAAGUAGCUUAAAGUGGGAAAAGUAAAUAAUCCAUACAAGUAUAUACUAUUAGUCUUGUAUUUACUCUGGACUAAAUUAGCCUAUCUCGUAAUCAAUCAUCAAUAUCCAAACUAAAGCAAUUCCGAUAGAUAGGUUUUCUAAGACACUCAAUUGAAAGCUAACUACUUGGUUUAAAUUGAAGUUUCUCAGAAGUAAGAGUGUAUUAUUGAUUGAUUGCUAACACACUAGAAUAUAUUAGUACGUACGCAAAAUUGAUAAACUACGACAGAAUUACCUCGUAGUACAAUGUUUGUUUGAUCAUUAAUCAAUUGUUUGUCCGUCUGUUUUGGAAAAUUGUUAGCCUUUGUUUAAUGAAAAACAGGUAAAUUCCUACAUGAUGGAUAGCCUGUGGUUUCUAAGGAAUAUAUGAUAUUGUAGAAUAAAGAAAAGGAAAUAAUGAUGGUUACGUAACUAUAUAUAUAUAUAUAAAUUUUUUUUCAUUAUCUCAUUCUAAAUCUAAAAUCUAGUAUAAGAUGUGUCAUAUUUUUCAAGAAAUUAAUUGGAUAUUACUUCACCCACUGGAAUGCACGUACAGUAUGGGAAGAACUACUAGUCUAACGACUCUAACCAUUGCAUGAGUAGUCAACUAAAAAAAUAUCUUUUUGUUUAUGUAGAAAAAUCGAUGCAAGACUAUUCACGAGUUUAUAAUAUUAAGAUCACAAAAAGAAGUAACUUUUCCAAAUACAGAAAUAUCUUCUUGUUUUCAAUAUGCCCCUAGUCACCAUCUUUUGUUGGUAACGUGUUCGAGCUUCAGAUAAACUUUAGGUCCAAGAAUUUAUGCCAAACCCAUGAUUGCUAUAAGAUGGUUUUUUUUUUUCCUAACAAAAAUAAAUAACUGCUAUCAACAACAAAUUAGAAUUUUUCUACCGACUGGUUACUCUCGUCAGUACGUCUAACUUACACCGAACUUAUUAUAUGAAUAUACACACUUUUAUAUUUAUUACAUUUAUUAGGACGCUGUAUUUAUAUUUAGAUACUUUCCCAAAUUAAUAACAUUCUUGCCAUAAAAAAUGACACACGCUCCCUCUUAAAGCGAGCACCCCUAAGCCAAACCCCAAAGCAGAAAACGAAAAAAGAAAGAACACAAAAUAUACACUUUUAUCUUUCCAUAAUCCAGAGAUCAUCAUCUCCUGAAAAUAUCACAAUCUUAUCUACUUUUUUCAUUGUUAAUUAAUGGUCUAAUCCAAAUUCAAAGCGACUCAUUUAAAAAUUGUUGGUUGCCAGUUACCACGUCAACAACACGCAUUACUGUUUUUUUCAAUAUAUUCCAACUGGAGCGCCCCGUUCACACGCAAGUCGCAAAACACACUUCCUAUAUUUUUAUUGGAAACAUAAAAAAGAUUAUUAUGCUAAUAAUAAACAAUUCAUCAUUUUAUAACAAAUACUACUAAUUGUAAUUAAUUACUGGACUAAACAAAUUAAGAUAGAUGGCGAUAUAUGGAAAUCUUUGACUGCUGCUUGAUUUUCUUCUACCGACGUGGACAAAGACCCAGCUUUUCGGGUCAACCCACGUGAUCUAACCAGUUUAGGACGUUGAUUAGCGCGCAGUUAACCUCUUAAUCAUCUUCAAGAUCUUUGUUGAUAAAUGAACCAACUAAAAUUAUAAGUAAUACUUACUCGUGCAAACUUAAAAUUACAAUUGGCUCAUCCAAUUGGGAUUUAACCUUAGAUCUGUUUCAAAUGACUAAUAAUUAAAACAGAGUUUGAAUUGCCAUUUAAUUUUCUUCCGAAAUUUUUUUUUGCCUUUUUCAUAAAUAUAUUUUUUAAUUUAUCUCGCAUAUAUCAAAUUAUUACGGUAUUUAUUUUAUAAAAAUUUUAGAAAAUAGUAAUUCAAACGGACUCUCCUACCAUUUGUUAGGAGAAUAAAACAAACAGCAUAGUUACACUAGUGGUACUCCUCUUGAAGCCACUUGCUUGGUUGCUUGCAGCCGUGGAUUAAUGGCUGGGCAAAAAAAGCCACGUGAAUUAGACGUGGCAAUUAUAGGAAAAAUGAAAAACUCAGAUGGCAGAACUUGUUGAAAUGAAAGAUCCUUGGUUUGAUGACUUGAUCAUUAUCCUAAUUCCACUUGUCAUUUUUUAAUGAUCACUCAAGUAACUAAACUGAAAGUAACCAUCUCUCCUUUUCCACCAUUUAAAGCCAUUAUUGAUGAGCCGCAGUCUUCUAGAUUCAAAUGGUUUAGAUUUACCUUUCACUUUUAUUUCUUUUUCUGCAAAUCUCAUUAACUUGCAACAUGAAUUCUCAUACAUAAUACACAUAUAGAUUUGUAGUAGGGAUGCCUUUGUGCUGUAUCAACCAUCUCAACACAUAUAAAUUUGUUUUUCGUCUUUCAAAAUUAAGGCGUAGGGAACCACAAAUGCAGGAUUCAAAAGUGUUGUGCAUUGCAGUUCAAGAAUGAUUGGAACGUCAAACGGGAUAAGCACGAGGAGACCGUAUUAAAAAAUUUUUAUCAUAUAUGCAACUAAGAAAUGUACAGCCCACCACAAGAAUUUGGUCAAAAUCAGCAUUAUUUUUUUUUUCUUAUUAUAAAACAUUUGUGGUAGUUGUUCUUGUUGUUGCUACAAUCAAAAGUCGGAGUUCUCGCAAGAGAAAAAAUCACACUAGACGUAAAGUCCUUCACAACCAGAUUUGCCUGAGAGAUGUAUGAUAUUUGUAGUUUACUUUCUUUCUUGUGCAACAGAGCCCACAAAGCAACUAGGCUGCUGCUGCAAUUCCGUAUUUCCAAGUGGGGUUUUGCUGUGCACAUUUCCUCCCUCCCUCCGUGUGUAGCAAGUUGUUUUUGUUGACUCAAAGUACUAUAAAUAAAUAGCCAUUAUGUUGGGACCACGACCACCCUGUUUACCACAUAACUGCUCCUAUUGGUUGAGAAGUUGCCUCACAAUAUCCUUAACGUUUCUACUUAUUUUUCCAGCAAUCAAUCGUCAAUUAUGUAUGUCUUCUGGUUUUGUCAUUUCUGUGCUGGGAAGAUGUUGAUGUAUGUUCUUAUCUGCCUAACUUUUCAUUUCUACCAUCAAUUAUAAGCAAGUGGUCUAAUUUUACGUGUAUUAUUUGAUCAAGUAAAUUUCAAUUCAUCGCUUAAUUUCUCCAUUGGACAUCAUAUCAUAAUCCUCGCACAACGCGUGUAUGUGAAUUUUCUUUUCUUCUCUCUCUUUUGGAAGUUUCUCUAGGAUGCAUUACUUACUUAAAAUGGUGGUACGCUUCAUCGAAAACAGAAUUAGAAAAGGUAGAUUUACGAAUCCACCACCUUGUUGAAAUGUCUAGGGCUGCUUUCACGUGGAGUUUCUGAGCAAGAUUACCGAGUGAUGGCUAUGAACUUUCUCAAACUUUCCUCUGGUUUUCUGCGAGAUUACCAUGGGGUUUUCCAUGGUUUAUCGAUCGCCCGAAUGUAGAUUGCGAAAAGGAACAAAAAGACUUUUUGGUGUUUUCUUUGCAGAACCUAGACUUGUAUACAAUAUUCCAUUUGGAAUCAUCAACACGGACCAGAGGCAGAUGCCGCGUUCUGUGGUGUCAAUAAAAUUACCACCAUUAUUUUCUUAAAAUACGAAAAAGAAAAUCAGAUGUUAACUCUUAGCUGAUUCUAUAAACCUUCACCAUAUAAUAAGUAAUCACUCACAUCACACAUGUACAAAAUCAAAAUGAUAGUAGUGGAAUCUGUCCAACUGUAAAAAGGGUCCACUUACCUCUAUCUGCGUUUUUCAAAUAAAAAUGAGGUUGGGGCAAUGGGACAGUAGAUACUACUACUAGUUAUGAGUUGUACAAUUAUGAUUUGGGGAGAAAGGAGAGGUCUCUUCUGCCGACAUGGCACGCAUAUUACUACUUAAAUGUUCUAAAGUCAAAUCCGUUUAUGCAACUUGGGUACGUUGUAGUUGGCUAAACAAAGCAAGUUGAUGACAUUUUUUUUCGUUUUCUUCUGUUGCAGAUAAACACUACUCUGAUCUUCUCCCUUUGUCUUUGCCCUCAGGGCAGUCCACUUCUAGACCAUACGGACAUAGUUACCGCCACUAGCUGGUUGAUAUCACUGAUGAUGAUGACUUUUUCAGUGAAGUCUCAUUUAACUUUCGUUUAGUAGUAGUAAGUAUUUGCAGGUGCAUGCAAGAAUGUUGGAAUAAAAAGAUGGGAACCAAAAAAAUUUCCAAGUUUUGUGUUGAUUUUCUUACCGUUGAACAAAGAAUGUAUUUGAGAGAUCUUUUCUUUUUUUAACUUACUUCCGCGAACAGUUGUUUUCAAUUAGUACUACAGUUUCCUGGCAAACACACUACUAUGUGAAACAAAAAAUUAUUGACAAAAGUGGAGUCAGGCAACCAAGAACAUGGAAGACUUGGCUUUUGCAUGUAACGAGGUCAACAAAGUCAAGAAAAAAAUGCAAAAUAAAUUAUAUAUAUAUAUAUUUGCUCUGAUUGGCCACAGAAGUGGACUUGUUCUUAGCCCUUGACGCGGUAACGAUGCCCAUCAUCACUUGUUUUUGAAACUAGGAGCGUUUUUCUUUGUGCAAGUCGUUGUUCAAUACAGGUAAUAAAUAGGACAUGUAUAUUGGGGCAGAAUAAUUUCUUGGAGCCUGUCUCCCUCAAUUUGCUAUGGAGCAAGGAGGUCGGUCAACUAGUUGAAUUUGCAGCAAGAGACCUGAAAUUAAACAAACAAGCAAGCAGAUCUGGAAUUGAUUGUCAUGUGAGCAGAUUCUAGUGGUUAUUUCCUGUUGAAUUUUCUGUACACAAGUUGACACAUUGUCACACGCUUAUCGUACAGUACACAAAUGUGUGUGUGUAUAUAUUUUUCUGAAUUUUUUGUAGAAAAAUUACUGAAGCAGUUUGACAUAUGUGAGGUAAAAAGGUAAUUGAAAAAUGUAUUUAUGGGAAACGUAGCAAUUUGCUCAAAAAGGAAGGAUCAUCCUUCCUUUGGUUUAAAUUUCAUCACACAAUAUGGAGGAAAAUUUGACUUGUAAUUAGAGUAUAGUGAUUUUUUUUUUUCUGGUCUACCUUAACCAACAAAAAUGUCUUAGUAAAACUCGUUGAAAAAUAAAUAAAAAGAAAACUCAGUAUGUUUUUCAUAAGUACGUAAUUUCUAAGAACUAGAGAGAGAGAGAGGUUGGUGAAGUUCCCUGAUUUUUUGUUCAACUGCAAAAGCAACAGGAAAUAAAGGAAAAGUAAAAGAAAAGUUUGACGAUAUCAAGAAAGCAAAAGCCAUGCUUGGGUAAUUAGGUCCAUGUAUAUAUAUAUAAUAUAGGAUUCACUCCAUGUAAGAGUAAUAAAUUAUGUUGUGGUAAUCUGAACAACUACGUGGCUCAAUCUUCACACUUCAUAGCUAAUAAACUACAAUAUCACUUCCUUAACAAAUAGAUUACGACAUAAACACUUUUCUUUUCUUUCUUUCUUUUUUUUUUUUGAAAAAAAAAAGUUGUAUUUCAACGUUAACAUCUAUCUGAUAGUACUCUUGCAUUAAAAUUAAAAAAAAAAAAAAGAAAGUUGGCAAGUUGGAUUUCUAGUGGGCUAUAUAUUUUAUGUGCAUGGUGGAGUCAAAACUCAAAGUUAAGUAAUGAAUGUGACUAGAGUCGUGGAAUUAUCACAAGGAGCCAUAAAUAGAGAAAUGGUUGGGUCGAGUCUUAAUCCGUGAAACAGUAGUGUAGUGUUCUCUCAUCUUAAUUCUAUCUAAACUGUCCUCUCUCCAAUGACCAAGUCUUCUUCUUUGAAUGAAAGAAAGAAAGAAAGAAAGAAAGAAAGGUGCACAUGAGAAAGAAGACAAACUGAGGAAAUGGGUUGAGACCUGAAAGUUACUCAAUAAGUGACAAAAACAUCCAAUGUUCAUCGAUCUUGAAAUUUUUCCAACCCACAUCACAUUUAGACCUAAAUCAUCAUUAAUUAUAAUUGUGGUCACCAAUUAAAAAGGCAAUUGAGAUCAAGUGAACCGUUUCUGCCCCAUAUAAUAUAUCUGAAGUUCAUGAGAAAUGGUCCUGAAUCAUUGCGCGCGACUGAAGAACCUGGUAAAAAAAAUCAUCAUUAGGAUCUUUGUAUCAUUGCAUGUGGAACGAGCAGUAGUGUUUUAGCAUUGGUACGUAACUUCUGAUCUAAAUCUGUCUAUAUCGAGACAUAUAUUCCAAUUCAUCUAAGCCGAAAAGUAGUACGUAGCUGUUUUAUUCCAAGUCUUUGCGAUACGAUGCGCUCUGUCUGCAAAGUUCUUGUAUGGUUUUUGACAUUUCAGCAGUAUCAAAUGUGAAACCAGACUGAUUCCAAACGUUCGGUCUGGUUAGGCAGAGUUGAUUCCAAACAUUGGCAUGCAAUUUAACUAAUAAGACUUUACUUUGUAAGCUAGAAUUCUCUCCCUCCCUCUCAUUACAAGUACUGUUAGGUUUCUAAAUAUUCCUCAUUUUAUUGACUUUGUAAGCUUCUGACUCCGCUUCACCGUCAAGCUUUUGCAAUGUUAAUCAAUUUAAGUCUUCUCCAUUUUUAAUUCUUCGUCUGUUAGGUGAAAUUGGUUUCUGAAUUUUGUGAUAGAGAUGAUGGAUUCUCACGCUAAGCUCUACGUGAUCUUCUUUCCCACAUUUCAAUGGAAACGAUGCAAAGCAAAGUUAUGGCACCUUUUACUUUCUUCUCGAUCAAUUGGAAAUUAAUUAAUUUCCCUAAAUUUAAGAAUUUCCUUCUCUGAAGUCCAAGUCAAUGAAAUGUGGCAGAAAUGGUUGUCAAAUUUCACUAGGGCCCUCCAUACAAGGGUUGAUGAAGACGACAUAGAAUGAAGAUACAUAUAUAUAUGUCCAAGCAUCACAGUUUCCUUCAUUUCCCUUGCCAUUCGUGUAUGGUGGCACCCGAAUAUGCCAUAGCUUUGUGGUCCAAAUACAACUCAAAUCUGGCAACACCGGGAUGUGAAGGAGAGUACCUAGUCACUGUUGCUUGUGUUCUUAUUGGCUUCUGAGCUGAAAAUCAAUUUGUUUGAUGAGUUGUCAAUUUUCCGUGAACCACCCAAAAAAAAAAAAACUAAUAAAUUGCUAUAUAUACUCGUGACUCAAGAAGCAUAGAGACAAAACUGGGAUGAAUUAUUGGACAAAUUUGGAGCCUGUCAUCGGAGAAAUGCAUCAAGCCUGCAGUAAAUGUUGUAGCCCACAACGACGAUGUACGCAUUGAGGGAGGGACCAGAUGAAGCAAAUAAUGCAGCAAAUGGGGUGAUGGGACCGCCAAGAAAAGAAUAAAUGGUUUUUAUCUACAAUCUGAAUUCACAUAAUAUGUUUCUUCAAAUGCCGAAAAUUGGGUAUAAUACAUCGGGGGCAUUUGCUCUAUCUCACUCGCUGUCUGUCUGUCUUCUUCUUUUAUCUAUGUUCUCUCUUUUAGGGGGGAUUUUAGGGGGCUCUGAUCAAAUGAAUAAAUGAAGAUACAUUGCACUCUACAAAACCAUGUGGUUUUCCAGGACCCCAUUUCAAUACAAAUUGUUGAGAAAAAGCCAAAACAAGUCACAUCUUUGCCAAGCCAUUUGCAUGUCAACACGUAUCAUAUCCGCCGGUCUCCGCCCACUGUGUCGACACAGCUGAGGUCCCCUCCGUUUGCCCUCUUGGCAAGCUGUGGUCUGUCUAAAUCCUAAUGUUCCACUACACUACUCGUGAAAAUGCUCUGUCAAUUUGAGCUGUAAGUUGGUAUGAAUCCUUUGGCGUGUUGGCUCUCCAUUUCAAGAGCCAUCAAAGAUUUCUGCCUUUGAUACCUGUUUCUUUUUGCAGCCAAUGCUGGAAAAGGAAAAGCAUUGAAAUAACAACAUAAAUCAGAGUAUAAAAUCCGAUGUUUAGCAAGUUCAGGAACAGGACUAUCGUAAUUUAAAAGGUGUGAAUCUUGAACUCGAUAUUAAAUACACAUGAUUUCAGAAAGUGUGCAGCAGAUUGAUGUAAAUUAACUGGAGGAAAAGAAGGCUUCGAGGUUGAAGGCAGACCAACCGUAAUGUUGGGUAAAAUCUGGAGAUAUACACGUUAUCAGGUGACACAAUUUACAACUAACUAUGUAUCCACACAGAGGUACAACCACACUAGUUGUUCUGAAACUCCAAGCUCACUGAAGUAAAGAGUCUAUCAAGGACAGAUCACCUUUUUUCUUAAGAAAAUGUUACGAUGAGCAUCAUGUGAUGAAUUCAAUGCAAGACGAAUAAUGUUCUUUUAAUGAAUUUCAGCCAGAGAGUAGGCAUUGAAGGCCGUCAAAAGAGAGUGUUACCGCAGAAGAUAGAUCAAACGAACAUCAAAUAGAUUAACCUUUCUCUAGAAGUUUAAUUUCACCGGGUCAUAAGACAUGAGUAGAUGAUGAAGCACGUUUUCAAAAGGCUAUUAGCCUGCCAAAUUUCCAAUCCAUUGCUUAAAAUGUAAUAAUGGGUAAAUCAACAAUAUUCAAAUGCAAAGGAACAACAAACAUUAGAAGAAACCAGAAGCAAAAUUUUGUAAGAAUUACUUACACAUCAACUCGUGCGGUAAACCAAAAUCAUAGUCAUUGCGCCGUCUCUUGAUGCACAUGUGUAUCGCAAGCAGCAACAUGCAAAAGACAAAAAGACAUGAUAGACCAAUAGCAACUUUACCACCAGUAGAUAAGCCAUCCUUUCCCCAGAAUAAAGGACAAUCACGCAGGGGAGGUACACCACAUAACCCCUUGUUACCAGAGAGACUGAAAUACAGAUAAAUUCCAUGAUAAGCCAAAGAUAAGCAAAAUAAUCCAAAACAUAACAAAUAGGAUUAGCAAUUAUUAGUAACAAGAUUCAAUGAACAUGUGAUACAUCUUCAAAAUAACAGUGGAACUUCCCCAGCUUGUGUUAUCCAACAGCAGAUUGUUCCCUAAUUUAGAACAUCUGCUAAGUUACAGGAAUCUCGAUUCGCAAGAAAAUUUUUCCGUGCCAGGCUAGAGUUCAAUAGCCUAAUUAUAAAAGACCAGGACGAUAGGCAUUAAACACAAGAUCUUCAGAAUUGUUAUCACCAUAGGUCCUUGAAAAUGUUGUCUGAUGUAUCCUACGCUCAGCUCGAUAGAACUUUGUCAAAGCCUCAAUUUGAGAUGAAUGACUUAAGCUUCGGAAUUAAGUGACAAUGAAUUGCAAAAAUAGAAAGAAAUUGUAACAAAGUCAGCCUUUCCCACCAAGAAUUGAAUGGCUUCACCUGAAUGAUGAAACUUGACCUAAUUUGCACCUCGUUCGUUAUCAGUCUUUCUUCAGACAGCUCAUUCUGUUUUAACUUUGAAUUUGACUUCCUUGCCAUGAGUUUUACAUUUCAUAUGCCUCAUGAUUAACAUAAUCAGUUCCCAAUCUAAUGACGAGUUUUGAUCAUAAUAUAACUAUGGAGAGCUUAAGAACAGGAGAUGCUCUUAAGGAACACCAUGACUCAUAACAAGUAAUAUUCUAGCUUAAACUGUAACAGGUUUUUUGUUUUGUUUUACGAUUUCAACAUCUGCUAAAACAUGUCCAACCAUAGAUAACAAAUCCUGCAAGUUUUAUUCAUCCAAAUAACUAGGUUAAUUAUCAUUUUGGACUGAAAUUCAACUCCAUAUUUGUCUAUGCUGGUGAGUUAAAAUUUCGAAGUAAAUACUCAAACAUUCACUCCUUGUCCCAAAUUCCAUUCUCAUAAUCAGAGGAAAGUGAAUCUUAAGCAACAUAAAGAAUAAGAAAACUGUUGCUCUGAAAAUAGUCGUAUUGAGGGUGCAACAAAGCAGAUGAGAUUUGGAAAAUUUUGGUGAAUCACUUAUGAGAGGAUAAAAUCUCUAUCUGCAGUAUUACUCUUCUGUAAAGCUUAUAUCAGUCAUCAUGCUUCCAGUACCUCGUGCCCUUUAGCAUAAGCAUCACAUAGCUUCCAUCAGUGUUUCUCAAGUGGGGGAAUGUGCUC